Molecule: long non-coding RNA, 218195 nt
Filed under: Coffea arabica (coffee)
Lineage: Eukaryota; Viridiplantae; Streptophyta; Magnoliopsida; Gentianales; Rubiaceae
Description: long non-coding RNA (CARA_LNC001784)
Rfam family: MIR398 microRNA precursor family (bases 115195-115306)
Source: RNAcentral
UGCACAACCCCACAAACCACCAAGAAAUGGCCGCUCAAACUCACCUGUUUCAUCCACUCCACUCCUUAUCUCUGCCACUGAAAACCCGAUGUAAAUCACCUGACUUUAAACCCAAGCUAAAACCCUCCACAUUCAUCAUCUCCAGCAAGCUCCGGGCAGCGGUGGUAGGAGGAGGUCCAGCUGGAUCCUCUGCAGCUGAAGCACUUGCUGCUGGUGGCAUAGAGACCUUCCUCUUCGAACGCAGCCCCUCUACUGCCAAACCCUGUGGUGGAGCAAUCCCACUUUGUAUGCUAGAUGAGUUCUCCAUCCCUCCUCACCUCAUUGAUCGGAAAGUCACCCGCAUGAAGAUAAUAUCUCCGUCCAAUCUGGCCGUUGAUUUUGGUAAAACUCUGAAGCCCCAUGAGUUCAUCUCCAUGCUCCGCCGAGAAGUGCUUGAUGACUUCCUACGCCGCCGUGCUGAGUCUUGUGGCGCCGCACUUAUCAAAGGACUUGUCACAAAUGUGGAGGUUCCCCUAACAAGCAGCUCUUCAUAUGUUAUUCACUAUAAUAAGAAUAAUUCACAGAAAUCUCUUGCUGUUGAUGUUGUUAUUGGUGCUGAUGGAGCCAACAGUAAGGUGGCUAAGGCCAUAAAAGCAGGAGAUUACACUUGUGCUAUUGCUUUUCAAGAAAGGAUUAAGUUGCCUGAGGAGAAAAUGGAAUAUUAUGAAAAUUUGGCUGAAAUGUAUGUCGGAAAUGAUGUUUCACCUGAUUUUUAUGCGUGGGUUUUCCCCAAGUGCGAUCAUGUGGCAGUGGGAACGGGGACAGUAUGCUCAAAGAAGGAUAUCAAGAUGUUUCAACAUGGCAUAAGAGCAAGAGUUAGGCCAAAAACUCAUGGCGGUCAAGUAAUUAAAGUUGAGGCUCAUCCAAUCCCUGAGCAUCCACGUCCAGUUAGAGUCAGGGGACGAGUGGCUCUGGUGGGGGAUGCAGCAGGAUAUGUGACGAAAUGUUCUGGUGAGGGAAUUUACUUUGCUGCCAAGAGUGGGAGGAUGUGCGGGGAAGCAAUUGUCAAGGCAUCAGAAGGAGGUGAAAGAAUGAUUAGUGAAGAAGAUUUAAAGAGGGAGUAUUUGAAGAAGUGGGAUGAGAUGUAUUUAACUACAUUCAGGUUUUUGGAUUUGUUGCAAAGGGUGUUUUAUGGUAGCAAUGCUGCUAGGGAGGCAUUAGUGGAGUUGUGUGGGGAUGAGUACGUGCAGAGGAUGACAUUUGAGAGCUAUCUGUAUAAGAAGUUGGCCCGGGGGAACGGAUGGGAUGACAUUAAGAUGGUCAUGAAUACAAUUGGGAGUCUAAUUAGGUGUGAUAUUGUAGGCAGAGGGAUUGAAAUGUUUGACAAACGAGUUCUUGCACAGUUGUAGUGUAUCAGGGAACUAGUUAAAUGAAAGAGAAUCAAAUGAAACUUCAUCAGUACUUCCCAGAGAAGUACAGAUCCAGGAAGUUUUAGCUUUAAAUCACCUAAAAACCUUUUGGUAUGAACAAAUGGUUGUGCCAUUACUCUAUUUCAGUUCUUCAUAAAGCAGAUUCAAAUUGUUGUUUCCAAGAAAAUCUUUGCUGCGGUGGUCAAUUUAGCCUUUCAUCAUUGCCUUAAGUAUCAUCCUGUAAAGUAAUGAAUAAUUAAGAACUUGACUACAUUAUUAUAACUUCUGGGUGCAUAAAUACAGCUUUACAGUGGAAAGAAGUGAAACAUUUAAGCAAGCUAUAACUUUUCAGCAAAGCUUCAAGUUGAAUUAACAGUUUCCUACCAUACACACACUAUUUACCUUGAUCCUAACAUUAUAGCCCAGUCGAGCUAAGAGUUUCUUACCCACUUUGUACCUCGAUUCUAACAUUAGCCAGCUCCUGUUUUUGCCUCUACUGAUACCACAAUUUAUUUGUACAACUUAUUCGCUAUAUGCAUAGAGUUCAAGUGUUUCAAGAGAAAAUCAAAUCCCAUUUUCACACCAUUCUGUAUCCAUCCUUUCUUGACCCCUCCGCCCUCCGCCACAACCAAUUUCUUUCUUCAUGUAGUGCACAUUGUGUUUGAAUCUUUUGCGACAAGGUUUUGAAAAUAAAAAAAACCCAAGUGCCUAGUGAUGAAAAAGUAAUUAGAGCAGUAAAAGGGUUAAAGCUUGAUAUAUUUCCACAUAUAAUAGGACCCAAAUAACAACCUAAUAGUUGAAUAGGUGGCUAUGCAGCCACCAAUCAUCCCUCUUGGUUAAAGACAUACAAGCAUAGAGGAUAUAGGCUCUGAUUUAGUAGACGUAGUUUGCAGAACUUGGAGGAAUAUGUGCUUUGCUGCCUGUGUUAUGCAGCAUUUCUGGGACUUAAUUUAGUCAAGGGAGAAGAUUUUGAAAGCAAUGCAAGGCAGAGAUGGAGUUGAGGAUUGAAAAGAAUGAACAGGAGAAGAGCGUGCAUGAAAAACAUAGGCAGGGGGGAGGGGACUAGCCAAGGUAAGCCCCUUAAUUAUGACAGAGAAAAGACAAAUAUGCAAAGAGGAAAUUACAGAAUAUUAAGGAAAAGAAUUCACCUUAUACUUAGAAUCUCUCUUGAUGAAGUGCAUAAGAUGCCAUAUUCUAGGCCAAAGAAGUUAAUUCUUAAAAAUGCAGAGAACCAAAGCUUCAAAAUAGAAUGAAAAAAAUCAGUUUAUGAUGCUAACUAGCCUUUUUGAUUUUAAUAACUAUUAAUAUACUACGAAUAGAACUAUAUAUGUUUACACAUACAUAUACAGUACGGCCUUCAACCCGCACUUGUCUCCGAGACUCAUACCUGACUCCACUCAAAGUGCCCUUAGCUAAAGGUUUUCUCAAAAGAUUAAUGUUUCUUCUAAAUGUGUUUCAAUUUUAGGUAGCCAUGUAAAUACUAUAUGUAUGCCUCUGUGAUUUAUGUCAAUUUCACUCUAAACAUUUUAAAGCUUGGGAUCCUCCUCAAAACACCAGAGUAUCUUAAUCUAUAACUAACAUGGUCUUAAUUUGGUUGGGCAGAAAACAAUCACAAGCAUAAAAUGUAAUUAUCCUACUCAUGUUAGGGUUAGCAUUUUUGUAUUUUCAGAGACCCUAUCCAACAUUACUCCCCCAAUUCAAAGAAUUCAGACUCUCUUGCAAUUAUUCAUGCACUGUUAAGCUGCAUCUGUAUAUUAGCAUAACACCAGAGAAGCCUAAGCAGUAUGUCUCUCAUAAUAUAACAUAAAAAGGUUUGCUGAUACACAACAAAGUCACUUAAUACCUGCAAUUCACUAAAACUUUUGCACAAAGGGUACUUUAAAGUAUCAAGAUGUCACUAAUUUCACCAAUGAUCCACUUAAGGUCCUCUUUAAACCAUAUGCUUCAAAUUCUUAUUUGGCUAGAAAAGUCCAGAUAACUUGCACCUCAACUGCAAUUUCUCAUAUUAAAUCUCUAGCACAAAGUAGCUUCAUAUAACUACUUUUUUUAUAUUAACCAAAAAAAAAAAAAAAAACAGCAAUACAAGAACCCAGAAGAACCAAACCGAUGAAAUCCUUUUAUUGUUCUAUUCUUAAUAACAACAAGAUAACAUGAAAAAAGGUUGCUGCACCAUUUUUAAUAAGCAUUGCAAUCAGACCAUCAAAAUGAAGUGCAAAAGGUCGAAGUUGAAAGAAUGUGAGCUGUGAAACUAAUAGACAUGAAAAAUACAAAAUGAUCUUAAUAAAAGCUACCAUAAAUUAAGGAAUCAAAACUGUGAGCAUAAGCGAAAAGAGUUCAUGGAAGAUAAAAAGAGUUAAAAAGCAGAGGAUCUUACGGUUUUUUUUUUUAAACCUUUUGUCAUUCAGAUCAGAUAGAGCCAGCAAGAUUCUUGGAUGCUGACUUUUCCAAAUAAUUCCUUUAAGGUAAAAGCCCUUUUUUUUUGGUGGGGGGGCAUCGCAUGUCAAAGUCUCUUUCAUGUUUACAUAGAUUAUAUCGGAUAAUUAUGAUACACUAUUUCUUUGCUCCAAAGUUCUCAACGUUUUGUAGAACCUCUUCAUUCUUGACAUUGUACAAGCCUCUAUCAUGUUUACAUAGAUUAUGUCGGACAAUUAUGAUACACUAAUUCUUUGCUCCAAAGUUCUCAACUUUUUGUAGAACUUCUUCAUUCUAUCAUGUUUACAUGAUUAUAUCAUGUUCACUUGACAUUGUACAAGUCUCUAUAAUGUUUACAUAGAUUAUAUCAGAUAAUCAUGAUACACUAAUUCUUUGCUCCAGAGUUCUCACUUUUUGUAGAACUUCAUUCUUGACAUUGUACAACCACUAAAGCACUGAUACACAAGGCUGUACAAUCUUCGAAACCGUAUAGCCCUAGGCGAAGCUUAUUGGGGUAAAUUGCUUAUAGAGGAGAUAAAGGUUCUUAAUAUUCUUCCUAAAUUUUGUUAUGAGAUAACUCAACUGUGGUCCUGAUUUCUGAAGAUAAUUUUCCAUAGACAGAAUGUCAAUGAUCUUCGCUAUUUGAAAUGAAUGAGUCAAUCUUAUUGCUCAGGACAGUAACACUAAAUCCAGUGUGACAACUUUGUGAAAUGAUUAGUUUCUGCGUCACUUUGUUUUUCUUUUGUUGGUUCUUAGAGUUUUAACUGCAAAAAAUAUUCUAAAAUGCUGCUACUUCAAAGGCAUGUCCUGUGCUCUGAUUGUUUGUUUGUCAUUGUUUAACUCCUAUGUUCAACAACUUGACAGCACUUUUCCCUUUUGUUUCAGAUAUCAACUCAUGCAGGCUAUUCAGGUUUCACACAGUGGUGGAUUUGCUUUGUAUAGGUCUUGUGACAUAUUCUACGAGUUAACCCACUAUAUUGUUCCUUCACGUAUGCUCAUUUAGAUACUUACAUUGAACCGAAUGCAGUGGUUUAACAAUUCAGAGAUUUUAAUAAUGGAGUAAUUUCUAACUCUUGAGUUUUUUCCAAUAUCACAAACAGAACUUAUGUUUUGCCUGUAAAAUGCCAUUGCUUCAGGUCUAUUUCAUGCCUUAGUUUAUUUUUCAGUCAAGAUACUAUGAAAUUGGCUAUGUCUGUUGUCCUUCAUCUUCUUUUGGUUAAAGAAAUGCUUGAACAUCCUCUGAAAGUAAUGCUUGAGCCCGUUCUUAGUCAAACACAUAGUUAAUUAAUGAUUACCUGGAUACAGUUCUACAAUAAGAAAAUUGACUUAAUAAUUGAGCAGAGAUGUUGAAGUAUCAAUUUAUAUUUUGCGAACUUGAUUAUAUGAUUUCUGCUGGAAUAUGUUGUAGGUUGUCUUUGAUAAGUGAGAUACCAUAAUUGUGUUCAGCUGUUUAUUCUCUUAAGAGAUUUUUUCCUCACAGUGAUCUUCAUAUUAAAACAGUUGUGGUAUACUGGAAGGUAAAAUUAUACAGAUUUUGUAAAUCUUGUUAAAUCCCAUGGUCAUCUUUUGUUUCUCUUGGUUUUCUGCUGCUAUGUUUACCUUCUUUUUCCUUUGCAGUUUUUUGUUUCUUAAUGACUUUCCAUUUUCCGGUACAGAGUGUUUUUGUCGUUACUUGUUGUGUGGUUUUGGAUGGUCGCAAUUAUGAAACCAAAGAUUGAACUGGCCUUUCGAUCUUAAAGAAUGAUGUUUUACUUCUCAAAGAGAAUAGAGAGUGGCUCAAUAAGUUUCAGAAUUUAUCGGUACUGAACUGGGUGUAUAUCUACAAAUAACUUUAUUGAUUAUUCAAAGAUGAUCAUAUUUCCUUCUGAUCAUUAGUGGAUUUUGGCUAUGGAAUUUCAUAUUCUCUGUUAUUUCACUGUGGCAAGAAUGCAGAUCAUUUGUUAAACACCACAUACAGGGAAGAUAAGCUUUUGAGAAAUGCAAUGCAAACAAGAAUGUGUAUGCACUCCAUCUCUGUUAACAGAUGCAUAAAUAACCUAUAUCCAGUCGAUAUGGUGAUAAUUUGAAUCUGGAAAGCGGCAACUUUACACAUACCAUUUUGUUAAUGUGAUCUGACCAACAUUUUAGGCCGCUGAUAUUAUGCUGACUACUGUGUUUGAAUGUAUUUACUAUGGGAAAGUUUUAUUCAUUGAUUAUGGUCCUUCACUCGGUUUCUGAACAAAGCUGCAUGACUAUUUCUUUUUCAGGUUUCCCUUUUUCUUUUUGGUAAGGUCUUGUGGCAAAGAAUGGCUUUAUUUGUUUUGAAGGAAGUGACUUGAUCUGGCUAAAGCCUAAAAAUGUUUUGAGUGUUUGUUGCUUCCAUAAAUUAGACUGCUUUCUGUCUUGCAAAACACUGUGUGCUUUUCCAGUUUCAGCAUGAUGAAAAAAGCUAAUGAUACACUGAUAUACUCAAGAAAGAAAUCAUUGAUUAGCAGAACUCGUUGUGCAGUAACAUACUGGCCUUUUUGUCAUGAACGCUGACACAUUCUGGAAUUCUACUUGCUGCCCUGUUCAGCAACAUUGUGUGUUAAGGUCACCCUUAAAGCAACAUGAAGGUGAGAUUGUACUGAGGCAGGGCAAGCUUCUGCUGUUAGAGGUAUCUAUAGAUGUUGGAAAUUUACAUUCUCGAGUAGUUUUUUAGGAUAUUCUAGUUAAUGAUGGCUAUCAUGUUGCAGUUUGUAUGAUCUUGUACUCUACCACAAUUAAAACUUCCUUUAGGUCAAUACUCGGAAGGAGUUAGUGUACAAGCAAUAAUGCUGGGAUGGCCCUGAUUAAGUGUUCACUUGGGUCUAUGUGAUAUCACAUAUUCCUAUACAAUGGUUUUUCGUUUUCAACUUUUUUGUGAAACAGUCUUAAUUUGAGUGACAAGUGGCUUCACGCUUUGGGAGGUUCUAAACUUUGGAGUUUUUGGCAAUUGCUUGAAGUCUCUAAUUCUUUUGAAGCUGGACGAAGUACCAAUAAAGGAUGUAUUGUGAAAUGUAUUUCAUUUUAUAUAGUGUAUUAAGGGAAAGUCAGUUCUUCUGUAGCUUACAACAUCGCAUCUGAACCGAAGUUGAAACGAAUACAUGCAGGACAUUAGCGUCUUAUCCUUCCUUUUAUUUUUCUCAAUUCUAAUACUUUGCUUUCUUUUAGGUCUUUUCUAUCUGGCAGGUGUCUGAAGAACAUAGAUAUUCUGAACAUAGCAAAUUGACAAACUCUUAUUCAAAACAGGAGAUAUGUAAUGUGCUUAAUAUCCUUUUAAGGGACUCCUAUGUUGAAAGUUUGUUCAGCGAGCAGAAAAUUUUCUUAUCUUUAUUCAUUAGGAUAUUGUUUUCAUGCAAUAUUUUGUUUCGUCUAUUGCAAUUUUUGUCAUUUGUAAAAUUAGUGCAUGGUGUAGUUAAACUUUUGAGGAAAAAUAAGCAGCUACAAACUUGUAAUCAAGUCAACUACUGAAUGGUAGAUGGAGUUACAUGUAGUCUCACAACCUAUUCUUUGCUUAAUUCUAGUCUCAGGUUGCUAACCAGUAUCUGAUUACUCAUGCUAAUAAUCAGCUUUUCAUAUUUAUUGCGGACUCCUAAUAUUUUUUUUUCUCUACUUGUGUAAUUGAUGGAUCAUCAUGUAUAAAAGAAUGUCUAAAUAGUAAGGGCACUGAGUUUGUGAAGUCAGCAAGCUGGAGUAACAUGGUGCUUCAAUAAUUAGAUAUGCCCGCCAAGAUAAUUAGUAGACUAGUACUGAUUGGAAGUUUUACCUGGACUAGGUUCUUAGCUUUAUGCUUCAUGGGCGUCUUACUUGUAUGUUAUCAAGGAAAUGAAUUUGGGAAAUAUCGUCUGUUCAUUUGAGAUUAGUUGAAAAUGGUACAUCUCUGUUGUGAUCACAUUGUCUCUCAUUUUCAUAGAAAUAUUGCAGCUAAUGAUUUUGCCCAAAAUGUUUUCAUGCAUCCUAAUCAUACUGUUGAUAUUCUGUAUACAAGUUUAUAGUCUGUCAUUCUAUAUAUGGAAAUGUGUUCCUAAUGCCACAUUGCAUCUAAUCAUUAUCUUCGUUGGUGUGUGUCAUUUAGUCACGAGUAGCGCUGUGCAUGGUGGUGCAAAUUGGAUAAACUCUGUAUGUGUAUUUUGUUUUUCCAAUUUACCAGAUACUUUGAUCAAUUUGUCUCCUUGUUAGGUUCCCUGUUUCUUUAGUGUCAUCAGUGUCAAUAAAUAUCAAUAGUUUUUAGGCAAUAAAGCAUUAUGAGACUUUUUUUUUUUGUUUUUUAGGGGGGGGGGGUGGUAUAAAAAAUUGAUGACAUGUUUGUCCUGGGCCUACAUCAUCCCUUACCUUCUACAAACACCCAUAUAAUACAUAAGAUUUUUCAUUUGAAGUUAUAAUACUGUAGUAUUCCUAGUUGAAUUUCGAACCAGUUACCGCAGCCUCGCAUUGUACUUAUAUUUGCUGAGAAGGGAUAAUCAAUAUUGAACUAGUAAUUACCCAUUUACACUAAUUACAGAUGAGUCGUUUGCUUUAUGGAACCCUUUAGUUGCUUCAAUAAUAAUUUGCGGCGGCCUGCUGCUGCAUAGCAAUUGGUGGUCUUGCUGCAGGCCUUUCUUUCAUUUUGUCGUAAUGUUAUCUGUGUUAUAAAAUAGAUGCGCGCUUUUGGAAAAUUCUCUGCCCUGGAGCUAGGAUGGCUAGAGGGUCAUAAGUCGAUUUCCUCUGUGUGAAGACUUCCCACCGUUGACCAAAAUGGGCCUGCCAUUGUUCCUGCGUGGUAUAAUGAGCUAGAUAUUGUUUAACUCCAAGGUGGGCCACUGCACAGAAGUCUAAAAUUCUUUUGUUCAAAGUUAAGAAGUGUUCUAAGCCAUUAGUUCCAGCGGAUGAAGGAACUGCAUGGAAAAGGAACGCCACCAUGUAGAAAAUAUCUUCUUCUGGGAAAACAAAUGAAGUUCUGUUGUCCCACCUGUAAAAUAUGCAAAUUAUUUUAUUAAGAAAUAUGACCCUUUAAAAUUCAGUUGUUGAGUUGACGUUUGUAUGAGACUUUUACUUUGAUUUGUUAACUGGGUAGAUGAGCACAGGCCCGCUCUUCGUAUCUUUCAGAAUAUUGCCGAAAACUCCUUGAGCAAAAUAUUUUAUUUUGCUUCUGGGGAUGAGAAGAUUUAGCCAUGGGUGCGGAACAUCCCACAUUCCUUUCGAUCGUAGUUUUAACUCUGAGGUAUGAACUCUAUCCAGGAACUCGACAUAUGAGACUUCUGUCAUAAGAAGUGUUGAUUGGAUAUAGCUUAGCUUUGAUAGUAAAUUCUCAACUUCCUGCAUAGAGAAAAAGCUGUGAGACUCAUUUGGUUAACAUACUGAGAAGGUAGAAUCAAGUAGAUCAUAGUGCCACGGUAUGCUCACCUUGUUUGCUGUGUCAACCUCGUCAGGAUUGAAAUUUUUGGUUAACUCAAGGCAGAACAGUGUUCUUCCAUCUGAAACGAAUUUACUUGCUUGGGCUGGGUCUUGAGGGCUGAAGGAUGAUCUCCAGCUAUUUAAGACAUCAGUCCUGUUUAUUAUCACAAGUCCUUCAAUGUAAUCAAAUGUGUGUUCUGCAGAUAUCAAAAGCUCCUGGUCUCGGGAAAAUGUGGAGAAAUCUGAGUAGAGCACCCUGAUCCAUUUGACCUGGUGAUAAUUGAAGAAUAAUCUUUAUAAGACUGAAGCUUCCUUUAAGAUGCUUUCUUUAUAGGAUCAUUGCAUUAUAUAAUUACCAUCUUUGGUGCUGGCUCCAGGGAGAUUCUUGCUUUGGUUAUUAUCCCGAAUUGCCCAAGUCCUCCAAGAACACUGUGAAAGAGGUCAGCAUUCUGCUUCUCUGAGCAAUUGACUACUUCUCCCUUUCCUGCAAUCAGUUCCAUCCUCUUUUUAAUAAGUAUUACUUCAAACAAGAUUGUUUAAUGAUUAGAUAAUUCUUUCCAAAAAGUAAAGUUUUUUUUGAGGGAAAUAUUUGUCAAUUUGCAGCUCAUGAGACUAGGAGAAGUGGUAAGUUGCGUCUGUAGUUACCCGCUACUAGAAAAUAAGAUGGGACAAAUGAAAAGCCACCACCUAUGCGGUCUUCUUAAUUAACCUUUUGACCCCGUCUUUUGUUCUACAAACUAUAGCAUCAAAAGGUUCUUGUUUUCCCAUACAAACCUGUAACAACCUCCAGCUGGUGGACAUUACUGAUCUGGGGGCCAUGGCGAAAUGCUUGCCCGCUUAUUCCUGCAUUUGACAGCGUACCACCAACCGUGAGAUGAAGGUAGUCUGUCCAAGACUUCGGUGCUAGCCCAUGUUUUAAGCUUUCAUGCAAAAUAUUGAUCCACAGGUCACCAGCGGACACAUCCACAUAAGGCAGUUGUCCUGUAUUGAACUGCAUUACUUGUCCACCAAGGGACUCCAUGUUAAUCACGAUACCUUGGUCAGCUUGCGCCUGACCGCGGGUGGAGUGGCCAUGGCCUCUAGCUGCAACUGUCAGCUUUGAAAGGGGACCCAUAUGCCAAAUAUGCUUUAUGGUGUUUGCAAUAUCAGAAACUGAUUUCGGAUGUAGGACUGCCAAAGGCAGGAAAUGGUACUGAUUUCCGUAGUCUCUAGCUGCAAAUUCAUUUUCUGUAAAAGUGAAAUUUCCUUCAAGAGGAAGUGCUCUCAAUGAAGUUGGGACGCUAGAGAAACAGAAAUCGACUCGAAUAGUUGCACAACUCAGUAACAAAAUCAUGAGAGUUCUAAUGAACAGGAUGUUGUUGUGUUUGGCAAAGCUAACAUAUGGGAAGUUCAUUGUUUCUAUCCUUCUACAGAGACUUGAAAGGCAGGGAUUGAAGGUUUUUAAAUUUCCGUGUACGUUCUCUGGAUGUAAGAGGGAAGGUAGAGGUACACGGUUCAAAGGCCUGAGGAGGGAAUUUAAAGAGAGAUUUGGGUGGCAGAGUCAACCUAUCUUCAGUGUCAAGAAUCCGUAAGAAGACUGCCUACUUUGUUAUAGGAGGAGUUUGAUGGUUUUACUUUUAGUUCUUUAUAAUCUUGACUCUAUAGUUGCCAACUAAAAGCCAUCACACAUGCCAAGUUGAAGAGAAAAGUUAACAAGCAAGAAACAUUUCACCGGUCUUUGCCCCUUUUUUACACAAUUUCAACCAUAUUUUCACCCUUUCCAUCAAAGACAAAGAUGUCAUGGUCCUGAUCUAUCUCAUUUACCACGUUUGAGGAUCACUGUACCAUUUAUAGCAAAAGGUACUGGCCUCACCAGAAAGUGCACCCUUCUUUCCUCCGGUCCUUUUACUUCCUCCUAUGGGCUAUGGCUGGCUGAAGUUUGUGUCUUAAUUGCACUGAUUUGAUCAUUUUAUUCCUUGAAGCCAUUGUUGUUGAAAAGCAAACAUCGCGUAUCUAAUUUCAGAUUGGAUGAGAAGGACUGGGUGACCAGCCCUGGAUCAUUUUGCAGGCAUGGCCUCAACGGGUCCACGGGACACGUGAAUUUCCAAAAGAAUUUUGUGCUUGGUUGGGGGAAGAGCUGUGAUUUGCUAUGCUUGGGACCUCUUUUUGCCACUGUCCUCAGCCUAAGAAGAUGAAAACUGGACACGGAAAGGACAUCUUGGAGGAAAAUCUUAAGAUCUAUCUUUGAAGAUAUGUGUAUACUGUUGUUUUGGUGCCUUUGUUCCCAACAAAAGAACAAAAGCUGGAAUCCUUCUCUGUUCAGGACGAUAGUGUUUGAUUUGUAAUUUGAAAACCAGCUAGUGCUUAUGUAUCAUCAUUAACAAAUUUUCCUUUGUUUAUGUAUUGCGUUUUUGCAUGUUGAUAGAACCCUCUUUGUUGCUUCAAAUUAGAGUAUUUCCUGAUAGGCCCUGAAAUCAGAUUCAGUAAAUAUAAUAAGAAUUUAGAUGCUGCCUUUCACAGAGACGGUAUUUUCUUUUGUGAACACGGGUUCAGCAGCAGGGGUAGAUUCACAUAUGUGGCUCUUCUUGCUGGAGGAUCAUUUUGUCUUUGAAAGCUAGAUCGAACUGUUUCAAGGUCCAUGAUGCAUCAUUUUCAGUAUUAUAUGGAAAGCUCCGAAAUAGAUUUUCUAUUAUUUCGCUGACACCAACUCAACGAUAUCAUAGAUACGUGUGUGUAUAUAUACACGCACGUACACUUACCUUAUUUCCUUUUCUCAAUAAUAACAACAGAAAAAUGACAUGUCCCGUUACAUAUUGAGUCAUCUUUAUCACAAUUAUAUCAAUUUUCAAAGUCCUUUUGAACCGUCGAUAAUAACAACGGAAAAAUGAUAUGUCACAUUAUAUAUUGAGUCAUCUCUUUCGCAAUUAUAUCAAAGUAAAAGUUUCAAAAUUCUUUUGAACCGUCGAUAAUCGUUUCCUAAAUGCAUUAGAGAUAAAAAAAAAUGUCACUCCCUUUAUUUAUUUGUGCGUUUUCUUCCCCUAAUAUUUGGCCUUCUUGUCCUAGCGCUCUCUUCUAACAGAAGAUCAACUAGCUGCCAAAGUAUUGUUGUUGGAGCAAAAGCCAAAUGAAAAUUUCUUGUGACAUUCCUUAGAGCCUUCAUUUUCCAAACCAUUUGCGCCUGCGCCCAUGGGACCACAAAAGUAAAAUCUAUGCGGAUUCUAAUGGACAACAAAAUAUGGAAACCCAAAAGUGGCCCUCAUCAGUGUCCCAAUCAGGAUUCCAGCUUUGCAUUACCCAAGAAUAUUAAAAUAACACUGUAAUAAUUUGGAAUAGAUUAUUGCACCCACUUUCCUCAGAUUAUGGAUUCUUACUGUGAAAUGGGAACUGGCUAGAAGCAAUAGUUCUUUUCGCUUGGUGGUUCCCAACCUAAUCCUCAUGCCACAUUUAUUCUCUAGAAGGAGACCGACCAUUAGUGAACAGAUCAGCAAGGCUUAUGCCGACUUAGGGCAUAAAAUGAAAGGUUUACUAUGUAUUAAUGAUGAUUGAAGUGUUGAUUACAUGAGAAGCAGCUCAUAACACGAUUCAACGAAGCCAUAUGCUCAUGGACCUCUCUCUUUGUCUUUGACUCUUUCCCUUUACUUGUUAACCCCCCCCCCCCCCCCCCCCCCCAAAACAAAAAAACCACCAUUUUUUUAGUAAAACUUAGUCUUAACUAGUUGAAUAUUGCGAUAAAGCCCGAUCGUUGUAAAAAUCACGUGUUAUAUUUUUUUGAAAGAAAUUCGAUUCUUCGAUAAUAAACGAAGUAAAAAUUCGUAAUGCAAAAACUUUUCAAGAAAAAUGGUAAGCGAACAAAAGUUUCUUUUUAUUUUUCUUUUUAUCUUGGGGUGUGUGGAACUUAGAUUUGAUGAUUAAAGGACACGGAUGUUAUAAAGGGGGUUGGCAAUUGUCAUGAAGUAAUUUGAGAAUCUUAUUGGUCCAUUAAAAGAUCAAAGAUUAACGAAUGAUAACUAGACAAAUUGAUUGAGUUGCCACUAAGCCGGCCAUGAUAGGGUGGCUUGCCACGUCUCCACCUGGUCAACAUCCUUGUCAUCAUGCCAUUGAGGUUAAACUUUAAAGAAGAUAAAAAGUCUUAUUAUAAAAAAAAAAACAAAAAAGGAAGAAGAAGAAGAUAAAAAGUCUUACAAGUUAGUAGGACACAAACUGAUUUAUGAGCUGGUUAAGCCUAUUGAUUAGGGGAUAAUCGACAUUUUCUUAUCUUGUUCCCCAUCCCACUUUCAUUCCACUUUAAUCAGGGUCCCCUUGUCUCAUUUCUUAUCCUUUGUGUGGAGUUAAAAAGCCUAGUUGUAGCAAAUUUUUUUUAACUCGGGCAUUCUCUUUCUCAAAUUCUAUUAAAGAGGAUCCUAGAAAGAAUCAUAUAAGGUGGCAUGCCACAUGCCUUGUUUAGAUUCUCUUGGCUUGCAAUAAAGAGAUCAUGAGGAUCUGGAUGUGGUUGAAAUAACAUUGAUAGUUUGUUGAUAAGACAUUGGUCUGUUCAUGGAGAAAUGAGUUAAAAAAGCUUUGAGAUUCUGAGAUUUGAUUCUAAUCCCAUUUUAUUUUCCUUAGAACGACAAGUCACAUAAGGUUAUGAAUGCAUAGUUCUUGGUCAUGUCAGCUGCAUAAAGCUAGUUCUUGAUCAUGUCAGUUGUACGAGUCCAAUGUACGCAAACUUGAAAUUUAUUAUGUAAUCUUGAGGUUUUAAGAAUUAGUGGUUCUGGAUUCAAAUUUUUCCUUCCUUUCCCUAUUUCCUCUUAAGUUAAAUUCUCCUCUUCUACAAAAAAAAAAAAAAAAAAAACUAUGUAAUUUUGUAAUUCUUUUUCUUUAGGCAAUAUAAUGGCAUGAUUGUAGCUGAUCGGCAAACCUUCAAAGUUAUGGAUCACUUGCAAAAUAUGUUGUACCCGACCAACCCUGCUUAUGCUUUGUAAAUGAACCCGAAGAAUUACUCGUGGUGAGGAUCGAACAUCACAGAUUUCGUGCCAUUGAAGCACAUAUUUUGCUUUGCCAUCUCUAGAGUAAUUGGCCACCAACGUGAGGUUUAAAACUCUUCUUGGGUGUAGGUCAAGAGAUUUGCAUUCUUCUCUAAGAUUUUCUGAAAAAUUCACCAGCAGUAUAAAGAUAUCCGUCUAGUCUAAUGGCAAUUUAAACCCCUCCGAGCUUUCCUUUGGCCCCUUUGGAUCCAUCCCUUCCCCUUUAUACUAGGAGUAAGUGUAGAAGAAAAAAUAUCGUGUCAACAAAAACAAAAAAAAAAAGCACUUAUUUAUUUGCUAUAAUCCGUGCAUCUCUUUCAGUUGUAAUUGGAUUUUGUUCAUGCAGAUGGAACAACAAACUAAUGGUUAGCUUUUGCGAUUCCACAAGUGCAAAAGCACAAUUACUAGAAGAAAUCACCAAAACUGUUCUAGUUAAAUUACAAUGCUUGCAUCACUAGAACUAAUCAUUCAAAAUUUUUAAAAAUUAGAGGUCUUGGGUUCAAUUCCCUUGUUCUCCUUUAUCACUCCUUAAAAUCUUAUCCCUCCUUUAUUAAAAAAUUAGAAAAAACUAAUCACUUAAAACCUUUUUUUUAACUUUAACAUUAGUUGCAAAUAAACAUGUAGCACACAAAGAGCUGGAGAUUUAACCUUCAAGUUUUAUGUGAAGACAAUUUACCUCUUAAACUUGACCAAGCUUGACAGACCAAGUCAUCAAAAGCUAACCAAAGACAAGGUUAUUUCUAUUGGGAAAAUGACGGAAUUAGUCUCUCACAUUUCCAAAAAUAUCCUUUUUUGGUCAUUGACAUAUAAAAUGGUAGAAAUAGUUUCUCACACAUAAAAAACAUCCUAAUUUGGUCUACAACCUAUUUUCAACUGAAAAAAUGCACUUUCCAAUUAUGUGCGCAUACUUCUAGGUAAAAAAUAUAAAAAAGAAUAAUAUUUUCCUCGAAAAAGUACUCCUUCAUCCCCCUUCCACACUACCAACCUGCCACAUUCCUCCUUCUCCCUCUCUUCCCUACCUACCUGCAUCCUUUCCUCCAUUCACCCCAACCACCCAUAGCCCCUCUCUCCUUCUUCUCCUCUUUCCCCCUACCAAUUUGCACCUUCGCCUUUCUCUCAUCCUCUCCCCCACCCCCCAAAAAAAACAAAAAUCCUCCUCUUAGAUUGGGUCUUUGAAGACCAAUAUUAGAUCCAGUCUAAUCUUCAAAGACCAAAUGAAGGAGAGGGAUGGGUUGGUGGGGAAAAGGAGUGUGGUAAGUUGGCUGGAGGAAGAGGAAGAAAGAGGAGGGUGGCGUGUUGAUGAUGGGGAAGGGUGGGGGGAGGAGGAAGGGUUUGUGGGUGUGUUUUUUUAAGAGAAACAUUAUUCUUACUCGUAUUUUAUCCAAAGUUUAAUCACAUAACUUGGGCAUACAAUUUUUAGUUAGAAAUUUGAUCAAAAAUAGGUUUUGGAUAUCCAACGGUUAUCUAUGUAUAGUUUCAUUGUCUAUAACUAUAAAUAAAUUAUGUGACAAUUGGUUAUAAGCAAUUACAAAAUGAAAUUCAAAUAUAAGUAAAAAAAAUCAGCAUCGAAACAUGUUUUUUUAAACAGCAAACCCUAUUCACAAGGGAGGGACAUCACCCCAAGUUUUAUUAACUACCAAAAAGAAAAAUUACAAGGAGGGGGACAUAGAGUUAACCUCCAAAGCUUAUAUGGAAAGUAGACAUUAAAAGCCAAAAGGGAGAAGGGACUACUACUCCCUUACAUAAUGAAGAUAAGGAAAUUAUGUAGAAUCUAAACACGUAAUCUCUAUAAUUGGUGGCGGCAAUGAAGCAGCGUCAAAGAUGGCUGAAACUCAAGUCUAUAUUGGCCUUUUUUGCAAGGCCAUUUGCAGCGGAAUUGACUUCUCUAUAGUAAUGUGUCAAAAUGAAUACUGCCUUGAUUAAUACAUCAUAAACCCGUAUUACUUCCGCAUCAAUUCACCAAGGACACCUUUGCAGUCCUUUAACGGAGUUCAGCAAAGUUAUGGAGUACAUUUCUACAAUAAUGUUAUGUAGACCCAAGGUUAACACACAAUUGUAGUCCUCCAGAAGAGCCAUGAUUUCAGUUUUCAUAUUUGUUUGAAAUCCAUAGAAUGAUGAAAAUGCUCCUAAGGUGUGGCUGUGAGAGUCUCUGACAAUGCCUCCACCUCCUGAGUCUCUUGGAUUUCCAAAUGAAGUAAUUUCAUGAUGUUAUAUCAACUAAUUACGUGCUUCAAAAAGUUCCACUGUUUGUUGUUAUUGCAGAAGCUAUAUGAUUAUGCAAUUUGAAUUUUGCUUAUGGAAAUUAAUUAGUGAAAUUUGAUUUUACAAUGAAAAGAGUGUUAGUGAUUUCAAACUAUUUUUCAAGAAAAGUAUUUUUGGGUAAUAAAACAUAAUAAGACAUAAUUACAUUGGAUUUUGAAUCUAUAAUCAAAGUAUGCGUAUGGGUCUGGAUAGGUCAGUAUCUAGAUUUAGAAGUUCAUUAUCAAGGUGUUUUUUUAGGUAUUUAGAUAAAUUUUUAUUGUCAAAUUUGUAGAAAAACUUUUGUCUAUUUGAAAGUUUAUGAAAAUUAAGAAACUUUCUUUUUUUUCUCCUUCUUUUCUCUCUUCUUCUUCCUCUCUUGCUCACACUAUAGCCACUAUGGAGUUUCUAGUGGCAGUGCCGCCAUUGACCAAUAGUGGUUGGCCACCAGCCGCUAGCCGCUACCUCCUCUAUUGACCAAAAUUCAUCAAAAUUACACCAUUCACUCAAUUUUUUGUUUUUUCUUUUUUCAGCAACGGUAGUUUUUGUAUUGAAUAGACAAAAGGAUAUACACUUAUAUGAGCAAAGGCUCAAGCAGUACUAUACACAAGUGUUAGACACACUGAGGAUUGAUCCAUUCACUCAAUUUUUUGUGUAGAUUCCAUUUUUGGUGUUAAUUUUCAUAGAAAAUGAGCAAAAAGUGAUCACAAUGGUAAGAAUAGUCGAUGUUAGUUUUUUUCUCCCUCACUCUCUUCCUCCAUCUUCCCCCUUCUUCUCCCUCCCUCCCUUCCCCCUUUCGAUGACCCCUCUCCUUUCCCUCGCCACAAUCUAGACUAGGGGAGGGGAACGGGAGUUGCAAGAAGAGAGGGAGGGAGGAGAAGAAGGAAGAGGGAAAGAGAAAAAAAAGGAGGGAAAAAAGGGAUGGUGGGGGAAGAAGGAGGAGAGGGAAGAAGAGAGGAGAGGAGGAGGAUGGAUGUAAGGAGGCAGAAAGAGGGAGAGAGAGAGAGAGAGAAACAAAUAGAGAGGGUGAGAUGAUGACAAUGGCAUGCAGUGGUGUCAAUGGUGGUGGGUUGAGGUUGAAGAGUGGUGGCAAAAGAGAUAAAUGAGUGUGUGUUUUGGAGUGUUUUGUGGUAUAUAUUUUAAAACUUUUGGAGUGUUUUUAGAAAAUACUAUAGACAAAGUUUGAUAAAAAUUUGUCUAUUAAAAACAAACAAAAAAAGGCUUUCAAAUAGACCCUAGAUUUUAAUGUGGAUCCAGAUUUGAAAUUUAAUUAUACAAAAUCACACUCUACUUGUACUCAUAAUUUUCUUAUAAGAUAUGAAUUUGGGUUUUAAAAUUUGGAUUUAGACCCUUUACAAACUCCUUAGAGUCUAAGCAAUAAAUGCUACCUAAAUUCCAAAAUUAACUAUUUUCAACCAUUCGAAUUUUUGAAUGGAAAUAGACUUACUAUAGCUCCAAAACCCACAACCAAAUCCACCAAAUUACUUAUAUCGAAAAUCAGACUAGAACUUAAUGGGAUUAAAGAAAGAUAACCACUCCCAAACUCAUUUGAAUCUAGGUUAUAGUUUCAAAACAUUGUAGGUAAUUUUUUUUUUUUAGUGUAAGUAGAAAGUCUCGCGUUCAAGAUCUAUCACUUAUACUAUCAUCCAACCUAUUCCUCCCCCCAAAACUUUGUAGGUUAAAUGCAUGAACACUUACAAAAUUCAAAUUCGAUGUCAUUCUCAUAGAGCAUAAUUAAAUUUAGCUAACUUAGAUUUCUUAGUUACUAACUACCAUACAUGUGCAUGGUUUUUGGUUUAACAUAGACCUUUCCUCAAAUUUGUAAUUUUUUUUAGGGUUUGGAUUUAAACAGAUUUAGACAUGAAAUAAUGAACUUUGACAAACGAAAACAUCGGACACUCCUACGUGUUUUGUGUGGGGUUUCAUGCUUUGCAACACUACAACUAUGUUAUUUUACUAGGUUUGAAGUAGAGUAAUAUUAUGAGUGUGUUUGGAUAAGAGAUUAUAUGAGAUAAUUUAAAAAAAAAUACUGUAACAUUUUUUUCAUAUGAUAUAUAUAUAAGAUAAAAAGAUGGUUGAAAAAUACUAUAAUACUUUUUUGUAAUACUGCGACUAUGUUAUUUGUGUUAUGUUGAAUGCCCUUCGCGUAUUAAUGCUAUUAAUAGUAAAAUACGUAACAAAAUUGAUAAUUUCACAUGCAAUGCAUGUGUCAUGCGGUACUAGCACGCUGGGCCAUGGAGCAAAGGACGAUAGAAGUAAUGUUAUAAUCACAACAAACACAAAUUUACAACUUCUCUCUGUGAGACAAUAUUUGUAGGGUCUCCCACUAGAUCUGAUAUGUUCCCAAGUUUAUCAUAUAUAUUUGUCAGUGGUUAACUUUGAUUGACUUCUUUCCUCCACUAGGUAGACUCAAUAAAGUAAAGAAAAAGGUUGAAGUCGUGUGGGUUUUGGGUUUUGAGUAUGUUGGUAAACUUUUUAAGUAUUAGUUAAUUAAGAUUUUCUUUUUCUUUUUUUAAAGCUCAGGCUCUAGCUAAGUUCUGCGAAUCCUAGGUAGGCUUACAUUAGACAAGUCAAGUAAAAAUGCCUUUGUAAGUUGCAAAUCCCAGGCAAUCUUGCAUUGUAUAAGCCACGAAUUGAAACCAAAAUCUCAAAACAAUUAGAACCAAAGAUUAUAAAAGAGACGGGUCAAAAAACAAAAAGGGCUGCGAGAAGGUGUCUCAUUUUUUUUAUUUUCUUUGGGGGGUUUGGGGAAUGAAAAGCUCUGGAGGGCUAGAAACCCUUCAUUUGGCUGUCCAAAUAAUAUAUAGUCUUUCAACCAUAGCAAAAAUAAUUUGCAGAUGAAUAAGAAAUAAAUGCUUGGGUAGAUAAGUGUUCAAUCCUAAAAACCAAAAGCACUAGCAGAAAUUUAAAAAUUAAUGUUUUUCUUAAUUUCAAAAAAAAAAAACUUUUUGCACUAAUUGGUAUACAUUCACGCAAUGACACAUCAUUGUUGUUCACAUUUCAAAUCAAACAUUAAUACAAAACAUAAUCUUAUCUCAAGUAACAAAUAGAAGUGCCCAAGGCCAAAUCAAUUCGUGAAUUUUUGUAGUCACGUAUACUAGGAAGAGCUUUUCAUUAAUAUCAUUCUUAACUGGUUGAGAUUAGACCACGUUGAAGCCCCACCAGUUAUUUAGCCACUUCCCCGUGUCUGAUAAAAUAAUCAGCUAGCACAAGUUACCAUAAGAACAUUCCAUUUCUGAUUUGACCACAAGAGCCAAAAUCGAAAAAGGCUUAAUUAAUUGAGCCUCCCCUUUUUUUUUUAAUGGCUUUUUUGUUUGGCUUGUUGCUGAGAGUCGUCCAAUGUGCAUGGUUUUGACUCUUUGGUUUCAAAUUAUUGAAAUUGCACUGUCACAAGGCAUGAUCAUGAAGGCAGUCCUAGUACUCAUCGACUUAGUUGUCUGAGCCUAAGUAGACCCUAAUUAAAGCUUUUUGGUUGUUUAACACGAGUAAGAAUAAUUACAUCAACGACAAGGGAGAUUGAAAACAUGAUAUUUUUUUCCCCUUGUUCCCCAUAUGGUCAAAAAUGUAGGCUAGACCAUCUAUAUGCACCCCAUAUAAUUGCUCAUUAGACAAAUUUUGUCUUGCUCUCUACUAAAAAUCAUUACAAGUUUAGAAUGUAUGUAGGUCUAAAUGAUAGUGGAUGAGGGAAACUCAAUGAUCAUUGACUCAAAAAAAAAAAAAGGGAAACUCAUAACAUUAUGAAACUAGCACCGUUUAUCCAAAAUAAUCAACUUGUGUAGAAUCAGCUUCAUUUACAUCAUCCUUUCCAGGCAAAUCGAGCUUCUGCACUGAAGUGGCUAGAUGCAUGGAUAUUAACAAGGAGAUGGUUCUCGAGCUAAGAGUUAUAAUAUGAUAAACCAAAACAUUAAAUAAAAAAAAAAAGAAUUUUACAUGCCCUAAAACCUCCAUUUUGGACCCAAAAUUCGAUUUCUUUAGGCCUUCAACCGUGUGAAAUGGUUGCAAGAAUAUGUUAUACAAGCAUGCAUGGUACCAACUUCAAAUUAUACUCAAAUUAUACAAGCAUGCAUGGUACCAAAUUAUACUCAAAUAACUUCAAAUUAUACAUUACGAACAAAAUAGAACUUAACUUACUAUGAACUAACUAUAUAUAGAAGAUUAUUUUUAGGGUAAUUUUUUUAUACACUGUCAGUCUUAAUAUAUAUUAUACUGUAUAUUUUUUGUUCCUAUCAACAUUUUCUUUCCUUUUCUCUGUAUUUCCUAAUUUGACUCAUCAUUUGUAUGUAUAAAUGUCAAGGUAUGCACACUAAUUUUUGUUAAUAAAAAAACACGGCAGCCAAAAAAUGUGAUUAUGUUGUUUGUAACUAGGUUUACAAGAAUCAAUAAGAAGUUGUCUAGCCAUGCCCAGACGGAAGGAAACCCUUCCUAAACCCAAGCCAAAUAUAAAAUGGUCUAAUAAAGUUUACUAAUUGUCCAAAUUUGACUCCCUAAGGGACCAAGCGUGACAAAUUAGAACAUGGAGGGACUAGACUAGGUCAAAUCUUGGGAGACAGGAUUGAAAUUGAAUGACUAAUCUCAGGAGACAGGAUUGAAAGUGAAUGACUAUUACAACCACGGGAUUGCAUUACUCCCCUCGUAGAACACUAAACUAACAAAAGUUCUUCCUUAAUUCCAAUCUUUCCUCUUUUCAUUUCAGGAAAAUUGUAGAAAAAAUUCUUCACAUCUUAUUAUUCCCUCAAUUUUAAAUGUAAUUUUAGUCCGUCAAAUAUACAAAAUGCAAUACUUUGUUCGGUCGCAUGUUACUUAUUGGCUUGAAGAAGUCAGGUGCCCACUAAAUGAUACUUAUUUCAAGGGCAAAAAUGAUAUCAUACCUAUUUCUGACCAUAUACGAACAUAUGGUAAUGAGAUGCCUGAUCCUCUAAAAAUUUAAAAGCAAAGCCCUCGAUAGAGGGUAAUAAAGCAAAAUCAAACUCGUUAUGGUAACAAAAAUUUUGUUUGAGAAACAAAAAAAUGAAAUGCGGGUAGUUUCCAGAUUUCAAUCGAUAGUAACCAAUUGAACAAUUCCAAAGAUGAAAGAAGAAAUUAUGAUUUACCAAAUUAGAGAAUUUCUUAUCCUUGUCUUGGAUUGCUCUAGGGUUCAAUUAAUAUCAAAGUUGGACUGAAAUUAUCCUAUAUUAAUCAUGAAACCAGCCCAACUUACUUUGAAUGUACCCAGCCUGAAUCGGCUAAUUUUUUCCACUAUGGGUAGAAAUAUAGUUCCGUUUAUCCGACCCGAACUCGAACCCAUUUUUUCUUAAUAAAAAAGCAGGUUGAAUGCAGAAUAUUGCAUUUCGACCCGUAUUCGACUGAAACCUAUUUAAAUAAAUUAAUAAUCAUAAAAUAUAUAUAUUUAUUAUAAAAUUUGACCCGUAUUCGACUUGACUCGUAUCCGGGAUCCGUUGAGUCUGGAUCUAAAAAAUCAAGUAUAAGACUCGUCGGGAAUGCGGGUCGAAUCCAGAACAUUUAUACUAAAACGGGUCCGGAUUAGGAAUGUUGAAUUUGGUUCAAUACCCAACCCGUUGAAAGGUAUAUUCAAAGGUCAUAUGGUUGUUUUAUUUUCAAAUUUGCAUCACAUAGUCGGCACGUGAGAUUUUUCAAGUAAAAAAUAGUGGCCUAAAAUGGUAAGGUGUAAACUGCAUCGCCUUAAAAUUAAGGAAACAAAUAAGAACAAACACAAAAUGUGAAGUACCGAUUCCUUUUUGCUGUUUUCCCUUUCUUUUUAUAUACCCCUUGAGGAUUCUCUAUCUAGAUUUUGUAAUCUGGUAGUCGAAUGGACUGCCAAAUCAACAUGCACCAUUAAGCUUACCACCAUGCUUCGCAAAAGAGGUAGGGAGGGCCUAGGUCCAAAGUAGCACCACGUCUGCAUAUCUCUGCCAAAGGUGGAAAGAAUCUUCAACUGGACAUACGAAUAAACAAGAAAAUAUGAACUUUGUUCUUAAACGGAGAAUAUUCCUGUCAAUGGGGUGCCUUCCCUCAUCAGGGCAUGUGCUUAUUGAUCAUUACCUUUCAAUCCUUAAACACUACCACGACCAUUCAGUCAGCUGAAACUUAUCCAAUUGUCUCUCUUCCACACAAUGCGGUUUCCAUCAAGAUUCGUUCUCAUCAGAAGGCAUGUAACAUCACACAGAUAUGGUAUGCAGAAAGAUUACGAAAAGGAUAUGCAGAUUGAUAUGGAAUGCAGAAAGAUUAGGUGGAGCGUAUAUUGAGAGACUGUUGCUAUACCAUCGAAUUCGACAGGGUCAGUGCAACCGCACCAUACUAAUUGCCGAGAUGGGCCGGGAGAGCUUUGGUUGAUCUUCGCCGUAAAUUUCAAAUGGACAACCGAGAUCAGUUGCAUUUCAAAUGAACGGUCAAGAUCAAUCUGAGCACUCCUUAGUUCAUCUUGGCCGUUGUCUGUUCUCUACAGUUGCACCUGCAAACGCAGAUGACCUUGAUCCACUUUGACAUGAUCGAAAAGUAUGUCGUUGGGAAGUGCAAGUUUUAUCCCGUCACCUCUCAUUAGCUUUCGGCACUACAGAAAUUUUACUUUUUUUUUUUUUUAUAAAAAGCAAACUUCAUUAAUGAAUUAUUGGAAAUCGCUUAGCACGAUUUGAUUUAUAUUGUUGUUUUAAUGACAGAUUAAAUAUGCACUAAAAUUAACAGAUCAUAUUUGUACUUUAACAGAUAUAACAGAUCUGAAAAAUGUUACAGAUUUGAAAAAUAUAAGAAAAUUUUAAAUUGUCUUUAUAAAUCGUUGUAACUAUAUUUUGUGCAUAUUACAAUUAUCAGAUCUGCUAAUCAAUGAUUUUGAGUUCGAAUAAUGAUGAUGAGGUCUUUCGAAAGGGACCUAAAAUCCAAAAAAAAAAAAAAAAUCAGAUCUGACAACUACAACUGAAAUAAUUUGGAUCCAACAACAAAAGAAGGAAAAAACAUAAAGUGCUCAUUAAGAAUCCUUGAAGAAAUAGAAAAUUCUCACUAAAAACCCCUAAGAGAAAUAGAGAACUUUCACUAAGAAAAUUUAGAAGAGACUGUAUUAAAAAAAUAAUAAAACGAAAUCUAUGGAACAGAGACCAAGCCUCGUUAAAAGAGGAAAAAGAACAGAGAAAAAUUGGAGAAAAUGAGGAGAGGAGAGAGCAUGAGCAGAGUACAUAAACUUUACUUUCGGCGCGCAAGAAUUUACCAUAGUUAAUUAGAAUCAGUUAUCAUUUGUGAAUUUUGAAACCUUUAGUUCGUAUUACAACAGCGUGGGCAGAGCUGAUAAGCAACUGUACAUUUGUACAUCUUCGUUGGACUAGACGAAAACAAAGCAAUAGUAAUUGAAAGAAGAAAACAUUGGGAAAGCUACAAACAUUGCGAUUUUGAAGAUUACGAUAAUUUACAACCACCAAUUACCCUAUUUCCCAUCUCCAAAAAAUUAAAAAAAAUCCUAUACCCUUUCCCUUAAAUUUUAGGUACAUCCACCAUCUAUUUUUUUUUUAAAGCACUCAUAUUUUGAAUAGGUGGUCAGAGAAAAGGAUGGGUUAGAUGGUACAGAGGAAACAAAGUGUAAAUGAGAGAUAUCGGAUUCGAGAGCCUCCUACUUAUAUUUAAAAAAAUUUUAAAAAAAGGCAGUAAAAAUCAAAUUUAGGUACCUAUAUGUGUUGAAAACUCUCAAAAUCUCAAGUGCGUGUGAUGCUACCAGGAUUUAUUGAAAUACAUGUCUUACACUUGGGCAAGUCUAAUCAUAAAAAAGAAAAGAAAAAGUCUAACCAUCAACAUUUAAUAGUAGUAAAUAAACAGAUAAAAUGAAAAAUAAAAUAUUUUCAUUACGGCAUAUUCAUUUGCAACACGAUUACAAUACUGACGGAGUGCUAAUAAUUUUUUAAAAAUAUAUUUAAUUAACGGGUCGAUGAUUUAAUUGGGUCAUUUGUAAAGAUUACAGUAUUGGGAAAAGGAUUAAGUAAGUUAAGAAUCAAUAAAAGAGCCACAAACAUAAUUUUGGUACAUUAAUUUCGCUUGCAACUCAACACGCUUUUAGCGCACACAGAAAAAAGGACGCGUCAACUACCUCAUUAUGGUCUGGCGAUUACCGAGUGAGAGCCCACGUUUUCAAUUUCGGGUUGGUGUCUAGUUUUCUUCCAAAGUCGGUACAUUACAAAGACUUCGGAGCUGCCGGCCGUGACGUCUACCCCUCAAACAGUGAUCCUAAUAUGUGGCCUGUAUGGUAAAUUGACCCCCAAUAUUUUGACCAAAACAAAUUUUAUCCUUAAAAUUUCUAAUUUAAGGCAAAUUUAUGACAACUAAGUGAAUUUUACAAUACCUAACCAUGAAAAUCAAAUUAGAGUUAGACGAAGGACUUUUUAUCCCUAAAGCUGGAAGUUUUUUUUUUUUUUUUUAUCAAUAUGUGGUCUCUUAUAUUUCAAAUAGUUAUAUUCAAUAGUUUCAAAUAAAAUAAAAGGUAAAUUAAAUUAAAUGUAUAACAACUGUGUUCUCAAAUCCUUAAAAAUGCAGCUAAAAGCACUUCACAUUGAUACAACACUAUUCUUCAGCCUAAAGAGUAUCUCUUUGUUAAAUUAUUUACAAAAUAAAAUUUCAUCGUAAUACACAAAAAGAAAAAUUAUUGGAAAGAGCAGAAUCUUAAUUUUGAGAUAUAACUUUAUUCUAAAUAUUAGUACAGAAAUUGGUGCAUGACUUGUGGAUCUAGGUUUCAAUCAGUUAUGAUUAAGAUUCAUGGUUACAUUAACAAGCAAAAGUAAUUACCAACAUGAAGUACUCAUUGGAUUCUCAUAAAAGCUUCAAGUUGUUUUUUCUUGUCUUUCCUUCGCAUUUAAUCAAAUAUUUCACCAAUAAAGUUCAAAGUACUAAUAAUAUGUUCGUGUACAUUUAAAACUGUAUUCAAUAAUUCAAAUAAUUAUACAAAAUACUUGUUUCAUUUGAAAUGUAAUUGAUACCCAAUUGAAAUGCCAAAAAAAAAGAAAAAGAAAAAUUGUAGUUCAAUCAAUUUAAUUUACAUAUAGUUGUUUAUAUUUUAAAGGGAUAUUUAAUUGUCAAUAUAAGCAAAAAAAAAGUUUAUUAAGCUUUCUCUUGAUUUUUAAUAUUAAAAUUUCUAGUAUAUAUCACAUAAUUUCAACCCAAUUGACAUCUAAUUUUAUCCUACAACCCUCAACAUCACUAUUUGAAACUUAAGAGGUAUAAUGAUUCAAAUUCUAAACAUUGGAGACUAAAAGUGUAAAAUCAAACCUAUUGGCUAAUGGAAAUUUGAUUUUUGCCUGGUAAGAAUGGUUGAAUUUCCAUCAAUUAUCCUAAUCCUAAAUCCACCCAAAAUUAGAAUUUUAGGACUAUCUUUAUUUUGGUCGAACCAUUAGAGACCAAUUUGACACAGACUAAAUAUGUUCUCCCUUUCAAAUAUGUUUACUUGAAGCUAGUGUAACAAGUUUCGCAUUAGCGAAGAGAUGAAGGGGAUAACAGAGUGAGUGGUAAAGUCGGUACCCAAGGUUAGAGAUAAUUACUUUGGUAUACAAAAAACUACAGCUAAUGACAAAAUAUUUCCUAUGGGAGCUAUGUUCUGUACAAUAGCCAGCUAUAGAGGUUGAAAAAUGAAAUAAAUGUUAUGAAACAAUUAAAAGUAUGGAUGUCCCUUUGUAUUCCCAAGAGGAUUAAUUCAUGAUUUUAUGGCUACAUUAUGUAUAGAAGUUACAAUCCAUUAAUCUAUACAUGUAGUGGAGAAACCGUUUCAUAGGUUUCUUCAUAUUAUUGUAGUAGUGGAUGUUUAAUAGGAUUUAUGUACCUUUAAUCUUGUAGUACCUAUAUAUAGAGGUACAUUGAUACCCUAUGGAAGGACUUUUGUAUCUUAUUGAAAUAUAAGAAUAUCAUUCUCCCUUUCUCUACCCCUUCUUCAAUUCGUAUUGUAGUAUUUCAUUUUAUUAGUUUUAUAACACGUUAUCAGCACGAAAUCUCUACUUUUGAGCAAAAGGUGAAAACGGGGGCUCUACCUUAAACAAAGGUGAAGUAAAAUAUUUUGUCGAAAUUCUGUUCAUAUUUCUUCAAGAAAAUUCUGAGGUAAAUUUCUAACUCAAAAACUUAUUUCAAUUUCUUAUGGCUAAUAUUUGAAUUAUCGCAAAAUACAAGUAGUACCUACUGUUGAACAACCACUAAACACAAACAUAUAUUGUUUGAUAUCUUUGAGGUAAUAUUUCUCCUUUUAAUUUUACUUAUUUAUCUUUAUAAUUAUUUGUUAUAAAUAAUUAUAUUCUGAUGCAUUGAGUUUUGGAGAUGUUAUUAUAAAAAAUCAAUUAUAUUUGAGGAUCUACUUGUCCUUUGAAAUACUUAAAGAAAAAGAUUCGACCACCUGAAGAUGGUCGUUGUUUAACGAAAAUAUUUGCCACUAGAAGAUGGUCAUUAUUUCAAAAGCCUGGUAUGAUAAAUUUACCUAUGGCUACAAGAACAUAAUUUUGCAAUUUUCAGAAUUACUUCUCAGUUGAAAUUGUGUCGAGAAAAUUUUACCCAUAAGAUAUAUUGAAAAUGAUAUUCUCUACAAUUGAUUUCUCGAACAUGCUCCUAUAGUAGCAAUAUUAAGAGAAAUUUUGAGAAGUAUUUUGUACUUAUUGCAUGCUAAUUCUAGUCCAUUCCUAGAAGUGAAUGCGACUAAAUUUCAAUUUAUUAGUUAUGGUUGUUGCCAUGACUAUGAUUCUGGUAAAUAUAUAUUUUACCAUGACAAGAAAAAAAUUACCACUUAAAGUGGGAUGAUAAUGAUAAGGACAAGAAAAUAAGAAUCCUGAAUAUAAAUGUCCCGAAGUACAUUUGACGAAUCAAAAUUAUAAUCGCAUCUUCACAUGGCCAAUUUCUUUAAACACCCUGAAGGUAUAUGAUGCUUGAUUUAAUUUAUGAUAGUAAUUAGCUUUUCUUCCUGAAGAAGAAAUGAAUGUUAAAUAUUUGGGAUCAAAAAAAUUAUGGUGAUGAUAUUUGUCCCAUAAGAAUUAUGGUGACAAUGAUAUGUGUCUCAUUAAUAAGUGCUACUAUAUACACUAUAUUCCAAUGAGAGAGACAAAUACAAUCAGUUGUAGUGUAUAAGUGAUUGAAAAUUCCAGAAGAGCCACUACUAUAUUUCUCCCUAUAGGAGAAAAGUUUAUCAUGAAUAAAGUACUACUUUUUAUCAUGUCUCGGAAAAUUUAUUGAAUUUGAAUAUCCGUCGAAAUGGAUAUCAAAUUGAGACACUAAAUAAGACAAUAAUAGAGAUCAUGUUUAGAAAUCAAAUGAGAUAAAGGUUAAUUAUAUCAUAAUAACCAUUCGAGAGAGAAAUGGUUAUCGAUAUAGUUGUUUUCAUUCUCAUUUGAUUUAUUAUUUUCACUUGCAGUAAACCAGAAGUUUACUGAUCCCAAUGGAUACAUGAUUUGACGAAAGUGAAAAUAUUUGAGAGCCGACAAAUAUUUAUACAUACUCCUUUAUAUUAUAUAUGACUCCAAAAGAAAUUUAAAUUUUAUAUUGGGUAUGAAUCAGUUUUUACGAUUAAAUAUCGUAAAAUAUUGAUGGAUGAUCUAUUGAAUGAUUUAUUUAUUCUGAUGAACUACGAUUCCCAACAUUAGGGGGAGGAAAAAAUCAACCGAAAGGAAAUCAUCUGAAAAAUUGAAUUUCCUCGAUCCUCAUACAAAAUAAUGUGAACUAGAACUUCAAGAAAUUAUUCAUUUGCAGAAAACUGCAAAUCAAUUGUCAGAUAUACUUAUCGACUCCAGAAGAGUCAUUAAAUCAACUAUUCCUGCAGGAAAUAUCUUGAUUAAAAUUGAUGUCCCUGAAGGACAUGCACAAGUGCUACAUAUAAAUUUAAGGCCGACUUACCUAAAUCAGGUAUAAAUUGAUUUCCAAUAUCUCCGGAGAUUAAAUGUCAUGACAAAAUUCAACCUCUUGAAGAGGUCGCUCCUGAAGAGCCAACUCCUGAAGAGAAUGAAAUCAUAGAAAAUUUAAUUGGAGCCUAAUAAAAUGUAGCACUUGAUAUUAUAGAAGUUGAUGAGGAUCAUGAAUCUAAAUCGGUUGAUGAAUGUCGGUGUAGAAAUAAUUGUUCAAAAUGGAAAGAUGCGAUCCAAUCUGAAUUGGACUCACUGGUUAAAAGAAAAGUUUUUGGACCUGUAGUCCAAACACUUGAAGGUGUAAAAUCAAUAGAAUAUAAAUGGGUAUUUGUGAUAAAGAGAAAUGAGAAAAAGGAAAUUGUGAGGUAUAAAGCAAGACUUGUAGUCCAAGUCUUGUGAAAUGUAUUCACCUAUAGUGGAUGCUAUCACAUUUAGAUAUCUUGUGAGUUUUGCAGUACAUGAAAAAUUAGAUAUGCGUCUAAUCGACGUUGUUACUGCAUAUUUAUAUGAAAAUCUUGAAAAUGAUAUUUAUAUGAGAAUCUCCGAAGGAUUCAACAUGCCUGAAGCAUGCAAAUCAAAUCCUAAAGAUAUUUAUUCUAUUAAAUUACAAAGGUCUUUGUAUGACCUAAAACAAUCUAGACGUAUGUGGUAUAACCGCCUCAAUGAAUGUCUAACUAAAGAAGGUUAUACCAAUGAUCCAAUAUGUCCAUGUGUUUUUAUUAAGAAAAAUGGAUCAAAUUUUGUGAUAAUUGCGGUAUAUGUCGAUGAUCUAAAUUUGAUUGAAACUCUUGAAGAGAUUCAAAAUAGUGUUGAAUAUUUGAAGAAGGAAUUUGAUAUCAAAGAUUUUGAAAAAAUAAAAUUCCUUAAUUUACAAAUUGAAUAUUUGAAGAGUGAAAUUUUUGUCCACCAAACUGCAUAUACCCGGAAGGUAUUAAAGCGAUUUUAUAUAGAUAAGGCACAUAUAUUAAGUACUCCAAUGGUCGUCAGAUCAUUAGAUCCUAAUAAGGAUCCUUUUAGAUCGCAAGAGGAAGAUGAAGAGACACUUGGUCCUGAAGUACCAUAUCUCAGUGUAAUUGAAGAAUAUUGGAAUGCGACGAUUAAAAGAUCUCAAAUGAUGUUUGCAUCAGGGGGAGAAAUUAAUACACAAGAAUAGUGUACUCUUUUUCAUUCACUAGGGUUUUUGUCCCGAUGGGUUUUUCCCUAGUAAGGUUUUAACGAGGCAUAUUCUUUGUGUAAUGGACAUCCAAGGGGGAGUGUUAUGAAACAAUUAAAAGUAUGGAUGUCCCUUUGUAUUCCCAAGAGGAUUAAUUCAUGAUUUUAUGGCUACAUUAUGUAUAGAAGUUACAAUCCAUUAAUCUAUACAUGUAGUGGAGAAACCGUUUCAUAGGUUUCUUCAUAUUAUUGUAGUAGUGGAUGUUUAAUAGGAUUUAUGUACCUUUAAUCUUGUAGUACCUAUAUAUAGAGGUACAUUGAUACCCUAUGGAAGGACUUUUGUAUCUUGAAAUAUAAGAAUAUCAUUCUCCCUUUCUCUACUCCUUCUUCAAUUCCUAUUGUAGUAUUUCAUUUUAUUAGUUUUAUAACAAUAAACAAAUCUUUUUAUGUUUAUUUUUAUAUAGAAAAGGUUUUUAAAUGUUUUCUUUUUUGUUGUAAAAAAAAAGUUCUUUCUUGUUUUUACUAGUACUUGGUUUUCAGUUCCACUAUGACAUCCUUUUUAAAGUUGGUGAUAAUUGUAAACUUCAAGAACCUAAGGGGAAAGCACUAGAGCUCAUGAUGAAUAACUAAUUUCUAAACAAUAAAAAGUAACCAAACUCCAAAAAUUAAAAGAAUGAGUGAUAGCAUUUAAAAAAGCAAAUUUUUACACAGAAUAAAUAAAAAUUCCAUUAUCUAUAUUUUUAAUUUUAUCACACAUAAUUCAUAGUCUUUUGUUGAAGAGAGAGAUUAAGUGCAUCAUCUCUUUUAAUUUUUAAGGUUUGGAAAACUCUUUUAACUUGUAUAAUACAUAGCAAUUCAUGUAAUUACUCUUCAUCAAGCUAAAAAAAAAAUUGGUUUCUCUCUAUAUUGAAAAAUGACAAUUAUGACCUCAAGUGCAAUUCAAUGGGCAAGCUUUUUAUAUUAGCUAUCCUGAUCAGAGUUUUCUUUUGUUAGAGGAAAAAGUGUUUCAAAAAAUAAUAGUAUUUGUGGAAGGAAAAAAAUUCCCACCCUAAUUUGGUAUCAUCCUAUUAAUUAAACAAGAGCACCUUAAAUAUCUGGUGCAAUCUUCUUUUGUUUCACCAUAUGAUAUUCUAAUUAUACCCUUCUUCCAUUUUAAUUGCAAAUCUACUUAUUUUCCCUUUUACUUUUUUUAUUCAAAUUUCUUUGAAACAACUUUAGGGCCUGUUUGGAACCUGAGUUUUUUGGGAGUUUGUCUAAAACUUUACUGUAGUGCACUGUAGAAGUUUUUGAAAAAAUUUUGUAGAAGUUUUUGUAAGGUGAAAAACUUUUUUGUAGAAGUUUUUGAAAUGUUACUGUAGACAUUUUUUGGAUUAUUUUUAGAGGUAUUUUUAAAACAUAUUUUUGAGUAUUUUAUAAUUUAUAAUUUAUAAUUUAUAAUUUUUAUAUUUUUAAACAUUUAUGCAUUUAUAAUACAUUUAUAAAUAUUUAGAAAUAAAUAUAUUUAUAUAUUUAUAUAAAAAUAUAUAAAUGUAUUAUAUUAUAUAUAAUACGUAAUAUACAUAUAUUUAUAAAUGUAUAAAUGUAUAAAUAUAUAAUUAAUAUAAAUGUAUAAAUUAUAAAUGAAUAUUAUAUAAAUAUAUAAAUUACAAUUUAUAAAUGUAUAUGAUGAUUAUGUAUAAAUGUAUUAAUAUAAUUAAUAUAAAUGUAUAAAUGUAUUAAUAUUAUGUAUAAAUGUAUAAUUAAUAUUGUUUAUAAUUUAUAAUUUUUAUUGUUUAAAUAUUUAUAUGCAUUUAUGCAUUUAUAAUACAUUUAAAAAUAUUUAUAAAUAAAUAUAUUUAUAUAUUAUAUAAAAAUAUAUAAAUGUAUUAUAUUAUAUAUAAUACAUAAUAUACUUAUACUUAUAAAUGUAUAAAUGUAUAAUUAAUAUAAAUGUAUAUAUUAUAAAUAAAUAUUAUAUAAAUGUAUAAAUUAUAAUUUAUAAAUAUAUAUGAUGAUUAUGUAUAACUGUAUUAAUAUAAUUAAUAUAAAUGUAUAAAUGUAUAAUUUAUAUUAUUUAUAAUUUAUAAUUUUUAUUGUUUAAAUAUUUAUAUAUAUUUAUGCAUUUAUAAUACAUUUAUAAAUAAAUAUAUUUAUAUAGGUAUAUAAAAAUAUAUAAAUGUAUUAUAUUAUAUAUAAUACAUAAUAUAAAUAUAUUUACAAAUGUAAUAAUUGUAUAUUAUUAUAAAUGAAUAUUAUAUAAAUAUAUAAAUAUAUAAUAUUAUGUAUAAAUGUAUUAAUAUAAUUAAUAUAAAUGUAUAAAUGUAUUAGUAUUAUGUAUAAAUAUAUAAUUAAUAUUGUGUGUUAAUAUUAUGUAUAAAUGUAUUAUAUUAUACAUAAUACAUAAUAUAAUUGUAUAUAAAUAUACAUAAAUAUAUAUACAUAAAUGUGUAAUAUAUAUAAUAUGUAUUAUAUAUAUUAAAUAUAUAAUAUAUAAUAUUUAUAUAAAUGUAUAAUUACAUAUUUCUAUUAAUAUUAAUUUAUAUGGUAUAUUAUAUUUAUAUAAAUAUAUAAAAAUAUAUUUUAAAUAAAAUAAAAUAUUUAUAAUAUUUUAAAUAAAUAUAUAAAUAUAUAAUAUUAUAAAUAUAUAAUAUAUAUAAUAAAUUUUUGAGGGUGAGGGACUCAAAAAUUCAAAAUUUUUUUUUGAGGUUACCGGCGGCGCCGGAAUAAGUGACCGGCGCCGGGAGAGGUGGUGGAGGCGGUGUUUGGUGUGAUGGGUUGGGUGAGGGAGGAAGAAAAGUUUUUGAGAAAUUUUUUGUGUAUAGAUUUUUGAAGUGUAUAGGUAAAAAACUUUGAAAAGUUUUUUGGGAUUCCUGUAGCAAAAGUUGUUAAAAAACUAGUAGCUAAAAAACUUGGUAAAAAACUAGGGUGCCAAACAGGCCCUUAAUACUAUAGAGAAGUUUCCUUGACAAUGAAGCAAUGCGCACAUAUAGAGUUUGGAAAAUAAUAUCCUACUUUACCCUCAAAAGUAUGAUAAUAACAAUGAAAAACAAGCUAAACGCAUCCAAACAACAUUAAUUAUGGGAGAAAAUCUUAAGCAGAAACAGACAGGCACCUAAAAUAUAAUAUCCCAACCAUGGUGGCAGGAAUGUUUUAAAGACAACAUGUGUGAUUUAUGAAUGUAAAAGGAAUCGAAGUCGUGUCAGAGUAAAGAGUUUUCUAAAAUUUCUUAGGAGAAGGAUAUUAUAUACAACGUGAAUUUUCAACGUACAACAGUAAUCACGAGCUGUAAAGCCUAAAGUGCUAUUUCUUUGUAAGGCUAAUAAUUUCCAUAAGGAUUUUGUAGUUUAUUCAAGUGAAUUUAUAUUUUUCCAGUAAACAUGAAAGCACGUGCCCAACUAAUAACAACAAUGUUUGUCUAACGAUGCAUUUGUUAAAAUUGAAGUUCGAAAACUGAAAUAUGAAAUCUGAAUUUUGAAUCUAUUAAAUUAUUGAAUUGUUAAGUAUUAAAUCAAAUACAUUUGAGUAUAUAUCACAUUCAGUGAUAAGUAAAUAGCUUAUCACUUAUUUUUAGGAGCAAACUUUGCCGAAAAAAUUCAGUGGCACUUAAUUAAUUCAAUUGUUUUAUUUUUGGUCAUCAAAAGAAUUUGAAUAUAUUAAGAUCUAAAUACAUUAAGUGCUGAAUUGCGUUAUCAAACAUGGCCUAACACUUGUUCAACUACCUUAAUUUGAUCGAUAGUGGACCAUAUUCAUUUGUAUUAUGUCCACUGAAAGACUUAAUAUAUAUUAUGUCCAUCUCUGCAGAUCACAACAACAAAAUAUAUCAUGUGCUGCAAGAAUCACGUUCAGUGUUUCCUAAUUUUUCUGACUGAUAAAAGCCUUUAACAAAUUUAAGAGCCAAUUGAAUGGCCCCAACAAAAUUGGGUCAAUUCCAAUUUGCAUCAAUGUCAACUCCACAACCUCCUACUUUUUGUAGUCUAUUCGUAGCAAAUCUUAUCCUUCCAUCCCUAAUAGAUUUGAACAAUGUUGAUCCAAUUUUUUGUGUUUUCAUUUUUAGUGUAAUUGAUCGUCUAUAUGUAAACUGAGAUUCUUAAUCUCUUGUACAAACUUACUUCCAUCUCCAAUAGAUUUGAACAAUGUUGAUAGAGUUUUUUCUGUUUUCAUUUUUAAUGUAAUUGAUCUUCUAUAUGUAAUCUGAGAUUCUUAAUCUCUUGUACAAACUUACUUGUUCAUAUCAAUGAAAGCUAUCAUUUUUGCCUAAAAAAUGUAAUUGAUCGUCUGUGCUUUGAACCAAGGUUCAUUGAUCAUGUAAUUCGAUUUCAACACAUUAGGCACACUAAAUUUAUUAACAAAGUGCUGCAAUUUGUCUAUACAUAACAUUAAUUCAGCAUACGCAGACUAUGAAAGAAUAAUGCAUGUUUAAGAAGCUUAGCAAAACCACAAACAUUAAAAACAAAGGAAAUUUUUUGCCUAUCAUGGUUUGACGAAAAUCUAGAUGCAUGCAAAGUUUUAAAUAUAUCGAUGCAUGAAAAUAAUUUCAGAUAUGGUAUUAGAAGCGGGACUUGGAAGAGGAACAAUUAUCAGUAUAAUUGUUUGUAGGCAAUAUAAUACAAUUUGAACAAGUUGUAACUCAUGGUUAACUACUUUGAAUAAAUUUACAAUAACUGCAUUAUAUUCAGUAACUAUACAAAUAGAUCUUAUACAUAAUAAUCGCGUUCCUAUUGUAAGGUUUUACAAAAUAAUUAAGUGUGGAUUAUAACCUGUUGGCAACAUCCUUUAGGAAUAAUUAUCAACUGCCCCUUUUCCAUUAGAAGAGAUUCCAGACAUGUCUGAAAUUCAAGACUUCCUAUAUGCAUGCUAAAGGAAAGAGGAAUAUCUCUUAUGUUUUUUUUUUAUCAAAUGAAGCCAUACAGGGGUAUUCUCAUUGGAUGUUCAUAUACGUGUUAAUUACCUAGUAAUUCUGGUGAUCAGAAGUAGGGUAACGGCUUUGAAUGCAUGAAAAUAAGGUGUCGUCCGGACUAUCAACAAAUGCUUAGGGUUAUUUGCACGGCAAAUAGAAGUCGGGAAAGAGAUGAAAAAUUUGAACUCAAACUAUUUAUGUUUAUUACUUGUCGAGGACUAUUAAUAUUUUGGGAGGUGAUUGGCAGUCUGGGGACAUUCUAUUUUGUUACCAAACAAACAAAUAAUUUGUUACCAAACAAACAAAAUAUUAUAACUUGUCUAACUAUGAUGCCUUGGCAUGCUUUGUACUUCAUUUCUUGACCGACUUUGAAAUUAGAAUUUUGCCUUUUUUAGGUUUUCUGACCCAGCCUCUUCUGUCAGUGUCUCCUUUCUUCUAUCACGAAUUUGAGCCUCACAAGUCAUUGAUAAUGAAGAUAUAUUUGUUGCGUAUAAUCUUCAAGAAAUCCAUGUGAUAGAUUAGGUCUAUGUUCCUUGACCACCCUAUACAGAAUAUAGUAUUUAUUUGUUGAAAGUUACAUCAGUGGUGCUUAACCUUUUUCUUAAUUCUUCUUUACCCUAUACAGAAUAUAUAUUGCUUUCACUUAUGGAAGUGGUGGCCUAAUCUAGAAGUUUUUUUGUAUAAAAUUCUUUGGCUUCUAGUUUAAAGUAGAAAAUCAAUGUGCAUUACGGUGUGAACGCGAAUGUGAUUUUUCCAAAGAAAUCUAGCUUUCUUAGUGAAAUAAUUACAUGAAUGAUUCCUCAAAAUUGUAAAUUACGUGUUUUAGAUCCCUCAAAAUUGUAAAUGACCUGUUUUAGUCCCUCAUAAUUAAAAUCAUGUAUUUUGAUCCCCAACAUAAUUAGACAAAAAUUUUAAAAAAUUUGUUGUCAAUUCCCAUUACCAGCAAAAAAUUUUCAUGAAAAUGAACACCUAGAGCUAUGCAUUAAUAAGAUGAGCAUGUGUUCUUCAAAUGUUCCUUUCGAAAAGUUAGUGAAAUCGAAGUUGGAAGGAACAUGUUAUUUAGACAUGCCUUAUACUUUCUUUUUAAUUUUAUUUUAAAGAAAAAGUGGAGUAUUUUCAAUUUUCCUUAUCAAUUUUUGCAAAUGAAUGUGAUAUGACCACCUUAGAUAUUUAGAAAUAAAAACAAAAAAUGUGGUGAGGAAGAAAUUUGGGACAAAAUAUUAUACAAUCCAUAUCUUGGGACCAAAAUGCAUAAUUUUUGUGUACGGUAUAUACCCAAAGAAUGAUAUACAAAUGUAGUGAACCAUCUUUCCAAUUCUUCCAUUAAAUACAGAAUAUGCAGACAAUUCCUUUCAUGAAUUCAAACCUUGGACCACCAUCCAACCAUUUGUUGUUGGGAAAAUCUGAAUUUGUAAUGAUUCUGAUAACUAAUCAGAGUUCUCUAAGUAAAGGAUGUGUAAUUAUGACACAUGCACUAACAACAACACGGGAAAAGAAAACAACAACACUAGUGCUGUCUUCUUUCUGAGCACCUGGAAGUACAGUUGCCUGAGAUUGACAAACCAGCUGGUUAUUGACAAUGGAAUACUUUCGAUGACAAUUCAAUGAAAAUAAGCAAAAGAUCUUAGACACUGUUUUUUUUCCUUUUUUUUGGAUUUUGGCACAAAUCGGGUAUAUGGAAGUUCACAUGUUAAUAAAAUAUGGCUAUUAAUUGCUUGUCAAACGAAGCAGAGUAAUUUUCGAAUUUUUAUUCAAUCUUUUUGCGAAAGUUAGAACUCAAAUGCUUUAGAUGAAUGAAUUGCAAAUAUUGGUGUAUAUAUAUAUAUAUGUCUUAUGUAGUAUAUUUCUCGUUCGGUUAAUAAUUAAAAAUGCUCAAAAGUAAAUUCUUAAAGCAUUAAUCAGUCCAAAAUCUAUGUUUUCAGAACCGGACCGGAUAGCGACUCGGCCAAGGUCAGGGGUCAGGGGUCAAUGGGUUCGACCGGGGGUCGAUAGGGGUCGAACCGGAUGACGUCAUAAAUAAAAAUUAUUUAAAAAUUAAAAUAUUAUAUAUAUCAUAUCUAAUAAUAUAUUGAUAUUAAUAAAGGUAUAUUCAUACAUAUUUGAUGUUUCAAAUAUAUUUAACAAGAAAAUACAAAGAAAUUAGAACAAUCAAGUAGCAAUUUAUAUUAUUUAAUAAAUAUUAACAAGUUUAGAAUUAAAAUUAUGAAUUUAAUUGAAAAAUAACAUCAAAUUGUAGGACAAUAUUUAUAAAGUAUCAAAUAUUUGAGGUAUACGAAUAAGUUUUAACAAUUUAGGGGGCCAAAACAUAAUAUUAUAAAGUUUGAAUUUUUUUUUUUAAAAAUUACUGUUGAACCGGAAAAACCGGGGUUUUCCCGGUCAAACCCGGUCAAACCCGGUCAAACCCGGAUUUUGACCGGCUUUGACCGAGUUUUAAAAUUUCCGGUUUUCUAAGUUGACUCGGACCGGCUACCUGGCCGGUUCCCGGUUCGACCGGUCGACCGGCCGGUCCGGUCCGAGUUUGAAAACAGAGUCCAAAAUAUACUAUCACCAUGAUUGCAAAAGUCAAAAUCAAGGUGAGCAAUGUUAAAGAAAUUCCACUCAAGUGUGAUAAAUGACAAAUGUAAACAAGUCUUCAUUGCCGGCAAGGAUCUGCUGCACAACUUGUGGUGGCAGUACUUUUCAUACUAGAAAAUAUUUUCUACCCAAAAAAUAAAAAAAGUGAUGUGUCCCUAUAAUUUGGACCAAACUCCAAAAGCAGAAAAAAGCUUAGUGAAUGAGAUAUUUCACAAAUGUGUCGUUACAAAGAAGGAGAAGAAGUGGGGAAAAGGGCACAAAAAAUUGGUAACCAAUACCUGCCUAGCAUUAGCAAUGUAAAUUGAGACGCAAGCUAGCAGAUGGACGUAGCAUCAUAAUCAUUAGAUGAUGAGCCGUAGGACAUGUAAACUAGUCGUCUGAUGGAUCCCUGAAUUUUCCUUGGUCCAAUUCCAUCUGAUACCCAAAUGGUGCUUUGGGAUUUGAGGAUGGAUAAUUUGGGCAUCAUAGUUUAGCUUUGGAAUGUCAUUGGCCUGAUGCAGAUAGUCAGACAGGAAACUUUACGUUUUUGACAUAUUUGAUCUAUGAGAUUUCUUGAUUGGCUAACUUUUUGACGUUUUCUUGUUUGCUUGUACUCACUUUUUAGUGGUGUAUAUGUUCACUAUUUACGUUUUUGGCACAUUUUGAUCUAUGUGAUUUGCUUGAUUGUGUAACCAUUUGACGUCUGCUUGUUUGCUUGUACUUAUGAUUUAUGGUGCAGGUUCACUACUUGCUGGUGUGGUGAAUGUUACAUGUCUCGGUGUCCCGAUUGACUGAAUCAACUCACUAAUGACUUAACCUGUUUGAAAUGACCAAAGCAAUUUAGUAUUUGAACAUAGGCUAAUUCUAGACGUUUUGGAGAUCUUGGUUGCUAAUCGUUCAUAGGAAAAUGCUGUGCAGCUCAAAAAGUGGAUGUUAGAGAAGUUAAAAUGAAUCACGUAAAGCAAUAAGUGUCCUUCUUAUUGAUAUUCAAUUCAACUUUCUGAGGGUCGCUCUUUGUACUGUAUAAUUUUCUGUCGUUUAUAAAGAACUUGAAGGGAUAGGAAUUCGGAAAAUCUAUGAGGGCUCUCAUAAUUACAUCUUUAGAUGAUAGAUGUCACACUUCAGAAAUACAAAGAAACACUGAACACAUAUUACACAUUAUGUGAAGGAUUAAUCUUGUAUACACUGAUAGUGUAUAUACUAUCAUCAUUGAAUGCAUAAUAAUUAAUUUAAAUUUAAAUUUUAUAUACGUGUCAUAUAUUUUAUUAUGAUAGUAUAUAUAGUGUCAGUAUAUAUAAAAUUAAUUCUUAUGUGAAACCCCAUCUAAAUUGUCUUAGCCCUAGACCAGGCAGUACUAGAGAUGUAAUCGAGUCGAGUCGAGCUUGAGUAUCAUCACACUUGAGCUCGACUUCACCUGCAGGAAGGAUACUCGACCUCGAGAUCGAGUUCGAUACAUUGUUCAUAGAACUUGAGUUCAACUUGCAUGGGUUCAAGUCAAAGCAAGUCUUAUCGAGUUCGAUCAAGAAGAUUUCGAAAUUUCAUUUUUUUUUUUACAAUUUUUAAGCUAAAAAAAUUAUCACCAUUCAAAAAAUUUCAUACAACCUAAACAUUUAGUAAAUUCAAUAACUCUCAUGAGUACAAGGGUAAUUUCAUAAUAAUAAUAUAUUAAAAAAUUAAAAUUAAAAAACAUGAUAAGACUUGAUGAGCUUUCGAGUCUUGCUACUAGACAAUCGAACUCGACUCGUUAUGGUCUAUUGAUUUAUUCGAAUUCAACUCAAAAUCGAUCAACCCGAGUUCGAGUCAAAUUUUUGACCGAACUGCUCGCGAGCAGCUCAGUGCAAUUACAACCCUAGCGAUACUACUCGAUUAGCAUUCGCAUGUCUGGACUGCGGCCAUGUGGUAUAACAAUUACGUGAAUCAAACUUCAAGUACAUGUUCAAUGAGAAAUCUAACAAGAUCAGAUAUUUCUAGCAAUGCAAAACUAUAAGCUGAGAUUAAUUUUGACUAUUUUGAGCUAUCUAACAAGUCUCCUCUUUACUCUGCAGUCCAAAAAGUGGUUGUUAGAGAAGAUUAAAUGAAUUAUAUAAGAAACAUGUUUCCUCUUUCUUGUGAUUCAUUUUUAACUUUUCGAAAGUCAACUGUUUAUACUGCAAAAACUUCGUCCACAAACAAUUUGAACGGACAAGAACUUGGAAUCUAAAGGCAUCUGACAAUAAGUCUUUCUGAUCACAGAUGUCACAUGUCAAAAAAAAACAAGGAAAAAAGAAAAGAAAAGAAAAGAUGAAACACAUUUUACACCUUGGCUCUCCUUGACUAUACAAUAAUGUUCAUUCUUCUAAUGGUAAUACUUGUGAAACCCCUUGCAAGAUUAGCAUGUGCAUGUCUCAACAGUGGCAAUGUGGUGUAACAAUUAUGUCUAGCAAACUUCAGUUACAUGUCCAAUGAGAAAGCUAACAAGAACGCAUAUUUUUAGCCAUGCAAAACUAUAGGCUGAGAUUAAUUUUGACCAUAUUUAGCUUUAUGAAUAAAUUCAUCCUGAACUUGAAAACCACAUAAUAUUACUAAUGACCUAUGAACUUUUUUCCCUUUUUUUUGUCUUUUUUUUCCUCUAAGUGCAAAUUAGGAGGAAUGUAUUAAAGCUUGAAACUAGUUAGGUACAAGAGGUGGGAAACUAGCUCUUGAGGGAUGUAACUAUAUACACGUAGCUAAGUUAAGCAAUCUGCAGGUUGAUUUCUUUGGCUAGCUAGCUUAUGUUGUGGUCCAAUUUUCUCUUUCACCAUAAAAUAGAAAAAGAAAGGGAGGGUUCUAGGGGACGUAAGAAUCCAUUAUACCAUAAAGAAAGAAUCUAAAUAUAUCAUGAAAUCACAAUAAAUAUGUGUGGCCUAUUUAUCAUUGCAAUGACUAUAACAUCGAAAAUGGCUGUUGAGUGUUGUCUCAAUCGUGGAGAACUUGGACUUGGCCAUCUACACGCAUGGGAUUGGACAAUUAGUGGUUGAAAUUGCUCCAAUUUAAGAGUUAACUUCAGCAAUAAAUUUUGUGUACUAUUCAAAUUCCUCCUAUCAAUAAAAAUAAUUCUCUACUCAUUAUUGAAAAGGAGUGGUGUGUGAAAACGAGAAUUGUAUAUAUGUUUCACUAUUCGUGUUAAUGUCGACUAAUUGAAAUUGACAAUUAUUUUAAAUCUCAUCUCCUUUGACAAGUUGAUAAUGACAAUGACCUUUUGCUUUUUGAUCUUUUCUUUAAGGGCCCUAGUUUUUUGGGGCUUAAUUAAACAGUGACAAUUUUCUCAUUUCAUAUUUUAUUUUAAGUACAUAUACGAGUUUGAGAAUAUGAUGAUACAUGUGCUGAGAGUUUCUAAAAUUAGAUAGAUGUUGAACUAAUUAAUUUCCUUGGUGAUUGAUUUAAAAUUUAAUUAAUUGUCGAAUAAACAUUUAAAUAAAGAAACAAAAACCUUGAUUUUGCUAGGCGAUUAAGUAGAUAGGUGUUUCUCUUUUUCUUUUUCUUUUUUUCUCUUUUACUUGAUAUCAUCUUACUUCCACGUUACAAAUUUUCAGCUCUUUCUUUUGCUGAGAAUUAACUCCACAAGAAAUUUAAUUGCCCCCAUAAUGAACUUUAGAAAAAUAUCUUCAUUGACAUCUUUGAGCGUGUUUUAAUUUUACUUGUAGCGAGGUACUUGUUGGACUUUUCAUAUAAAUUGCUUGAUUUUGCAACUCAGAUUCAACUAUUAAAACCUUAUUUGAUAACCCAAUUCAGCAGUAAACCUAAUGAGUUCAGAUCUUUACAUGUUUAGAUACAUUUGAUAACCUAAAACAUCUAAAUUAAUUAAGUGGAAUUGAAUUUUUAAAUAAAACUUACUCUAAAAAAUAAGUGAUAAACUAUUCAUUUAUCACUUAAAAUAAUAUACACUAAAUUAUAUUAGAUUUAGUACUUAACAGUUCAGUAGCUUAACCGAUUCAGAAUUCGAAUUUUAGAUUUCAGUUUUCAAACUUUAAUUUUAUCAAACACAUGCACCCUAAAUCUUGUCAAUUGGCCUGCUAAAAUGAUUUUGAAAUAUACAUGAUUUAAAAUCUAAUUAUACUUUAACAAGUUCAUGUGAUACAAUAUCAAUGAUCAACAAGUGAUGGGGGGCAACUGUUAGAAUUAUUCUUUUUCUGAGCAAGAAUGUGUUCUAUUACUAGUGUUUAUGAAAACCAUCAAUGCUUACCUUGACAAAUUAUUGAUUUGCACUAUCACAAAACACAUGCAUUAUUCUGUCGUUUAACCUAUUAUUGUCUUGCAUGCGCUAAGAGUUUCUAAAAUCAGAUAGGUGUUGAACUCAUUAAUUUCCGUGGUGAUGUAUUAAAAUUCAAUUAAUUGUCAAUAGAAAAAUAUACUCAAAGUACCAAAUAGGUUGAUUUUUCUAGGAGAUUAAUUAUAAGCACUUUUUGUUAUUAAAAAAAAAACUCUAAUGUAAUAAAGAACAAUGCACUUAGGCAGUACAAAGAAGUAGUUGAUGUUUCUUUGAAAGGAAUUAUGUAGAUGUGAAACACUUAUUUCACCUUUUGAUUAUUCUACAAGGUAAAGAUCAAUUUGUACUACGUAGUAGUCUAAUUGGCUAGUUUUGAUGAAAGAUAAAGUCAUUUUUCUUUAUGAUUGUUCUUGUACUAUAUUAAGAAAUGCUUUUUCGGAGAUGAUAAUUUCAAAACAUCUCUCUCUCUAUCUCUCUUCUACCUGAUAUCAUUUUACUUACACAUUACAAAUUUUCAGCUCAUUCUUUUGCUAAGAAUUACCUCCACAAGAAAUCUAAUUGCCCCAAUAAUGAACUUUAGCAAGAUACCUUGUAUGACGUCUUUCGCUUGUUUUAUUUUUAGUGGUAGCGGGGUGCUUGUCGGGCUGCUCAUAUAAAGAUUUUGCAACUUCAAGGUUCAGCUGCAAAAUCUUGUCAAUUGGCCCACUAAUAUCAAGAUGAUUUAAAAUCGAAUUAUACUUUUUUUUUUUUUAAAGAUUUCUCACUUAUCCUCCUUGAUAACUCGAACCUUAAACUCGUGAUCUAUCAGUUACAAAUAAAACGUCUUACCAACUAGGCUGCGUUUCAUUGUCGAUCUAAUUGCACUUUAACAAGUGCAUGUAAUACAGUAUCAAUAUCAACAAUCAUCAAGUAAAAGGGGGGGGGGGUAUAUCCUAUAAUUUUUUUUGAGUAAAAAUGUGUUCUUUUACUGGCGUUUUAUAAAAACCAUCAAUGUGUACCUUGAAUUAUUUAUUGAUUUGCAUCAUCACUAAACACAUAACCUAUUAUUGUCUUACAUAUUAGUAUAUUUUUUGGGGGUCAAACAUCUUACAGAUUAAUUAGUUUAGGAAAUUUUUUCAAAAUUUUUUAAUUUUUUGUGUGUGUUCAAAGAGGUAAAGCAUGAGAACCUCCAUAACACAAGAAUGAAUAUUUUCAUCUUGGUUGUUUUUAGGGCCUCUUUCCCCUAAAACCUUUCUGGCAUGUGUGAUGGGCAAAGUAAAUUCUCAAUGCUUGGGCACGUAGUUUCCUAUUGCCACGUCCUUACUGGGCUACAACAUCAAGAAAUUGUCAGCCCAUUAUUUGGAAUCUGAACAAUUCUAGAUCUUUGAUGGGCUUCAAAGAAAAUUGUGCUUAUGGAUUAGGAAUUUCACCAAAUGAAUAGCAAUAUACUCUAUAUGAAUAGCAAUAUACUCUAUAAACACGAAAUUGGGCUAUAAAGAUUGGGUUAAUUUCACUUGAAUGUCCUUGAAUUCUUGCUUUGGUUCUAAAUUGGAGAGUGAGAUACUUUAGUCUUCAAAGUAUAAAGUCUAUUUCCCUUUAUUCUUUAAAAUAUAAAAUUUAUUUCACAUAGGUUCCAAAAGUAUAAAAUCUAUUUCACUUUAAUCUCUAAAAUAUAAAAUUUGUCAUGCAUAAGUAUGAAUUUGUCCCACCUCGAUCAAUGAUUUUACUUAAGCGAGACAAUUUUUAUAUUCUAUGGAGUAAAGUGUUCCAUUUCAAAGUUUAGAGAUUAAAGAAUAAACCCGAUAAACAUAUCAACAGAGUUCUCAACUACAAAAUGAAUACGUUUAACAUUUAUUUUAACAUGUUUUCUAUAUAGAUAAUAGACCUCUUGAAAUGUAUAACCAAGAAAAAAACAAUAAAUAGUCUUGCAAUGAAAAUUAACAUUACCAUAUGGGCACAGGACAAUACAAGAUGCUGGAGGUGGCCACUGAUUAGCUGCCAAAGAAUCAAACUGGAGGAGAGGUGAAUAGUUCACUCUUGGCCAACUCAUACUGAAAUGACUGAAAAUUUAUUAGUCUGUCUUCAAAACUAAAUUAAUUUGACAAGGCUGCCAUUUUUUCUGAACACUGUAAUCUAAAACCCUUCAUCUCAUACUUUUUUCUUCCUCGACUAUCCAUGCUUUUUGUUCCAUACUAGUGGCAAAUAAAGAUUGGUGAAGUGUGAUUUCCAAUUUGAAAUGAUUUUUGCAGUUGCUGCACUAUAUAUUUUACUAACAACAUUUUAUUACUUUGGUCAAGCUUAAAAGACAUUUUCUUUUGAUUUUCUCUCUAAUGAAUAAAAUUUACUAAUCUCCUGCAGGCCAAAGUGAUAAAACUAAAAUCAACAGUGACAGUCUCAACUGACAUCCAUUUUCCCCAUGUCAAAAUUUCAACAAAAUUUGUAGAAAGGACCAUAUGGCAAUUCAGGGGUCAUGCUAAUUAAACAUUCCCAACGUUAUCAAAAUUAGCUAAAAUACUCUUACGUGUACUGUACUGCAUGGUCAACAUUCAAGAACCAGAUAAUUGCCAAAGUAGUCCUAACAAAUUCAUAAGUUGUGAUCUUAGCCACCAAUAUUCAGAUUGCAUCAACUUAGGCAUUAACAUUUCAAACAUGUACCAUUUAUGAUUGUCCUAGCUUCAUAUCCAAUCAUUUUUUUUUGAAAAAAUAAAAUUCACUAAAGAACUUUUAACUCCCGUGCUUACCUCUUCAAGAGAAGAAAAUAGUAAAAGUUAACUUAUAUAGUUCCUUGAAAAUAUGAGCAUGUAUAACAAUGGUUUGCAACUAUGUCAUUGAAGUGCUUUAGCCUAUUUUUAGUACUAAACCACAUUUUUUUUUUCAGAUGGCAUGCCCUUAAGGAGAUAUAUCUUCUAGCAGUUACUAGUGCAACUAUGAAAAUAAAACAAAAUAAAAUUUGACAAGCUAAAUUGAACUAAGGAAAAUUUAUUUCCUACUUUUUUUCUCCUUUUGGAAUAGAUUCAAAUUGUGCUACGCUAAUAACUGUCGAGUCUAAAAUUGAAAAUAAUACUAAAUAGCUGAAGUCAUGAGCCAAUUAUUGGGCAAAUUUUAACAAUUAGAUAGCUCCCUUCCCGAAAUUCAAUGGAACUACUAACCAUAUAGCAUAAUCAACCAUUAACAUCUUUACUUUUUGAUAAUUAAGCCACUCACCUUCACAAUAAGACAAUUAGCCUUUCACAUUUUAAACAUUGCAUUUUAGAACGAGUGAAUGGCCCAAAAGAUCACUAAACUAUUAAAAAUGGCACCCUUUAAUCACCAAACUUUUUUUGUGGCCGAAAAGGUCACUAAACUCGCAAAAACUCUCCAGCGGAGCCAUUUUACCGAAUUUCAGCGGUUUCUCAUCCGGUGGCAUGGGUAACGUGGAAUGGAGGAAUAUAGUCAAGGGGCAAAAAUGUCUGAAAGGUUAUUGAAAUAGGUGAAGCCAUAGAUUGUCUCAUUCCCAAACCACUUUUGAACCCAUAUAUUGACUUCGUCUUCUCCGGCGGUAAAAAUAGAGACUGUAAUUUAAAAUGAGAAACAGGGAAUGAUUAAAGGUGGUGGCAAUAAUUUAAGAGUAUUAUCGUUGAGCAUGAAGAGAGGGGGAUGGGGAUGAGGACAGGAAGUGAAUCAGUAAAAUCUGCUGCUUUGAAAUCAAAUUGAGAUUUCUCGUAUUUUAAGAGCUUGACUGAAGCUAUUGGAAGUGACUCAGGCUAUACUCCAAAGUUGUCUGGGCUGGGUGCCUCAGCCCAAUAGUUCGCUAGGGCGGUGCUCAGAUCAACACAAAUAAAAGAAGAAAACCCGUAUGCCGUGUAACUGGCUCGCUGACUAGCAGAAGGCUUUAUUCCUUUUCUUUUCUCGAAGAAUGGGAUAGCACAGCACUCCCUUCAACGGCUGCCCUCGGCAACCCACUGGUGACGGAUGGGAGCACACGGCUGCGGAAAUACAAAAAAAAAGUAUCAUUCUGUUCUUUUCUUUUUCUGUAAAAGAAAAAAACAUUUUUCUGGGUAAACAUUUUUUUUUUUUUGGCUGGGUGUAGUCAUUGGAACUGCCAAGACUCUUUCCAACUCAGCUAGGUGGCUGGCGAAGGAAAUCGAAGACUGAGCAAAUAAUGGGUAUGGCUCGAGAGACCAAUUUGAGAAAGCAGUGAUGAAACCUAUGGGCUCAAAGGGUCAUCGUCGUCGGAGUUGGAUGUUGGGUCGGGGUUAGUGGUGGGGCGGAUAGGGAUAGUAGGGAGGUCGGAAGUGACGAGACAGAGAGGAGAGUGAAUCUCGGUCACAACCAGUAAACUUCUACGCUGGGUCAAAUUGAAAAGUGAAGUGUUCCCAACUAGUAAACUUCACCGGAGAAGAUGAAGUGAAUGUCGAUCGAUUGGUCAACUUUGAGAAUGAAACAAUCUGUGAGUUCACUUGCCCCAAUAAUUUUUUGGACAUUUUUGUCCAUAUCAGAAUAUUUAUUCAACUCAAGACCCUUGUAACCGGAUGAUUCACCGCUAAAAUUCGGUAAAAUGACUUUGCUGGUGCGUUUACGUGAGUUUAGUGACUUUUUUUGCUACAAAAAAAGUUUGAUGACCAAAGGGUGCCAUUUUAAAUAGUUAAGUGACCAUUUCGACCAUUCACUCUUUUAGAACCAAACACCGUUUCCAGUUUGGUUGUCCAAUGAAAAGUGUAUGAAUACAUAAUAUGAUUGACAUUCUAGUCAGAAAAGUGGCAAAAAGGUAGGUUUUUUCAUCAUAGCUAGAUUUGGCGUAAAUAAAUAAUGAUCUUGUGUGGAGUAAUUUCUUUUUCCCAACAAACUAUUAGUCACCAAAAAUUUAGGAGGCUGGAAAUGGAUCUUACGUUUGAAAUGUAAGGAUCCAAUGUUGUGAAGUUGUGACUGUCACUGUUGAUCAUAAUUUGGCAAUUCAGGGGCGGUCAUGUAAUUUAGCAGCCAAGGUGGGGUUUCAAAUGUCCAUGACGUGCAUGGUAGAGCUAUUUGACCCUAUUUCAUCUUGACUCCUUCAAUCGUUGAUCAUAAUUUGACUAUGAACGCUUUUAAAAGUGGGAUGAUAUCACAGUUACUAAACUUUCUGAUGUGUAGAAGCAAAAGUUUUCCACAAAAAAAAAAAAUAAAUAAAUAAAACCUGUAGUGCCCUCCUUCAACAAUCAGAUUACCAGGAAUCUACAAUACUCUUAAACCUCUAAUUUUUUUUCUCCUCCCUUUUCCAAACUCUCCCAUUUCUUAAUCCCCUUUUCCCUUUGCCUUAUCCUUCUUUCCAUCAAAUCUUGGAAAAGAUUUAAUGAAAACAUUGCAAAUGAAGUUACAAUCAUAGGGGAAAAAAAAAAGAUCGAGAUACUCAAACCUUAGUAGACAAUUUAUGAUUAAUUUUUUUUAUUUUAGAUGUUAAAAUUGUUUUUGGGCAUUUCUAUUUGUGUUUGACAUUUGGCUUCGAAAUUAUUCAUUGAUUGGCUUCGUGAUCUAGAAGGUAUAUAUAUCAAUGGAGAAGGGCUUUUACUGGUGCUGAAGAGGAGCCGGUUGUGGCACAGAGUUAGAGAUAGAUUUGAUGACUGAAUCAAUUGCAAUUUUGCAGCAACUUAAUUGGAAACGUCUUAUUAUCAAGUAAUAAUUUAGAUGGCAUUUCGAGUCAGCCAUAUCAUUACCAAAGGUCUCAAGUGCAUUUCGAAUCAGCCAUUCAAGUAGAAAGCGAAUUUUAGUGAUGCAUUUCAUUUAGAAUAAAUCUUAUAUACACGAACAGUGUAUACACUAUCACCAUUAGAUGCGUCAGAUUCAUGACGCAUGUAAAAGAUAGAUUUUAAAUUCAAAUUUUGUAUAAUUGUCAUUUAUCCAAUGCUGACGAUAUAUAUACUGUUAGUGUAGGAAAAAUUAAUCAUUUCAUUUAUUGGUAAUAUAUAUAACACUACUCAAACAAAUAUUAGGGUAGGAAGUGCAGAUUGCUCCAAAGGCUGGCGAGGGUAGUGCAUUAACACCAAAAGAAAGGGGGGGAAAAGAAAGGUCUGUGCACACACACCCUAAACUUUCUCAUCAUACCUCAGGAUUCCACGUGUCACCAUCUAAACCCCUCUCGCCUUUCUCUCUCCUACCCUUCACCUUCCUAAAACUGAAAAACAACAAAAACCAACAAAACCCCAUAAAACUACCUCCUUAAUGCUAACAACGUACUACUAGUGUGUGUUGUGCGUGUUUUCAUUGCAACACAGAAAUGGAAAGCAGGGUCAAAACCAAAAGGGUCUGCACCAUUGAACCCAAAAACGACAUCGUACCAACACGGAGCUGGGAUGCAAUGAUCCCAGAAAUAUUAUCCUUGAUAUUCACGAAAAUAGUCCCCGUGGAAGAAAUGGUGAGGGCGGUGAGCUUAGUCUGCAGAGGGUGGCUGGAGACGGUGGUGGGGCCGUACUGUUGGAAUGAGAUUGACGUGGAACAUUGGUGUCGCAGCCACUGGAACAGCUGCAACGCCGGCAAUCGCCGUGGUGGGCUCCUUAUUGACUCGGUAGUUAGGAAGCUUGUUCGCCGGAGCAAGUUUACCGCCGGAAAGUUCUGUGCUUAUCGCUUGGGUAAUGCCGGUUUCUCUUACAUCGCCAACUGGUAUGUGUACUUUUCUUAUCAAAACGUUUUGUUUCUUUUUUUUUUUUUGUUUUUUGCUUUGUUUGUUUAGUAUGUAUUUUUGUUGAAUAUUUCUUAGUUGCAAUACCGUCUAGAAGUGGUUUUGAAAAUGCCAGAAAGGUUUUUUGAAGUUUCUGUUUUGUGGAAUUUUACCUUGCAAAAAAGUUGUUUUUGUUUUGUUCUUUGGAGAUAACAAUAAUAUUUCCUGUUUUAUUGAAAUAGCACCUAGUUGAUUUUGCCUUCUCUAAUAGCUUGUUUAUGAUCAAGUGUGACAAUUCAAGCUUAAAGUGAAAAAAGAAAAGGAAAUUUUUAUAGUUGAAAAGGAAAAUGGCUUUGAGAUCUGAAUUCAUUUCUAUCUAGUUCUUGAGAAUAUGCUAGUAUUAGAUUGUCCAUUAGUGAGUUUUUCUUCAUGGAUUAGAUCUGGCUACUAUUACCUCUAUUUUGAAAUUAAUAAUUACUUUAGAAUUUUGUACAUAAUUCAUGGUUCUGUCUAGUGAUUUGAAUAAUCUGCACAUGUGACAUGUGUAUCAAUUUUUUUGUGUAAUUCUUGAUUGCCCAAUUGGCUUGGGGAUUAUCUAAAUAGGGCGAAUGUGGCCUUGGGAAUUCUGGUACUUCAAAAAACUGUACUAUAAAAGCUAUCCAUGUUUAAUUUGGAGCUGGAAAUUCAAUUUAUGCUACUAAAACAUUCAAUUUGUGCUCAGGAUUUGUGUUUGUAUCUGUAAAUCAAUGCUUUACACAAAAUGCACACUGUAAUUGAAAAUAGACUUUGUCAUCUAUUGCUAGUUGAAAUAAGAAGAUUCAUUCACUAUGGUCAUAUAUAUCAUCAAUCACAAUGACAUGAUGCUCUAUUCUGUAAUUGUUGCAGUGGAAGAUGUCUCAAGGUCCUAAAAAUUCCAGUAAGUGAGAUAACUGAUCAAGUAGUAGAAAAGCAUGCAGAAUUACUAGUGAACUUGACAGAACUGGAUAUCAGCUAUUGUCUGAAGCUCACAAGCAAAAGUCUUGAAGCAUUUGGGAAACACUGCAAUUUCUUGACUCAUUUGAAGAGGAACAUGCCACCACUGGAGCUUGGGGCAGUUGCGGCUUCAGAGACUGAUGAUGAUGAGGCAUUCGCGAUAGCCAACACCAUGGCAGGGCUUGACCAUCUCGAAUUUGGAUUUGCUCGCGUGACUGAUCAUGGCCUUUGCACGAUACUUACUGCGUGUAAGGCUCUUACAUACCUUGACAUUCAGGGAUGUUGGAAUGUAAGAUUGGAGGGAGCUCUUGAAGAAAGAUGCAAAGAGCUUUUGGUUUUCAAGACUCCCUGGACUGAUAUUGAAAGUGAAAGUGAGGGAUCUGUGGAAAAUGAUAGCAGAGGAGAUGAUCAGAGCUCUGAUUAAUCGUCUUCUUCUGCUUCAGCCUAAGUUACAAACAUUUGGUUCACUUUUUUGUGUGGCUCGCUUGAGGUGUACUUGUGGGUGGUUCAGCCAGGGUCUGUACUCUGCAGUCUUGAUUAAGGGAUAUUGAAAGCAAGUAAAUGUUGUUUGUGGUGCUCUUCUUUUAUCAAUGGACAUGAAUGACAAGCUAGCAGGACAAAUAUUGGUAAAAUAUUUGGAAAUUUGCCUUGGGUGGAUUAUUGUUCUAAUGAUUGCCUUCCUCUUCUGUAUCAGCCUAAGUUACGAACAUUUGAUCCACUGUUGUGUGGGUAGCUUGAAGUUUAAUUCUAGGUGGUUUGGCCAUGUUUCUGUAGUCUUGAUUGUGGGAUAUUCAAAGGAAAUUUUGUUUGUGGUUCUUUUUCUUGUAGCAAGGCACAUGAAUGAGAGGCAAACAUGAGAAGUACCAGGUGAGAUUUUGGAAAUUUGACAUGGCAGAUUACUGUUCUAAUUGUUGCCUGUUGCCAUAUAGUCUGAUUUUGGUGUUGUCAUCUAGGAAACAAUUAACAGAUGCAACUAGGCCUUUGAAACCUACCAGAUAAUGUGAUUUAAUUUGUUUGGUAUGGUAACUAAUUACUAUGUCAAUAACUUCCCCUUCCUUCUUUAAAUUUCAUCUUGUUUUUGCUAAUUAAUUUUUUAAUUUUGCAAACACAUCAAGUGUACCAAUACCACUGGAGAAAAUUAAAAGAUGUAGAUUUCAAUCACAGUCUCUUAUUGUAUACUACAUUAUAGCCUCACCAUAUAAUUAAUGGGAUCCUUUUAGAAAUACCAAUGAAUAACUUAUGGGUCACAUAACUGGAAUUUUUAAUCAGCAGGAAUCCUAAAGAUUCGAAUCUUGCUUGCUUCAACUUCAUUAUAUUCAUAUGGUAGGUUGAUGAUAUACAGGGCCUACCCUUUAAGAGUAAAUUAUCAUGUUACCCUUGGCCACAAGACGCAUACCUUCUCUUACAUCUAUAAAUACCCUAAUUGUGUACCAAAAUGGUAAUAAAAAACAAUUGAUCAAAUUCUUGUCUCUAGACUAGGGCUACAAAUGAAUAAGUUACUCGUGUGUGCUUGUGAGGCCACUCGACAGCUGGAGCUGACCAAGUCGAGAUCGAGUUCAAAGAUACUCAACUUAUUAGCUCGUGAGUCAACUCGAUUAUUUAUAUAUAAUUUUCAUAGUGAAAUUACAUAUAUAUCUCUAAUAUUUAUUAUUUAUUAAGAAACAAUUACUAUUUUAUUUGUAGACACCAAAUUUUUAUCAAUUUUUAAUAUUUUCCUGAAAUUUUAUCUAUUUGAUAAGUUAUUAUUAUUAUCAUUUUUUUAAUAUAUAUUAAUGUAUGAUUUUCUCAUUUUUGUAGGUUUGUUUUUGGAAAAAGAAAAAAAAAACACAAAACAAAAGAGAAAAAUCAAGAAAUAAAAAAUCACUUUCAUCAUUUUCCCUACCAAAACAACUAUUAACCCAUUCCACACUCAAUUGCCAUGGACCUUUCUUUUCAUUAGCUAAGAAAUCAUCAUUUUGGCAAAUCCAACACACAAGCUCCACUUUGGCUACAAGUCCCUCUCGGUUCUCUGCUCUCUAGACAGAGAGACAAAAAAAAAAAAAAAAAAAAAAAAAGGCACUCUAGCUCUCAGACAACUCUCGGCCCUCUCCCUCGCAGAACAAGAAAAAAACACAGAAAAAAAAAAAGAGAAGGGAGGCACUCAGCUCUCUCUAGUUUCAGGAGACCAAAAGACAAGCCACAAAAAGAAAAAAAAAAGCACUCCAAUCCCUCUGGGCUCACUUGGCAGAGGCAGAAAAAAAAAAAAAGAAACGCACGAGAGAAGAGGAAGGGAAGCUCUCGGAAUUUUGCAGCCUGCCCCCUCACUCUCCCUCUCUCGGACUUGGGCGGAGGAAAGAAACAGAACAAAAAAAAAAAUCUUCCCCAACUCCUCUCGGUUCCAUCUCAACCUCACACACACCUACAUUGAGGUAAUUUUUUUAGUUUUUGUCUAGCACAUUAAAUCAAUGCUUCAUUGUUUAGUUUUCUUUCAUUUCUGCUGGCUGCCUUGUAUUGUUGUUGUUGCAUUGCUGAAAAUUGGGAAAUGACAUGAACUAGACGAAGGAAAAGGAAAUGUUUCUCAUGCAUGCAUAUUAACCGUUUGAAAAAGUGCCAAAAUGACCAACGAAUUAAAAGGCUGAAUAUUGUGCAUGUUGUUGUCAAAACGGAUGACCGUUAGCUAGCACCAGGCCUGGAAAUGUGUGCUUAUCUAAAUUUUUUGGAGUUUUGAGCUUUAAAGGCAUUAGAAUAAUUUUCUUCAUUUUUGGGGCUGUUUUGAUUUAAUGCAUCCUUUUGUUGUUGUUUACUUGUCAAACUAAGAUUAUAGUUGUAUUGUGGAAGUUAUAAGGAGGGUUUUGGCAUAAUUUUUAUGAUUUUUGGUGAAGAUUUGAGGGUUUUAAAAAAAUAAAAACUGAACUGAUUUCUUGGCAUUUGGCCACUUUUGGGUCAUUUUCUGUAAAAACUAAGUUCAAAAAUGGAACCUACGCGAAAAAUCGAGUGAGGGGGUGUAUUUUGAGAAAUUUUUGAGAAAUUUUGGCGACCGGAGAGGUCGCCGGCGGCGGCCGCCGGUGCCACUUUUGGGUCAUUUUCUGUAAAAACUAAGUUCAAAAAUGGAACCUACGCGAAAAAUCGAGUGAGGGGGUGUAUUUUGAGAAAUUUUGGCGACCGGAGAGGUUGCCGGCGGCGGCGCCACCGGCGGCCGCCAGCUGAAGCUUCCUCAGUUGGCCGAAGAAGAAGGAAGAAGAAACGAUUGGGGAAGGAAGAAAAGAAGGAAAGAAAAGAAAGAAAAAAGAAGAAGAAAAUGGUUUGGGCUAAGUUUUGUGGGUUUGUGGUUAUUUUUGGUUGGAUUUUGAAAAUAGGUUUUGGUUUAUUUCUUUUGGGUUUCAGUUGGGCUUAAGGGAUAAAAAGGCAGGCUGGCCUGUGUGUUUGGCUUGGACUUUCGGCUGGGCUUAGGUAGUGUUCGGCCCAAAUAAAUAAAAUGAUGGCCAGUAGCCUGUUUUCUUAAGAAGAUCAGAAACCGAUUUUUUCACUUUAGCCCCUUAUCUUUGGAGUAGUUUCACUUCGGCCCAGAACAUUUUAAAUUUGUUUCACUUAGGUCCUUAAAUUAAUUGCACUUUGGUCCUUUAAUUUUAUCUUUUAUUUAAUUUUGACCUCUAAACUUUGGAAAAAUAUAAUUUUUGUCCCCAAAAGUUUUUCAAUUUUUGCAAUUCAGCCCCUGAUGAAUUUUGACUCUCUUUAUUAUGAUUGUUUCUUUUCUUUAAUAGCUAAUUAUGUUACUUUUGAGUAGGUUCAACUUGUAAUUUUUAGAUAUUCUUAAAUUUAUUUACGUUUGACAUAUUGAGGUGAAUUUUCAUUAUUAUUAGUUUUUCAAUUAAAUUGGUGCCAUGAUUCUUUUGUUCAUUUUGAGUAUAAAUAGAGCAAUUUGACUCCGUUUAGUCACCACUUCAAAAGGGAGGUACCCCAUUAUUAUUAUUUCAAUGUCAAUUACGUGCUCUUAUGUGCUUCUACGUGUUCCUAUGUGUUUAUAUAUUUUUAUAUGCUUUGUUUGUUUGAUUUGAAUGUUCAUUUAAAUUUUCUUAUGUUUGUUUAGUUAAUUUUAUAAUUAUUUGAGAGGCACUUAAAUACCUCAAAAAUAUAAUAGAUAGGAUAAUUAGAUUUGUUUUAUUUUAUUUCCCCUUUUAGAUUGUAGUUAGGCGCUCCCCGAUGUAAUAGAUAGGUUGUGUGCUUAUGUGGCUUAUGUGUUACGUGCCUUACCCGCUUUUCUUAGGAUUUUUGCAUCUAGAUAUUAUGCUUAUGUGUUACGUGCUACGUGCUCUUAUGUGUUUAUUUGUUUUAAUCUAUGUUUACUUGUCUUAUUAUAUAUUAAAAAUGCAUGACGUCACCACACUAGUCCAACGCUAGUUGUGGUUUCUCCCUCCGUUUACUUGCUAGUCCAACGUUAGUAAGGAUUUUUAGAAAUGGGCUAGUCCAACGCUAGACCAUUUAGGUUGUCUUGCGCUGGAUUCAUCUUUGUGUGCUAUUCACUACGUUUCCAUGCAUGUUUUUAUUUUUAGGAUCUUUUCUCAUUUGUAUGAUAUUCCCUAUUAUAUUAUCCCUUACCCGCUAUAGGUGCUAAUCAUGCCAUUUAGAAUUGCAUCUCAUUUAAGCUAGUUCAUUUGCUUGUUCAUGUUAGGAUAAUUUUUUUUCAAACAUGGAAAAUGGGUAAUUAUAACUUUUUAGUUUAAAUACCCUACUAAUCCAUGUAUAAGAAAAUUAUGUCACGAGUUUUUGCCUCCCGUACCUUUUAUGUUGCAUUCCCUUUUUCUUUGAUCACUUAUAUAUGUAUAUAAUUUAAUUUCUUUUCUUUUAUUUUAAUUUCAUCAUUCGCAUAUUCGUGACACAUUCAAGGAAUCAUUGUGGCCUUCGCAAUUAAUGCGAUUGGUUCGAUUAAAUCCUUGAAUGGAUAUUUUGACCCUUUCGAUAUUUUAUAAAUUUAGAUUUGCAUCCAUGUAGGAAACAUCCAAAUAUGAUAAAACUAAUGGUUAGAUUAGAAAAAAUUUUGACUAAACCUCGCAACUAGUUUCGACUAGGUUGAAAGGGUGCCUUAGGUUUGAGUCAAUUAAACCUUUGCCUUCCCUUUCUUCAACCGUGACUCCUGAACCUAUUUUCUCUUGUUUUAAAAAACCUGGAGUUGUCAAAAAGGGUUUUGAUUUAUUUUAUUUUUGUCAAAAAAAUAUUUUUUUGGCUGACUUGGUACACCAAAACUCCAUACCAAGUGGCGACUCCUAUUUUUUCUUAAAAACCCUUUUAGACUAAAUUUUGGACCCAAAUUGUCGCAUUCUUUUUAAAUCCCAUUCUAGGUCCUUUUUCAUUUAUUAUUAUUAAAUCACAUCUUUUUAUAAACUCUUUCUUUUUUCCAUCGCGAAAAAUGGGGCGCGACAACUUGGCAACUCCACUGGGGACGCUAGAGAGUCCAAGCACUUGGUUUAGUUGUCUUUUCUUUUUCUAACCAUUUCACUUAUCAUAUUUGGAUGUUUAGGUUGCAUAUUCCUUUUACUUUUUCUUUUUCCUCAUUUUUAGGUUCACAUCAUACGUGCAUGCAUUAUUUUUAUCCUAUUUUUUAUUUUUUUCUCGUGGGCGCCAUCCCACAUCUCCUUGUAGGAUUAGGAUCGAUUUCCUUAGGUAGGCGGAUGGUGUGCUCUGCGCCCAUAGCGAUGCCUAAGGGAUCACUCAAGCCACCGAUCGAAGGUUUUGGGAUUGAUGACCCCUUAGCCUUUUGGUCUGAAGGCUUAGGAGUCUGAAAGCUUAUUGAGUCUAGAUGCAUUAGUAAGCCAAACCUCAUGCAUCCAUAUUAGAAAUUACUUAAGAUAGAGUCAACCUUACCCGAUUAGAGACACUAUUCACGAGGGGAGGGAUCCAACCUCUCUUUUCUUUUUAUUGUUUUAUCUCUGUGUAUUGCUUUGCUACAAUGUGUUAUAUGUAUUUAUCUGAUUGAACUAACUUUUCUUGGUUUUUGUCUCCAUUGCAUUCAUAAGCCCUAGAAAAUAAGAGUCCUGACAUAGUACUCUCUAGGAGCCUACCCUAUUUGAUGUGACACGUUUAAAUUCAAUGUUUCGCAUUUGCAGCAUAAAUACAUUUCAUUUUAGGCUUACCCCGGUAUUUAAAUGGGGCACUUUUAGAUCAUAUGUCAAUUAUUUCAUUGCAUAUUUAACCGCUUUAAUAAACUGGCAUCAUACAUCAACUUUAGAGGGAAUGCCGCAUAGGGGAUCCCGCGUUAGGAAUAAGCCGCCUUGUGUCUCAGAUAUGUAAUCCAAUGAGACUUGCACGUUUAUAUUUUUUGUACCAUCCAAAGGGGUAGUGCACAAGGUAAGGUAGGAUUCGAUCAUUUCCGUGUGAUUACAUUGAGAAUGAUGGAACAGUUUUUACACAUUAGAAUAUGAGUCUUUAAUAAUCACUUUUUGGCCAUUUUAUUAGAAUUGAUAAAAAUUCCUUGCGUAAAGGACAUUAAGUUGAAGAAAUUCACAAAUUCCUCAUUGUUGAGAUGAUAAGUAUGUUAAGGCCAAAUCUUGAUUUUCGAAGGCAUAUAGACUAAUAAAUCACAAUGAAUUUUUUGAAACUACUAAUGGGCAGACAAUUCCAUCGAUUUUGAUAAAUCAUCAAUUUCAUUAAUUCCAUUUUUACAUCUAAGAUAAUUGAAUCGAUUUUUUCAUGGAUCAUUCAAUCCUUACAAUUUUGCUCAUUAUUUUAAUUUCAUUUUCAUUCAAUUUCAUUUUGGAUAAAUCAUCAAUUUCAUUCUGUUUAUUUGGCUAGUGAUCCAGUCGAUUUUUGAAUAAACUGUCAAUUCUAUCUAAUCCAUUUGACCAAUUUAAUCAUUUUUAGGACAAUACAAUCAAUUUUGAAUAAAUCAUCAAUUCCAUCCAAUUCAUUAUUCAUUUAGUCAAUUUUAUUUUUUUUGAAUAAAUUCUCAAUUUCAUCCAAUUCAUUGGAUCAGUUUUAUUCACUUUCAGGAUAAUCCAGUCUAUUUUUGAACUAACCAUCAAUUUCAUUCGAUUCAUUUAACCUAUUUAUUCUCUUUUAAAGUUUCGAUCUAUGGUUCACCGAAGAAACUAGUCGAAACAUUUCAAUCCUUUCAAAAGUAAGUUUUACACACUAAAUUGAUUUUGAUAUCAUUUUAUGUGUCAAUCAAAGCAAUCAAUCCAUUCGGACUUUGUCCUCAUUUUGUUAGGACAAAUUGUCUCUUGUCACUCCAAUUAUCCAGUUUUUUCAAAAUUGUCUUUUCAUUGAAUCUCAAUAAGUCGAUCGGAUCCAUCAGGUAUUGUAUGGUGCCUACCCCAGAGGAUUGCAUUUUUCAUACUAGGCCAACCCUUGGCAUAAAAGGGUUCUCCCAUAGGACAUGCAUACCGAUUUUGCAGUUUGCUUACUAACUCUGGGUGUUUUGCUUUUAUUUUUUCCCCCUCCCCUGCAUUUAUAAAAGUUGUUUCAACAAGGUAAAAAUAUUUUUCCUAUAUCUGAUAAUAUUUUUGGUCUGAUAAAUUUUGAAAAUUACAAGUGUUACUUGAUUCUUGGGCAGAUCCUACAAUGUAAAAAAAAAAAAAAUGAUGAUGAAAAAAUGAAUGAAAAAUCCAUUUGAAAACGCUAGUGUAAAGUAUCUCAAAAAUCUUUUGAUUCAUUGUUUCUAAUAUAUUUUGUCUCAAAAGAUAGAAAGAGAAAGUGUGUAUAUAUUUGAAAAUGUAUUCUUUAGAGAUUUUUAUUUGCUCACAUGUAUUAUAUUUGACAAAAAAAAUUUCAAACAUUUGAAUAAUAAAGUUUUUAUUUAGACAAUUAUUGUUUUGUAUAUAUUCAUUCUUUAUUUGCUCAUUGAGAGAUUUCAUGAUAGAUUUUAAGGAAUAAGGCUAAAUUGAAAUUUUUUGACCUUUUAUUCGAAAUUCAUGAGUGCAUGUCAAAUUCCCAAAAUUCUUUGCAUACACUAGAUUUGUGGCCUAAACUAUUCAAUGAGAGUCGGAAAUAAAAAGGGUCAUUCAAAUUUGAUAGCUUGUCAUAAAAGAUCAACCCCAACACUUUUCAUUUUCAUUUUUUGUCCACUUUUAUUGAACCUCCAAGAUCAAUCGCAUUGGCUGACUAGUUUCAAAGUGAGAUAAUUUUUUUUCGUGAAAAUGUCCGGUGGGUCUAACCAGAUUCAAUCCACAUCUAAGUGAAAGCAAAAAUGCACAUUACUUUUUGUUUUGUUUUGAAAAUUUGGAAUGAUACUUUGGGCUUUCAUCUCUCUAUCUAUACAGAUUCUAUCAUUUAUUUUCCCAUUUGAGACUUCAAAAAAUAGAGUUUCGUUUCAAAUAAAAGCCUCAAUGAUCAUGACCCUUCACGGAAAAAUUUUCGAAUGUCAAAUGGAAAUGGGUUUUUCCAACGGGUUAUUCUUUACUUUGGUUGUCAUGAGAAAUAAGAAUGAUGUUUUGGUCAUCGUUUCUACCAUCUAAACACUCUUAUCCUUUGCAUCCUCAUUUGAGAUUAAAUUGGUGGUUCGUUUCAAAAGCACUUAUGAUUGCACCCCCACACUGGGGAAGGAGAUUUCAAAAAGAAAAAAAAAAGAAGAAGAAGGGAGAAAAUGCUACAAGUUGGGGGAUUUUGACUUUAACAUUGAUAUUUGGUCUUCAACAUCAAAAAGAAAGAGGGGCCAUCUACACUCCAAAUUAGGGAGUUUUCAAUUUUAUCAUUGACCUUGGGAUAUCAGUAUUGGUAAAAAAAAUAAUAAUAAAAAUAAUUAAUUAAUUAAAAAAGAAAAGAAAAAGAGAGAAAAGAAAAAUGUGAAAAAUGAAAAAUGAUGAAAGUGAAAAAAAAGAAAAAUGCGAAGACAUCCAAUGUUGAAUUCCCUCUAGUGAUUGAUAAAAAAAAAAAAAAAAAAAAGAGUCAAAAUGGGGUCCCGGAUUUUAAAUCCAAAAUUGGGGCAAAUUUUGGGAAGAAGUGCGAUCUUAAGUGCAUUGUCCUUGAAAUUUUUAUUUUUUUUAGCUAUCGUUGUCAAGCCACAUUACAAGUUCAUAAAGUCCAUUGUUGACUUAUUUUUCAUGACAAUUUGAAGUGAAAAUAUUGUCUCUAAGGAAUUUACCAAUCACUCAUGAUCAUAAGGCCAUAACCUGUUUUUAUAUGUUUAGCUAUCGUUUCUACCCAUAUAUUACAAACUUAUAUUUCAAAAAAUAAGAGUGAUAAGUUAUUUGCUUUCACCAAGAUCUGAUAUUGAAUGUGUUGGAUACAAUUUGGUCACAAAAAAGAAAAAAAAAAUACAGAUCCUAACAUACCAUUCCCCUGAGCCAUCUCAAAAUCCUGAAUAAUAUCCAUUCGAUUGGUUCUAAAAGAUGAGCUCAUAAGAAAAGUGAUCCUUUUCCCUCAACACCAAUCCCAAAACAAGGAAGAGAUCUUUUUCAAUUUGGUCUUAUUUUGAGGGAUUUAUCAUGGAAUCUUCUACAUGAGUUUGAAUAUGAUAUUUAAAUUCUUCAUUUGAAAAAUAUAGUUUCUAUUCACAUUGUAUGUGAUUAUUUUGCAACUAAAAUAAGCCCAAAUCGGGGCAAAUUUUUUUUUUUUGUAAUAUCUGUGAGAUUUCACCAAAUAAGUUCAAAUUGAGGCAAAAUUUUAUAAUACAUUUGUAGGGUAUGUCCAAUAUCAAGUAUAUAUUUUUUAAAAUCUUGAUAAGUCAAUACUUUGCAUGAAUCUUAAUUGUUACAUCAUUGCUCAAAAAAAAAUUAAAAAAUUCAAGUGCUUUGAAAAAUUUCCCUUAUGCAGGUGUUUAUGGUUGAGAUCGAGGAAAAAGUGCAAUUCAAAACUUGCAAAUUUGGAGAUUAAUCACGAAUAAAAAUGGAGCAAUGAUGCUACAUUGAAAAAUGGAGGAUCGGCUAUUUGCUCAAAAGGAGUACAUACUUCAGCAGCCAACUUGAAAAAAAAAGAGAAGAAAAGAAAAAAAAAGAGAAAAGAAAAAGGGGGAAUGAAAAGAGAAAAAAAAAAGAGAGAAAACGAGGGAGGAAUAAAAUAAAAGAGAAAAGAAAAGAAAGGGAAAAUAAAAAAAGGAGAAAAAAAAGAAAGGGGGAAUGAAAGAAAAAAAAAAGAGAAUAAUAAAAAAAGGAGGAAAAAAUGGAAAAACGAAAAAAAAGAGAGAAUAAUUAAAAAAAAGGGAUUGAAAAAAAAAAAGAGUUUUUCCUUCGAUUUUGCAAAUUUUGCAAUUGAACUCUGGGAGCAUUUCAUUGGAGAUUACAUUUCUAAGUUGGGGCAACACCUUGCCCUCUUAUGCUGAAAUGGAAGUGGUAAUACAUGCCAAAACCGAGAUCCCGUCCUUGCACAUUUUGACAAAGGCUCAGGCAGAAGAAAUCAAAUGGAUUAAGGAGCACAAUGAGUUGCUGUCUCUGAUUGAUGAAAAAGAGGUUGAAUGUUUGUCAUGGACAAUGCUAUCAUCAAAGGAUGGUUCGUUAGUUAUGACAAGAAAGACAAAUCUUGCUUAUUUGAAGUGAGGGAUAAGAUUUUGAAGUAAAUUCUUCCGAUUCAAGAGGAGGUUAAAGAAAAGUUUGCUCCGACUUGGCAAGGGCCAUUUAUUGUUCAAAGAGUGCUAUCCGGAGGAACGUCUAUUCUUACAUAACUGGAUGGACAGGUCUUUCCUCUGCCAAUCAAUUCAGACAUGUGUAAUAAAUUCUUUAUCUGAUUAUGUGAUUUUUCUUUUUGAAAUACCAUCUAUGGCGGAUCAAAGGCGAGCCUUCUUCUUUUCUUUUUGAACAUCUUAUCCCUAGUUUUCCCCACUGAACCUCCAGAAUAAUUUAACCUUUCAUUUGAUAGCCCUCCUAAAGAUUGCAAACCCCAUACUGGGGUAAAUUUUUAUCUCCUAUUUGUCAUGAAAAAAAGAAAAAAAGAAGUCAAAAGUCAAACUGGGGCAAUUUUUUCGGUUUUAAUACCCUCAUACUGGGGCAAAUAUUGAUAGAAUGCGGUCUUAGGGUUUUUGAAACCUCUUUGAAGAUUUUGCUUUAAAGCCUUAACACUUUUUCUACACCUCACAUGACCCCAUAAUAAAAAUCAUAAAGUCUCGACCUCCGCUUUAGUGGUAUUUCUAAUAAAAAUCACUUAAUCAAAUGGCAAUUGAGGUCAGUACACCUUCACCAUUUUUACAUGGGAAGGGUUGUCGCGCUGAUGCCACCCUUUCUUUAAAUACAUUUCUGAGUUGAUAAAUGUCGUUAACAAGAUUUGUUCAUUAGGUGAAAACCUGAAAGGGUGUCUUCAAAAGAAUGAAAAAAAAAAAAAGAAAAAGGGAUUGAAAAAAAAAAGAAAAGAAAAAAAAGAGAAGGAUGAAAAAGAAAAAAAAGAAGAAAAUGAAAACAAAAUAAAAUAAAAAGGUGUGACCUUUGCGAAAAUCCGAAAGGUUAAGGUCAUCAAUGUGAGAUUUUGGAGCACAAGAGAAUCAUGAACGAAAAGCGGGUUGCUGACACUUGAGAUACUGGCCAUUCAUUCAGAUCUGGUCAUUAGAAAAGUUGAUUUGUGGUACAAAGUGAGGUAUGGCUGACUGAUGCUGGAAAAUUGAGAAGAUUCAAAACAAGUUGCAACACAACUCUUGAGGAGCAAUUUUGACAUCGAAAGAUCAUACUUGCGUGGUUCUCAGGGCCAAAAGGAGCACAAGGAAUCACAUGGUGUUGGUAUCAUAUGAUCACUCGUUUUUCUUUUUCAAAAGCAUGAAAAAUGUGGCUAAUUGAUUGAAAUAUUGAUGCUUCCCAAAAUUAGCCGUCAAAUGUGGUUCUUGAGCUGGGUGGUAUAAUUGUAUGCCCGUCGCUCCUACAUGGCGCGACGGGCAGCCAAAUUUUUUUUUUUAAAGUUCUUCUGGCCGUCGCGCCAUGUUGGAGCGACGGUCAGAGGUGUCAGAAAUUUCUGGCUGUCGCGCCAUGUUGGAGCGACGGUCAGAGGUGUCAGACAUUUCUGACCGUCGCUCCAACAUGGCGCGACGGUCGGGAAUUUUUUUUUUUUUUAAAUCCUCUGACCGUCGGUCCAACGUGGCGCGACGGUCAGAAAUGUUUUUUUUUUAAAAAAAUCCUCUCAGUAAAAAAAGAAAAUUUUUUGUUAGGGUUACACUUACGGUAAGGGUUAGGGUUAGGGUUUACGUUACAAAUAAUUUAGAAUUUGUUUUAAUAAAAAAUCCUUCAACUCAGUGAUUUAGAAAUGUUUUUUUUUUAAAUCUUUGUCCAAUUCAUUUGGAAAUUUCUCAAAAAUUUUUCUGUAAAAAUUAUUUAAAAUGAAAAGUUUUAAAACAAUGCUUUAGUUUGACAAAAUUUUAAAAACAAGUAUUUUAAAGGAGAUUAGAUUUAAAAAUUUUGAUCCAUUUGUUAAAGGAUUUAGGCAAUUCUUAAAGAAUUAAUGUUUACCAUUUUAUCAAGUUUAAAUUAUAUAACAUGCGUAACUGUUAUGAUUUGUUAAAUUUAAAAAUUAAUUUAAUAAUAUGAUUUAAAUUGAAGUGAUUGCGUAAUGGAUAAAAGUAUUGCUUAAUAUUAUUAUGAUUUGUUAAUUUUAACUUUAUUAUGUAUCAUGCACACAGAAUGUUAAAGGAACCAUAAUUGUAUAAAAAAAUGAAAAAUUAUAAUAUGAAUUACGAUUUAUAUAUUUGAAUUUUCAUAUAAAAUGUAAUGGUAUAAAAAUAUUAAUAACAUAUUUGUAGAAAUGAAGAAUUUUUUGCGUUUCAUUAUUUGAUAUACGAUAAUUAGUUUUAAUAAUUUAAUCUAUUAAAAUAGCUAUAAAAUGACUAGUAUUUAUUUGUUUUGUAGGUAUUAUCGUAUAGGGACCCUUCUAUCCAAUUAUAGGGUUUAAUAAAAUAACUUGUACUUCUUUAUUUUGAAAAUAUUUAACGUUAUUCAAAUUAAAAGUGAUUGGAUUAAACAGAAAAAGUAGACAACAAAAUUAAAUUAAAUGUCAUGUGAAAUGCAUUAAAUUAAAUGGAUGAGAUAUAAAAUAUCGUCGAAGACAAAAUAAUAUCAAUGCCUCGCAGUUUUCUUGCCUUUACCUUUAGCCUUGCCCUUAGCCUUGCCCUUAUCCUUCUCCUGAGAUAUCGUCGGGGGACAACAAUAUCUAGUAGCAAGCCUUCUCUGACGAUUACGUUGCACUCGUUCUCCGAUAACUAGAGUAGGAACUUGUGGAACAGCAGUAGAUGGGCCAUAAUCUUCAUCUGCGUUAUCAGAGACAAGGGUAUCCUCGCCUGUCGACUCAGCUGUCCCAUCACUGUCAUCAGUGUCUUUGGAACGAUAGUCGUUAAAAUUUCCUGGAACAGUAUGUCCUGACAUGCCCAUUGGUUGGGUAUGAGUAGGCAUGAACAUAGUCUGACCAAGAGUGCAAUAAUCCGGAAGAUCUACAGUAGUAGAACCACCUCCCGUGGCACCAAGCAAAUCAUUUAUUUGGCUAAAGUCUGCAUCUAAGGAACCCCCAGAUGUAGUGGCAUCGUACCCAAAUACAGGUAUAUAUGGCGAAGGCGUGAAUGGUGAACCAAACGCAGGUAUGUGUGGGGAAGGAGUGAAUUGUGUACCAUAAAUAGGAAAGUGAGUGAAUGGUGUAAACUGUGGCAAAGUCGAAACCGGUGUAUGUAGUGAUGUAGAAAAAUGUGUACCGGUCGACCUAGUGCAAUUUUGAGGGUCCACUUCAGGGUCACGAUGCUCUGUCUCGUUGUUGUCCUCAUCAUGCAAGCCAUGCCUAUGUCGUCUAACUCCACUGGUAGAUGCUCGAGCUUGACGAGGGACAUGUCCAAUUGGCCUCUCAUAAGGAACGUGCUGACACUGUGUUUGGGUCUUAAAUGGGUCCCAAUCACCAAUUUUCAUACGAUCGUAUUGUUGAAGGUGCUGCAUAGACCCAAAUGCACCAUCCAUGAUCGUCAAAAGACGCGGAUCAAGAGCAUAUCGUUGCUCUUCAACAUUGAGGGCUUCAUGCGAUUGAUGUCCAAUGCGCUGCAUGGUAUCCAUCUGAUAUAAAGAAAAUAGACAAAUUAAUAUAGUGUACAAGAUUGACUAAGAAAUGAUAGCACAAAACAUACAUAGUGACGGAGUAAAAAUUGUAGGAGUAGUAAUUACCAGAAAUUCAAGUUGUCCUGAUACCCCGUAGAGCAUGUGCCCGGACUGCGUCUGCUGAUGGAUAGGAGAGGUAAUGUACAAGAUGGUGUGACGGUGGUACCAUCUGAGAUACUCUUCUGAAGGUCGAAAUGUAUCUGUAGGCUGUCCCGGGACCACAGCUUCGUAGCGUCGAUCCCAAUAAGUGCAGUAAUUCCUAUGAAACUGAGCCCAAUUUCUUCCAGGAAAACCAGCUAGACCAAGUUGGUGCAAACCCUUUUGAUCAGUGUCAAUUUCUUCAGGAAUUUUUUGUAACAUGCCGAACUGACGCAUCACCCGUUCUGGACAAUGAAACUCAACUAUGUGCCAAAAUAUCAACGGGACCUUUGCUCGCCAUAUACGCUCUCCCCGUCUGCAAUACGCGGGUAGAGAUGGCAGUAUGUCACCACUAUAUGGCAUCCAGAUGAACUGAUAGAACAGGAAAAAGAUAUACUCAAUCCUCAUUUGCUUUGAAUAGAAAUUCAAAAAAAUGUAAAUAAUAAUUAUCCACAAAAUAAUUACAUACCUGAUCCAUUCUUAGUAACCCUAUCUGCUCUCGAUAAUACAAAACAGGCCGACCAGGAGGCUCAUAAUCUAAACGAUCAUCUGCCCAUCUCCCACCUCUUGGGUAAUCUCCAACCUCAUAUCGAGGAUAUAUAUCAGGACGAAUAAGUGGGAUUCGCUCCCACGCCCAAAGCUACUCAAUAUCAAGGUAAUUUUCAGUGAAUAAGAUGUGUGUUUAAGCAAAAAUAAUGUAUGUAAUAUAUUUUUAUUUACCUGUAGUAAUAAGUAAGGCCCACCAGUACUCUUAGUUUCUGCUCGAGAAGCAAUACACAUCCGCGAGUAUAAACAGGCCAACACCGCACUUCCCCAACUGUAUUCGCCCAUGGCCUCCAAGUCUUGUACAUAAUCGAGCCAAUUUGUACUAACAACAUUGCCCGUGGUAUCUGCAAAUAGUAGGCCUCCCAAUAGAAUCAGUAUGUACAUCCGAGCAUAUUGACGAACUAUCUCCUCAGAGGCAUCGGGCUCCAAUGCUACCCGUAAUCGUGCCUUUAUGAAUGACAUCUUCAGUCGGCCAUCUCGAAAAUGCCUAUUCUCUGGCCAAAUUCCUAAAAGAUCAGAAACCAUUUGUUGGCGUUGUAAGGGACUCCGUCUAAUAUGAUUUAAUGUAACAGGAAGGCCAUCAACACGCAGGCCCCACAACACCUCAACAUCCUGCAAGGUGAUGGUAGCCUCGCUCAUAAUAGGGAGAUGAAAAGUGUGUGUCUCUUGUCUCCAACGCUCAACAAGUGCAGUAAUCAAUCCAUGAUCCACAUGAACGUAACCGGCUCUACGUACCCCGCCAAAUCCAGCCCUAUCGAUGUAAUCAGAUACUCGAGGGUCUAUAUGCAUAAAGGGUUUAAAAAAUUCUUUGUCACAUCUUCUGACAUCUAGGUCACAAUAUGCGCCAUGAAAUACAGCAGCAGACCUGUGGUGUGGCUGUAAAUAUAAUAUAGAAGGGUCAAUCGGCCCUUGACUCGGGGGUUGCACACUUGUCCAAUUAUCCAUGGACAAUUCUGCCUGCAACUAAAUUAUUAUUAGUCGAAUUAAGCGUGCAUUCUUAAAAAUAUAUUCCAAAAUACAUAAAUGCCACUAAAAAACAACAAGAGAAAAAUAGCAUAUACAACAUAACAGAAAAAAGCAACAAGAGAAAAAUAGCAUAUACAACAUAACAGAACAUUAAUAUUCAUAACAGAAGAAUGCAUUUCAUUUAAAUGUUCAGAAAGUACACAAAUAUGGGUGGGUUUAUUUCACGACAAAUUAAUCCUAAUAUUCUAUUGAUGAAAGUAACCAGAAUAUGGGUAGUUAGGUGCAGUGUGUCCAGGUUGUAAACAGUUACUACACCGACGUGGAGCAUCAGGACACCUUCGAUCCAUUUCAUUCAGGAUUCUAGCCGUUCUCAAAGGCCCCGGAGUCUUUUGUUUCAAACGAUCAUCUAGGAUAUGCAAUCGUAAAUCUGCUGUCGACCAAUAUUUUGUGUCCCUAAGCGGAUAAAAAUGGCCUGCAAAUGUAGACUGGUAUGCAGAAAAUGUGUAUUCCGGCGCCACAAGAGUCAUCGGAUUAAUUCUGGACCUAAAGCAAGCUGCGAACACAUGCGAACACGGAAAUCGUAAUUCCCUCCAUUUUCCACACGUGCACGUUUGAUUUGUAAGGUCAACAGUUUUCGCGUUGCCACCCCGAUGACUUUGUCGAUGAGCAGUAGUAAUACAAAACACUCCCCUAACGGGAUCAUACACUCUAACGGAGUGUGCUCGCCCAUUUUCUUCAUUAGCCAAAUAUUUUUUCCAACUUUUUUUUGGGAGUGGGUACACCUGAUCCUUUGUGAUCUUUAGGUUCUCGACAAAUAGAUCAACUGUCUGAUUCAGUGUAAACCGAAUACAAGCUGUGCUCGGCAAUAUCCGAGCAUCCCUCAUUAAGUUGUUAAAACAUUCGGCCAUAUUUGUAGAUGUGUGUCCCCACCGAUAGCCCCCAUCUUUGCAUAAGGCCCACUGUACGGGUCUAACUGAACCUCCUGUCAACCAUGCAUAUGCCUCUGCAUUUAAUGUGAAUAUUUGUUGCAUGUAUUCCUCGUACUUUCGAGGUUGAUUUGCUGAUCCAGCAGCCCACACAAGCUCUUUAAGCCUACGCAUUGGUGAUUAUAAAAAGCGUUAAAAGUAUUUCAUUUCCUAUGAACAAAAUUAAGCCCUAAACAAGUUGAAAAAUAAUGUUACCUUUGAUUCUUGAAUUUCUGGGUAAAAUUGCUCCGCACAUGAACCAAGCAAAAUCGAUGAACUGCUAGUGGUUCUUUCCAUUCUGGGAGCGUCCUCAUUGCGUUAAUUAUUCCGUGGUGGCGAUCUGAAAUUACGCAUAUAUUUUGAAUAUCACCACACACCUGAAUACGCAAUAGUCUCAUGAACCAACUCCAACUGCGAUUAUUCUCCUCAUCUACUAAUGCGAAAGCCAGAGGAAAUAAAUGAUUGUCAGCAUCGAAAGCAACAGCAGUUAGUAUCUUUCCACGGUACGGGCCUUUAAGAAAUGUACCAUCCACACAAAUGACGGGUUUUAAAUGACGAAAUCCUUCAAUGGCAGGAGCAAAUGCCCAAAAGAUAUAGUCAAAUAUCGGACUGCUCGAAAUACUCAGUGGAUGAUGAUCCCACACAACCACCGUACCCGGAUUGGUAUAUUGUAAUUCCUGGACAUACGUUGGGAGCUGUGCAACGGACGUAGGCCAAUCGCCAUAAACAAUAUCGAUAGCCCUACGCCUGCCAUACCAGGUUUUCUUGUAUGAAAUGUCAACGUGAAAUUCUUUUUUCACUGAUGUUUGUAUUUCUUUGAUCCUAUACACUGGCCCAUUCAUUAUGUGGGGGAUAAUGUGCUCAACUAUUAUGUCGCCACUCAGUUGCCUAUGAUCGUUGUUACCACAUACACGGACACAUGUAUGCUUUUCAGCAAGUGUAACGAUCAUCCACAUCUUGUGAGAUUUCCGUAGGGUUGUCCUAAGUUGCCAAUUGCAUGAAGGUACAGAGGUGCGAGCCCGACAUCUGACAUACCAAGUUGUGGGAGUGCUUUCACGGACUUUAAACUCCAUAUUUUCCUUUAUAGACCACAAUUUAACUGCUCGUUUUACAUGGUCUUUGGUUUCAAAUAGCUGGCCAAGCUCUAACUCUUUCGUGCGUUCAUUCCACAAUUUUAGCUUCUCAACCCCACAUGCAUCCAGUGGAUCAAACGUUAAUGCAGCAUCAACACCGGCUUUAUAUCGCAGUUGUGGUCCUUCAUCAAAGGUCCAUUGAGUAUUAUGAUCCUGAUGAUCCCCUGUAUGGGGAAAUGAACCAUACACAGGGUUGUCAUCAUCGGAAUCAUCAUCUGGUUCGGGUUCGGAGUCAACAUCAACAUCAGCAUCAACAUCAACAAAUUCAAUGUCGUUAUUUUCCCCGAAUCCCCUAACUGUACACGUAUCAAUGUCCACACCAUAACUUAUAAUGGGUUCCGUGUCCAUUACUGGGUGACUACUACUGGGACGAUUAGCCUCCAUGCGGCGUCCAUUACCCUUUCUCCUAGAUCUUCGAGCCGAUCGAACAUUUUCACAAUCUACUUAGGUCAAUUGACUCUCAUAUAAGCCAAUUGUCCCUACCACAUCCAUAUGUUCCGAUCCAUAUAUGCUUGGAUCUUGAUUACCAUGCAAACUUGUAAUAGGCAAAUUUUGCAUAUCAUCAUGUUUGAAAUUUAGAAUCGAUUCAACCUCGAUAUAUAUCUCUGUCCCAUGAUCACUAUUAGCUUUCAAAAAAUACAUUCCAUCAACUCCAUUAUCAUCUACCAAGGGCGUGGCACCGAACACACCAUUUUGCAUGCAAUUCCGAAAUAUCAAGUUAAUUUUAUGAGUAUUUCGGUUUAACUCCAUCAUAUUAUAUACAAUGUCCACCAAUCCAUCAAAAUUCACCCUUUCUGUGAGGAACAUGACCUUUUUGGGCAACGGUGGAUCAUAUGAUAUUGACCCGCCAGCAUACACAAUUUUUCCUCCCCAAUAGAAUUGCAUCAUCAGACAAUUACCGCUUGACAUGUUUCACCUAAUCUACUAAAGACGUUAAUAUAAUAUAUGGAGUAAAUUAUAUAAUAAAAAUGGAGUAAAUUAUAUAAUUUAAUAUUAUUUUAACAUAAUUAUUAUACCUAAUCAGUGCAUAGAAUUUACAACUUUUUGUAUUUUUAUUUAAAUUACGUAAGCAGUCGAGUGAUAUAUCUAUGUUAAGUUCAACCCUAAUUAACAUAUUUAUGUUAAGUUAAUUACGUUUAAAACUAAUUAAUAUAUUUGUAUUACGAACCAGUUCAACAGCAUGUAUUUAACAUGCUACAACACUAAUAUGGAGUCUAAAAGUUUAUUGAUAAAUUAAUCAUAAAAAAUUUCUCUCCAAAUAAUUUAAAAUAUUAAGAUAUAUUUGUAACUAUAAAUAGUUUUGUAAAAUAUCUACACUAAUUACCUUUAAUUCGAUAUACAUGUAAUAUUAAAAAAAUUAAUAGCAUCUAUUAACAUAUCCAUAUGUCUGCACCUAUUGUUUAAAGUAUUAAUCACGUGAUAAAACUAUAUUAAUUUAUUGUUAACUUUAAUCAUGUGUUAAAAGUAUAUUAAUUGGUAACAACACUUAAAUUUAUCCUUUUUUAAUAGGAUGAUUAGUGAUAUGGUUAAUUAAUAUCUAAUCAAAUAAUUUACCUUACUAAUUAAUUAAACUAAUCACUAACUAACUACUCUACUGGGUUAUCACAUAUUCUUCCACAUAACUAGUAUUAUACAAUUCAUUAAUACUACAUUCAUUAAUUUCAACUAAUCACCAUGCUACAACAAAAAAAAUACUCUAAUUUACCAUGUCAAUUAAAAAAAACUAAUACGAAAUAAAAUAUAAACAAUGUCAUGUCAUAUUUAGAUUUCACAAAUAAUAUAUAAUAUAACACAAAAAUAGAAUUCACAUUAAAACAUAACAAACAAUAUUAUACAAUUAAUAAUCAUGAAUGAUAUGUUCCAAAUUAUAGUAAACAAUAUUUAUGAAUAAUAAUUAAAAAAAUAGAUAAGUAUUUUACUUACUUGAUUAUUGUUGUUUUUCCCUAGUCAAUGAUGGAGUUUCUGCGAGAAUUUCGUCUGUCGAGACUUGCAAACACGACUGUUCAAAUCAAACGCCCUCUACUGACCGAAUCCCAAGCUCUCUAUCUCCGUUCAAAUAUUAUAGCUUCAGACUUCACUGGAGGAGCUCCUUCAGAAUUCCUUCAGAAUGUAGCUAAGUUUCAAGGAUCUCUCUCUCCGUCCAAAUAUUGUUUGUAACUUCAAACAAUAUUUAUUUCACUUCACACACCCAAGCUUGAACAGAAUGCAGAGGCUUUACCGACAUGAGAAAUGGAGAUGCGGAGCUCCGUUUAUGAUUAGAGGGAAGAGGGAGAAACGAAAGUCUCAGCAAAAAAAAGAUACGACUGAAGUUGUGCUUAUGGAAAUGGAAUUGGGAGUUGCUCUGAAGAACAAUUUAUAAGCGAAGGAAUUGUGCAUUUCUCUAGCCCGUUGCUCCAUGUUGAAGUGACUAAAGUGUCAUUGAGAAAUAAAACAAAAGCUGUCUACGCCUGUUCCUGACACAAAACAAGCCAAAAAAAUAAAGCUGCAGUCCCAAGCGGUCAAAGGCUGCAGGCUUCUGCCCAAUAAAUUUUGUAUACGUCUGGCAGAUGUCCUGCAGGACAUGUCUACAAGGAGAGGCCAUACUAAAUGAGGACAAUCAAUAAUCGAGUCCAUUUGUUUGUUUAUUGCAUGCAUCAACCUAACAAUGAUGAACGAAUGGCAACUUACACAGGUUUCACGGAAAGGUUUCACGUGAAAAAAGCUAUCAAUAAAGCCACGGUCAAAGGUUAUAGAUGCUUGAGAAAAUUUGUUUUUUCAAAAUAAGGAGGAGGAUUUAAAAAAAUAAAUAAAUAAAUUCCCGACCGUCGCGCCAUGUUGGAGCGACGGUCAGAAAUUUCUGACACCUCUGACCGUCGUUCCAACAUGGCGCGACGGCCAGAAGAACUUUAAAAAAAAAAAAUUUGGCUGCCCGUCGCGCCAUGUAGGAGCGACGGGCAUACAAUUAUACCACCCAGCUCAAGAACCACAUUUGACGGCUAAUUUUGGGAAGCAUCAAUAUUUCAAUCAAUUCGCCGAAAAAUGUGGCCUUCGUUAAAUAUGAUUUACACUGGGGCAAAUAUCAAAAGGAGUGAGCUCCAAUUUUGGUAAUGCAUUCUAAAUCGGUUUUAUGAAAGGAAAAAGUUAAAAAAAAAAGAAAAAGAAAAAGAGUCUUUUAAAAUCGAGAUGAUAGUGACAUAUGUAUAUACCUCUCGAAUCUCUUGAAGGGAGAACUGUCAUUGGUAUUCUUCUAGUUUUAAAAUUCGUCACUUUGGAUUUUUUCAAAAACAAAAAAAAAAAACAAAAAACAAAAACAAAAAAAAAAAGUGUGUUUCUUUCAUUUCUUCUAAAGGUAUAAAAAAAAAAAAAGAUAGCAAAUCCACCAACUUGAGCAACAUGCAUUUUAAUCUUUUAGUUUGAUAGUAUUGGACUUGCGUUUUCAUUUCUUUCAGUAUUUCAUUGGACCCCGGUCUAUCCCACCAAUCUGUUAUUUCAAAAAGAAAAAUUCAAAAAAACAAAAAAACAAAAAAAUCAAAUAAAAAAAAUUCAAUUAAAAAAAAAUAAAAAAAAUCAGAAGAUCAAAUUUAAUUUCCUGUUGGUGAGUCUCAGCGUCCACCGCGCACCCUUCUAUCCCCUUAUUGACAAUUUAAAUUUCUGUUGGUGAGUCUCAGCGUCCACCGCGCACCCUUCUACCUCCCCUUCUUGACAAUUUAAUUUCCUGUUGGAGCGUAAUCGCUUCCCUCCGCGCAUCUUUUUCUAAAAGACCAAUUAAAUUUUCUGUUGGAGUGUAAUCGCGUCCCUCCGCGCAUCAAUUUAAUUUCCUGUUGGUGAGUCUCAGCGGCCAUCGCGCACCCUUCUAUCUCCCAUUCUUGACAAAUUUAAAUUCCUGUUGGAGCGUAAUCGCGUCCCUUCGCGCAUCAAUUUAAUUUUCUGUUGGAGCGUAAUCGCGUCCCUCUGCGCAUCAAUUUAAUUUCCUGUUGGUGAGUCUCAGCGUCCACCGCGCACCCUUCUACCUCCCCUUCUUGACAAUUUAAUUUCCUGUUUGUGAGUCUCAGCGUCCACCGCGCACCCUUCUACCUCCCAUUAUUGACAAAUUUAAUUUUCUGUUGGAGUGUAAUCGCGUCCCUCCGCGCAUCAAUUUAAUUUCCUAUUGAUGAGUCUCAGCGUCCACCGCGCACCCUUCUAUCCCCCUUCAUGACAAAUUUAAUUUCCUGUUGGUGAGUCUCAGCGUCCACCGCGCACCCUUCUAUCUCUCCUUCUUGACAAUUUAAUUUUCUGUUGGAGCGUAAUCUCGUCCCUCCGCGCAUCUUUUUCUAAAAGACAAAUUUAAUUUUCUGUUGGAACGUAACCGCGUCCCUCCGCGCAUCUUUUUCUAGUUAUGACAAGUUACUUUUCUUGACUGUUUUGACUAAUAAUUGUGCUUUUUCAUUCAUUUUGUGUUUCAUGUUUAGAAGUUCUGAGAGUUCAGACUUUUUCGACUUUGCAAAGACCACAGUUGGUCAAUGCACUUGUUUCAUUGUGGUUCAUUUGCAUUGGAACUACGUUUGACCUGAUUCCCAUGGUGGGAUACGUAGGCAACUCUACAUGGGUUCGGUCACAUUUUCUGCAAUGUUAUUGCAUCAUUUUGUUCAAUAAUUUCAACCAAGUGUUGGCUUGUUUAUUUUAGCUCAGGAGCAGCUAGAAGAGACAGGUAAGUAAUUUGGAGUCUACAUCUUUGUCUUAAGUUUCUUUGAAACUCUAGACAAAGAGGGGCAAGCUGUAGACACCAAAUUUUUGUCAAUUUUUAAUAUUUUUCUGAAAUUUUAUCUAUUUGAUAAGUUAUUAUUAUUAUCAUUUUUUUAAUACAUAUUAAUGUAUGAUUUUCUCAUUUUUGUAGGUUUGUUUUUGGAAAAAGAAAAAAAAACACAAAACAAAAGAGAAAAAUCAAGAAAUAAAAAAUCACUUUCAUCAUUUUCCCUACCAAAACAACUAUUAACCUAUUCCACACUCAAUUGCCAUGGACCUUUCUUUUCAUUAGCUAAGAAAUCAUCAUUUUGGCAAAUCCAACACACAAGCUCCACUUUGGCUACAAGUCCCUCUCGGUUCUCUGCUCUCUAGACAGAGAGACAAGAAAAAAAUAAAGGCACUCUAGCUCCCAGACAACUCUCGGCCCUCUCCCUCGCAGAACAAGAAAAAAACACACAGAAAAAAAAAGAGAAGGGAGGCACUCGGCUCUCUCUAGUUUCAGGAGACCAAAAAGACAAGCCACAAAAAGAAAAAAAAAAAGCACUCCAAUCCCUCUGGGCUCACUUGGCAGAGACAGAAAAAAAAAAAAGAAACGCACGAGAGAAGAGGAAGGGAAGCUCUCGGAAUUUUGCAGCCUGCCCCCUCACUCUCCCUCUCUCGGACUUGGGCGGAGGAAAGAAACAGAACAAAAAAAAAAAUCUUCCCCAACUCCUCUCGGUUCCAUCUCAACCUCACACACACCUACAUUGAGGUAAUUUUUUUAGUUUUUGUCUAGCACAUUAAAUCAAUGCUUCAUUGUUUAGUUUUCUUUCAUUUCUGCUGGCUGCCUUGUAUUGUUGUUGUUGCAAUGCUGAAAAUUGGGAAAUGGCAUGAACUAGACGAAGGAAAAGGAAAUGUUUCUCAUGCAUGCAUAUUAACCGUUUGAAAAAAUGCCAAAAUGACCAACGAAUUAAAAGGCUGAAUAUUGUGCAUGUUGUUGUCAAAACGGAUGACCUUUAGCUAGCACCAGGCCUGGAAAUGUGUGCUUAUCUAAAUUUUUUUGGAGUUUUGAGCUUUAAAGGCAUUAGAAUAAUUUUCUUCAUUUUUGGGGCUAUUUUGAUUUAAUGCAUCCUUUUGUUGUUGUUUACUUGUCAAACUAAGAUUAUAGUUGUAUUGUGAAAGUUAUAAGGAGGGUUUUGGCAUAAUUUUUAUGAUUUUUGGUGAAGAUUUGAGGGUUUUAAAAAAAUAAAAACUGAACUGAUUUCUUGGCAUUUGGCCACUUUUGGGUCAUUUUCUAUAAAAACUAAGUUCAAAAAUGGAACCUACGUGAAAAAUCGAGUGAGGGGGUGUAUUUUGAGAAAUUUUGGCGACCGGAAAGGUCGCCGGCGGCGGCGCCACCGGCGGCCGCCAGCUGAAGCUUCCUCAGUUGGCCGAAGAAGAAGGAAGAAGAAACGAUUGGGGAAGGAAGAAAAGAAGGAAAGAAAAGAAAGAAAAAAGAAGAAGAAAAUGGUUUGGGCUAAGUUUUGUGGGUUUGUGGUUAUUUUUGGUUGGAUUUUGAAAAUGGGUUUUGGUUUAUUUCUUUUGGGUUUCGGUUGGGCUUGAGGGAUAAAAAGGCAGGCUGGCCUGUGUGUUUGGCUUGGACUUUCGGCUGGGCUUAGGUAGUGUUCGGCCCAAAUAAAUAAAAUGAUGGCCCAGUAGCCUGUUUUCUUAAGAAGAUCAGAAACCGAUUUUUUCACUUUAGCCCCUUAUCUUUGGAGUAGUUUCACUUCGGCCCAGAACAUUUUAAAUUUGUUUCACUUAGGUCCUUAAAUUAAUUUCACUUUGGUCCUUAAAUUUUAUCUUUCAUUUAAUUUUGACCUCUAAACUUUGGAAAAUUAUAAUUUUUGUCCCCAAAAGUUUUUCAAUUUUUACAAUUCAGCCCCUGAUGAAUUUUGACUCUCUUUAUUAUGAUUGUUUCUUUUCUUUAAUAGCUAAUUAUGUUACUUUUGAAUAUGUUCAACUUGUAAUUUUUAGAUAUUCUUAAAUUUAUUUACGUUUGACAUAUUGAGGUGAAUUUUCAUUAUUAUUAGUUUUUCAAUUAAAUUGGUGCCAUGAUUCUUUUGUUCAUUUUGAGUAUAAAUAGGGCAAUUUGACUCCGUUUAGUCACCACUUCAAAAGGGAGGUACCCCAUUAUUAUUAUUUCAAUGUCAAUUACGUACUCUUAUGUGCUCCUACGUGUUCUUAUGUGUUUAUAUAUUUUUAUAUGCUUUGUUUGUUUGAUUUGAAUGUUCAUUUAAAUUUUCUUAUGUUUGUUUAGUUAAUUUUAUAAUUAUUUGAGAGGCACUUAAAUACCUCAAAAAUAUAAUAGAUAAGAUAAUUAGAUUUGUUUUAUUUUAUUUCCCCUUUUAGAUUGUAGUUAGGCGCUCCCCGAUAUAAUAGAUAGGUUGUGUGCUUAUGUGGCUUAUGUGUUACGUGCCUUACCCGCUUUUCUUAGGAUUUUUGCAUCUAGAUAUUAUGCUUAUGUGUUUACGUGCUACGUGCUCUUAUGUGUUUAUUUGUUUUAAUCUAUGUUUACUUGUCUUAUUAUAUAUUAAAAAUGCAUGACGUCACCACACUAGUCCAACGCUAGUUGUGGUUUCUCCCUCCGUUUAUUUGCUAGUCCAACGUUAGUAAGGAUUUUUAGAAAUGGGCUAGUCCAACGCUAGACCAUUUAGGUUGUCUUGCGCUGGAUUCAUCUUUGUGUGCUAUUCACUACGUUUCCAUGCAUGUUUUUAUUUUUAGGAUCUUUUCUCAUUUGUAUGAUAUUCCCUAUUAUAUUAUCCCUUACCCGCUAUAGGUGCUAAUCAUGCCAUUUAGAAUUGCAUCUCAUUUAAGCUAGUUCAUUUGCUUGUUCAUGUUAGGAUAAUUUUUUUUCAAACAUGGAAAAUGGGUAAUUAUAACUUUUUAGUUUAAAUACCCUACUAAUCCAUGUAUAAGAAAAUUAUGUCACGAGUUUUUGCCUCCCGUAUCUUUUAUGUUGCAUUCCCUUUUUCUUUGAUCACUUAUAUAUGUAUAUAAUUUAAUUUCUUUUCUUUUAUUUUAAUUUCAUCAUUCGCAUAUUCGUGACACAUUCAAGGAAUCAUUGUGGCCUUCGCAAUUAAUGCCAUUGGUUCGAUUAAAUCCUUGAAUGGAUAUUUUGACCCUUUCGAUAUUUUAUAAAUUUAGAUUUGCAUCCAUGUAGGAAACAUCCAAAUAUGAUAAAACUAAUGGUUAGAUUAGAAAAAAUUUUGACUAAACCUCGCAACUAGUUUCGACUAGGUUGAAAGGGUGCCUUAGGUUUGAGUCAAUUAAACCUUUGCCUUCCCUUUCUUCAACCGUGACUCCUGAACCUAUUUUCUUUUGUUUUAAAAAACCUGGGGUUGUCAAAAAGGGUUUUGAUUUAUUUUAUUUUUGUCAAAAAAAUAUUUUUUUGGCUGACUUGGUACACCAAAAUUCCAUACUAAGUGGCGACUCCUAUUUUUUCUUAAAAACCCUUUUAGACUAAAUUUUGGACCCAAAUUGUCGCAUUCUUUUUAAGUCCCAUUCUAGGUCCUUUUUCAUUUAUUAUUAUUAAAUCACAUCUUUUUAUAAACUCUUUCUUUUUUCCAUCGCGAAAAAUGGGGCGCGACAUUAUUCAUUUUUAAAAUAAUUAUUUUUUUUUAUUUUUUAGACUCGAGCUCAAGUUCGACUCAACUCAAAUUUGAUGUUGAAUUCGAAUUCGAGUCUUAUAUUGAGAGUUCAUCGAAUUCGAGUUUGAACUCGAGUUUGGUAAAAUUGAAUUGAGAUUCAACUCAACUAACCCAAAAUGUAACUUGAAUCAAUUCGUUUGUAACCCUACUUUGGACUCUCAACAACUAUCUCUUGGAUGGUGUACUCACUUAAGCAUCGAAAUGGCUUCAAAAUUUGAUCCAUUCCCUCCUUUAUUUCUUUCCACUGUAUGAGAUUUGUGUGAUAAUUGGACCUUGAGUAUGAACGCUCAGCAUAACUCGCUAUUACAAAAUUCUUGUAAGAAAGGAUGUUAAAAAUCAUGGUGGUAAAUUAGAAUGACAUUCCAAGGAUUUCAUCAUAAUUAUAAAGCCAUUUCUUCUACCUAUUGAAACUACAAUAUGACACCCUAAAAUUUCACAUCAUACCACGGAAGCCUUUAACCCCUUGCUAAUUUUAGGCAAAUAUGUACUCUUAAUUCCAGUGCUUUAGGGUGUUCUUCAAAGCAAAGUUGGGGUUUCCAAUAAAUCUUAAAGAUCUUUAUCUUACUUAAUUGAACGAACCAUAAACUUUUGAAAUUGAUUCCAUUGUAAAAGGCUUAAUUUUUAGUAACCUAUUUUGUCAAUGGUAAAUGAGGAGGGUAUUCCCGGCUCGGCUAGAAAUAGGGUCCCGCCCUGUUUCUCUUCGUUCCGACCGCCUCGGCCUUUCGCCAUCGGGAAUUGGCUUCGGCCAGGCUAUUGCCUCGGCCAAGGCUCCCCCUCGUCAGGCCGAGGUCAAGAAUAAUGACCUGGCAACCGGAGUGGCGGAACAUGGUCUCUGACACCUCUGACACUUCUGAUAAAGCUGCUCUGACAUGCGCCGUCUGACACAACUGUCCCUGCGCACCUUUCCGCAGAGUCCAUUAAGCCACCUUGAUACACUGAUCCUGCCGGAUCUCUAGGGACCUGUGCAAGCAGUCCCUCUCUCCUAUCUGACUCCUAUAAAUACCCAACACUUCUACUGAGAAGGGGGACGACCAAAUUUCUGGUAAAGGCAUACUAGUCUUCUCUAUACUUAUCACUCCUUCUCUCCCGAACUGACUUAAGCUUCGGAGUUACACCGGAGACUUUAGUCCCUCCUAUAAUUUAAGCAGGUAACCUCAUUUGAGAUAACCACCAGGAUAAGAGGCCUUCUCCAGCUCGGGUGACCCACUCCAGCAGGACAAAAACGACCUCUUCAGUAAAACUUAAGCAUUUGUAGGUGAAAUAUCGACAUAUAUCCUAAUCCGUUCGGUGUUAAUACUAAGGCACUACCCAAGUUAAUCAUAUGGUCCUAUUCCACUUUGAUCUUAUUCAGCAAUAGAAAUCCAGAUUCAAGGAAUAACCAAUGCUCAUGUAGGAUCAAAAUUCUUGUAAUUUGAAUCUUACGUCAUUUGUAUCGAUAAUUAGUGUCAAGAAACAGAAGUAAACUGUGACAAUGCUUUAGAAAUUGAUCCUUCUUGAGUUUUGUGGGACACAUGAUGCCCGCUCCGGCUCGGCUUUGUAUCCGAGGCUGGUGUCCCCGGUGUGGAUACUAAGAUGGCAGCUUGGGAAGUUCGAUCCGUUACCUUAACCCUUAUGAAAUGAUUGAUGUGAUCCCACCGCCUGACAUCAAUCCCUACAAGGCUAUCUAACACUCCAAUUGCUAACAUAGCCAGCCUACGACCGUCUUCAACAAGGAUAGCAAUUGGAACUGGUACUCACGGACACUCAUUCCAUGGAGGGUGGGAUGGGACGGGGUGGGGCGGGGGUAAAAUUUUUCCCCAAUAAAAUAUGGGGCAAGGGACGGGGACUAUACCCUCGUCUCAUCCCCAGUUUAACUAGAAUAAUAUAUAUAUAUAUAUAUAUAUAUAUAUAUAUAUAUAUAUGUGUGUGUGUGAUAUAAUUAAUAUUAUUAGUUAUAUUAUUAUAUUUAUAAUAAAUUACUAAUUACACGUUUGACUAAUUAUACAUUUUAUAUUUAAUUAUUAAUUAAAUUUCUUAUUAAUUAUAAACAUUUUCACCUAUGAGUUGGGGCGGGGCAAGGGAUGAGGGUGACGGGGAUUGGGGCGGGGACGAGGAGUUUGUUUGGGCAAUGGUCCCUUGCUCCGUUGUCAUUCCUUAUUUCCAACACCUUAAAGACAGGUCAGACACCUCAUCGAUAAAUCUGCAUACUUUAUUACCAUUACAAAUAUGCAUCUUAGAGGUAACAAAUUCCAUUCAUACUCUUCAUUUUUCAUUUCUCGAUAUCUUAUACUUGCUAACUUAAACAUCAAAGUCACAUUGAGAAGAAGCCCUAAUCUGCGUCUUUUUUGUGUUGUAGGUGACGUGCAUUUUCCCGAGGCUCUUCGACCUCUACGGGAGAUCCGUCUUCUCCUCACACAAGUUUCUAUCAGAAAUUCCAAGUCAUUUGUACAAGUUUACUUCCUAAGGCUUACUUCUAUGCUCAAAUUGCAGCAUCCGACUCAAUUUUCUGCCUAGAAUUGGUUUUGUAUGAUCGCGCAUAUGAUGGGAAACAGUCAGUUGGUCUAGACAUUCCGAAUUCUCUUAAAUAUGAGGAACUUCCCAGCUUAUUUGAUGCUCCAUCUGGACCAUCUCCUUUCGUUUCUAACUUCCACUACAUAUUAACCUUUCAUCUUCUUGUGGAUUUGUAAUCACAUAAUUUUAUUAUGAAAAAGGUUUUGAUCAUUCGAGAUUUUGUGUGCCAAUUGCAUUCAAAUUUGUUGAACGUUUAUCUAUCGCCAUUGUUUGUAAAACCGAACAUAGAUCAUGGCAUGUGAUGGGUGUCUAAAUCACAUUCAGUUUAAUGGACUCAACCCAAAAGGUAAUUGGGUUGGGUUCAAAUUAAUGUCCUAAUCCAAAGCCCAUAGGCACAUUAAAGCCCACUUUAAGUCAUCAGAAACUGAAGGUUUAUAAACCUUUUCUCCAUGCAUUAUUGACUUCGAAAAAGUUUGAGAAUUUGAGACAUGAAACUGUUAAUAUCACUCCACUUUUUAUUAACAGCACUCCCACUAUUAUUUUUAUCAUAUAGUUUUCACUUAUUAGUUUAUAUGAUAAAACAAAUUGUAAGAGUGUCCUUAACACAAAAAAAAAAAAAAAUGAUGUGCCAUUAGCAUUUUUAUCACAUUAAUUUUUAUUAAUUUUUUUUUUUUUUUACUUAAACUGCACUAAUUAUGCCUCCUCAAAGGUCAACGGCUUUGCAUUGCUCCUUUUCUUUUCUUUGUUUUUCUUUUUUACAGUAUAUAUUGCCCCCUAUUUCCUCUUGAUACAAAUUUCUAUAAUAACCAAAGUCCCAAUACAAAGCAGAUAUAGCAAUUAAUGAUUAAAUAAAAUAGAAUGAAAAGGAAACAAAAGAUUCUAAGACGAACCACCCCAUUUAAAUUUUAUUUCUACUACAUCAAAUUAAAAACUCUACCGGUAUUAACCAACGUAAUUUAACACACAAAACCAGACCAACAUUUGUGUCUUUGUAGUUGUUUUCAAGUAUCGACUCUUCUCCAUUUCUCCAAACUAAGGCUUUUUUCGUUUAGAAUAUAUUCAAUUUUAUUUUAUAUCUUACUUAUUAGUUAUAUUAACAAUUAUUCUUGUUUAGAAGUAAGAGGUACAACUAUAGAAGACCUAAAGAAAAUUAUUCAUUUUUAUCUAAUUAGCUUUUUAUUCAUAUGGUUUUGUUAGAUUCCAUUUUGAUUUGGGUAUCAUUGUUAAGUUUUUACCUAAUUGUUCAUUGCCAUUACUUAACUUCCUAGAAUAUUUAAUUUUUAGUAUUCCAUUUUUUUGCAUUGUCUAUUAUUGUUUAAGCAUUUAAAUGCUACUUAUUUUUCACAUGAAUUUUAACCUCAAAUUUGUCAUACUUUAUUCAUUACAAUGUUUUAUAUUUUUUUGUAUUUGAUUGUUUGCUUCAUCUAAACUAAAGUCUUAAUUUUGUCCCUCAUCCUAGCGUGUGAGUCAUCCAUAGUUGUUAGUAUGAAAAAAAAAAUCGCUAUACUAUUAUUGCAUAAAAUAUUAAUCUUAUUACUAUUUAACUAACAUGUGAGUCAUUGUAUAUAGAUCUUCCAAAAGUUGUACAUACUCUCUUGUCAUCAUCUCUUUCAGUUAGGGAUAGCAAUAGGGUUUGAUGGGGAGGGGGGAAAUGCUUGGCGGAGGUGGGGGCAGGGGAGGAAAUCUCCCCCAACUUUAAACAAGGUGGAGAUGGAUACCCCACCCUGCCUCUCGUCUUAAUUUAAUAUUAUAUAUAUAUAUAUGAAUAUAUAAUACAUAAUAUAAAUAAUUAUAUAUAUAUAUGAAUGUGAAAUGGAUGAUAUGAAAUUUUCUUGUGCUAACAUAAUAUAAUUUUUGUGAUAAAAAUGAUAAUUUUGCUAUGUUAGUUUACCUUUUUUUUGUUAUGGCAUGUUGUUUGUAAAAAAUAAUGAUAAUUGAUUUAGAAUUUAUGUAAUAUCAAAUAUAGAGAAACAGAUUCACAAGGUCAAAAUAAUUUUUUAAUUUUAUCUCAUCAUCAAUUUUUCGUUAAAAAUUUAAAAGAACAAUUAAUAAAUUUAUUAUUAGUAUUGUACGUAUAUAAAAAUAAAGCCACAUAAAAAAAAUAAAAAUAGUAACAGGGCAGGACGAGGGCACCUACAGGAACAGCGGGCACGGGACGAGGGAUGGAGCAGGUUCCCUGCCCCAAACCCACACCAUUGCCAACCAGCUUUCAGUUUCUAUCAAAUUACAGACAAAUUGUUCAACAAAGCUCCCAUGUUUUUCUUGUAUUUUUUACCGCGUACAAAUUUCUUUAGGAUAAAUGUACAUGGUGGGCAGCAUUAGGACCCUCAACAGCUGUCUUUCCCAUCUUCAUCACACGCAUAUGCUUUGUUUUGUCUUGACAUUCCCUGUUGUCUUCCAUAUGAGCACUUCCCCACGUCCAAUAAUGUAUCUCAUCUCUCUCGCUUUCACUGUAUUUUCUAUCAUCCCUCACUCUCACCGUUUUAAGCCUAGACGAUACAAGUCUAGAACAAUUUCUAGACGUGAAAAUUUCUUUGUACGUGUAAUUUGUACAUCAAGUGCACAUGAAUAUCACUUGGAGCACUACUUUCUUGCAUCAAAAUGUGCUACAAAUUUUUAAAGCACAUAUAAUUUUCCAAUAGAUUCUUUCCCACCCCACUUAUAAUUUCCACAUAUUGUAGUCCAUGUGCAAUUUCUACAUUAGUAUUCAUGUGACAUGUGCUUAAGAUAGAUGGAUUUUCUCACCGGAGAAAAUGUAACACAUAACAAAAGACUUGCAUCAAUAAGUGUCAUGGUAUACUUUAUAUAACUGAUUGAGCCGUUGGUCAAAUACUGUAAUGCUUAAUUUAUUAAUAAAAUUAUCUAUCGUUUUCGGAAAAAAAAAAAAAAAAAAAGCCAAGCUGCCCUGCUAUCCUUUCUGCAGUACUAGUACCUCAUAAUAUGAUCAAUAAAAUCAUGGACACUGAUCCACAUGCCUCUCUGUUAAGUAGGUGUAUAUAGGUGUCAGUCAAAUGUAUGUGUUUAUGGUUUGAUAUGGGCCCAUUCUUGGGAAAUUAUAGAGUCAGAUGAAUGCCAACUGAAAUGGGAGCUGUGGGAUUUGAAGUCUUUUGAGUGUUGUGGUUAUGAAGAUAUUGACCAAUCAAAGCCAAUAGAAGGCCACACCAUACUCUUUACAAUUUUGAGGCACAAACGAAGCCAUGUUAUCAUUGUUGUAGUUAAGUAUAACUUGUGUACGUGUCAGAAAGCUUGUGAAUAAUACACCAACUAAUAUUAAUGUGCACAUAUGCAAAAGUUGAAAAUUAUGAAGUCUUGUUUAUUAGAAAUUUAAUGACUUGGCCUAGUUGAGCCUUGGAUGGCGAGCACCUGUGACUUGGCACUACUUUGUUGGUGAAUCGCUAAUAACACUACAUAAUAAUAAAUAGGCACUAAAUCACCAAAAUACAAACACCAGAUUAGAAGUUCGUAUAUCGUUUAUCAGUGUUUAGAUAUGUUAUUUUUUAGUGUCUAUAUCUAUUACGUUAAUGCGUGCACUUUACCGUGCGUUACCAUUACUAAAUCGGUUGAGUUUCGGUAUAUAUGUUGAGAGGGAUAUAUACACAGCGAGAGGAGGAAAAUAGAAGAGGGAAAAAGGGCACAGAUGCACAGUGGCUUUAAGGUCACAAAACUCAACCCAACUGCUGAGACUAGAAAUGAAGGCCAAUAACUUGUAUUGAAUGAUCUAUCCGAGAGCAGUCUGUUAGUUGCUCAGUAAAAAUCUAUGUACUUUUAAGGUAACAUCUCUUUUUUGGAGUAUAUGUCACAGUCGCCAUGAAACUAAUUACUAUAAAGAAAGAGACUAGAUUCAAUCAGCUAAGGUUGAUCCAAUAAAUAUGUCAGGGUCCAGUCUAAACUGAUAGGAGUGUAGUUUUCAGGUUUCCAACAAACAUAUGAACAUGUCAUUUAUUGGGUUGAGAAAAAUGAAAGGUGGAAAGGUGCAACAAGCCAUAAUAAAAGAUUCCCUUAUAUAGAACAGGUUUCCCUCCAUAAAUACAAAAUACACUACCUCUCUGCCAACAGCUUAUGACUCAAGGCCCUACUGGUUGAAUGGAUGAAACUCAUCAUACAUGGGGAAGAAGGCAAAUGUACAUCAUUGGAGUGAAGAAAAGAUGAAAGAAUAUGAAUCUUAGUCUUGGUCCAUUAUUUUAUUCCUUCAAGAAAAUCUACUUUACCUGCAUUUGUUUGCACCAGAUUUCCUGGUGAUCCAGUCUUUGGUGUCAUAAAAAAUACAAAGUUUUCUCUAAAUUCAAGGUUGAUCUUUGCUGUAUUUGUGCAACGUUUACCAAGUCCCAAUAAGCUUCUUCGUGAAAAUAUUACUUGCUACUAUUGCUAGAUUCAGUCUAGGAAGUAUAAUUCUUAAAUCAAAUCGCUAGUUGAAGUCACUGAGAUUCAUGAUUUCAUGUAAAACGAGUGGUAUUUCAUGGCAAAGAAGAAGAAGAGCUGGUUCAAUCUACUGAGGAGAAUUUUCAUUGCAGAUACAAAAUCAAGAAAGGUAAAUAAUGAGUUCAACUGCUUCUUUUAUUUGCAGAAUGUUGCAUACAUCUCAGAAGGUGCUUAAUUACAAUAUUCACAGAAGGAUGAAAAAAAAGGAUGGGCAUUUGGAGGAUUUAAGAGCAAAAGAUUAGCCUCUCUAUCAGCACCACCACCUCCAAAGAAGAGCAUACUAGGUGCACCUGAAGAAGAGAAGCAGAAUUAUGCAGAAAAUGGAACCAUUAACACUACGGCUGCAGAAAUCUCUCGUACUAAUACUCGAGAUUUCAGGCCCGGUGUCAGCCCUCGAUUGUCCACUCAAGACAAGAAAGAAUCCCAUGAAGUUUCAGCAACCAAUGUCUUUAGCCCUGCUUCACAAUCUCAUCAAUGCCAAUUGCAGAUCCAACAUCUUGCAGCUAUCAAAAUUCAAUCAGCAUUUCGCGGAUAUCUAGUGAGUUUUGUCAAACUUCUCUUUUCAAACUUCUCCACUCUGUUUCUGUAUCUGCAAAUCCAACUGCAGCACUCUUAUCAAACUUCCCAUAUCAAAAGUGAAAUCACAAGGAACCUGCAAAUUACUAGUGAAACACCAAAUUAAAUUGGGCAACAAGAAUUAUCCGAGUAUCAGUUGAAACAUUUGAACUCAUUUUAGAUGGAUGAUCAUUUUCUUUCUUUCUGACAUAACUGUUUGGAUUUUGCAGGCUAGAAAAGCUUUACGUGCACUGAAGGGACUAGUAAGGCUUCAGGCGAUAAUUCGCGGUUGGGCAGUUCGACGCCAAGCCAUUAAUACCCUCAAGUGUUUGCAAAGCAUAGUGAACAUUCAGUCAGAGUUUCGUGCCAAGAGAUGUGAUAUGGUGAAGACCACUCAGCAUAAUCAAGAAAACCAGGUGCAGGACAUGACAGAGAAGGACAUAAGGGUAAGUUAACGGUGAAUUUAGCUCUUCUUAUGUUUCAUUCCUUCGUGUUGACAAAUAAUCCAAAAGCCAAUUGGCCUUCCUCCUUUCAUUUUCUCCUACUGUACUUUUGACAAUACUGGGGCUUUAUCUCAUUAAUAACGUAAAGGUUCAAACUUUUGCCUGAUUUGCUGUAAUUUAUAGUUAACAGUGGAUCCAAUUUGAUGGAAAUGUUCUUUUGGUGUAAAAUCAAUCAAUAACCUCGCCAAAGUGAUACUGUGCUUGACUGGGUAUCAGCAGAAACUUAAGAGUCAAAAAGAAAUUUCUCUAGGUUUCACAAUAUAUAUGAACUGUUGAACAUAUAGUUGAGUAAAUCCACAAAGUUCCAUAACAUUUAGUUUGCUUUCAAUAGUUCACUAGAUCAAGUAUCAUCGUCCUUAGCAUUUCCUCAUCCAUCUACUUACGCUACUCAACCUGAACUAGAAAAAUGAAAGAACAGAUUUAUCUAUUGAGUUUGAGUUUUAAUUUAUCCUAAGAAACUUUCUUCUUGUUCCAAGUAACUAAAUUAUUUUCGUCCCCAAAUCUUAGUUAUUUUCUUGAUAUCUGCAGAUUGAUACAAAUAGCCAGAGAACGUGGGAUGAUAGUACUUUGUCGAGGGAUGAAGCAAAUGCAUCGUCCAUGAACAAGAGGGUGGCUUCAAUCAGGAGAGAAAGAAUAAAGGAAUACUGGUUAAAUCAUCGGGUUAGUUACUAAAACUUUGAAUCCUGAAAUCUUAAAAGUGUAGCUUAAUUCUACCGGCACCAGAUAGCAUAGCAUCACUGACAUGAUACUGUCUAUAUUCAGAGGUCCACUGAGUCAGAACAAAGCAAGCAAAAUGUAAAACAGAGAUACUGGCUAGAACAAUGGAUGGAUUCCCAGUUAGCUAAAAGAGAAGAUCUUCGCAAUAUAGGAACAGCGUUCCCGGUAAAUGCAAAGGCCAAAGAGGAACUAGCUGGCAGAAGACUCAGACUAAGAAUUCAGAAACAAUAUCAGAUUGAAGGAUUGGAUUCUCCUCUAAAUGUUCCAAGAAGAUCAUUUCACAGGAGGCAACGUUCCAACGGAGAUGAGGACUCUUUUGUAGGCUCUCCUUCUGUUCCAACAUACAUGGCAGCCACAGAAUCUGCUAAGGCAAAAGUUAGAUCAAUGAGCUCACCCAGGCUAAGACCAAUCUGUUUUGAUGCUUACUCUGAGAUCAAUUCUCCAUAUAAGCAUAAACUCUCUCCCAUAUCUUCCAUUAAUAGUGAGGCUACAAGCUGCAGUCAGAUCAGCAAACACUAUGGUUUCUCCCAAAGAUCUCCAUGCUUGAAAGGUAUACCUGGUCCAAUCAAGUCACAUAGAAGUCUGAAGGAGUUCAACUUGAUUGUAGAGAGUAAUAAAGAUCAACUGAAUGCCUAUGGAUGAUUCAAUUAUGCCAUCCAACUCUAUGCUAGAAGUCUAAGAACCUCAGCUUUAUUGCAGAGAGCUUAUUGCGGGUUUCAGCUCUUUUGCUUUGACAAGGAAUUGAGCUUGUAUUGCAGAUGUACUUGAAUGCCAAAAUGACACAUGAAAGGAGAUAGGAAUAUUCGAAUGAAACUCCAUAGUUUUUAAGUUGUAUUCAAUUAAAACCAAUGUUACAUGAUUACCAGAUUCCCUAUUCACAUACUAUUUCCAAUCUCGAAUUGUUAUCCACAGAAACACAGGAAUCAGGCCAGUUGUGUCACUCUUUUCCAGCUCACCCAUACCUAAAGCCUGGUCCUUAGCACGGGAGAAAUUUGAUCUUUGGGAAAAGUAAAUGUCAUUGGUGACCAUUUGGAGCCUUUAUCUCGUUACUUUAUGCACCAAAAAUUGAAAUAGAUUCAGGUCUUUAAAAUUUCUGUAGAAAAUGGCAAAUGUUAGAUUAUAGAAUCAAAUAAAAGAAUAAUAAGACUAUUUUUUUAUGGUCAUGAAACUAUCUAGUGUAACCAUUGGAAUACGAUCGAAUUAAGAAUUUGCAAGAAUAGGCGAAAUCAUGGAUAUGGAUCUCAUGAUUGAUAGGCAGAAAAACUCCUGAGGCAGCAGACACAACCCACGUAUGAAACAGAACACAGGAAUAGUUUUCUGGCUUCAGCAUUAUUAUAAGCCUGUAAAUAUAAAAUUAAGUCAUUCUGUCGCUCAUGGCCUGGUGAAUGAGAAACCAACGUGCUCUGCUGAUAUGCUCUCUGCCAGACACAAAAUACUCCUGGUUCAAAGAAGAAUUUCCUGUGCCUAUUACGGAUGAGAUUCUGAUAUAUGCCAAAUAGUACGAAAGACAUUCUUGACUCUCAACAGACUUCUUUCUUUUGGCCCAUAUAGAUAACUUUACUCCAUAUCCAGGAUAAGAAAGCACCACCAUCUACAAAUUCACAAGUCCAGAUAAAGGAUGUAUGACAAUCUACAGAUUUGUAAUAAUAUUGAAAAGAGCAGUACAACCUGUCUUUCAUCAAUUUCAAAAUACUAAACAUCAAGCUACAACUUCCUGAACUUCCUGAACUAAACAUCGAGCUACAACUUACACCCCUAGGAAAUUUUGCUUACCGUGGUUACAGUUCAGCAAAUAAUUGCCAUUUCCAGUUCCAGCUGCAAUUAGCUCAAUCACUUCCUGAGCACCUAUAAGUUAAUUUGUAUCUGAUAAUUCUACAAAAUUACAACCUUUAGCAAGCUAUAUUGAAGGCAAAACAGUUGAACUAUUACACCAAAUGGAUGCUUGAUUUUGUGUCAAAAUUCAUCUUCUUCACAAGCUUCUGCUGCAGCUAUCUCGGAAUCCAACUUAUUUAUCAGCUGCUCACUUAAAUGUUUAGAAACAGAGAUCAUGUCAAGUAUGACAGAUGGAUUUAGGCCUGCACCCCCUCGCUUUGUCAGCCCACAUAUGCGCCCUUGCCUAUUCACAGAAACAGAGACAGCUGAGCUCAUCUGAGAUUCUUCUUCCGAAGUUCCAUCCACGAUGUAGUGCUUACCAACCUGCAAAAUUUACCGUGGAAGAUAUUUGAAUUACAGAUAAUGUUAUAAUUUGGAUAACUAGUACCUGAAAAUAUUAUUCUUUCACCUUUGUCAGAGUUAUAAUGGCAGGAAUUCCACUGGUGUCAAAUUGCAAAAAUUCUUCAUCACUCAAAUCAACCUCUGGCUGCUCAUCAGAGGCAGCUGAAGCCACUUGGACUUUUGGAAGAGCUGUAUUGCUCAGAGCAGCCUAAAAAUCAAUUAUUUUAAUGAAAAUCAAACUUCAUGAAAAGAUGUAGUCAUCAAACAGGUCUAAUCGAUUUAAUCUAGGAUUUCAAAAGCAGUGUCUAAGCUUCUUUCUUGCCACCAAGCAUUGAUUAAUCCGCAUUGGUAAACAAAGUCAAAAGCUGCAGUCACCAGUCAAUUCAUCAUUGCCAAAAAACUAUAUAUAUAUAUAGACCUUUGAACUGCAGUUCAUUAAUCAAAUAAAUCAAAUGUAUAAAUGCACCUUGACUGCAGCGCCCAAGGCAUCUAACAGAUUCCCAUCUGAACUUACAACAAGACCUUCUAUAUAAAGAUCCCAACAGAUUUUCCCCUCAACGAUAGAAAGAGAUGAGAGAUCUAUUCCAGCCCCUGAAAAAGCAAAGAAAAUUAAGAGCCCCAUAUUAAUUAAACAAGACAGAGUACCUCAGCAAAUUGCAUCCCUUGAUGGACUGAUCUUGCUUCUUAGCAUGUUUACCUGCUCCACUUUUACCACCCAAGAGACAGCGCUGAAGAGCAACUGAGAGUUCUGACGACAGCUCUUCCCCUCCUCUACCCUACAUGAAAGAAGAUCAUAAAGAAAACUGCUAACAAUCCAAAUGGAGGAUAAAUUAAGUAUCUACCAUAUGGCAUUCAGCACAGCUAUUAUGUUAAUGCAAAGAAAUUCCAGUGUUUCUGCUCACUAUCGAAAGACACAGUCACCUACUUAAACUAGUAAACCUAGCUGUGCAUUGCUUACAAGCAGGCAAGUAAACACACAAAUAGAUGGCAUCACUACCAUUCAUUGUCAAUUUAAACAUACAAAGGAAGUAAACCAGGGCUUCACUACCCUUCAUUGUUAACCGCAAGAUUCAUAGAACAAGAAGAAAUACCUAGUAGUGUUAAAUGCAAUCAUAAGCUCAAAAACAGGAAAUGAAGUUUCAGUUACAUCCAAGAGUUUCAAGACAAGAUAACCAACCUAAAGAUUCAUGAUACAAUAACAAAAUGCGAAAAAAUUUUAUGUUUGCACAAAAAGCUAAAAAAAAAAACAUUUUGUUUCAACUUUCUGCAGGAUCUCCAUGUUGCUUUUAUAGUGCUCAUAGUUAUUAUCCGCUAUAUUUGUCAUAUCUGUCUGUUAUUAAAAAGAAAAAAUGUUUACUCAGAACUACAAAGAAUACAUGAAUAUCACCUCAAAUGCUGGCUCAGCCGUGGGACUGCAAUCCACGUUGAUUAAUACCUUCCCUUUAUCCGGAUAAGAUGGGCUCGGCUUUCCAAGUUCAGCCUAGAAUUACACAUUGACAACUCACAUAAAAUCCCAACAUCACCACCCAAAAUGUACAAUUCAAAAAUCCCAAACACAUACAAAACAGAACCAGUACUUAAACCCAAAAAAAAAAAAAAAAAAAAUAUUCCACCUUAGCACUCGCGAUAACAUCGGUGGCACCAAGCUUAACUCUAGCUGAACCAUUAGCCUAUAGUAAAAGAAAACCCAAACUUAAAACACAAAAUUUAGCUCCAAAAAAGAAUUUCUAAGAUUAUGUUAGGGAAAAAAAACAAAGUAAAAUGAAUGGAAAAACCCUUACCUGAGGGAUGACACCUGUUUCAAUGUAAAUGGGCCGAUAAGUGUAGCGUUUUCGGCCGUCAGUACGGAGGUCCUGUUCAAUGCCUCCCUUGAUAAAAUGCUUUUCUCCAACGGAAAGUCCCACCAUUGCUGCAAAAACAUGUUAAAAAUGAGAAUAUUACGGAUAAAGAAGCUUAAUUUGGUAGAGGGGCGUGGAAAUUGUACCGUCAAUGGCCGGAGGAGUGGUGAAGAGGGCUUUUGCCGGUGACCGGAGAGUGAGAGACAGAGGAUUGUAGAGAUUUUGGGAAAUUAGGGCUCCCUGGGGUUUUUGGGUUAUAUUUGUAAAAUUGCAUGGACCGGGCACCGGGUCUAUUAUGUGGGGCAAAAUUGAACCGGUCGAGUUGAGUGGAGCAAUAUUUAAUAAGGGAAAUGGCAUAUUUAGUCCUUUUACUUUUCAAUUAAAGGCACGUUUAGUCCUCAAACUACUUACUCGACCUUAAUCGGUUCUUACACCCAUAAUUUGGUGAAAGUUAAGCCCUUCUGUGGCUUUUCACUAGAGGUGGCAAAAUGGGUGAUUUGGGCGGGUUUGGGUUGGGUAAAAUGGGUAAUGGGUAUAAGUGAGUCAACCCAUUUAUAUCCAUUUAAUUAGAUGGGUAUAAAUGGGUAAGUCAAAAAAUGAGUUGGGUAACCCAAUUAUCCAUUUAUAACCCAUUUAUUCUAAUUGUUUACAAGCUCAUAUAAAUUCAUUUUGUAAACUAAAUUAUCAAUUUAUACCAUUUUACACCCAUCAUUAAUUUUAAAUAUUUACUUAUUAUGCCAAAUAAGUCUAAUUAUAAAUUUUUUUUCCUUCCGCGUGCCAUGUUGCAAAAUUACAUAUUAUUUAAUAAUUAAACAAUGAGAAUCUAAAAAUUUGGACUAAAUAAUAUGAAAGUUAACAAAACAAUUUAAUCCAAAACUUUGAACCCCUAGUCUUUUUUCGUUUAUAAAUUUAAAAUUUCAUUUGAAAAGGUAAGAAAGGAAGCUAAAAUUUGUCAUAAAUUGAUGAUGCUAAAAAAUGAUCAAAUUAAUAAAUUACAAGGAAAUAAAGCGAUAAGAUAAAACCAACAAAUAAAACAAAAAUACUUAACAUAAAAAAUAGUUAAAAAUCCUUAUGAAGACUAGCAAUCACUUCAUUUAGCAUACAAAUAAAGACAAAUUUUCAAUAAAUACGAAAUUUAGAAGUAUCUUACCAAAUAGAGAAGAAACUGAAAAUCAAAACCGGUAAACAUACGGAGCUUCGUAAGAGAAUUGCGCAACUAAAAUUUCGUCGCAUUUGUUUCACCAGCUGAUCAUGAUUUCAAAGUCUCAAGUUCUCCUCUCUCUUAUUAGCUCUCUGCUUCCUUCUUAAAAGAAGGGGGAAUGUAAGUUAAAUGGGUUAAAUGGGUUAGAUGGGUUACCCAAUUAAACCCAUUUAAUAAAUGGAUAUAAUUGGGUAACCCAUUUAUAUCCAUAUAUAAAAAUUUAAUGCACCCAUAUCCAAUUAUUAAUGGACGGGUAUGGGUAAAAUUAAUUAAAUGGUUUUAUUUGACACCUCUACUUUCCACUAAAAAAAAUGUGCCAAUGGCAAAUCUUUAGAUUGCAAUUUUCUUUUCUUUUUCUAGAAGUUUAUGAAUUGUUUUUGAUUUAAAGUGUUUAUGGUGAAAUGUAUUUGUCUUUUUCGAGGUUGCAAGUAAUUUGUAAGAUUGAGAUACGAACACUAAAUGCCCUCAGGCGAGAUCCCUUCUUGUUAUGAGAACCUAGAGUUCAUAGAAAUAAGUGUGAUAAAUAAUUAACGAUUUAUAUCAGGUCACGUCUCAAGUAGCAUGAUCUAAACUGUCUUUAAAUUGUAAAGAAGAAAAGCAAAUUAACUCCAAAAUUUGAGAUGCAAUCCAUUUGGACAGCAAGACUUGCCUCUAGGGGUUACAGUUAAGGCAUCAAAUCUAGAUAAUUAGCAGUUUAGAUUAGGUGAUUUCUUAUGCGGUAUGACUAGAACUGUUGCUUUAAAAUAUUAGAGUAAAAGGGGUAAAGCUCUAAAAUGAGACGAUCCUGAGCCCGAGCAGAGAAUUGCCUCCUGAAGUUGCAGUUAAGGUAUCGAAUCUUGCGUCAGUAGCUAAUCUGAGUAACAGUUAGGAAUAGUUAAAUUGAUUAUUGACCUCCACAUAGGUUAGUCACUAUUAUAGGACCUCCCUUGAUAUUUAGAAAGUAGAUGUCCUAUCAAUUCAAAUACUUUGUGAUUUUGCAGCUUUUUGGACUCAACAGUAACUAGAGGAGAAGAGGGAUUACCUCCUGUAAACUCAUUCCCACGUGCAGUAAUUGACUGUAUCUAUGGGGUAAAAUUGUACAUUAAUUACAACGAUGCGUACACUCGUUAAUCACAAUUGGACACUUGACUUUCCUUUUCACCUUUAUGUAACAAGUUUAUUUUGAAUUUUGAAAUUUUGGGCCAAUCUUAGCCCCGAAUCAAUAUCUGAUUUUUCAAAGAUGCUUAUUUUUUUGGGCCAAUCUUGGCCCAUUCAUUAUUAUUUUAACUAAGGUGGCAAAAGAAAGAUUGACAACUGCAGACCGGGUAUAUCAAUGGAUCGGAUCUUAUCCAAAUCCAACCCAGAUUCAAUAUACUUGAGUAGGGUUUGGAUUUAAUUUCUUAAAUUCAAACUCUACCCAGACCCUAUAAGAGAGUCAAGGAUUUGGGUAGGAUCUGAUUUUCUAUGAUCCAUAUCCAAAUUCAAAUUCAUACCAGACAUAUCCAAACUCAUGUGUGUGUGUAUAUAUAUACAUACAUAAAAUUUAGCUUGUGCAUUAACACAAUAUAAAUUUUAUUUGUGAUUAUUUAUGAAUUGAUGCAAGCCAUAAAUAAUUAAUUAAUAUGUUAAUGUAUUAUUCAUGUUUACAUGCAUAUUAGUCUUUAGGAACUUUUAUUCGUAAACUUAUUACAAUGUUAUAAUAUUUAUUAAUUAAUAUAAAACAUAGAAAAAAGAAAUAAUAGGUUUGGUGUUCUUUGAGAUGAUAAUUGAACUUUACAAUAAUUAUAUACCUACUCAUAUUCAUUUUCAGUUAAAGACAAAAAUAUUUAGCAAUCUAUUGUCUCAUGACUGAAUUAUUAGUUUUUAUCAAAAUUAGUAAAUUUAUGAAUUUAGUAAUUAAAUUCACACUAAGCAGGUUCACUGUGUAUGGAUGAAAGGAAUAAAUCAAAUUUAUUAAAGAGAUAAAAGUUAUAAGAAGAUAGAGAAAUUAUAAGCAAAAUUGAUUAUACGUAUAAUAUAUGUGUGUGUGUGUGUGUGAAAUUUAGUUUUGCAUUUAGUACAAUUGUUUUCUUUCGUUUAGUUCUUAUUAAUUUUAUAAAGUGAAUAUAAUAUAGGCUUAAAUACAUUUUCCUUAAUUAGAGAACGGUUUCAGUUCAUCCCUUGUAUUCACGAAAUAGAUAAAAUACCCCCUAAAGUGCAAAGUUUUUUCUGUUACCCUCACUUCUUUUCAUAAUUUCUGAUCUCUUUUUUCUUUUUAAAAUUUUCUUUCAUUUUUAAUCAUCAAAAUAAUUUUUGGAAAUAAAUUAUUUAUUACCUGCAAAUCAGGUGUGCCUUGAGCACUAGUGUUUUAUAAAUUUUUUUCCCUCUUUAAUUCAUGCUAAUGAAAUAACAAAAAUGCCAAAAGAGUCUUCUAAACAUUAAUAUAACUUCGAAAGGGUUGAAAAACAUUAAUUAAGAUGUGGGAUUAUCCAUCAAGCAUAAAUGGUCUGAUAAAUAAGAAAAAAAUCAAAUGCCCACAACCGUUGGAUAAAGGUACUUGAUGAGGGAAGAAAAUAAGUGUAUUUGAAUAGAGUAUUAUUUGAAAUAUUAUUUGGAAUAAUUACUAUAACACUUUUGUGAUGUGAUGUAUGUGAAAUAAAAAGAUAGUUAAAAAUAUAAAAAUGUAGAUUGAGAAAUGUAUUUAUGAUACAAGUUUCAACUAUUGGAAAAUUGAGCAUUUAACUUGUUCUCGUUGACUCGUUACAGGUUGCAAGUUUGGUCGUCUUGUUAAAGAGUCUGGUCUUUGUAAACUAUUAAUGCAGCAGGGCGGUAUAAUAAUGUUGAAAACGAAAGAAUUAACACAUUCAGUGAACCAACCGUCAAGAUUUAAGAAAUAGUUUAUUGACUUAAAAAUUUGAGAGAAAUGCAGUUUUGAUCCUCAAUGUUUAGGUCGUGUGCCAAAUUGAUCCUUAAUAUUUCGAUCAAGACAAGUCUGGUCCCUAAAAUUUGUGAUUUUAAAUAGAUUUAGCACAACAGACGGAAAUAAAAUAAUAACUAACUGUCACCAUCAAAUUGUCAUUAGUUAAGAACUUUGACUUUGCACUUUUGUACAUAAUCCACACUACAAACUAGACGUUUCUUGGGUCAAAUUAAGACCGAACCAAAAAUUUAGCUGGUCAAAAUGUAAUUUUAAAAGCUUGAUAUUUUUCGCUCACACAAUUUCAGACUUGCAAAUUGUUGGCAGUGUUCUCUCCGAUUCCAACCAAAGACCACAGUUGCAACUAAAAUAGAAAGAAAAUUUUUUGUUUGUUUUACUAAACAUAUAUCGGUCUACAAUAGAACAGUAACUUCAAAAUUGGCAGUGACGGAACAGAAUUAAAAAUCCAGGUAUUGAGACAAAAUUUGCAUGAAAUGGAUAUUGUCAGUCAAUUGCUUGGUUGGGAACAAAAUUUCAUAUGGAUGUAGCAGGACAAUCUUCAAUAAUUUGAGCGGUUUUAUGUUGGUUGACAAGUGCAAUCAUAGAGACGAUUUAGUAAUUAAGCACAUACUAGGUGUCAUUUCAAACUGUCAAGAAACUUUGCUCGCCUUGCUCAAAUUAUAAUGUAUUAUUUUUGCCAACAAAUACGAAGCAAAAUUUGUUAAGUUGCAAUUUUUAGGUUCAGACUUCAAGGAUGGUAAUCAAAAGUAUAAUUAACUUUGGCUAGAGAUAGCAAAUCUUGAGUGCCAAAUACAAUACAAUACAAAAUAUGUUGAGGUAAAAUUUGUAGAUCCGACCUUCAAGAAUGGCAUUAAAAUGAUUAAUUUUUGGCUAGAGAUGUUAUCUUGAACUUCCUUUUAUACACUAAUAAAGGGCACACCCCCUUUUUUUUGCCACUUUUUAUUAAUUAUACUCUUCACAUGCAAAGUAUUCAUAAAUUAUGGUAGUAUUGAGUUAGUUUUUUCUUGAUUUUGGCACAUGAAGACGCUGUUAUAUGGGUAGUAAUAUUGUAUGCAUGAUAAUAAGACCAGCGAAAGGAAUAAGCACAUGAUAAAAUGGGGUAUAGUUGAUUGCUACAUUAGAAUAGUAGAGAAAGUAAUUAAAUGGGGUAUUUUAGGGUGUGCGAAAGUAAAUGAUAAGCACACGGUAAAUUUAGAGAGAAUCACAGUCAACAAAGUUUGUAUCAUGAAUAUAUGGAAUUAUUGUCAUAUAGUUUACACGUACCACUCUUCAUAUGCUUACGUUCACCAAAGCUUUUAGCUAUGAUUUUGGCCUAUUAUUUCUAAAUGCAUUUUGGUCUAGCAGUUGUUCAUCUAAAUGACUUAAAGAUUCUUUAGUUUACCAAAAAUAAUAUUGUGGAUAUUACUUGCUUAGAUGCUAAAUUAAGUUAUGAAUUGAGCACAACCAAAAUUUACACACAAGACAGUUUAGACGGUUAAAAGUUAGAGGCUUUUUUUUUUUGUAUUCUAAAUUUUCUUUUCCCUUCUUUUCUUCCUCCUCCAUUGGAGAUGGCUUUUUAUUGUUUGUUGGAUGGAUUUGGUUUUUGGUCUAAUCUCACCAAACAAAUCAAACACAAGCAACUUAGUCUCCUUUGCACUAUGGACACUUGAUCGUUCUCUUUGAUAUUGUUUGAGUUGCCUUUUCAGCUAUUUGAUUAAUUUGUUUAUUUACUUUAAGUCAUUAAUUAUUGGUUUUCAAUUUUAGGGUUUUUUGUUUUUCAAUUUGUUUGCUUGCCCUUAAUGAUGGAUUUUAAUUAUUUUAUUAUGCUAUUUUAGUUACAAAUAACUUUUGUAACGGUUAACAUGAUUGAUAUUCAUUCAUUUAUCAUUAUUGGAAUGCAUUACCAUUGUUCAGCGGAGGAUAAUUUAAGUAUUUAAAAAAAAGGUAUGACAAAAUUCUACUUACACUUCUAGACUCACAAUACCUUUAUAAAGAGUAUAGAUGGAUAGGUGUAAGGAUUCGAAAACCCCAUUUUAACUAUAGGUGUGGGGAUCCUAUUGCCCGAUUUACAGCUUAAGGGAAUUUGAAAUCUCUUCUUGGUAGCUAACUUACCAAAUGCAAAUUGGUUUGUGAAAUUUGUAUAUCGCAAGAUAGAGACUCGAGAAGCCAAGAUGUUGCCCUACCAGCGCCAGAUCCAAACUAGGUGUCUAAUUGGCCUCUACACUCGCAAGAUAGUUAGAUAGAGUGUAGAGGCACCGCCCGGAUCCAUUUCCCACCAUUAUCAAUCAUCAACCGAAUUCUUUAAGAAAAAAAAAUUGCCUAUAAUAGACGCCUUGAACAUCACCAUCCCUGUUCUCAUAAAAUAAAACCUUAAAAAAAAUUGAAUACAUGCCUCCAAGUCUUUCAAUCAUCAUUAUCCCUGUUCUCAUAUUGUGUUUGUCAACAUAUCAUCAACAGAUAAAUCGUUGUCAUGGUGCUACUAUCUUUACCUCUCUGGACAUAUGUAUCUUUUCGCAUUAUUAUUUCACAUCCGAACUGUCUUGUAUAGUAUACAUACCUUGAAUAUGCAAUUAUUACCCAAGCCAUCUGCUGUUUGGUAAGAGGGGAUUGGAAUUAGAAAUUGAAAAAAAAAUCCAAUAUAAGUUGUUUGGGCUACAGGUAUUGGAUUCAAAAUUUUGGAAUGAAUUACUAAAAUUUGGGAGUUCUUAGUUCCUAAUAAAUUGGGAAGCUUUGGUGGAUUCCCAAAUUUAAUCCAUGUGCAUGAUUUAAAAAUUAAUAUUUUGCACUUUCCACACCCUUUCCCUCACGUCAUUCUCUCUCCCUCCAUCUUUUCUUCCCUUGGUCCCUCGCAGCUUUCUCCCAUGUCCAUGACUCAUCUUUCUUCUUCCUUCUCUCUCUUUCCCUCGUACCUCAAUGGUGACCCCUCUAUUUUCCCUUCCCUCUUUCCAUAGUAGUCCUUCUCUCUCCCAUUCCACCUUUCUCCCCCUCUAUAUAGUCCAUUUUUUUCCUUCCAUAACAGGCAGCAAACACUUUGACUCCUCUUCCUUUAACUGACUCAACUUGGUUUUUUUUUAUGGGUCAAGUGUAUUAUUUCGAUGAAUUAAUCUCAAAUCUGUAUAUUUCUAAUUCCAUUGAGUUUGGAAGGAAAAAAUUUUUCUUUCCAUCACAUUCUUUUCAUUCUAACAAGAGAUUUGGUGACGGAGGUUUGCUGGGUAGUGUUUUAGUAAGAGAUAUGGUGGUGGGGUGAGUACGAAAGAGUUAGACAUAGAAGAAAAAGAUGAUGAAUUGAUGAAAAGGGGAAAAAGAGGACAAAAUAUAGGUAAAAAAUGAUAUUAAAUUAUGAUACCUAUUCCUUACAGAUAUUUGCCAAACACUAGUUAUUUGAAUGACAUCCUCACGAAGAACUCGUACCAAUUUUUUAGAAAUGAUUCCAAUUACAAUUCGGAUUCCUUAGCUUGAACCAAAUGCCUACUAAAUCUGUAAUUUUAGAACUCAAUAUCAAAAUAGCCAUGAAAAAUAUUUACUACUACUUGCUUCUUGGAUACUUUUUGUCAAGUUACCUGUCAGCUUGCUCAGCCAGGGCCACCACUACCAACAUCACCACAGAUCAAUCAGCCCUUCUUUCUUUGAGGGCUCAAAUCACUUCAGACCCUCAUCAAUUCUUAGAAAACUGGUCUCCUACAUCCUCAGUUUGUGAAUGGGUAGGAUUCGUUUGCCGAUCUCGUCAUCGUAGGGUAACUGCCUUCAACAUUGCCAACAUGAGUCUUACUGGCACCAUUCCUCCACAACUAGGAAAUCAAUCCUUUCUUGUUUACCUCAACAUGAGUCGAAACAAUUUCCAUGGAGAACUGCCCCAUGAGUUAUCUCAACUGUGCCGAUUACAAGUUCUUGACUUUGGAGUCAAUGAUCUUGGUGGAGAGCUUCCUUCCUCCAUUGGUUCCUUGCAUAAACUCCAAUGCCUGUCCCUCAGAAAUAAUAGCUUUACAGGUUCUAUCCCACCUGGUAUCUCUAACAUGUCAAACUUGGAGAUGUUAUGGUUGUUGUAUAAUUCUCUUGAAGGGACAAUACCAAAGGAGAUUGGAAAUCUACCAAACCUGAAGAACUUGUACAUGUUCUAUAAUCAACUUUCUGGUCCUAUGCCUGCUGAGAUCUUCAACAUUUCCUCUUUGGAAAGGGUUAUUGUUUCAAGUAAUAGACUAACCGGCGGAGCUUCCGAUUGAGAUUUGUCGCCAACUUCAGAAGCUGACAUGGCUUGAUCUAUCAGACGACAGGCUAAGUGGUGGAAAACCAUCAAUAUUGUCUCAAUGUUCAAAGCUUCAAGUACUCAGAUUGUCUAUCAACAACUUCACUGCAUCCAUACCCAAGGAAAUUGGUAGCUUGACGGAGCUUGAGGAACUAUAUUUGGACAAUAACAACUUAACAGGUAGGAUUCGUUCACAUGCUUGCGCAAAUCAAAUUUUGAAGAUGACAAUUUUCUUUUAAAGAUUUGUCUACGAGGGUACAACAAUUUAUAUGUAUAAUUCCAAUGAAAAAGCAAGCACACUAAUAUUUCCAGUUUUCCACCAUGCUUAGAAUAAUCCUACUUAGAUUUAAAUUUCCAAAGCUAUAGACUUUCUAAUAUAGAGAAUUCGUUAUCUUUAAGUAGUGACUUUAAACUUGUUAGGGGUGGCAAUUUCCGACACGACCUGAAAACACAACACGAAUCUAACACGAAAUUAAUGGGUUUGGGUUGAGGUUUCGGGAGUUCGGGUCGAACCCGAAAAGAAAACAGAUCGAUUUCGGAUCAACACGUGGGUGACCCGAUAUGACCCGUUUACGAAUUAAAAAUUAUUUAAUAAACAUAAAAAUUAUUUUAUCUAACUAAGCUAAGUUAUUCUUUUUUGUCAAAGGCAUUAAUUACUUAAUCCUAAAUGAAUUUAUUUAACUUGUGUAAAGUUAAAAUUAUUAUAUUUGGACAAAUAAUAUAUUAUAUUAUUUUUUAAUUUUAUACUGUUUUAAUUUAUUUUAAAUUUGGUUUUGGGAUAAAACACUUUUACGGUGUUUAAUUUAUUUUGGAUUUAGUUUGGAAUUAUUUAUUUAAAUUUUUAUUACUUGAUUAUGUAAUUAGUUUUGUGAGAAAUUAAUUUUAUUAGAAAUUACAGUACUAAAUUAAUAAAUUAAAAUUAAGUUUCGGGUCAUUUCGGGUUCACCCGCCAACCUGCCAACCCGAAAUUUUCGGGUUCAUGUCAGGUAUCUUGACCCGUUUUGGGUUGGCGGGUCAGCGGGUUUUCUGUUAUACUUGGGUCUCAAUCCGACCCGUCAACUCGAAUUCGACCCGAUUGCCACCCCUAAAACUUGCUACUUGAGAUGCCCAAUCUCUGCCCUUUGAAAUUUUUUCAUAAAAAUAAUUAAGUGGGAUUUUGUUCAUUAUAUUAUAUUCCAUUUUAAAGUUGGACUUCCUCGGUGAAUUUUACUCAAAAAAAUUAUACUCUAAACGAUAUAGGACUAAUACAAUACAUACAGAUCAAAAAUAAAUAACCCACCUCCUGAUUUUUAGGAGUUCCUAUGUCUAAGCAUAUCAUGUUUUUAAAAUCGAUUAGUGUAAGUGAACUCUUUUACUUAAACGCCUCUCAUGAGACACUUAAAUUUCUAUUGCAUAUUUUAUGUCUAUUCACUUCAUUUUUAUGGGUUUCUGAUGGCAUCAGUAGAUGCAAAAGGAGAGAUGAGUUUCCUUCUUUAGGAAAAGAAGAAUUUACUUGAAAAUUUGGAACUAAAAUAUGUGCCUGUGGUUGGCAUUUCAUAAAACUAUUAAAGUUAUGUGUCCUUUCCAAUCGCAUUUGUAGUUUAAUAAACCUGUCAUAUGUUUCCUUUUCAUUUGCUGAGGACCAUUUCACUCCAAAGAUUUAACAAACAUAUUAUAGAGAGGCAACUUCCAAAUUGCUAAUUAAUGCAAAAAAUCUGUAGUUUUGGACAUGUUGGAUUAGUUUGGUAAUAUGAAAAGAAAUGAUAUUAUAUUGGUAAUUCAAUAAACACAUGCAAGAGCUUGGGCGGUCACAUUAAUAAACAUGUGCUAGGCUUAGGGUAUUCUUGGCUGGCAACAUGCUUUGAAAAGCAUGCGGCGGCCGCCCUCUCAAUGUUCACAAUAGGUCAUUGACAACAUAAAGUCAUACCUACCUACGUUCCAAAUCAAAAUAACUUUGUCCAAAUUUUCACUUGAAAAAUAAGGUUUAGUAUAAAAAAAAUGAGCCAAUUACUUAGAACACAAUUCAAAAGUUACGACACAAUCUAUUGCAAAAAUUUGUUAACAAUUAAUGUUAAAUUCUUAAUCUAUCGAUGGCAAAAAUUCUUGUUACGAUCAUUUGCCUUAGAUUUUGUUACGUAACUUAGUGUUUUGUGUGUGUGUGUGUUUUUUUUCUAUAACUAAUAACUUAAGAUAGCAAAGUGUUAGAUUUGAAGCUUUGGAAACUAAAAUGAGGUUAUUAAGUAAUCAUUAAUUGUUAUCGUUAGGAAAAAAAAAAGUAAUCAUUAGAGUUGACUCAAUAAUCAAGAAAGGGUUCUUAGAAUUUUUUUCGCUGUCAGAUUCAGAAUUCGAAUCAUAAUUUUAACAGUUGAAGAUAGAAAGGAUAAGAGAAAAGGUGUAUGAUAAAAGGAAAACAAAAAAAAAAGUAUUCAAAUAUAUACUCCCGUCCCACAAAAUUCAUCACUUUUUAAAAAAACCAACUUAAUGUGAAUAGUCUCUAAGAUUGAUAGCUGUAUGCUUGAACUCCCCUUUUGGACCUCGUUUUUCAGUUUGAGUUAACCUUGGAUGUCCUUAAAACAAAAACAAAAAAAAUAAAAAUAAAAAUUGGGAUGGUGGUACCUUAUAUAGUCAUGUGGGACUCACCACCUGAAAUGACACAACACUUUGUUGUUGUUCGAACGCCACGCUGCUCCUUUGGCCGGGCGUAUGUCACAUGCACGAGAUUACACAAGUCAAAGUGGUUUAUGGGCCUUUAUACAAAAUUGUCAUUGACUUCUCAUGUAAUGGUAUUCAAUGGAAAUGCAUGAAAUUCUUUUUACUAGUUUAGGUAAAUGAAAAAAGUUUUGGGACAUUAUAGCAUGAUACUUUCAGUAGGAUAGAAGAAGUAUUAAAAGUUAAAUAAAGAAAGGUUAAACUACGAUUAGGUGAUCAAACUUGUACUAUGUCUUUUCUUUGAUAAAGGGGUGGCACCAAUUAGUUUUUUGAAAAAUGCAAGCUAUUUUCCUUCUUGUUUGCUAAUAAAUAUUCAAAGCCACAUGUUGGUUGAAGAUUGCCGAAACUUAUGACUUUUGUGUCCCAAAAUUAUGACUUGAAAAUUCAACCAUCAUGGCUUGAUUGUGUUGACCAAAAUAAUGGCUCCAUACCGUGUACAAUUGUAUUUUGUAUCUAGCUAGAUACAAACAAAAGUCAUAAGUUUCGACAAUCUUCAACACGGUAAGGAGCCAUAAUUGUUGAAUCUUCAACACCAUCCAACUUUAUAUUUUGCUAGAGACUAAUCAGUACUACUUUUUUUUCUGUCAAAGAUAAGCAAUUAAAUUAGAUUAGAACGCUCAUAGAGUUAACGAAAAGACUGGCCUAAGCAAUCUAAGAAGACCCACCAAACUAAUCAGUACUACUAGUUACCAACUUUUUAUAUUAAAAAUUUUAAAACCACCAUUGACAGUGAAUCGAGAACCUCUAGAAUUAACAGUGAUAAUUGCAUUAUGCAACAUAAACAUUAGGAGAUUAGAUGAAGUUGAUAAAAUAAUAAGUGUAGAAAGUAACACAAUAAACUUUUUUUCCUGAAAUUUGUGUACUAAAAUUAUAUUAGUAUUUAUAUUUGUUAUUUUAGAAUUUAUAUUUGUCUUUUUUGUGUCUGCAUUACACGGUGCAUUUGUCACUAACAAUUAUAGAGGAGUAUGAUUUGAAGACAUUAGCCUUUUCCGUUAAAUGUUUUAGGAUCCUACAAUUGACAAUUAAAAUGUAAGAGCUAUUUAUUCAACUAAGCAACUGACAGACAAGUCUUUCGAACGAAGAUAAAGGAUUAUUUAGUUACUUGCCCCAUUGUUUUUUUUUUCAUCUUUUCAAUUCAAAGACAUCGAUUUACCUGCAAUAUUUUUAAUUGGAAAUAUGGAAAGUUAAGUGAUUCUGAUCUUAUAAAAAAUUCUCAACCAUCAAUUCUCCUAAACUUAUAGUUAUUCUAUUUUUCUUAUCCCUAAAAUUUGAAUUUAUCCAUCCUAAUUUUUUUACACUUACACUGUUUUCUAGUAUCCAAGCGAUAAAGAGUAAUAUAUUGAAUAUUCAUAUGUAUAUAUAACUCUCAAAAUUACAGUGCCUAUAAUACUCUCAAGUAUAUUUCGAAUAUCUCAAGCAAUGAAGGGUAACAUUUUAAAUAUUUGCAUGUAUGUGUAACUGUAAAAAAUACAUUGCCUAUGAUGCUACUAGGAUUUUAUUUAAUUUUAUUGCUAUACAUUUUCUAGAUGUAGAUUUAAGAGUUCAAGUGUAUUUUGCAGGUGUGAUUCCCCAAGAGGUGUAUUUAUAGCUUGGCUAUAACCAGUCGAUUGGUGAGAUCCUUUUCUUUUGUACACGUCUAAUUUUCCUUUGCACAUUUCAUAUUUUCAUCACUCUAUUUAUUGUCACUUGGGACCUCAAAUUUUUGAUUUUACCACUUCACAUUUUAAAGUUAUAAACUCAGCCCAAUUCACCCCAAUCCAGCAACUUGUCCAAGAAACUAGGCAAACGAUAUGUUGAUUCCAUUAUAAAAAUGUGAGAGCACUGUGCUUUAGUCUACUUACGUUAGCAACCUGAGCAGUUUGGGCGAUUUGAAGGUUUCAUAAUUGAAGUGCGGAAAUAUAUGCAACUAAUUAACAGUUAAUCACAGAAGAAGAAGGUACUAAUUAAGCCAGGAUCACUAGCUAAUGCCAAUCUAAUAGAUUAGAAAAGAGCUGUAUGUUUUGUACAAUGGAGGUGUAAAGUCAGAAUUAGCCUAAUCAUCAUGUUGCAAAAUCGAUUUAGUCCUUGUAAAAAGGCAAACUAGUCUCAAAAAGAACGCUAUAUAAUUGAUUGAACAUGUUUAAACCUGCUUAUUCUGCAGGUACAAUACCACAACAGCUUGGCAAUCUGCAGAAUCUAGAAGGGCUAAGUCUGACGUUCAAUAAGCUUGCAGGAUCCAUACCUGUUCAACUGUUCAACAUCUCAACGCUGCAAAUAUUGUUACUUCCGGGCAAUAAUCUUUCUGGAAAUCUUCCAUCAACAGUGGGUUCUGGAUUAAUCAAUCUGGAAAAGCUUUAUCUCGAUGGGAAUGACUUUGAAGGAGUGAUACCGGCCUCGAUAUCAAAUGCAUCCAACCUAGUAUGUUUAAGCUUGGCUGCCAACAGAUUCAGUGGUCCAAUUCCUAAUUCUCUUGGGGAUCUAAGACUUCUAAGAGAACUUAGUCUCUUCCAAAACAAUUUCACAAAUGAUCCUUCGUCACCAGAGUUGAGCUUUAUUAGUUACUUGACAAAUUGCAAGAACCUAACAAUCUUAAUAUUCGGUGACAAAUUGACAAUCCGUUGCACGGCAUUCUUCCGACAUCUGUUGGAAACCUUUCUACUUCACUUGAAGAACUUUACGGAUAUCAUUGUAUUAUCAAGGGAAACAUUCCUGAAGCUAUUGGUAAUCUGUGCAAUUUAUGGGUUUUAAGUCUAUUUGGAAAUCAACUGAGUGGACCUAUUCCGGCCUCAGUGAAAGACCUGCAGAAACUUCAAGUUCUAGAUUUGAAUGAUAACUAACUUGGUGGAUAUCUGCCAGACACUCUUUGUGGCUUAAACAGCUUAUAUGGUAUGAAUCUAGGCCAAAAUUGAAUCCAAGGAUCGAUCCCCUCAUGCUUAAGUAGCAUUACAACUUUGAGGGAGAUUAGAUUUGGUGGAAACUUAUUAAACUCUACCAUACCAGCAAGCUUGUGGAGCCUCAACUAUCUCUUGCAUUUGUAUCUGUCCUCUAAUUCCUUGAGCGGCUCACUACCUCGAGAAAUUGAAAACUUGAAGGUAGUGGUGAAUUUAGAUUUGUCAGUAAAUCACAUUUCUAGAAGUAUUCCAAGCUCAAUGGGGGGUUUGCAAAGUUUAUCUGGACUUUCUCUGGCACAAAAUAGACUUGAAGGAUCUAUUCGAGACUCACUGUGGUCUGUAUUAUAUAGGCUUGGAAUUGCUGGACCUAUUUAGUAACAAUCUCUCCGGUUCAAUCCCAAAAUCCUUGGAAAAACUUGCACACCUGAAUUCCCUUAAUCUUUCUUUCAACAAUUUAACAGGUGAGAUUCCUUCUGUUGCUCCUUUGAAGAACUUCACAAGUCAAUCUUUCAUAUCUAAUUGUUGAGCCGCAAGGUUUGACUUUGGUGGUAAAAUUUUUCAUCCCACGUCGAAGACCAGCAAUGGAAGCCUUCCCUCUUGAUACCUAUAAAUAAGGCUUCCUAUGAAGGAAUCAAUUGCACCACUCAAGAGAGCAUUAUAUAGGCUAUUAGUUUCUUGGGUCAUCUAUCCCAUUUAGUCAAAUAUUUUAGGCUCUCUUGUUUUGAGUUUAGGAAUAUUUUCCAAACUCUUUUAUAAGUGCCAUUUUGGCCUAGGAACCACUUUCCUACGGCUUUUGUAUUUCUUCUUCAUAGUAGAAAUAUUGCUCCUCCUCCGCCCGUGAACGUAGGUCAAUUUGAUCGAAUCACGUAAAUUUUUGUGUCUUUUAUUUGUUUUGUUAUUUGUCUUUAUUGGGUUGCCACAACCCUUUUUAUAUGGUCGGUUUUACCGCCUAAUUAUUAUAUGGCUGGUGUUUACCGCCUAACCAUUAUAUGGUCGGUUAUACCGCCUAUUUUGUUCUAAUUUUAAUUUGUUUAUUCCUAGAUCAGUCCUAACAAGUUGGUAUCAGAGUUAGUUGAUAUAUUUUGCAAGACAGGUUCAUUUGGUGGGGCCCGUUCAUCCGGUGGGGUCCGUUUUACUUGGGCCCGCUCACCUUGUGGGGCCGGUUCAUCCGAUUGGGCCCGCUUAUCUCGUGGGGCCCACUCACCCUGUGGGACCCGCUUAUCUCGUGGGGCCCGCUCACCCUGUGGGACCCGCUCACGAGACUUGCAUAUCUGUUUGACUAGUUUUUUUGAGACAAGUUUCAUGUUAUAGAUUUUGUGGCAACAAUAACGAUAACAGAAACGGUUAUCGAAUAAUUCGACAGGAAUGUCAACUUCGGCAUGUGGCAGCUCAAGAUGAAGGCCAUUCUUGUUCAAGACGGAGUUGAUUUGGCAAUUCAAGGAAUUGAGAAAAAGCCAGAAGAUGUAAAGGAUGCAGAUUUCGCCGAUAUGAAUAAGAAGGCUAGAUCCAGCAUAAUUUUGAAUCUCUCCGAUGAAGUUUUACGGGAGGUAGCAAUGGAGACUUCUGCCAAGGCUAUGUGGGAUAAAUUGAAAGUCUUGUAUAUGAAGAAGACAGUCGAGAAUCGGCUAUAUUUGAAGCAGAGUUUGUAUAUGUUUCGGAUGUCUGAAGGUACAUCUAUACUCUCCCAUCUUUGAUAAAUUUGAUUCUAUUAUUAUGGAUUUGGAGAAUAUUGAUUCGAAAAUUGAUGAUGAAGAUCAGACCAGACAUAAAAAUGUGGUGUGCAACUAUUGUAAAAAGAAGGGUCAUGUUAUCUCUGAUUGCUUUAAAUUGAAAAAUAAAGAAAAGCAAAAGGAGAAAAAGAGUGAGACCACCGAGGCUAGUAUUGCAGUUGAUGAGAAUGACUGAGCCAUUUUCUGUGCAACGAAAAAUAAUUUUAGGUCUAACAAUGAGUGGAUUAUAGAUUCGGGUUGUUCAUAUCAUAUGUGUCUCAAUAGGGAUUGGUUUUCAACUUAUGAAUCAACUGAAGGUGAAGUUGUCUUAAUGGGUAACAACGCCGUUUGUAAAGUUAUUGGCAAAGGCACAAUCCGGAUUAAAAUAUACGAUGGUAUUGUGAGGACGCACACAAAUGUUAGACAUGUUCUAGAUUUGAAGAAAAAUCUCAUCUCUUUGAGCACUCUUGAGUCUAUUGGGUGCAGGUAUUCUGGUGGAGGUGGAGUUCUCAAAAUCAAUCGAAGUGCUCUUGUUGUUAUGAAGGCACACAAAUCUGGUACUUUAUAUAUUUUGCAGGGAUAUACUGUUAUAAGUGCUGCUGCUGUUUCAACAUCAUCUUUAUCAGAUACAGACAUUACCAGAUUAUGGCAUAUGCGUUUAGGGCACAUGAGCGAAAAAGGCUUGGGUAUACUGAGCAAAAGAGAACUUCUUUGUGGACAAAAUACCGGACCAUUGGAAUUCUGUGAACAUUGUAUUUUUGAGGAGCAGAAAAGAGUCAGCUUCAGUUCACCAGCAAUUCACAAGACAAAAGGUACUCUUGAUUACAUUCAUUCAGAUCUAUGGGGUCCUUCUCGUGCUCCUUCUAAAGGUAGAGCCAGGUACAGGUUGACUUUCAUUGAUGAUUAUUCAAGGAAAGUUUGGGUCUAUUUUCUUAAGUAUAAAAAUGAUGUUUUCCUAACUUUUAACCAAUGGAAAGUUUUGAUUGAGAAACAAACAGGAAAACUUAUUAAGCGGUUGAGAACAGAUAAUGGCAUGAAAUUUUGUAAAGGUGAAUUUGAUAGAUUCUACAAAAAUGAAGAAAUUGUUCGGCAUCGCACUGUUAGAAUGACGCCUCAACAAAAUGGUGUAACCAAACAUAUGAACAGAACGCUUUUGGAGAGAGCAAAAUGUAUGAUCUCCAAUGCAGGAUUGACAAACGAUUUUUGGGCAGAGGCAAUCAAUAUGGCCUGUUAUAUUGUCAACCAUUCUCCUUCUGCAUCUCUUGAUUUAAAAACUCCUGAGGAAGUUUGGUCAGGUAUUCCUGCUGAUUACUCCAAUUUAAAAGUUUUUGGGUGUCCAAUAUACAUGCAUGUGAAUAAUGAAAAAUUGGAGUUUAGGGUUAAAAAGUGCAUUUUUCUUGGGUAUGCUUUUGGGGUGAAAUGAUACAGAUUAUGGUGUUCUGAUCCCAAAUCUCCAAAAUUUGUAAUCAGUAGAGAUGUUACUUUUGAUGAAUUGUCUAUGUUAUCUUCCAAAAAGGAGUCUUCUAGUCCUUGUACUACUGAUAGUACACAGAAGCAGGUGGAGCUUGAUAUUGGCAGUUCUGGUCCUUCUCAGACAAAAUUUUCUUUUCAUCAAAUGCCAGUAGAUGCACCUGAAUCUACUGUUGAAGAUAAUUCAGAUGAAAAGGAGUAUUCCAUAACCAGAGAUAGACCAAGGAGAGACAUUCGACCACCACAAAGAUAUGCAAAUUUAGUUGCAUAUGCUUUGUCUGUUGCAGAAAAAAUUGAUGCAGUUGGUGAGCCUUCCACCUAUUCAGAGCCUUUCACCUAUUCAGAGCAAGAAACUGCUUCUGAAUAGGUGGAAGAAUCACCAACUGCAUCAGUUUCUUCUGCAACAGACAAAGUAUAUGCAACUAAAUUUGCAUAUCUUUGUGGUGGUCGAAUGUCUCUCCUUGAUCUAUCUCUGGCUAUGAAAUACUCCUCUUCAUCUGAACUAUCUUCAACAGUAGAUUCAAGUGCAUCUACUGGCAUUUGAUGAAAAGAAAAUUUGGUCUGAGAAGGACCAGAACUGCCAAUAUCAAGCUCCAUCUGCUUCUGUGUACUAUCAGUAGUACAAGGACUAGAAAACUCCUUCUUGGAAGAUAAUAUAGACAAUUCAUCAAAAGUAACAUCUCUACUGAUUACAAAUUUUGAAGAUUUGGGAUCAGGACACCAUAAUCUGUAUCUUUUCACCCCAGAAGCAUACCCAAGAAAAAUGCACCUUUUAACCCUAAACUCCAAUUUUUCAUCAUUCACAUGCAUGUAUGCUGGACACCCAAAAACUUUUAAAUUGGAGUAAUCAGCAGGAAUACCUGACCAAACUUCCUCAGGAGUUUUGAAAUCAAGAGAUGCAGAAGGAGAAUGGUUAACAAUAUAACAGGCCAUAUUGAUUGCCUCUGCCCAAAAGUCGUUUGUCAAUCUUGCAUUGGAGAUCAUACAUUUUGCUCUCUCCAAAAGCGUUAUGUUCAUACGUUCGGUCAUACCAUUUUAUUGAGACGUCAUUCUGACAGUGCGAUGCCAAAUAAUUCCUUCAUUUUUGCAGAAUCUAUCAAAUUCACCUUCACAAAAUUUCAUGUCAUUAUCUGUUCUCAACCGCUUAAUAUGUUUUCCUGUUUGUUUUUCAAUCAAAACUUUUCAUUGCUUGAAAGUUAGGAAAACAUCAUUUUUAUGCUUAAGAAAAUAGAUCCAAACUUUUCUUGAAUAAUUAUCAAUGAAAGUCAACAUGUACCUGGCACUACCUUUAGAAAGAGUACGAGAAUGACCCCAUAGAUCUGAAUGAAUGUAAUCAAGAGUACCUUUUGUCUUGUGAAUUGUUGAUGAAGUGAAACUGACUCUUUUCUGCUUCCUAAAAAUACAAUGUUCACAGAAUUCCAAUGGCUCGGUACUUUGUCCACAAAAAAGUCCUCUUUUGCUCAGUAUGCCCAAGCCUUUUUCGCUCAUAUGCCCCAAACGCAUAUGCCAUAAUCUGGUGAUGUCUGUAUCUGAUAAAGAUGAUGUUGAAACAGCAACAACACCUGUAACAGUAGAUCCCUGUAAAAUAUAUAAAGUAACAGAUCUGUGUGCCUUCAUAACAACAAGAGUACUUCGAGUGAUUUUGAAAACUCCACCUCCACCAGAAUACCUGCACCUAAUAGACUCAAAAGUGCCCAAAGAGAUGAGAUUUUUCUUCUAAUCUGGAACAUGUCUAACAUCUGUGAGUGUUCUCACAAUACCAUCGUACAUUUUAAUCCAGAUUAUGCCUUUGCCAAUAACUUUACAAACGGCAUUGUUACCUAUUAAGACAACUCCACCUUCAGUUGAUUCAUAUGUUGAAAACCAGUCCCUAUUGGGACACAUAUGAUAUGAACAAUCUGAAUCUAUAAUCCACUCAUUGUUAGAUCUAAAAUUAUUUUUCGUUGCACAGAAAAUGGUUCAUCAUUCUCAUCAACUGCAAUACUAGCCUCGGUGGUCUCACUCUUUUUCUCCUUUUGCUCUUCUUUAUUUUUCAAUUUAAAGCAAUCAGAAAUAACAUGGCCACUCUUUUUACAAUAGUUGCAUACCACAUUUUUAUGUCUGAAUUUGGAUCUACUUCUACUUUCUGUAUUUCUCUUUUCAGAUCUACCCCUAACAAACAAGCCAUCGGCUUGACUCCUACUAGUUUUUUCAGUAAUAUCCCUAUCUAUCUGCUCUUUAGAUUUUAAUACAGAUUUAAUUUUCCGAUACGAAAUUGUUUCCUUUCCAUAAAUCAUAGUAUUACGGAAAUACUUAAAGGAUUGGGGAAGGGAAUAUAAAAGUAAUAGGGCCUGAUCUUCAUCAUCAAUUUUCGAAUCUAUAUUCUUCAAAUCCAUAAUAAUUGAAUCAAAUUUAUCAAGAUGGGAGAGUAUAGAUGUACCUUCAGACAUCCGAAGCAUAUACAAACUCUGCUUCAAAUAUAGCCGAUUCUCGACUGUCUUCUUCAUAUACAAGACUUUCAAUUUAUCCCACAUAGCCUUGACAGAAGUUUCCGUUGCUACAUCUCGUAAAACUUCGAGAUUCAAAAUUAUGCUGGAUCUAGCGUUCUUAUCCAUAUCAGCGAAAUUUGCAUCCUUUACAUCUUCUGGCUUUUUCUCAAUUCCCUGAAUUGCAAAGUCAACUCCGUCUUGAACAAGAAUGACCUCUAUCUUGAGCUACCACAUGCCGAAGUUGACAUUCCUGUCGAAUUAUUCGAUAACCGUUUCUGUUAUCGUCAUUGUUGCCACAAAAUCUAUAACCUGAAGUUUGUCUCAAAAAAAUUGGUAUCAGAACUGGUUGAUAUAUUUUGCAAGACAGGUUCAUCUGGUGGGACCCGUUCAUCUGGUAGGGCCCGUUCAUCUUAUGGGGUCUGUUUAUCCUUGGGCCCGCUCACCUUGUGGGGCCCGUUCAUCCGGUGGGGCCCGCUUAUCUCAUGGGGCCCGCUCACCCUGUGGGACUCGUUCACGAGACUUGCAUAUAUGUUUGACUAGUUUUUUUGAGACAAGUUUCAGGUUAUAGAUUUUGUGGCAAUAAUGACGAUAACAAAAAUGGUAGUCGAGAAAUUCGGCAAGGUUAUGUCAAGGUCGAGAUUUGUUGAGCCGCAAGGUUUGACUUUGGUGGCAAAAUUUUUCAUCCCACAUUGAAGACCAGCAACGGAAGCCUUCCCUCUUAAUACCUAUAAAUAAAGGCUUCCUAUGAAGGAAUCAAUUGCACCACUCAAGAGAGUAUUAUAUGGGUUAUUAGUUUCUUGGGUCAUCUAACCCAUUUAGUCAAAUAUUUUAGACUCACUUGUUUUGAGUUUAGAAAUAUUUUCUAAAAUAUUUUGUAAGUGCCAUUUUGGCCUAGGAACCACUUUCCUAUGGUUUUUGUAUUUCUUGUUCAUAGUAGAAAUAUUGCUCCUCUUCUGUCCAUGGACGUAGGUCAAUUUGACCGAACCACGUAAAUUUCUGUGUCUUUUAUUUUGCUUUGUUAUUUAUCUUUAUUGGGUUGCCACAACCCUUUUAUAUGGUCGGUUUUACCGUCUAAUUAUUAUAUGACUGGUGUUUACCACCUAACCAUUAUAUGGUCGGUUAUACCGUCUAUUUUGUUCUAACUUUAGUUUGUUUAUUCCUGAGCCAGUCCUAACACUAAUCCUAUGCUGUGUGGUGCUCCAAGAUUUCUUGUCCCUCCAUGCACUACUUCUCCUUUUCACACAUCAAGUAGGAAGAAGAUAUUAUUAGUCAUAUGCAUGUUGUCAGGUACUUUUGUAACAAUGAUUGCUCCUACCUCAGCAAUUUUGUUUGUGCGAUAUAGAAGGAAGAAUGUGGUUCCAGCAACAAUUGAUUUAUCGCCCAAGAGGACACCAGAAAGAAUCUCGUAUUAUGAGCUGUUACAAGCAACAACGGUUAUGACGAAAGCAAAAUGGAGUGCUUGUGGCUGUGAAAGUGUUCAGUUUGCAUAUGGAGGAAACAUUUAAGAGUUUUGAUGCAGAAUGUGGAGUUUUAACAACAUUCGCCAUAGAAACCUAACCAAAGUGAUUGGUUGUUGCUCUAACCUCAACUUCAAAGCCUUAUUGCUUGAAUACAUCUCCAAUGGGAGCCUUAAGAAGUGGUUGUACUCCAACAACCAUUACUUAGAUUUAAUGCAAAGGUUAGAGGCCCUUAAUUCAACAUUGUAGAGUAUGGACUUGAAGGUCUAGUGUCAACAAGAAGUGACGUGUAUAGUUUUGGCAUAGUUUUGAUGGAAACAUUCACAAGAAUGAAGCCAGGUGAUGACGUGUUUUCCGAAGAUAUGAGCCUAAAGCGCUGCUGGAUUGAAGAUUCUCUGCCUGACACAACAUUUCAGGUCAUAGAUACCAACUUACUCGGGCCAGAAGAUGAGUAUUUCACGAAGAAGCUGGAGUGCAUUUCCUUGGUUUUUGAAUUGGCUUUGAACUGCUGCGCUGUAACUCCAAGAGAUAGGAUUAACAUGAUCGACGUCGUCACAUCACUGAAGAAGAUAAAACAUAACCUCAAAGAUUUUGCUAGGGAAACUUGAACAAAGAAAGUAUAUUCAAAUUGAUUUCAAGUACCCGUAGAACAUAAGCCACGAAUUCUACUACUCACAACUGAUGCUCGAAACAUCAUCUUUUGCAGGACGAUGCCAAAUUUUGAGAUAUAAGCUAGAGUAUUGUCUUAUCCUCUCAAUACACCAAUGAGUUUUUUCCAUGCCAUUGCCAGGUUAUAGUUAUGCAAAUGACUUCUUUGCUCAACAUAAAACUCAAUAAGCAUGCUGUAGCUUUCUUAGGUUAAUUCUUUUGCCUACAUUCGGUUGAAAAAACUCUAGAGCAUCAGCUUGUGAUGUUUUCUUUAACCUGAAAUUUAGCUAAAACUCGAUAAAGGAAGCUAGGAUUUUUUUUCCAAGUUUUCAGGUUGACGUUUCAAAAAAGGAAACAAAGCAACACAUCAUAUGCCGGAAAUGUUGAUGCUAAAUUGCAAAUAUAUCUCGUCGGCCUGUAAUGGACUUGCCAAAUUGUGAGAAUAGUUCAAAACUAAUGUCAUGUCAGAGUUUAAACUAUGGCAAAUAUUUCACCUGAAUAAAUUAUUGACUAUCAAUACCAUAUUAAAGCACAAAUAUGAUUUGGUGAUUUAGCGAUAUAAUUUUUUCUUUUCUAAAAUGUCCUUAGCAGUAAUAUUAAUGAUUUUAAUCAUUAAUUUUAGGGAUUAGAACGAAUCCCCUAUUGCUUUUUCUCUCAAAAUCUCUCAAAUUGCGAGAGGCAAGUACUAGAGUUUAGAACUGGCAACCAUGUUUGAUUAAAUAAUCCUCAAUUAGGAGAUAAAAUCUGAUGAUUAGAGGUGGAUCUCUAAGGAUGGAGAAAGCACAAAGCGUGCUGAUGACAUAGAGAAAAAUUGUAUUGAGAAUUUGAGGAGAGAGUUGUUUUGGCAUAGAUAGUUAAGUAAAUGCGUAUGACAACCUUGAUGUUUAUUCGGUAUGCUUCAAAUUUUACUAUUCUCAGUGAUUACAUUACCGGAAACUCUAUGUAUAUGUGCUGCUGCAUUAAAUUGCAUGUUGCUUAUUUGAGUUAAUUCUGCUGCCUGUUACUACAGUCUAAUUACAUCCAAAUUGUAAAUAAUGGUAUGCAUAUGAGGGUAAUGGUCAACACUGGAAAGGUGAAAUUAGGUGCAUCAGGGGCGGAGCCAAAAAAAAAUUUUAGUGGGGGCAAAAAUAACAUCAAAAUUUUUAUCUACUCUUUUUCUAAUUUUUUAAGCAAAAAAAUAAUAAAUUCACCAACAAGUACAAAUGGGGGAAGAAAGAAGAGCCGUCGGUUGUGAAGGGAAAAUGGGGACCAGAGGAGGAAAGGGAAUUGGGGAGUGGGGACCAAAAGAAAAGACUGAUAUAAUUGGUACUUGGCUCUGUUGGGGGAAAAAAUGGGAGACCAGGGGAGGAAAGUGAAUGAUAUAAAAUUUGUGACCUAUUUUUUCACAUUUGUUCUAAAAAAACUCUGGGGGCACCUUUACGAUUAUAUCAAAAUUGUAUAACUAUUAUACAAAUUUGAGGGGAGGCAGUGGGGGCCCAUGCCCCCAGUGCCCCCACCUUAAAUCCGCCCCUGAGGUGCAUGUCACUUGCCCGGCUCAGCUCAGUUCUUGGUUUUUAGCGUAUAAUUUACUGCACUACCUAGUUCCAUACGCGGUUCAAUUGUAGCGCAGGCCCUUGGAGUUUGUUAACUAACUAGGGGUCGAAUAGUAAGGUGAUGCUUUACAAUUUUUCUUGAGUAUCUAACGCUGGGAACUUGGUGGAUAGUAUUUCUUCUUGAGAGUGUAAAUGAAGUUAGGCCUAAAGGUUUCUUAUCUGUCUCUUAUUAUUUUCAUGAAAUUUCAAGAGAUUAAAUUGCUUGCAGGGAACCAGGGAUUCUAGCAUGAUGUUACCGAUUUGUGCUCAAGAACUACAUCUUGUUGAGUUAUGCUUAGAUACCAAAAGAAUAUGGUGAUUUGAGUCUGGAUUUCUGAACAGCUUACUAGUGGCAUUCGGAUUGCGUUGUGGAGCAGAAGUUUUAAUUUGGUUACAUAUCAAGUGUAGAAUCAUUUUAAUUGCAAUUUUUUUUUAAUUAUCAAGUAUUUAUAACAAAAUGUAUUUGUAACUCUUGUAAGAGUAAGAUGGGAAGUUAACACACUGAAUGCCCUUAAGGAAGUAAUAUACUCCCUCUGUCCUAAUAUUAGAGUCGUUUUUUGGGAAUCUAAUUUUUUAUGCAAACAUGGUAAUCAUUAUGUUUAGAAGAGAUGGCAUUAGUAAAUUGACAAAAGUGUUCUUUGAAUUCAAAAUAUUCUCUUAUAGAUGUGCAUUGGGAUUUUAAAAAGAAAAUUAAAAAGCUUGUGUUAAAUUUGAAAUAGUAACUCUUAUUUUAGGACAUUAAUAAAGUGAAAACAUGAUAAUAAUAAUAGGACGGAGGGAGUACUAGUUACUUCAUCAAUCUGGUGCAUCGUAUACCUUCAACAGGUUGAGUUUGCUGGAGUUGCAGGAUCAUCGCAUGAGACAAGUAGGGUCUAGAUCCAAUGGUACUGUCUUAUGUGGCAUGAUUUGGACUGUGAUUUUAAAUUUAAAUUAAAAAGAAAAAAAAAUUGCAAAAUUUGAUAUGCAACUGGUUCUGGUUCCCUAUUUGCCUGGUAAAGUUGCAGCUGACUGCACCAGCAGCUAUUUAUUAUUAACUUCUGGGAACAGUUAAUUACAUUGACCUCUAAAAGGGUUUAUUAUGACUAAUGAACACAUCCCUAGAUUUUAGAAAGUAAAAAGACCUCCCUAUUUAUUGGGAUUUGUUUGAUUUUGGAGCUUGAAGCAUGAACUAUCACUAGUUUAACCACUAGUCGUGAGGACUAGUGGCCAGGGAGUUAAAUUCCCGCCUGGUAGAUCAGAGUUCAAUUUUUGACUAACAAGUUUAUGACGGGGAGGGAAUAAAGGAGUGGGGGAGGUGAAAAAAAAAAACAACUAUCACUCGUUUGCAAUAGGGAUUGUGUUGUGUAGAGUAAACUCAUUCCCACAAGUCAGAGAUUUUAAUAAACAGAGAAAAACAAGUGAAACUAUUUGGUAAGACCUGUGUAUAGCACACAUAAAAACAUGUACAUUAGUAAUUGAAUAUUGAAAUUUUGGACCAAUCUUGGUCCUGAACCAUCAUGUGUAUUUUGCAAAUUUUCUGACUAUUCCCCAUCUUUAUUUACAGUACUAAAAAAAAAAGAAAAAACAAGGCUAGAGGAACAUUUUUACAAACUUGGGGAUCUUGCUAAGAUCAUGACAAAAACUCAGGCGAAUUUACUAUGAUAACAUUAUCUUUUUCAGUUUUGAAGGAUUAUGAGAUCAUCUAUUAAAGAUAAGUCUGAAUUUGCGCCCACUUCAUGGGAAAUGGUCAAUCUCUACCAACUUUCUAGAAUAGUGGCAGUUUCAAAGGUCAAAGGAAAAGACGGACUGUUUUGCAGUACAAUAAUACCCAAAUCUCAAGUAAAUGAGACUGAUAUAGUACAAUGGAGGGCAUUCAGACAAAAGAGGAGUACAUGGCUGUACUAAACCAAACCCUGAAUUCUUUUGGUCUAUGUUAUAACAGGAGCAAGGCAGUACCAAACAUUGGCUCCUACAUGUAUCACAUCAGGCAUCAUGGUUGUUAUCCUUGUGCUGUCAUGUCCAAAAAUGCUUCAAUCUUAGUCAUGUCUAUGCAUUCUUAAUUUCUUGUGUUAGAUAUAUGGUGUCAUGAGAAAGGAUAAAAUGUGGAAGGAUCCAACAGGGGGCAAUAUAAGAAUACAGUUGUCACGACAUUGCUAUUGUCAAGAAAAAUCUCUAAUUUGUGUCCCAUAUGCUCUCAGGUCAGCCCCUGCAGGAUCUGUGUUCAUUAGGGAAGAUUUUGCAAGAAUAUUCUCAAGUGUUGGAUGAGUGGUAAACUUCAAGUUUACCGCACCACUGCUUGAUUUUUUUCAGUCGUACUACAAAAUGUAUAAAUUCUCAAGAAACAAUUUUAGAAACUUUCCUUGAAGUUUCUGACUGACUAUUUUACUGACGUUCCUAUAAAUUUCAUUGAUCUCCCCGUUACAAUCUUGAGGCCCAAUGCUUAUAUCAUUUAUAGUGAAAGGAUUUUACUAGCCUCACAACUUUUCAAAAUAUUAUGCAAUUAUGCUAAGAUGAUCAAUUAAAUUGUCCUUAAACAUUAUUAAAUGAAUUUAACCAUAAUUAUGAAACAUAGAAUUUUUUGACAUACAACCAAAAAAGGCACCAAUUGUAGGCACCCUUUUCUGAUUGACAAACCCGACAACUUGUGUGAAUGUUUUCACUCUACAAAAUAUUGAUUAUUGCCUUGCAAUUAUGUUUGUAAAAUCUAUUCUUGAUGCUAAAUGUUGUUGGUGAAUUCCAUGAUUCGCCUUUAAGGCUUGAAGAGGCCAUAAUUUUUCUUUCCAAUUCUUGAACUUACUCUCGCAAAUUCCAGCACUACUUAAUUGACUACACCUCAAUUGUUGAAUGUUAACCAACGAAAUUUCCUGUCAAAUUCUAUGUUCCUGCUGUUACAUUCAAUCUCAAGGAAAUGGCCGCAAACACUUUGAGUUGUUUCUUACUUUGCGGUUGCCUUGCAAUUUCAACAAAUUGCGCUUGCGCACUCCUUCAAGCUUUUAUUUGAAAAAAAAAUAAGUAUUUACUUUUCAUACGAGAUUAACUAAUGUAGGGCCCAAACUAAUGUAGGAUCUGCUCUCCAAACUAAACUAGGAGAGGAGUGAAUUAGGCUGUUUACAAAUUAAGUAAAUAAGGGUUAUUAUCAUUUUACCUCCUUAAACUAUAUCACCGCUUCCAGUUUAUUCCCUAACAUUAUCUUUUAAUUACUUUACCUCCAUAAGUAAUUCAACUUAAUAUGUUAAGAAAUUUUGGACAAAAAUACCCUUUUAUUUUAUAGCAUUACUACAUUGUUAUUAUCACUUUAUUCGUUUAGAUUAUAGUGAUACAAUCACUUUAGUUCUUAAUAUUAUUUUCUAAGCAUUUUAGAUCAUCGUUAAUCUAACUAGUAUGGUAAAAUUUUUUUAAAUAUAUUUACCCUUUUUAUGUAUAAUUAAAAAUAAAAAAGUUGGAAUGGUUAUUCUUCCUUUUUUUCACUUUAGGAGAUCAAAAAACAUAAAAAUAAAAGGGUUUUCUCAAACUUCCUUUUUUCACACUUAUUAAUACUAGGAAAAGAAAAAGAGAUAGAAAAGAAGAUGAAAGAAAAUUAGAUUUUGUAAAGAAAGAAAAUAAAGAAAAGUCUAACAUUAUUGUAUUACAUUAAGGUUGUCGGGAUUAGGAUUGAAAUUUGGUAGUAAACAGAAAAGUGAAAUAAUUUUAAAAUAAUAAAAGUAUUUAAUUCUUUCUUAUUUGUAAUUUUUUUUUUUAAAAAAAAAUUUGAGCUCUCUCCCUCUCCAUCUUUCUAUUCUUUUUUUGAUAUUAAUAAGAUUGCCAAAAAGAAAGAAAUUAAUACUUUGACUUUUUUCCUUGAUACUAAAAAGGGAGAAGAGCCUUUCUAAACUUUUUAUUAUUUUUAUUAUACAAAGAGGAGGGUAUUUUUUUCUAAAGUUUUUUAACUUGCUAAGUUGGUUUAAUAGUAGGAUAAAUUGCCUAAAAAAUAACUUUAGGGGGUCAAUUGAUAAUGGGACUAUAGUUUACGGGGGUAAAGUGAUUAUAAUUUUAAGGGUUAAACAUGUUUUUUCACUUUAAUUAACAAAGGCAAUUGUUAAAAAGAUUCGAAGAAAAAAAUUCCUCGAGGGACGUGCGUUGCGAUAUUUGCAAACUUUGGGAUCUUGCUGAAAUGAUGACAAAAACGCAGACGAGAUUACCAUGAUUUACUCUUUAUCAUUUUCAGUUUUCAAAGAUUAUGAGACCAUCUAUGAAAGGUUAAGUCUUAAUUUUGCACCCACCUUCUGGGAAAGAAGGUCCAUCUGGAGAAGAGAUUGAUUCCAACUUUCUGGAAUCGUAGUAAUAUUAUAAAUUGACACUUUCUAAGGCAAAGAUGGACUCUUUUGUAGUACAACAAUGCCCAGAUCUCACAAAAUUGACACUGACAUAGUACAAUGGACUUAUUCAUAGUUAGAGAUAAAAGAGGAGUACAUGGUUGUACUAACCUUGAAUUCUCUUGUCUGUGUUAACAGUACAACCAAGGCAGUACACAAUUUUGCUCGUGUGUACAUAUAUAUAUAUAUAACAUCAAGCUUCAUCAUUUCCAUCCUAUUUCUAUUAUGUCCAAAAAUUCUUCAACUUGGCAAAGAAAAGAUAAAAAGUGGAAGGAUCCAACAGGGGCAACAUGAGAACACAUAUGCCACAAAAUUGCUGUUGUCAAGAUAAAAUCCUUGAUUUGUGUUCAAUGUGUUCUCAGGUCGCCCCUGCAGGAUCUCUUCACUGGCAAAGUUCUGGCAAGAAAACAUGCAUGCAAUCAGUGUUGGAUGAGUGGUAAAGUUCUGAUUUACCACAUUACUGCUUGAUUUUUCAGUAGUACUAAUCACUCUAUAAAUUCUCAAGUCAGUUUUGGAAUAAUGUGAUUAGUUUGUUUUGUUGUACUUUUCUAUUAACCACCACUACUUACAGAUUUUGGUGACCUAAUUCAAAUAUUUCCCAUGGAUUUUAAGAUUUAUGAUUAAUCUUGUUUUCAACCACGAACUCCUUUGCACUUUUCUUCUUAGAUUUAACAUUGUGCAACUCAUUCCGAUUUGGACCAUCAACAGCUCAGACUGGGUAGGCAACCUAUAAAUUAAGCGUCAGACUGGUCAGCUAUGUCCUUCACUACCUUCAACACAUGUAUAUGUAUGUAUGUAUUUAUGUAUAUGAACAUAUAUAUCCUUCACAAUCUACAAUACACAUUGGGGGGGUAUUUCAACAGCCUACAUAUUAAUCAUGUCAGGUGAACUAUCCUUCUUUCCUUGACCCUAGAAAUCAAGGUUACUAGUUUGUAUUGGACAUCACAAAGUGCUUUCACCCCAGAGCAAAAACUUCAAUAUGACCCGGUCUACUAAUCAUUUUGAUAUUGUUACAGAGGGCAUCACUUCAGGAUACAUUAUUGUCAUUUUGUCACCCUCAUUUCUUGAUACAUCUCAUGCUACUCCAGUUCUUCACUCUCAGGCCAGUUCAAUACCGAAAUGUUUUGAUUUGAUCUAUGAAAAAGAAACUCAAAUCAUACGGGUUUUCAGAUAGGGCCAAAAUCAGGAUGGAAUAACUUUGCUUGUAGCCUUCAUAUCUACAACAUUACAAUGGCAUACAAACAGAAAGAAAAGCCAUAGCAGAGCAACGACAAGUAACAACCACCAAGAUGAAAGAAUACAACAUUAGUAAAUAUAAAACAACAGAAAGGUGCAAGGGACAGACCAGGAAUCAGAUUUCUUGAAGUUGAAAACUAAGGAUCAAAAUUGCUGUUCCGUGACUUCCGUCUCCGACAAAAACCACUAGAGUUGCUCUAAACUAAAAUCCUUACAGCUGAUGCAAUGGCAAGUAGUUCUUCCUCACUAGCUUUCUUCCAUACUCCACCUAUCAUCAUAUGCCCCUUGAUAUCUUCGGAAGUAAGAUUUUCCUGGUCAUCUAUUUCACAACCCUCUAUUGUCUUUCUUAUUUUCUUUACAUUCAUCUUAUCUAAAUCAUCGGCAACAGAAUGAGGUUCUCUCUUCUUAGAGCAUUGGUUUGGAUCCCACUGAUCUUUCCUAAUUGCUAAUGUUGGGAUUUCAGGAGCUUCAAAGUUGCAGUCAAGAACUGGAAAUCGGCCAGCAGAACCAAGGGACUGAGGCAACAUACCAAUGGGACAUGGAUUCCAAGAUUUUACGAUCACCCAUCUUGUAUUUUUCUCAUUGUUGUUUGUUGACAUCAAAUUCUCAGUCUUCCUCCGACGAAGUUUGAUUAACUCGAGGCUUCUGGCAGCAAAAUCAAUAGAUUCUUGUUCAUGGGAAAGGAAGUUCUCAGAGACACUAUCAUUGGAAGGGAAAGCUUCACUAACAUCCAGAUCCGGUCCAGUCAGCUGUAAAAGUUUCUCAAGUUUAGAAAUCAAAGAUCUAUCUCCCAGGAUACGGGCAAGAAAAAGAGCAGAAGUCCUCAGCUGAAGGUUGCCAUGAGAGCAGGUGACAAGACAUUUAUGUAGAAGCUCAAAAAUAGUUGCUUUAGGAUGAUUCUUCUCUAUAAGAAAAUCUUCGCAUUCGGCACCAGAAUUUUUGAGCUCCAAAGGCUUCACUGCACUAAGAUUUCUGACAAGCCACUCAAAUAGAGUAGCAAGUUGUUCAAUUUGGUGAGACUCAUCAAUAUGGGCUGAGGAGAGGUGCUCAUCUGAUGAGGGAUCAAAUUAUUUAUCAUCAGGUCACAAACAUAAUAUGUUAUCAUUUGAAAUUAACACAAGGGAUAUAAAGACAAACUUUGCAUGAUGACAAACUGUGAAUUGUAUUUAGUUCUUAUCGGCUUUCAAAAGAGUAUCUAUUUAUUUGUCUAAUGGGAAAAGGCAUCUUAAAGAGUCUAGCCUCCAAAUAUCCAUAAGUAUUCUUUAAUCUGAUAUAUGACUACUCGGGAAACCAGCAGAACAGGUAUAACAGUGUGAUUGGGUUUCCAGUAUUGCAUACGAUUUUAGGUGCUAUUCACUGAAACCAAAGCUUUUUAUUGGUGACGAUGUGAAAAAUCUAAACCUAUAAGGUUACACAACAAUAUCAGUGCAGUUUAACAAGACAUCUAAUGUGUAUGUAUCUGUGCAUGUAGAAAUGCCAAAAUCUCAGUAGGUACUUACCUACCUAUUUCAUUGUUGUUGCCUCCCUUGGUCUCAAUCUUUAUAAGCACAGCCUUCAGAAGACUCCAAAGCAGUUCUGGUUCCUUCUUGAACAAUUUUAUGACAACAGGUUUCCAUGCAUUGAACACAGUUGGUGUAGUCUCAGAUCUAUGACUGGUUUCUUGAUUCUCACAGAGCUCCACCAUGUUUGACAAAUCCAUUGCCUUCAGCAAGAGUUCCAGUAGAACAUCUACUACUUCUCCAGAGAAGGAAGAAUAUAACCGUCGAACAUUCUUUAACAGCUUGUUUACCUGUUUCUUAGAAACUAAUAACAGCCAGCAAACAUGAAAUGAGGAUUUCUGCCAAUUUGAUAACUUCUUUCAGUAAAAGAAAUUAAUGGAAAAAUGCUCAAAAAUUUCAUCCAUAUAAUAAAAACUACAUGUCCCAUAGACAACUUUCACUAUCUUACUGUUUUCUAUUUAACCGCAGGGCUUGCGAAACUCAAAAUCUCAUACUCACCACAAAUACAAUAAAACUGACAUUAACCUCAAGUGUAACCUCAAGUUUAAUGCAUGUCUUAUCCAAGACUUAGGGCCAAAUUUACUUAACGGUAAAGAGCUUCCUACAAAGAACAUUUACACAAUUAAAAAAAAAAAGAACCUUUCUUUUCCCACUUUUUGGUAUGGAUGAAUUCGAAAAAUAUGACAUAACUAUGAUUGCAAUAAAAUAGCCAUCUUGAAAGCAAUGGUAAAGAAACAUUCUUAUUGUAUUUCCUAUUGUUACCUUAUGCCCAUUGCCUUUGCUACUAUGAUAGCCGACAAUACAAAUAACACAAUAGAACUAAAGAAAUAGAAUCAGAGUAACUGUAACCACAGAAGCAGUAACAUUCUCAAUAAGGUAAGACUAAUUUUAGUAAUGAAAGUCGGAGAUCAGAGGUUUCCAUCAGUGGUAACUAGCAAAAGUAGGAGAUAUACUGACUAGUAAGCAAGCAAAUGGAAUCCUAGCAUAGUUAGCUUAAUUUUUCAUGUCAGGGUGUUAAUUAAGGGAGGGAAAUCAAAUUGUAACUAGAAGCAGUUGAAAGAGGAGAACACAUUGUUCUAUUCAUGAAGGUGAGGAUUUAAUGGGUGUGGAAAACUGUUGGUGAUGAGGGCCAUAUGAAGACAGGAUGUCUACAGCUAGUCAAUAGUCAAAUGACGUGUGCUAACAGAAGCUGAAAGUGAGUCCAAAGAAAAAUAUGUUUUUCAUACCAGGCAUUUUGUCAUUCAGCCAAAUUUCGUAAAUACUCUUCAAAGAUAUCAUGGAAUAGACCAAAGAAAAUUUACCUUCUGAACUCACACAUCUCCUAGCUCUAAUGUAAUUUUCCAAUCAGUUAUGAUUUUGGUGCGAACUUAUUCCAAUUUUGCCUUAGAGAUACAUAAACAGUUCAAGAAUAGUACAGGAAAUACUUCAUAUUGACAACUAUUGUUUGAUGAACACUUAGAAAAUAGAAAUAUUUUUUCCAGUAAACACAAAUCAUAAAAAAUUACAGCAUUUUGUUGGAGACAUGAUCGGGAAGCUUUCAAGAAAAAAUGGACCAUAUGCACUUAUGCAUGACAGAGGAAAUACCAGCUUAUCCACUUUCUGACCUAGCAAGCUAUUUUGUCUCCUGGUAUCUGAGCAAUCAUUUUCUGGAAUAUAAACUUUUCUGUUUGGUAGGCCAUAUAGAAUAAGGCAUGCCUUCCAAAAUUUUGAUUAAAACAACUAAGUUGACAUCUAAUCUUCUUCAGCAUGCAUUGAGUUUAGAUAUGGAAAACUCAAAUAAUUUUCCAAACCAUGGAUUGUCAAGUGUUCAUUUACAGUUAACAGAUUUACUCACCAGAAGAUUUAGAAUUGGUAUGCUUCAUGGCCAUUAAAGAGAGAAAUUUGUUAGGCCCAUGAAGACAUUCUAAAUGCUUAAAUCCUGAAAAAGCAUCAAUGUAAAUUAUAUAAGAAUAUAAUCAUUGACAAAGAAUAAUCCAACAAGGGAAGGCUAAGAUUACAGUCUUUAUUCUCAACAGUAACAAUUCUCUUCCUCUAUGUCUAUCUCUCUAAGUCACAUGAUAUUGAAUAUUUGAAUGUUCAAGACGAAGGAGAUCUUUUUUAAAAUGGUAAAGACUAGAAUUGAGGGAUGCGUCAUAGCAGAAGUAACAAAGUGCCCUGGUACCAUUAAUUUAUUAAAGACUGGAAGUUCUAACAAGUAGUCUAUUGUGCUGCCAAAGCAAGGUGAAAACUUUGAAUUUCAUCUAAGGGUUAAGCAUAUAAAGGAACUAAUCAGGCGAAAAUCAUUGGACAAAAGAGAGCAUUCUGUCAUCUAUUUUCAAAUAGAGAAAGUUCGACAUGAAAAGAGUAUUAUGAACUAACAUAGUGAAGAAUGAAGGUAUCCACUCACGUUUCCCUUUAACUAGUGAAGAGCCUGAUCUCAAGCCGCACUUUGCUCUCAAACAAGAUGCCAGUUCAUAUAACCUAUGCUUAAUUUCCACUCUAGCAUUGCUAAUUACGUCUGCUUGAUUUGGAAUAGCAUUCUUCUGAGGUUCCCAGUAAUAUUCUUUCAACCAAUCAAGUGCCUGAACGUCAAAAUCAUGUUAAAAAAGCUGUGAUCUUCAAUUUCAUACAAAGAAUUGAAAUGAUUAAGAAGUAUGUUAAGUCAAUUAUGGUUCUAACACAAAGCUUGCAUGUGCAACUUCAAAUGAAUUUCCAUUACUGUGCUCUCUUAGCCAAGCAAAAAGUUCAUGCAUGACAAAUUCCAGUAAGCACUACAGUUGAUAGAUAUAUAGAUCAAGGACAAAAUGCUACCUUCAUGGAGGCAAGACGAACCAGGUGAAGAGAAGGGAGAUCACGAUGAGAGCCCUCUACAAAUAAAGAACAACCAACUCAGAAGAAAACUUAUCCAUAAGUCAAGCCAUUCCACAUCAUUUAUUACUAAUUUUCGUAUUAGGAAUUGAACUCAAAAAAUAUGCAUUGGUAAAUAAUCAAGGGAACAGAUGAAUACCCAUUUUUCCUUUUUCUUUUGGAAGUACAGGAAAACAAGGAAGCUUAACCAAUAUUAUGCAUCUUAUAUGCUGACAAUCAGCUACUACAACAUCAAAUGGUGAUCUGCGUAAUCUAAAACUUUGUCGCUACAUUUCUUAGAAGAACUAUGUGAGUAAAAUAAGAAAUGAAGAAACAGGAUGUAAAGUUGUUUACCAUGACGAAUAUCUAUGAGCAUACGUGGAAUACCAAUAGCACCAGCAGCCUCUGCUAUUGAGACCUCUGUCUUCUUGCGAGUUUUCUCAAUGACACCAUUGACAAGCCUUAGAAGACAAGAAGCAAAAUUUUUAGCACGAGUUUAAGGAUAGAAUAAAGCAUGCAAGGAAGAUACAUGAAGCAGGUUCUUAAUUAGGCAUACUUUUGCAGGGGUCACAUAAGUACUUGGGCCACUACUCAAUGACUGUAGUUUUAAGUAUACACGCACUCAUGGCCCUCACACCCCGUUUUGACAAACAUUUUCUUUCCAUCACACAGCCAAUGAGGUAGGCAAUGAAGAGUGAAGAAAAAUGAAAAAUGACAUUAAUUGGAUGCCUUGGAAAACAAUGAAUGCAAGAGAAAGGCAUAGACAAGAGCUGCUUAUACUAUAACAUAGCACUACAGAAAUUUUAAAAGAUUUUCUUACUGUCUGCCUUUUAUUUAAUAAGUCACUUCAAUUUUCUUCUGAAAAUUUUGUAUUCAUUCAUGCCAAUCACAACAAAAUAAAGAACUGGCACAAUAACACUCUAAAAACCAAAAGUUUUUAAAAUCUCCAGGGGUAAAUAACUCCCCGAGAACUGAACCAUUAUUCCUUCAUGUACUUAACCAUCAGAGCUUAGCAAAAUGUUUUCAUCACCUCAUUGAUGCUUUUUAAACAACACACAAGUAUACCAAUUGAAUCUUCACCAUUGACACCACAAUUACUUGUCAAUAUUGAAAAACCCAGUCUUCUUGGAGCACUUUCAUUUUAGUUUAAAUAAGCAAGCCAUAUUUGAUGAGAUAGCUCAAUUGAUCCCAGAGGUAAAAACACAUUAAAUUUGCUAAGUAAUGAAGAACUACCUCAUGAUUGCCAUACAAUACAACAUGGCCAGCAUUUCCUCUGAGUCCACAGCUUCUCCAGGUAAGUCAUGCCUAAACAGUAAAAAUUCAUACCUCCAAUCAGCACAAAAUUCACAGAUUGCAAUGUUCACGAAGGGCAUGAAUCGAACAUCAUGUAAGUACAUUCUAAACAAAAAAUAAUAAUAAUAAAUAUUCCAAAUAAAUUAUACAUUUUGAUGAUUCAUGGCCUUACAAACAGGUAAAUACAUAAAAACUGUGUCCUAUUUAUGAACGUUCAUUUCAAAAGCAUCAGACAACAGACCAUUUCACUUUUAGCCACCUUAAACUAAUCAAAUUUGUAAAUCAGGGUUACCUAAAAAAAGGAUCUUUCUGCUGAAUUUCUACAAUUGACGCAGUGACUUCAACCACUACAGGCAGGCAUCCCCUGCUCCGCCAAGCCGUAAUCUGAAGAAACCCCCAAAAAAAUCAUUCUUUAACAUAAUAAUAAAUGAGAAAAAAAUAAUAAAUUGAUGAAUUUAAAUUUGGCCUUCAAUUACUCGUUGGAGAGCUGAGGCAACGGAUGGUGGAGAAGAAGAGAAGAGGGAGAUUCUGACAAAGUCCCACUCGUCCCAGCUAAUCCAUGGUACCAAUUUGAAGCUGUGUGAUUGGUCCAGAACGACGUCGUUAGCAGGUGGUUCAGUAAACCCUAGCAGAGGCUCCAUUGUUGAAGGGUUUUAGCUUCUAUAAUCUCUGUGCAAAGUAAUCUAAAAUGAAGUUUUCAAUUUGCCCCGACCCGAAAUAUUAUUGCUCCUAAUUAAAAUUGGAUAAGAAGAACCGGACCCGAUGACCCAUCAGAUUCUAAUAACUACUAAAGAGUUUUUUUUUUUUUUUUUGUCGGAGGACCAAUAACUACUAAAAAGUAAAUAUGCAUAUUAGAGAACUAAAGUAAUUUAGAAUUCAUUUUGAUCUAGCUGAGAUUUUAUUUUAUUUUAUUUUAUUUUUAAUUUUUUUAAUAUAGGGAGGGACGAAAUUUAAGAAGUGAAGAGAGUGCAGCAGAAUUUAUUAAAGUACGGAUUAUGCACAUGAAUAUUAGAUAUAACCCGGGUUUGGAUUGUCUUUUUUUUCCAAAAACUGUUUUUGUCUUUGAGAAACAGCAUAUACUGUUAUGUAGAUCUACAGUGAAAGAAUAAUAAAACUGCAGCGUUUUUGGCAAAAUACUCAAUUGUCUUGUUUUCGGCUUUCCUUGCCAACACUACCGAAAAUCACUUUCCCAAAUUGCUGAGAUUGAACGCAAAGAAAGAUUCAGAACAGGGACUUGGUCAGGAGCUUGUGCAAAGUACUCCUCUGAAGCACCAUUGCCGGCCAUCGAGAGGGAAAUUUGUCAGUAAUCGAAGCAGAUUUCAGCUCGCGACUUCAAAUCCAAACCUUCUCUGAGCUCUAACCCCCUCUUCACUCUUCGAUCCAUCUUGCUAGUACGCCCCUCUUUGAGAGCGACCUUGUCUACAAGAGCCCACCCUCGCGCUUCAAUCCAUCAUGAUCUUAACCCCCUUCCACAGCGAAUAGCACAUCUCGAACCCCCACAGCUCCGACCCCUCUCGCGCUUCAAUUUACUGUUAAGGUUAUGUUUCUAGCAUUUUGCAGCUUUCAAUUUACUGUUUCUGCUGCUUAUUGUAAAGAAUAAUGUGUGGGUUGCUCAAAAUUUGCUGUCCGGAAGGUUAAAAAUUUUAGACAUUGAGGUCAAAAUUUGCUUGCUGCUUUCACUUUUUGUUUUAGCCGUUUAGAGAUGUUGGACAGUAGAUGUAGAGAUUAUUUGUGCAGAGUAUUGUGAUGGAUGAACCAUUUCUCGCCAAUGCUGAGAAUGAACCACGAAAAAUUGAGCUGGUGUGAUGAUUGAGACGAUAAACUAGUUUGCUCCAAAUUCGAUGUCAGAUUUGUUUUAUAUAUGUUGAGAAAAUGGAUGAUCACAAUACGGCAUUGACUUCAAUUCAUAUCAGGUCUAAAAUUUUGUAGUCCAACCGAAAACAACUUUUGGUUAACUAAAAACUGCCUAUUUCUUCCUUUCUAUUCAAAACAUGACUUGAAGUAGUUUGUUCCCGCAAUUAUGUAUAUCAAUUCAUUUAGAAAUACCAUUCUGUGCAUGCUGUUCAUCUUCGAUGUGCAGCUGGGAUCAAAUUGAAAGGGAAUACCUGUCCUUCUUUCUGUGUUGGCAAAUUUUGAGCUGUUAAGCUUUCCCUAUGCCAGUGAGAUUUCUGAAUGACACCAGAAACCUUAGUAAAAUCUUGAGUGUGUCCGUUUUAAGGUUAUUUAAAAGUGAAACUGUACAGGAGGGAAAAGCUGUUGAACGAAUAGUAAUAUGAGUGGUUCUUACUGUAGUUUGUGUUUUAAAAGUUAAUGGAGAAUGAUGUGUAGUCGAAAUUCCUGUUCUUCAAUGCUUGUCGGGUGCUGUUUUGCCGGAGUUGGUGGAUGCAUUCGAUAGUCCUUAUGUGCGAUUAACCAAAAUGCCUUACUUGCUUGAGAUUCAUUAGAAUUGCCUAAAUUCAGUGAAAGAAGCGUAUGUUUCUGCUUCUGAUGGAAAUUAUUGGCUUGGAGCUACUUCUGAUUGUGCUUUGGCAUAUUAUUCCCCUCCAUGAGUGUGUCCAGCUUUGCUAAUGCGACUGCAGUCAUGUUUUCGUAUUAUUGUAGCACUAAUUCUUGUGUUUUUCCCAAAAUGAAUUGUCUGAUGCUAUUUUUGUGAUUUUAAAUUGUCUUCUCCGACUAUUACUGAGAUUGGUAUCUGCAGUCUAACUUCAUACUGCUGUUUGGUGCUAUAAAACAGGGUUGGUUGGUGUUUUCAUUGCUGUUGUCUAAGGUUACAUGCCCCCUAUUACUCGCCGUGCUUCCAAAGGUAUAGUUUGCGUGGUUCUGACUUUGUUCACUGCCUUGUUUAGUGUGACUAAUUUUAUUCCUCAAUGAACACAGCAUUGAAGACGAAAAAUUGUGAGAAUUGUUGUGCAUCCAACUCAGCUUGAGGGGAAAACGAUUUACAAAAGUGCAUUUCUAACUACUACAAGGUAAUACCUGCUAGUCCUCUACUUUCGCUACUUAUUAUUUCAUCUCUGUCUUGCCUCGAGGUAUAAUUACCAACGUGUCUGAUUGCCUUUGUUUAUGGGUUAAUAAGAUGAGAAAACAAAGGCGCAAUCCAGGUGGGUAGAAAUUUUAUUUCACUAGGCAGCAUGAAAUAGAAAUUGCCAACUGCCUUGUCAGCAUGCAUAGAGCUAAUGAAAUUAAGGACAAUAAUAUUGGUAGCUACAUGGUUCCCGAAAUUCAGCAGCGGUUGAACGGCCAAUAUGGCACAUCGUUCACUUCGGACAGUAUAAGAGCCAAAUACUAUGCCUUGCGAGAACUGGCCAAACUGUACAUUGCCUUCAAGAGGCGGGAAACGGGACUAGGUUGGAAUAGCCAGAACUUUACCUGGCUCAUGGACGAUAGCAAGUGGGCCGAGCUUGCACGGGUAUAUUUUGUCAAGUAAACUAUUUUUAUAUCAAUUUAUGGCUGUUAAAAGUUAAUCAGAUUAUACCUGCUGCUCCCUCAAAUAACCUUUUGGCUGUGUUUUUUUUUUUUUUGUCACGUGAACCCAAAAUUUUUAAAAUUUCAAGAUGACUGCACCGUCUACCACUUGCUUGAGGAAGUUUUUGUCAACUAAGGAGCAACGGGAGAUUUCAGCGCUGGCUUUGAGAACGAGCCUCGUACUUCAGCCGAGGAGAGAUACAUGGAGAACGUUGCACGAUCCUCACGGGGAAAGGGAAGGUCGGACUAUGCGCACGAGGGUCUUGAAUUAAAAUUGGCGGUUUCAUUAAUCAAAGUUAUGUCUUUUAGCAAAAUGGUAUGUCAGGGAUUUGACACUUUAUGUAUUAUUGUUUAAAUAAAUCUUAUAUACACUAAUAAUUCAUACAGUAUUAUCGAUUAGAUUCAUGACAUAUGAGCAAAUUUUGAACUUUAAAUUUUAAAUCAGUAGUGAUAAUUGUGUAUAUACUAUUAAUAUAUAAAAGAUUAAUUCAUGUUAUUUUCCUCCUAAAUGUCAACUGAUAGCAUGCAAAUGUUGAGCAUAAAUACACAGCUGCACAUGGUUAUACAAUAUUCUAUGCCUAAAAGCACGCAAUUGCAAAGAAUUUCUUUGUCAAAUUAAACUCACUACUCCUUGCGGCCCAAUCAAAAUGUCAAUACUUUCUAUUUUGAAAUGUCCUAAAACUUUUUAUUCUCUCCUUUCAAUACAAUCCCCCCUUUAAUUAUAUAUAUGUUAUUAUUUAAAUUCAAAUUUUGAAUUUACUGAAACAAUAUAAAAAAAAAUACAAAUAUUAUAAUCAGACCAUUAUUCAUAAAAAGUUAGACUCCCUUUGAUCAUACGAGACGGAUGAAGUAUUAUAUUCCAAUUCCCGAGGCCUUUAUCCUCUCUUCCUCUUGGAUUUGUACAACCAAGGAGCUGAUAGAUUAAUUUAACUUUUUUUUGUGGGGUAAGAAUAGACUAAUUUAACUAAAUCCAAAGAACAAAGCACCAUUAGUACAUAUUUUAUUCACUAAUGGCACAACUUUACAUAAUAAUCAAAGAUUCCCAUCAAUUUUAAACAAAACCCUGUUGCAUUCACCAUACCAUAUGCACUUUCACCGGUGGGAUUCCAUAUACUAACGACCUUAAGAACGCUGGUUAUUGCACAACCCCACAAACCACCAAGAAAUGGCCGCUCAAACUCACCUGUUUCAUCCACUCCACUCCUUAUCUCUGCCACUGAAAACCCGAUGUAAAUCACCUGACUUUAAACCCAAGCUAAAACCCUCCACAUUCAUCAUCUCCAGCAAGCUCCGGGCAGCGGUGGUAGGAGGAGGUCCAGCUGGAUCCUCUGCAGCUGAAGCACUUGCUGCUGGUGGCAUAGAGACCUUCCUCUUCGAACGCAGCCCCUCUACUGCCAAACCCUGUGGUGGAGCAAUCCCACUUUGUAUGCUAGAUGAGUUCUCCAUCCCUCCUCACCUCAUUGAUCGGAAAGUCACCCGCAUGAAGAUAAUAUCUCCGUCCAAUCUGGCCGUUGAUUUUGGUAAAACUCUGAAGCCCCAUGAGUUCAUCUCCAUGCUCCGCCGAGAAGUGCUUGAUGACUUCCUACGCCGCCGUGCUGAGUCUUGUGGCGCCGCACUUAUCAAAGGACUUGUCACAAAUGUGGAGGUUCCCCUAACAAGCAGCUCUUCAUAUGUUAUUCACUAUAAUAAGAAUAAUUCACAGAAAUCUCUUGCUGUUGAUGUUGUUAUUGGUGCUGAUGGAGCCAACAGCAAGGUGGCUAAGGCCAUAAAAGCAGGAGAUUACACUUGUGCUAUUGCUUUUCAAGAAAGGAUUAAGUUGCCUGAGGAGAAAAUGGAAUAUUAUGAAAAUUUGGCUGAAAUGUAUGUCGGAAAUGAUGUUUCACCUGAUUUUUAUGCGUGGGUUUUCCCCAAGUGCGAUCAUGUGGCAGUGGGAACGGGGACAGUAUGCUCAAAGAAGGAUAUCAAGAUGUUUCAACAUGGCAUAAGAGCAAGAGUUAGGCCAAAAACUCAUGGCGGUCAAGUAAUUAAAGUUGAGGCUCAUCCAAUCCCUGAGCAUCCACGUCCAGUUAGAGUCAGGGGACGAGUGGCUCUGGUGGGGGAUGCAGCAGGAUAUGUGACGAAAUGUUCUGGUGAGGGAAUUUACUUUGCUGCCAAGAGUGGGAGGAUGUGCGGGGAAGCAAUUGUCAAGGCAUCAGAAGGAGGUGAAAGAAUGAUUAGUGAAGAAGAUUUAAAGAGGGAGUAUUUGAAGAAGUGGGAUGAGAUGUAUUUAACUACAUUCAGGUUUUUGGAUUUGUUGCAAAGGGUGUUUUAUGGUAGCAAUGCUGCUAGGGAGGCAUUAGUGGAGUUGUGUGGGGAUGAGUACGUGCAGAGGAUGACAUUUGAGAGCUAUCUGUAUAAGAAGUUGGCCCGGGGGAACGGAUGGGAUGACAUUAAGAUGGUCAUGAAUACAAUUGGGAGUCUAAUUAGGUGUGAUAUUGUAGGCAGAGGGAUUGAAAUGUUUGACAAACGAGUUCUUGCACAGUUGUAGUGUAUCAGGGAACUAGUUAAAUGAAAGAGAAUCAAAUGAAACUUCAUCAGUACUUCCCAGAGAAGUACAGAUCCAGGAAGUUUUAGCUUUAAAUCACCUAAAAACCUUUUGGUAUGAACAAAUGGUUGUGCCAUUACUCUAUUUCAGUUCUUCAUAAAGCAGAUUCAAAUUGUUGUUUCCAAGAAAAUCUUUGCUGCGGUGGUCAAUUUAGCCUUUCAUCAUUGCCUUAAGUAUCAUCCUGUAAAGUAAUGAAUAAUUAAGAACUUGACUACAUUAUUAUAACUUCUGGGUGCAUAAAUACAGCUUUACAGUGGAAAGAAGUGAAACAUUUAAGCAAGCUAUAACUUUUCAGCAAAGCUUCAAGUUGAAUUAACAGUUUCCUACCAUACACACACUAUUUACCUUGAUCCUAACAUUAUAGCCCAGUCGAGCUAAGAGUUUCUUACCCACUUUGUACCUCGAUUCUAACAUUAGCCAGCUCCUGUUUUUGCCUCUACUGAUACCACAAUUUAUUUGUACAACUUAUUCGCUAUAUGCAUAGAGUUCAAGUGUUUCAAGAGAAAAUCAAAUCCCAUUUUCACACCAUUCUGUAUCCAUCCUUUCUUGACCCCUCCGCCCUCCGCCACAACCAAUUUCUUUCUUCAUGUAGUGCACAUUGUGUUUGAAUCUUUUGCGACAAGGUUUUGAAAAUAAAAAAAACCCAAGUGCCUAGUGAUGAAAAAGUAAUUAGAGCAGUAAAAGGGUUAAAGCUUGAUAUAUUUCCACAUAUAAUAGGACCCAAAUAACAACCUAAUAGUUGAAUAGGUGGCUAUGCAGCCACCAAUCAUCCCUCUUGGUUAAAGACAUACAAGCAUAGAGGAUAUAGGCUCUGAUUUAGUAGACGUAGUUUGCAGAACUUGGAGGAAUAUGUGCUUUGCUGCCUGUGUUAUGCAGCAUUUCUGGGACUUAAUUUAGUCAAGGGAGAAGAUUUUGAAAGCAAUGCAAGGCAGAGAUGGAGUUGAGGAUUGAAAAGAAUGAACAGGAGAAGAGCGUGCAUGAAAAACAUAGGCAGGGGGGAGGGGACUAGCCAAGGUAAGCCCCUUAAUUAUGACAGAGAAAAGACAAAUAUGCAAAGAGGAAAUUACAGAAUAUUAAGGAAAAGAAUUCACCUUAUACUUAGAAUCUCUCUUGAUGAAGUGCAUAAGAUGCCAUAUUCUAGGCCAAAGAAGUUAAUUCUUAAAAAUGCAGAGAACCAAAGCUUCAAAAUAGAAUGAAAAAAAUCAGUUUAUGAUGCUAACUAGCCUUUUUGAUUUUAAUAACUAUUAAUAUACUACGAAUAGAACUAUAUAUGUUUACACAUACAUAUACAGUACGGCCUUCAACCCGCACUUGUCUCCGAGACUCAUACCUGACUCCACUCAAAGUGCCCUUAGCUAAAGGUUUUCUCAAAAGAUUAAUGUUUCUUCUAAAUGUGUUUCAAUUUUAGGUAGCCAUGUAAAUACUAUAUGUAUGCCUCUGUGAUUUAUGUCAAUUUCACUCUAAACAUUUUAAAGCUUGGGAUCCUCCUCAAAACACCAGAGUAUCUUAAUCUAUAACUAACAUGGUCUUAAUUUGGUUGGGCAGAAAACAAUCACAAGCAUAAAAUGUAAUUAUCCUACUCAUGUUAGGGUUAGCAUUUUUGUAUUUUCAGAGACCCUAUCCAACAUUACUCCCCCAAUUCAAAGAAUUCAGACUCUCUUGCAAUUAUUCAUGCACUGUUAAGCUGCAUCUGUAUAUUAGCAUAACACCAGAGAAGCCUAAGCAGUAUGUCUCUCAUAAUAUAACAUAAAAAGGUUUGCUGAUACACAACAAAGUCACUUAAUACCUGCAAUUCACUAAAACUUUUGCACAAAGGGUACUUUAAAGUAUCAAGAUGUCACUAAUUUCACCAAUGAUCCACUUAAGGUCCUCUUUAAACCAUAUGCUUCAAAUUCUUAUUUGGCUAGAAAAGUCCAGAUAACUUGCACCUCAACUGCAAUUUCUCAUAUUAAAUCUCUAGCACAAAGUAGCUUCAUAUAACUACUUUUUUUAUAUUAACCAAAAAAAAAAAAAAAAACAGCAAUACAAGAACCCAGAAGAACCAAACCGAUGAAAUCCUUUUAUUGUUCUAUUCUUAAUAACAACAAGAUAACAUGAAAAAAGGUUGCUGCACCAUUUUUAAUAAGCAUUGCAAUCAGACCAUCAAAAUGAAGUGCAAAAGGUCGAAGUUGAAAGAAUGUGAGCUGUGAAACUAAUAGACAUGAAAAAUACAAAAUGAUCUUAAUAAAAGCUACCAUAAAUUAAGGAAUCAAAACUGUGAGCAUAAGCGAAAAGAGUUCAUGGAAGAUAAAAAGAGUUAAAAAGCAGAGGAUCUUACGGUUUUUUUUUUUAAACCUUUUGUCAUUCAGAUCAGAUAGAGCCAGCAAUUAUAUUCUUGUAACAAACAUAACCAGAACACAAACUUUGAAAUUUCCCCAAAUAACCAAGACAGGGAGGUUCCUUGCUUGUCGGCAAGUGGACAGAAAACAGAAAUACCUACAAAAAAGGAAAAAAAAAACUAAAAUGGAACAAAAAAGUAAGCCCGAUACUCCGGUAUUUGAUGCUGGAGAUGGAUAGUUUGCAUCCACCUGUUGAUUUUGCAGGAGAUGAAUAGGUUUACUUGGGGCUGAUACCGCUGAAAAUAUAAGGUUGGAAUUGAAGGAAUUUUGUGAUGGUUGAAGAUGAUACAAACAUUCAAUUGGAAAUUCCCUGGGAGAAAGAGAUGAAAUUGAGGUGGAACAAUGAGGUGGAGAAGGAGUUUUGAGGGUUGGAUUUUUGGGAGAAGAUGGAUUCCGGCGUUCAUGAAGCAGUGGCGGCCCUGGAGGACGACGCCUGGAGGGAGGAGGAGGAGAACCACCCGUACUAAAGGACUGGACGGCCCCCUUUUUUCUGACGAGGACGACACGUGGCAGAUUGUAAUGUCCUGCUUAGUGACGUGUCUGUACAGUCAUCAUACACGUAAGCAUCAUGAAUGACAUGGCAUCCAUGUCAUCAUCACACGAUUUGUAUGACUCGCUGUACGUGGUCUGCAAUUUCCUUCACUUUCUUCAUAGUUAGGUCAAGUUAGGGUUUGUUUUUAUUUCUGACAAGGUUUUUUGUAAUUAAUUUGUUAGUUCAAUUUAUGGAUUCAUUCUUUAAUUCAUGUAGAACACAUAUUGCCUUUUUGGUUAGUGAUUUAAAGAUUUUUUAAUUACCUUUGACAAUUUAUUAAUUGUCUUCGACAAUGUAUUAAUUUUUUUUUUAAAUUUUCUAGGUUUCUGGGAUUAGAAAAUUUUUGUGCAGUUUUCAAUUUUUUCUUUUAGACUUUGGUAGAAAGCAAUAUACAUCACACUAUUUAGAUUUUUUCAUGUUUUUGACUUAAGAGCAAAAUACAUCUGUUCUUUUUUUUUUUUCCCAACAACGAUACAUUGUAUAACCUACUCUAUCCUAAUUUAGAGAGAGGAGGAGCCUAAAAAGGCUUGUGUUAAAAGCUAGUGGGUAUACUGUGGCGACCCCACUUCCCCCUGAGGCGAACCAAAGGAUUGGCGGGCCGUCUGCCCAACUCUCGCCAGGACUCACGCGAGCAAUCUAACCCGAACCCUUUCGAAGAAUAAACUAAUCUAUUACAAAAUCAUCUUCCCCGAAUAGAAUCAUAUCUAAAGCCACAUUACCUUCGGAGAUAGCAAUGAUAAAAUUUCCAGUCGAGACCCUUAAACGACCUACGUGCUACUUACCAAAGUACAAAGUCAUAACAAACCGGAUAGAUAAAAUGCAUAAAUCCAUAAUACAACUUACAAGCCAAGUAAUCGAACUAAGGUUUACACAUUUUCCAGCUUCAAGUGGCAAUCCAAAAAGGAAAAUACAUUAUCCCCAAAUAACACAUUACAGCCCACAGGAUAAGAUAUAGUGUUCAAAUGCAGUCCAAAAGAAAAACAUAAAUUAAGUAAGCAUCCAACUUUCAGUUUCCAGAACCUGUAAAGGAAAACAAUAAACGUGGGGUGAGCUAAAACUCAGUGGUGCCCCAAAACAUACAAGCACAUAAUUUCAAACAGCGAUUAAUAACUGCACAAAUUUAAACAGUUAGGAAAGCGUAUAACAGCACAAGGUAGGAUACAUGGGCUCUCAGGAGCCAUUUCCCUCGCUUGAGCACCAAUUAUCGUAGUUGACCCUCCGUCAACUCUCACUACUUAUAAGCCAUGUAGAUCCACUUAUUUUAAUCCUAACCCGUCACCAUUCAUACCUCUGCUUCGGGCCCGGACUUCGCCUACCGACGCAGUAUACUCGAGAUAUACCCGUAUAAAAUUAGUCGAGGGAUUCACCCAAUGACGUGAUUGCAAUCAGAUACAUGCGUCGAGAAAUUUACCCAAUGACGUGAUUGCAAUCAGAUACAUGCGUCAAGAGAUUCACCCAAUGACUUAUUGUAGUUAGAUUCAAGCGUCAAGGAAUUCACCAAAGACGUGAUUGCAAUCAGAUACAUGCGUCGAGAGAUUCACCCAAAGACGUGAUUGCAAUCAGAUACAUGCGUCGAGGGAUUCAACAAUGAUGUAACUACAUUUAGUUUCAUGGUAGUUAGAUUCAUGCGUCGAGGGAUUCACCCAACGACGUAGCUACAUAUAGAUUUAGGAGAAAAAUGUUUUGCACAAGUCACCACUCGAACGGCUAGUGCGAUAAAGUACACACAGCUCACUUCGAUGGAUCAGAAACCAAUUUUUUUCAAAUUAUCACAUAUCCAGUCAAGAAGGUACUUUAAGCAGGUAAGCAUAGAACAGGCAGGGACACUCACCAAGAGUGGAGUUCAGAUAUCAAGUUGGGGAUCGAAUUCCGCGUCCUCGAAAAACCCUAAAAACCAAAAUUUGAAACUAUAAGUUUCUACUUAGUUUUUAAGCUUAUAGUCAUUAAAGUAUAUUUAAUAUACUACUAGUUCACUUUCCCUUAGAAAUAUCAAGAGUUCCUUAGAUUAAAACUUGACAAAAGUAGAAAAGAUAUUUCCUAUGGUUUUCCUUGAGGUACUUUUCUAGAAUGAAGUAACUAGUAUUAUUUUAUUGAAAUAAGUCGAUAAACCUCUGAAUAUCAAAGCUAAAAAGUUACUUUGAACAUUUCUCUAAAGAUACGGCUUUUGCAAGAUUUAUUUCCAAAAACUAUUUUUCCUAAAAUAGGGUUUCUUGCCGAGCAAGUUUUCCAGGCUUUUAACUAAAAUUUGUAAACUCGUAUUUUGAAAUUUUUUUUUUCCUAAAGUUAGCUAUCCAAAUGUAAAGCUUAAGGAAAGAAAAGAAAUCGAAAUAAGACCUAGAAUUUUCAAAAGCUAUAGAAUUAAAAUACUAUAGCUAUCAAGACUAGUUUGAGCUAAAGGAACUUAUCGGUUUCGAAAAGUUUUAGGUGAAACACUAGAUAUUGAGUUUUUAUAUUAUAAUACUAGCUGGGAAAUAUUUUUGCUUGAUUUGAUAACAGCUACUCGAGUUCACAAAGUCGAAACGACUUGCACAGCUCCGGUUCCGUGAAUAUAAUCGAAGUAUAAGAUAUAGUGCUAAAAAAAUGGGGAGAACAAGGACAGAACAUAAUUAUGAAUCCCUUUCUCGAACACAAGGGCAUCUAUGAGGCAUUUACCCCUAUUAAGAAAUUUGAAAAUCCCGAACUAGUGGGAUUCCUCCCUUUUGAAGGGAGUUUUGAUAAAUUUGGGGAGUUGUUUUUGGUAAAAAUUCAUGAAAAUCAUUCAUAUGUAUGUCUUUUGUUUAACUAUGUUUUUGUAAAUAGUUUUGAAUCAAGUGAUUUUUGAAGACACGUCUUGUUUAACAAGUAACAUGCUAUUAAAAUUGAUCUUUAUCUUGAAAUUCAAUAAAAUGUACAAUUUUAUAUAUACUGUGUUACUUACACAUUCUUUUCAGAUGGCCAAGAAUAGAAUCCUCUGAUCCUUUAGAUAUAUCUCGAUAUCUCACGAAUGUGAAUUUGGAUUUUAAAAUGAGAGGAGUAGCGAAAUGACAUCCGAAAAUAUUUCAAAGAGACCCGAAUGGUAUAAAGAGAAACUCAAACCGAAUUGGGAUUAAGAUUAAGGAAAUAAAAAUCAAUGGUCACUUGAUAAAAAAUAGUUAAAUGCAGUCUGUCAUGGUCAAUAUUAUUAAAAGGAUUAGCUCGUGCUUACCAUAAAAUAGUCAAAUCAUGACUAUUCAGACUAGGAGACAAAGCGUUGAGGGAGAUUUUGUCGGUGGAAGAUGAGGCCAAAUGAAGAGUUUGUCCCAAAUUGACAAGAUUCUUUUAUUGUCAAAAAGGUAUUGCAGGGCGGAGCACUUAUUUUCACUGAUAUGGAUUAACAAGAGUUUCCCUUAAUCGAUUAAUUUAGAUAUAGGUAAAAUUUUACAUUAAUGAAAGUUUCCUUUCAGAAUUAAUGCAGGGAACAGAAUUAAAGUCCAGCCCUCUUUCUUUCCCAUUGAGACAUUUUAUCCCUAGUGGUCUCUUUUGAUCUUGUAGAAUGAAUGAUUUCGCUUGUCAACCUGAUGAGCAACCCUAGGGGAAGACCCUCCUAGACCCUCCCAACCUUGUAAUUAUCAGAGUUGGACCUUUCUCCCAAUGGAAAUUGAACUCGAAUUGUUCUCAUGGACUCAAGACCUCUGACACACAAAGGCAAUCAGCAACCUUAAGCAAAUAAUGCUGGAUGAAAAGACACCACGAUUAGGGAACAAGCUAAUCGAUAAAGUCAGAUUUGAAUCCUAAGCAAUGAACUCAAGAAUUCAAGAGUAAGUUCGAUUAAGAACUUGAAGGAAAAAAUCCUCACGAUUUCUGGUUGUAAUAUUCCGUCUUUUCACUCAUACAAUAGGUGCCUUUUAUAGGCUAAAACUAGGGCAAAUCCGGCCCACAUAAACCUGAAAUAGGAAUUCGGUCCGCAUAAAGAGCUAGCUCUUUAAGACUUCUCGAUAAGGCCCAAUAAGUAAUAAAAUACUCAACGACCAACAACUACUAGACUAGGCAGUCUUAAAAUAACUACCAACUAAGCUAACAAGUAUGAGAUCAUUCUUUCACUUCAAACAUACAAGUGAACAAGGUAACUUCAUGGUCCAUCAAAUCUUCAAACUUAACUUGCUCCUUGCUUGUAUGGUGAAUGAUCAAGGCUCAUAAAGCUUCCCUCACCUUCUUGGUUCUUGAUCUUGUCAUCGGACCACCAAUGUUGAUCAAAGGGUCCUUGACCCAAGGUUGAAGGUGUUGCACACCCGUAUCCACAUCAUUCCCUCCCUCCUCGAAAGGAUUCGUCCUCGAAUCGUCAAAGUCUGUAUCAAAGGCAAAUGGGGAUAGGUCAGACACAUUAAAAGAUACGCUUAUGCCAUACUCAUUUGGAAGUUCCAAUUUGUAGGCAUUGUCAUUUAUCCUUUCUAGGACACGAAAAGGUCCAUCUUCUCUUGGAUGUAACUUGGUCCGUCGAGAUGCUAGAAACCUUUCCUUCCUCAUGUGUACCCAAGCCCAAUCACCAGGUUCGAAUACAACAUGCUUUCUACCCUUAUUCGCAUGUUGUGCAUAUUGCGCAUUUUUCUUCUCAAUUUGAGCUCUAACUCUCUCAUGCAAGGUCUGAAUAGCCUCUGUCUUUUUGAUACCAUGUGCGCUUAAACACUCAUCAACAGGAAUAGGUGAUAAAUCUAGAGGGGUUAGCGGCUGAAACCCAUAAACAAUUUCAAAAGGAGAAUGAUUAGUAGAAGAAUGAGUGGUUCGAUUAUAUGCAAAUUCGGCAAUAGGCAAACAUUCUUCCCACUUUUUCAAGUUCUUUUGAACAAUGGCUCGAAGUAAAGCACCAAGGGUUCGAUUGGUUACCUCAGUCUAACCAUCCGUUUGAGGAUGACUAGAAGUAGAAAACAGCAACUUAGUUCCCAACUUUCCCCAAAGUGAUUUCCAGAAAUAGCUUAAGAAUUUCACAUCCCUAUCACUUACAAUAGUACGCGGUACCCCAUGCAAUCUAACCACGUCCUUGAAGAAUAAAUCAGCAACAUGGCGCGUAUCAUUGGUUUUCCUACAAGGGAUAAAAUGAGCGAUUUUAGAAAAUCUGUCCACUACAACAAAGAUACUAUCCAUACCUCUAGAAGAUCUUGGUAAACCAAGCACAAAAUCCAUGGAUAAGUCUGUCCAAGGAGCAUGAGGUACGGGUAGAGGAGUGUACAAUCCAUGAGAAUUACCCCUUACCUUUGCUUGCUUACACUUUAAACACUUAUCACAAAUGUUAGCAACGUCACGCCUCAUUUGAGGCCAAUAGAAGUGUUCAUGCAAAAUGUCAAGAGUUUUAUCAAUGGCAAAAUGUCCCAUCAACCCUCCGCCAUGGGCUUCUCUAACAAGUAAUUCCCUAAGUGAACAGUUGAGAAUACAUAGGCGAUUCUCUUCGAACAAGAAGCCUUCAUGCCUAUAGAACUUUUGAAAUGCAGCAUGUUCACAGGCUUGAAACAUAUUAGAAAAAUUGUCAUCAUGUGCAUACAAGUCUUUAAUGUGCUCAAAACCAAGCAACUUAGUGCUCAUGUUAGUGAUCAAGAUAUAUCUCCUAGACAAUGCAUCCGCAACGACAUUAUCUUUCCCCUUCUUAUACUUAAUGAUAUAUGGAAAGGAAUCAAUAAAUGCAAUCCAAUUCGCAUGUCUUUUAUGCAACUUACACUGACCCUUAAGGAAUUUAAUUGAUUCAUGAUCAGUAUGUAUCACAAAUUUCUUAGGCAUAAGAUAAUGCUGCCACACUUCAAGAGCACGCACAACAGCGUACAAUUCUUUAUCAUAAGUAGGGUAAUUAAGAGCUCCCCCACUCAACUUCUCACUGGAAUAUGCCAAGGGUCUACUAUUUUGAUGUAAGAUAGCCCCUAUGUCGAUUCCACUAACAUCACAUUCAACUUCAAACAUCAAAUCAAAAUUAGGCAAGGCAAGAAUAGGUGCUGAAGUCAACAAAUUCUUAAACUUAUGAAAUGACUCUUCUUGCUCCUUUUCCCAUUGAAACCCCACAUUUUUUUUAAUUAUCUCAUUCAAAGGUGCUGCAAUAGUACUAAAGUCUUUAACAAAUCUCCUAUAGAAACUUGCAAGACCAUGAAAAGACCUUACCUGAGACACAUUGGUUGGAGUCGGCCACUCCAAGAUGGCAUUUACCUUGGCGGGAUCAACACUUAUGCCAUUUGCACCAACAAUAUACCCAAGAAAGUUAACUUCAGGAGUGCAAAAGACACAUUUUUUCAUGUUAACAAAUAGCAUAUUUUCACGCAAGAUACUUAAAACAAGUCGCAAAUGUUCAACAUGCUCAUCUAAAGACUUGCUAAAGAUCAAUAUAUCAUCGAAAUUAAUGACAACAAAUUUCCCAAGAAAAUGCCUUAAAACAUGGUUCAUUAAUCUCAUGAAAGUACUUGGAGCGUUUGUUAAGCCAAAGGGCAUUACAAGCCACUCAUAAAGACCAUACUUUGUUUUAAAAGCAGUUUUUCAUUCGUCUCCUUCCUUUAUCCUUAUUUGAUGAUAACCAGAUCUUAAAUCAAUUUUAGUGAAAAUGAUUGCUCCAUGUAAUUCUUCUAACAUAUCAUCUAACCUAGGAAUAGGAUGACGAUACUUAACAGUAAUUUUAUUAAUUACACGAUAAUCUGUGCACAUUCUCCAAGUCCCUUCUUUCUUAGGCACUAGAAUAACUGGAACUGCACAAGGAGUAAGAGAUUCACGAACCUGUUCUUUUGCAAGGAGGGAAUCGACUUGUCUUUGAAUUUCCUUUGUUUCCUCCGGAUUUGCUCUAUAGGCUAGUUGAUUUGGUAGAAUUGCUCUAGGAAUAGAGUCGAUUUGGUGUUCAAUGCCUCGAAUUGGAGGUAAUCCUUUCGGUAGUUCCUCUGGAAACACAUCCUUGAAUUCUUGCAAAAGAGAGUAAAUUGCACUAGGAAGAGAAUCGGUUAGGCCUAGUGUGUAAAAAGAAAAAUAAUCAGCUUCCCUGUACAGAAGUACUAUGAGAAGAUUUUGUGCAUUCAAAGCCCUAUCUACCUCACGUACACUUGCAUAGAAGCUCUUUUUUAUUUUCACUUUCAAGCUCUCAGUCUCACUGAGUUUUUUUUCACUCGAAUUUUCUUUUUCACUCAACUCGGCCUCUACUUUCUUUUUCCCCUCAUUCUCUCUCACAUUCAACUGUUCCUUUGCCUCUCUCGGUUGCCUUUUCUCUCUCUCUUUUCUUAAAUGCAAUUAUUCUUCAUACACUUGUGUAGGUGUCAAGGGUGAAAGAGUGAUUUUGAGGUUGUCCAUAAUGAACUUAUACUUAUUGGUGAGUCCAAUAUGAUCAGCGUGUCUAUUAUACUCCUAAGGACGCCCCAACAAGAUAUGACUAGCAUGCAUAGGAAUUACAUCACAUAAAACUUGGUCCUUGUAUCGACCAAUAGAAAAAGCAAUUAAAGUCUGUUUGGUCACCUUGACUUCCCCCCCAUCAUUUAACCAAGACAAUCUAUAUGGUUUAGGGUGGUAAGUCCAGGGAAUGUGUUUUUGCUCAACAAAAUCAGCGGCUACACAAUUAGUACAAGAGUCACUAUCAAUGAUCAUAAGACAUACCUCAUCUCCAAUUUUGUAUCUCGUAUGAAAGAUAUUGGUUCGUUGGAGAUCAUCUUCUUGAGUUUGUGCAUUGAGCACUCUCAUGGUCACCAUAGUUCGAGUUACGGGGUCCUUUUCUAUCUCAACCAUGUCAUCAUCCUUCUCUUUUUCUUCCAGCGGUGACAUGUCCGCAUAUUCCUCCUCUCCUUCGCUUUGCCACAAUUUCUCUUCAUUCAUGUACAUGAUGCUUCGGUUAGGGCAUUGAGCCAUGAGGUGGGCAAUUCCCUUGCAUUUGAAGCAUGCCUUUGGCUGGUUGGUAGAUGUAUUUGCUCCUGGAAGAGUCGGCUGCGGGGUUGGUUUAGAAGAAGUUGCACUCGGAGGGAACGGUUGUUCUUUCCGCUUGUUUUCCCUCUCUCGAUUACCUUGCCUUGGCCAAACAUUGGAUGUUGGUAAUUGGUUCCUUCUCCAAGGAGUGAAAGAGGAUGUAGUGGUUCAGCCACUAGGUGUCUUUAGAGGUAAGGCUUGCUUUUCCACUUUCUCUACAUAAGACACCAUUUGUUGAUGCUCAAAAUGGUCUUGAAACUCAACCUUCUUCCUAAUUUCAGGAUUUAAUCCAUUAAGGAACCUCGCCAUGGUUGCUUCCGGAUCCUCUUGUACAUUAGCCCUUAUCAUCGCUACUUCCAUUUGUUUGUGGUACUCAUCAAUCGAGUUAGAACCUUGAGUAAGUCGUUGGAGCCGAUUGUACAAGUCCGUGGUAUAAUGGAAGGGUACAAAUUGUUUCCUCAUCACUUGCUUCAUUUCAGUCCAAGUGUCAAUCGGUUGUUCCCUAUUUCUCCUCCUCGUGGCACAUACUUGCUCCCACCAAAUAGAUGCAUAAUCUUGAAAUUCAAUAACUGCAAGUUUCAUCUUUUUCUCUUCAGAGUAAUUGUGGACUUAAAACACUUGCUCAACUCACCUAACCCAAUCCAAGUAAGUUUCAGGAUCAUUUUUCCCAUGAAAGGUAGGCAUCUUGAUCUUGAUGGAACCAAGAUUGUCAUCGGUUCUCCUAGAUUGGUCUCGACCUUCCCUCGCUCCUCUUUGGAUUUUCCUUGAUCGAAAGGAGGUGUGAUAUCCCUCAUCAUCCGUAUCAUGAUCAACACUCUGAACACUCGAAACCCUAUUGUGUGUAUCUCCGGUACCUCACAUCUCAAUGGCAGCCAAUCGGUCGAAUAAUUGUGUCAUCACCAAUUCAUGUCCCUCCGUUUGUUUUCAAAGAGCUUGGAGCACCAGUUUGAGUGACACGUCGGUCUCAGACGGCUCGGGCAUGUUCCCCUCUUGAGACAUAUUGUCCAACCUGCAAAACAAGUGUAUCCCAGUCUACCUUGCAAGCACUCGUGUAUCACUCAAGGAAACACACUCACUCUCAAUUUUCCUUCUCGAAAUUCUUAAAGCAACUCAAACUCUCAAAAAUUUCAGAAUUAAUUACCUUGUAAGCAAGUAACAAGACACAAAGCAGAAUUUUGUAAAUCUUAGAAAAAAACUCUCUACCCGAAGCUAGAAUUUUUUUUUGAGCUGCUAUUUUUGCUGAGUUUCUGGUCAGUAUUUUGGAGGUAAGUGGUGCUUUUGGGGUGCUCAAAUAAUGUAUGAACCAGUUCUCAAAUUUCAGUUAAAUCGGCUCGCAAAGACAAAACAGAAUUGAAAACCAAUCAAGAUUUAGAGACUCAAGUUUUGGGAAACCAAUCAAGAUUUGAAAACUAAUCAAGAAUUGGAAACCAAGCAAGAAUUGAAAACUCAAGAUUUGGAAAACUUGAUUUCCUUUGUGUGAGAGCCGAUUCCUUCUCUUCUUCCUUUAUUUUCGUUCUCUCUCUCUUUUUUUUUAUUUUUUUUGCUUCGGCUCUUCAAGGAACACAAAUUCAGGUCACACCAACAAGUUCAAGAAAAUGGAUGAAAAGUUAUGCAAAUUUCAAGAAGAUCCUAGUUCUUGAUUUAUUGUUCAAGAACUUUCAAAAUAAGACUUGGUGGUCCAAGAACUUCAAGAAUUUGUUCAAGAAGUUCAAGAACUUCCCCAAAUUACGUUGUGGUGUUUAGGGUUUGCAAGAACAAUAACCAAUACUCAAGAAAUAGGCAAAACAAAAUUUCAACAAUACUCAAAAGAAAAUUCCAGCAAUACUCUAGCAAGUUGGAUACUAAAACAACAUAAGGUAUAUGACUCUUUUUUUUUUAUCUUUAAACCCUAACAACCCAAACACAAGUAUAAUAGACCCAAGAACUUGGACAGAAAACACAAAAAAAGACAACACCCAUACAGAUUUUGUUUUCUCGGAUGAACAGUAACGUGAACAGUACGCUACAGUACGAUAAACAGUAUUCGGUACAGUAACGAUGAACAGUAAUCGCUAUAGUAACGAUGAACAGUAAUCGCUACAGUUUUUUUUUUUUUGACAAAAGACACAAACUAACAAGAUAUGAACAAUUUCAAUUAAAAGAGAAUUAACCUGAUGCUCUGAUUACCAAUUGAUGAGCAACCCUAGGGGAAGACCCUCCUAGACCCUCCCAACCUUGUAAUUACCAGAGUUGGACCUUUUCUCCCAAUGGAUAUUGAACUCGAAUUGUUCUCAUGGACUCAAGACCUCUGACACACAAAGGCAAUCAACAAGCUUAAGCAAAUAAUGAUGGAUGAAGAGACACCACGAUUAGGGAACAAACUAAUCGAUAAAGUCAGAUUUGAAUUCUAAGCAAUGAACUCAAGAAUUCAAGAGUAAGUUCGAUUAAGAACUUGAAAGAAAAAAUCCUCAUGAUUUCUGGUUGUAAUAUUCCGUCUUUUCACUUAUACAAUAGGUGCCUUUUAUAGGCUAAAACUAGGGCAAAUCCGGCCCACAUAAACCUGGAAUAGGAAUUCGGUCCGCAUAAAGAGCUAGCUCUUUAAGGCUUCUCGAUAAGGCCCAAUAAGUAAUAAAAUACUCAACGACUAACAACUACUAAACUAGGCAGUCUUAAAAUAACUACCAACUAAGUUAACAAGUAUGAGAUCAUUCUUUCACUUCAAACAUACAAGUGAACAAGGUAACUUCAUGGUCCAUCAAAUCUACAAACUUAGCUUGCUCCUUGCUUGUAUGGUGAAUGAUCAAGACUCGUAAAACUUCUCUCACCUUCUUGGUUCUUGAUCUUGUCAUCGGACCACCAAUGUUGAUCAAAGGGUCCUUGACCCAAGGUUGAAGGUGUUGUACACCCGUAUCCACAUCACAACCCCUGAAAAUCGCAAACCCUACAUUGGGGCAAAUUUAGUUUUGAAAAAAAAAAGAAAAAAAAUCCCACACUGGAACAAAUUUAAUUUUUAAAGGAAGGCCGAAAGAAAAGAAAAUAAACAAAAGAAAACCUCAAUUAAAAAUAAACUUGAGCAAAUUUUGAAAAAUUUCAAAAGAUGAAUAGAAUGACAGAAGACAAAAAAAAAAGAAAAAAUGAAAGAAAAGAGAACUUUAGUUGAGAAUAAACUAGUGUAAGUUUUGAUUUAACCUUAAAAUAAGGUUGGCACAAUAAUGCGAUUUUAGAUCAUUUAAACCACUUUUGAAAUCCGCCUUCAAACCUUAACUUUUUUAAGCGCCCCACCAGACCCCAUUACAAAAGUCGAAAGUUCUGACUUCUGUUCUUUGCCAUAUCUUUGUCAAGAAAUUUUCUAAUUAACUGGUACAUGAUGUUCAUAUACUGAUGCGAGAAAAAUUUUUAGAUAUGUUUCUGAAUUGAUUAGGUUUGAGAUUGACACUACUCAUCAGGUGAAAAUUCACAAGGACACCUUCAAAAAGGAAAAGAGAUCAUUAUAAAAAAAUAACAAAAAAGGGAAAAAGAAGAAGAAAGAAAAUAAAAGUCAAGAAAAAAAAAGAGAAGAGAGAAAGAAGAAGGAAAGAAAAUAAAAAGGUGGGGGUAAUCUUAGUGCAAACCCGAAAGGGCACUAAGAUAUGGUUUCCCAAGGAAAGCAAAGAAUGUAAUAACUGGCAAUUCAGUUCAUUUGGAUUCCUAUUCACAUUGAAAUUUUUCUGCCAGCAUUGAAUUCCCGACGGACGAUAUCUAAAAGGUCAAACAGGACAAUUUGUUUGAGGUCAAAGUAUUUUGGUUAUCAAAUAUAGAUUGUUGAGUUUAUGAUUCAUCACUCUAAGAUUAUUUUUCCUUCAAUACAAGUUGAUGGUUAUUUUUGGCAUUACAUUGACUUUUAUUAUUUUGUAUAAAAGAAAAUUUUUAGGUGUUGUAGGGUUUCAUUUGUCUCAUUGGAUUUUAUCAAAUAACAAUCUCCACGGUUUAUCGAAAGUGCAUAUGUAUAAAUUUUCAUAUUGAGUUAGCAUUGGAAGCUAAGACAGCCUGGAUAUGAUUUGCAGCACAAGGCUGGAUUUUGCAGCAUCGAGGACAAAACAUUAAAAUAUUCAUGUUUACACGUUUCUUAAAAGCUAGACAGGUCGAAUUGUGGUGACAUUAUUUGUUCUUUCUUUUGCAGGUCCUUACGUGUUUUAAAUAACAAAAUUUGGGCAAAUUUUUUAUAUAAUCGUGGAAUGUCGUUCAAGAAUUGAAUAUUUAUGGUUCAGACCGAGGAAGAGGUGUGAAUGAAAUUCUUAAGGAGGAACAAAAAUGCCAUAAUGCAAAGUGAAUGAUCGGUUGCACAACAAUUGGUUGAAACUGGGGCAAAUUUUUCAAAAAAAUUCUCCAAGUGAGUAUUCAAAAACUUUUUCAUGCACUAACGCUUCUUUCUUGGCAAUUUAAUUUCCUGUUGGUGAGUCUCAGCGUCUGCCACACACCCUUCUACCCUCUUUCUUAGCAAUUUAAUUUCCUGUUAGUGAGUCUCAACUUCCGCCGCGCACCCUUUUACCCUCUUCUUGGCAAUGUAAUUACCUAUUGGUGAGUCUCAGCGUCCACCGCGCACCUUUCUACCUUCUUCUUAGCAAUGUAAUUUCCUGUUGGUGAGUCUCAGCGUCCGCCACAUGCCCUUCUACCUCCCUUCUAUCCCAUUUCUUGGAGCGUAAUCGCGUCUCUCCGCACAUAUUUUUCUAAUUAUGUCAAUUUAAUUUGCUUGACCGUUUUGACUAAAAAUUGUGCUUUCUCAUGAUUAGAAGUUCUGAGAGUUCAGACUCCUUCGAUUCUGCAAAGAUCAUAAGUGGUCAAUGCACUUGUUUCAUUAUUGUUCACUGGUAUUUGAACUACAUUUGACCUGAUUCCCAUAACGGGAUACGUAGGUAACUUUACACGAGUUCGGUCGUGUCUCUUGUAAUAUUAUUGCAUUAUUCUCGCCCAAUAAUUUUAGCUAAGUGUUGGUUUGUUAUUUUAGCUUAGGUGCAGUUAGAAGAGACAAAUAAGUAUUUUGACGUCUACGUUUUUGUCUCUAAUUUCUUUGAAACUCAGACAAAGAGGGGCAAGUUGUAGAUACCAAAAUUUCAAUGCUAUUUAAUUUAAUUUAAUUUUAUUUUAUUUUCAUUAAUCAAAAAUUGCAAAGUGAUAGUUAGCUAUUUUUAUUGAAUUAGGGUUCAUUUUCUAUUAAAUAAUUUUCGAAAAAAGAAAAGUCUCACAAAAAUUUGUUUUUAAGUUUUUCAAAUUCAAUUUCUUCCAAAUAAAGUGGAAAUUUACAAAGCAAUUUCAAUUAGUAGUCUAACAUUUUAUUUACCCUAAAUUUAUUUUUAAAAAAAUAAAAAGAAAAACAAAAAUAGGUGGAAUGCAUGUAAUAUGGUUAGGUGGAGUGCAUGUAAAUGAUCCAUGUGAUUUUGACAUUUUGCACAUCACAACAUUCAAAGGAUAGGUGGCAAGACAGGUGGAAGAUGGAGAAAGAUCUGGAAACAAAAGGGAAAAAUCAGGAAAACAAGGCAAAAGGGAGCGAGCAAGAGAAAGCAAAGGGAAGAAAAAAGAAGGAGAAAGGAAAAAAAAGAAGAGGGUUUUCGCUGAGAAAGAAAGAAAAGGGAGAAAGAAAGAAAAACUGAGGAGGGAAACAAGGGAACCUAGGGAAAAUCUGGGAGAGAGGUUCAGGCCAAACAAGAGAGAAUAGGAAGAAAGGAAAAAAGAAGAAAAAGAGAAGAAGGAAGAGAAGGCUUCGAGCGAGGGGAGUUUUGGGAAGAAAGGGUGGAGGAGGGGAAUCUGCUGGAGCAAGAAAGGAAGAGAGAAACUGGGAGGAAAAGAAGAAAAAGGGUUUCGGGAAAAGAGAGGAAAAAGAGAAGAAAGGAAAUAAAAAGGAGAAAACCAGAAAAAGAGAGGAAAAAGGGAGGAAGUUUGGGGAGGAUUAGGGAGAAAAACAGAAAGGCAAACGAAAGGAAAAGAAAGACAAACAAAGAGAAAAGAGGGAAGAGAGAAUUUCUGCAAAUUUUUUUUCAGAAUCAGGUUGGAUUUUCAUCACCUUGAGAUGCAAUUUUCACAAUUGAAUCGAUCUCUUCUUGGAUGUUUUAAGCAAUCUAGGAUAUUGAUGAAGUGAGGGGAGCAAUUUUUAUUUAGACAUUGUGGAGAAAAAGCGUCAGGAAAGCCUCCAAAUUUGCCUUCCAAAGUCGUGGAUCGGUUUGACUGAUGCAUCUACAAAUCUGCAAAAAUUCUUCAAAAAGUGUCUCUGUUCGUUCCUUUGGCUCUCAUCACAUCUAGGAUUCAUCUUUAGGUAAAUCUUACGCGUUUUCCUCAUUCAUUCCAGUUCACAUGCAAAGAUUAAACUCAUCAAAAAGGAAUUUUUCUUUAGAUUAUUGCCUCGCAAGUCCAUAGUGUUGGUUGUAUGAUUUGGUUGGGUUUGAUGCAUCUUAUUUGACUAACAAAUAAUGAGGUUUAGAAGUUGAUGAGAAACUUAUCUAUCUUGAAUGUGUGUCCUUGUUGCUUUUGCACGUCUUGUGGCUCAUAAUCAAAGCUUUGUUUUGAGAAUUUUUGUUGGAAACUUAUGAAUAAAAAAGCCGUCAGCUUUCUUGCUUUCUUUCCUCCGUGAAACUGAAUGGAUGUGAUCCAUGGGUUGUGGGUUCUUUUCCUAGUAUCUUGUUUGUUUUUCAUGAUUUGGGUUUUAGGCUGUUUUCUUGAAGGGUUGGGUUUGAAGUUUUAGCCAAUGUUCAUCUCACUUUGCUGCAUUUUUAUGUCCAGUUACCUUGUUAGAUUUCUGGGGAUAGAUAAUUGUGUUUAGGUGAUGUUAAUAACGAUGGGGUAGAAGUUCUUGCAUUUGGUUUUAGUUGUCGAAUUAGUAGACGUUGCUUGAGUUAUUUCGCACAAACAUAUCUAGGCGAAUGAGGAAAGAUUGCUGAAGUCUCAAAGCAACGAAAGUUGCAGAAAGCUUCUUCGUAAGAUUGCAUGAAAAUUUCAGAAAAAUUGCAUUUUAGACCUUCAAGUCUUAAGUAAUGCUAUGGGCUAAGAAUAUGGAAAACUCAAUCAAUUUUACCCUUUUUGAAAUUCAAUCAAUCCUUUUAUAUUUUAACCAUGUUUUAGACCUAUUGCUGCUAUGGCCCAAGAAUAUGGAAAACUCAAUCAUUAAUUUGCAUUUUGUUUGAUAAAGUUGAAUCAACUACUUGGUUUGAAUUAACUAUUAAUUUGCAUUUUGUUUGAAUUAACUAUUUGUUUAGUUUAAAUGGCAUUUAAUUUGAAAAUUUUAGGAACCUUGAGUUGACUUCAAAUGAUUUGUUUUGUGUUUAUCAAAGAAAUUGGUACCUUGACCAUUUCCUUUGUUUUGAGGAUAAAAAAGAGAAUUUUCAUUUUAUUAGGUCACCAAUUCAAGGGAGGUACACUCUACUGCUUAUUUUUUAUUUUAAUUGAUCCUAUGAGAAUUUAUGUGUGUAAUUGCAUGUUUUUAUGUUUUUUAUUAUUUAUUUUGUUUUGUUUAUUUAUUCACUUUAUUUGUUUCUUUUAAUUUCAUAUAUUCAUUUUAAUUUAAUUUUUGAUUAUUUAAGAGUCAAUUAAAUGUUAAAUUGUAAUAGUUAGAUUAUUAUUUUAUUUUGUUUCGUUCUUUCCCUCUUAGAUUGUAGUUAGGGUCCCCAAAUGUAAUAGUUAGGCCUUUAUUUGCUCUUAUUUGCUUUGUAUGUGCUUGCAUGUUUACGUGUUUACUCACUUUCUUAGGGUUUUUGCAUCUAUAUAUCAUGCUCAUGUGCUAUGUGCUCUAUGUGAUCUAUGUGUUUACUUGCUUUUAUCAUAUUUUAUAUGAUUUAUUAAUUAUAAUAAAUGCAUGAUAUCACCACACUAGUCCAAUGCUAGUUGUGGGUCUUUAUUCCAAUUUCUCACUAGUCUACUGCUAGUUAGAGCUUAUAGACAUGUGUUAGUCUAACACUAGAUCCUUAGGAACCGUUCACGCAUUAGAUCAUGUUUGUGCGGUAAAAUCACUACAUUUCAUGCACAUUUUCUACUUUUAGGAUCCUUACCAUUUUGUAUGAUAUUUUCCUUAUAUAUAUCCUUUAUCCCUAUAUGUAAAAUAUGACAUUUAGACGUGCAUUUCAUUUAAGAAAAUUAGAACUAGGAUAUUUUUUUUUUGGCUAACUCCGUCCAUGAGGGGGGGAUGCCACCCCCGCUUUUAUUCAUAAAUCACAAAAUACAAUGUUUCUUGCAUUAAGGGGUUCGCACCCUCCUAACAGAAGGAGCUCUCAUGCUAUCUAGGCUAAUUCCUCCACGAGCCAGCCUCAGCCAUUCAUUCCAAUGCUCAUAGAGCUUAACAACAUGGUGGGGGUGUGCUACCUCAACAUUAGCCAGAAUAUCUGUCACAUUAUUUGCCUUUCUGAAACAAUGGACAAGUCUCGACGGAUCUCCUGCCAGCUUCCAUAUUUGCUGGACCUCCCAGCGGAUAUGCCAAUGACAGUGAAGCUGGAGUUGAAGAAUCCCCACCAAAACUAGAAAAUCCAGUUGAAUGCUAACAUUCAUGAACCCCUUUUGAGCAUAUAUCUGAAGCCCCGUUAGAAGUGCCAGCGUUUCUGCCUGGACGCUAGAUGUCACUCCAAAAAAAGCCGAGAACCCUACCAUGGGGUGUCCCGAUGGAUCCCGUAGCACUCCUCCGCCACCACAUGGCCCAGGAUUACCCUUGGAGCAGCCAUCCGUGUUCAGGGUAAGUGCUCCCAUUGCAGCUGGCUCCCAACAAACAAGUUUGAGCUCGAAACGCCGCUCCGACUGAGACGACCAAUCACACAACUGCAAGAAUGAUCGAGCCCCAACAUGUUGCUUGAACUGCCCUUCAAGAAGUAAUUUGGUCUCCAAAAAAAUAUCUUGGCAAAUAGAAGGAGGAUGCAGUUGAAUGCCCUCAAAAACUGCUCUAUUCCUAGCCUUCCAAAUGUGCCAACAAAGUAUGCUCGGGAGAGUAUGAUUGAUAAGUGGAUAUUUAACGUACAUUUUGUAUGAAUUUGGCAUUAAUUUUUGGUAUGAUCUGAGAAGAUUAAGCCAUAUUUGAACUCUUUUGGUGAUAAUUGCUUAAAUAUUGAUUAAGGUUUCAAAAAUUGAUAAAUGAGUGAAUUAAUGCAUUAAUUUUGUGAAAUUGUGAAGGUAAUUGAUGUAUGAAAUUCAUGCACAUCCAGAGGACAAAGUAUACAAGAAAUUGGGAGCAAAAAUGUAGAAAAAAAGGAAGAAGUGAAAAACUGGAAAAAUGUUCAACACGGAUCCGAUCUCGGAUCCGUGUGAAUAAGAGGGAUCCGACCCCUCGUCUGUACUUCUGGCGGAGCGCAUCCGAGGUCAGGACGAUCCGACCUCGGAUCCAUUAUGAAAUCCCUCGGAUCCCUCGGAUCCGAGCUCGGAUCCAUUUUCACUCCUCGGAUCCGAGACUCGGAUCUGUCUCUCUCCUCAGCAAGUGUCACAGCUGUUUUUCUUUACCUUUUUCACAACUUUCCACCUAUUUUGAGGGCCAGAAAUCGGUGGCACAUUCUUCUGCAACAAAAGAGAAGACCAAAUGAGUAUGGACAAAAGGAAAUAUCAUAUCUUUGACUUCUUUUUACAAAAUCUGAGUGGAGGAAAUUAUGAAGUGAGAGGAAUGGAAUUUCUUCCACCUUUUAUGCAGAAACACAGAGGAGAAGCCUGGAAUACCAUACGUAGCUAGUUUUCUUUCUUGUAUCUAAUUUUCUCUCUAGAUAGGAGUUCUUGGAGAAGUACUUGGAGAGUUUCACUUAUAAUCAUAUUGUGCAAGAACAUAGCAGGAAUUGGAGAGUUUCACCUUCAAUUGGCUAAGCUUUCUUUUAUCUUUCUUAUACUUGUACUUUAUGAGGUUUUGCAUUAAUAAACUUGUGAGUUUGAUUGUUAAAUCAUUCAUGAGUAGCUAAACUCCUUCAUCUAGGGAGUAGAUGAAACUUAUGGCUAAAUAAUACUAAUUGAAUGUGAUCUACACUUGUUAUAUCUUGUAUUAAUUUGUCUACUUGUGUAGCUGUGAUUACUUGUUAUUGAUUGAUCACCAAUAGCAUGUUUAUAGUGUUAUUAUUCAAUGAGAAUUGGUAAUAACAAUUGAAACACAUGAGUAGAGCUUGAGUUGUAUGUUCAUGAAAAUAGAGAUACACUUAGGUGGAUUAGUGAGCAUUUCAUGAAAUAAAACGGAGUAGUAGUAGUAUUUCACCAUGAAAAUAGGGAAAUCUAUAUUGCUCUAGGCCAUUUCAUCAUGAAAAUGAGACUUGGUAAUCUUGGAAAUAAAUCUCUGGUUAAGCAAGAAUAAUAGCAAGAAGUAAAUCCAUUCAUUUGUGUAGUUUAUGCCAUAAGUGGAAUCUACAUCCCUAGAAUCUUCCUUAAGUGAAAUUUAUCUAUUCGCAUUCAGCAUUUGUUAAACUAGAUUUGUAUAUCAGAUUUGUAGAUUACAGCAUUAGAUUUUCUCUGCUCAAAUUAAUUGUAAGUCUAAAUAAUAGAGAGAACAAGGGCUUAGUAAUUGUUUAAAUUGCUCCUCGUGGGAUCGACCCGAUACACAUUUUGUACUACAAUUGCAACCUGUAUACUUGCAGUCCAACGGGUGUCAAAUCGGAAUUAAACUUGCAUUGAUACAAAAAUCCCGUCAAGUUUUUGGCGCCGUUGCCGGGGAGCGGCAAUAUUAGGGCCUAAUCAUCUCUAUUAAUUUAGAUAUUUUUUAGUGUUUUUUUUUAUUUGUUGAAUUAAAACUGAAAAAUUUCUCUUGUUUUUGUUUGUAGUGUAUGCACCGAUCAAAUCGAGAAGUUGCACAUUUCGAUCUUGAAAUUGAAAGAACAUUACACAGAAAAAGGAGGAGUACAUCACAUCAAGAGGAACAAGAGGUUUGGCAGCCAAUAGAAGAUAUUCUGAUAGAAUUACAAUUUGAAGAAGACAUGGCAGAAAAUGAAGCAAAUAGGCGAGUUCUACGAGAUUAUGCUCUACCGGGAACACAAGGAUCUCAAACGAGCAUAGCAAGGGCUACGGUAAAUGCUAACAAUUUUGAGAUUAAACCAUCACUUAUCCAAAUGGUUCAACAAUCUCAAUUUGGAGGUAAUGCAGUAGAAGAUCCUAAUACACACUUAGCUACAUUCUUGGAAAUUUGUGAUACAAUUAAAAUGAAUGGAGUUAGUGAUGAUGCUAUAAGGCUAAGAUUGUUCCCAUUUUCAUUGAGAGAUAAGGCCAAACUUUGGCUACACUCUCAUGCUCCUAAUACUUUCACCGGAUGGGAUGAUUUAUCAAGAGCAUUCUUAAAUAAGUAUUUUCCACCAGGUAAGACUGCUAAGCUAAGAAUAGAUAUCACUAGUUUUAGCCAAAUGGAAGGUGAAUCAUUAUAUGAGGCAUGGGAAAGGUUUAGAGAUUUGCUUCGGAAAUGUCCACAUCAUGGACUGCCGGAGUGGUUAAUCAUACAAACCUUUUAUAAUGGUUUAUCUUUCUCCACUAAAACUAUUAUUGAUGCAGCCGCAGGUGGAGCUUUAAUGGGUAAAUCACCCCAAGAAGCUCAGAAUUUGAUAGAAGAAAUGGCCGCAAAUAACUACCAAUGGGCCAAUGAAAGAGGUAAUACAAGACGUCACGCAGGUAUGAUAGAAAUGGACACUCUCAAUAUGCUGAGUGCUCAAAUGAAUAAUGUGAUGAAGUUGCUAAAUAAACAAGGUGGAGUUGGUCCAAGUUCAUCUAAUGCACAUGCAGCAUGUUGUUCUAUAUGUGGAGGUGAACAUGAUAUUAAUGAGUGUGUUGAUUCUGAGCAGGUACAAUUUGUCAAUAAUUACAACCGAAAUGCUCCAAAUAAUCCCUACUCGAAUACUUACAAUCCGGGGUGGAGAAAUCAUCCAAACUUUGGAUGGAAAGAUCAAGGCAAUCAACAAAGGCCAACCAAUCCGCCGGGAUUUCAACCAAGGCAACCACAGGCUGAAACUAAACCAAGUUGGGAGAUCGCGGUGGAAAAACUUGCUAAGGUGACUUCGGAUAGAUUCGAGCGAGUUGAGGGGCGGUUGGACCAAUUAGCUGGGAUGUACAGAAACUUGGAGGUUCAAAUUGGUCAAAUUGCCAAUGUGAUCAACAAUAGAAACCCUGGUGAAUUACCAAGUAAAACCGAAGUGAAUCCGAGAGAGCAUGUCAAUGCAAUCAUUCUUAGAAGCGGUAAAACGGUUGAGGGAUUCGAUUUUGAAAAUUCAGGUGGUGAAAAAGACAAGAAGCAAGCAAUUGAAGGGGAGCAAGAAAGUCAAAAUGAUCAUGUUAUCAUUGAUAUUGAUGCACUUCAUCCCAAAUUAAAUUCUAAUGUGAUACCUUUUCCUCACAGGUUGAAGAAAGAUGGACAGGAUCGGGAGUUUGAAAAGUUCUUCAAAAUGUUUAAACAAUUGCACAUUAACAUUCCUUUCAUUGAUGCUAUAACACAGAUUCCCUCUUAUGCACGUUUCUUGAAAGACAUCAUGUCAAAGAAGAGGAAAAUUGUAGAUAAUGAGAUGAUAGCAUUAACGGAAGAGUGUAGUGCAUUGAUUAAGAAUAAACUCCCUCCUAAAUUGAAAGAUCCGGGAAGUUUUUCUAUUCCUUGCACUAUUGGUCAAUUGCAUUUUUCUAAUGCUUUAUGUGAUUUAGGUGCAAGUGUGUCACUUAUGCCGUUAUCGGUUGCCCGGAGAUUGGGACUUCAAGAGCUAAAAGCUACCAAUAUUACAUUGCAAUUGGCGGAUCGGUCAAUCACACGUCCCAUGGGUAUUUUGGAAAAUGUGCUCAUAAAGGUAAGACAAUCUAUAAUACCUGUGGAUUUUGUUGUCUUAGAUAUUGAAGAAGAUGUGAGAAUGCCAAUUAUUCUAGGACGACCGUUUUAGCCACUGCACGAACUAUAAUUGAUGUAGAAAAUGGUAAGCUUAUAUUACGGGUUAAUGGUGAGGAAUUGGAAUUCAAUUUGGAUAAUAAAGAAGGGAAUAUAGAGCCUACUGCUCUUGUUUCUAAUAUGCCAUAUGAUGAAAAGGUUAACCAAGAAAGGACCGAAGAAGUUAAAUUUAUAAAUGUCCUUGGUACUAACUUUCAUGGUGUAGGAACAAAGGAGGAGAAGAUAAGGAUGGAAGUUGGCUUAAUAAAUUCGCCAUUCCAUGAAGAAAAUGGUGAAAAGUUGAGCCAAUUCAGAAAAGACAAGCAAAAUCCACUCCAAGGUGAAGUUGAGCCUCUCUAUGACAAGUCUAAUAUUUCUCCUUGGCAUUUGAGGAAAUUGGACUAUGAAGAUCAAUGCAUGGUUCACCACAUGGUGGAUUGGCUCGGGAGUUUCAACCCAUGGGGAGAAAAUCUCUCUCUAAUGCUCUAAAGUGAUUCAACUUUUUCAGUCGAGCCAACGACUAUAAACAAAAGCGCUAAUUGGGAGGCAACCCAAUAAUAAUUGUGUAUUUGUGUGUUUUUAUGUGUUUCUUACAUUUUGGUGGGAUUUAAUUAACUAAUUAGAUGUAUUUCACUUGUUUGUAGGAGAUACGGGAGUUUUAUCAUCCAUUUUGGAGGUGCACUUGAAGAACAUGUUGGCAGGGAGUUUUUCUUACCAGCUUGUGUUUUAAGUGCUUAAAAUUCCCAUGCAUAUACAUACAUUGUGCAUUUCAAGUAUAUUUAAGUGAGUUUUGGUGAUAUCAUGGUUAUAAAGGCUCAUGGACUCAUUUGAUAUACAUUUAAUGCCCAAAACUGCCAUUUUAGUGUAAAAAUGAUCAAAGAACCUCACCCCUCGAUUUUCAAUGUAGAUAUGUUUGUUGUGUUUUGAGAGGUUGGAUAUUAUGUUUAUGGUAUAUUACAUGUGCAUGGGACGUUGGAAUUGAGAAAAGGGAUGUCCAAUGUGUAAUUUGGAAUUGGCCGAAAAAGGGAGAAAAAGUUUAGAAAAAUUGCAGUUUCUGCAAUUAGUGCAGAGAAAUACAGAUCCGAGCUCGGAUCCUAAAAAGCCAGACAGAUCCGACCUCGGAUUUAUAGAUCCGAGCUCGGAUCGUUUCCAACCCAGAUAGAUCCGAGGGUUCGUCUGUGUUUCUGUUGAGACUGAUCCGAGCCCUGUCGGAUCCGAUGCCUUCCAGAACGGAUCCGACCUCGGAUCCUUUCGCGAUAAGAAUGGAAACGAGGCCUCGGUUCCUCAUUUUCCAGAUUUCUUUUUUCUCUCUAUCGGAAACCCUAUCCCCUUUCCUCCAAUCUUCCAUUUCAUCCAUAAAAUUCCCAAUUUUUCACAAUAAAAACCUUCCCUAACCUUUUGUGAGCAUUAACCCUCAACAAUUUGGAAUCGAAAACAUCAAAUUGAGGGGUUUUGAUCUUCAAGACGUGAAAUAGGGCCAAACUGAAAUCUUGCAAUUUGAGGACAAAUUUGGGCUUGUUUGUCUUCCAUUUUUGCAUCAUUAUCAUCCUCCAUCAUCACUCUACACAUUUGAGGUAACAAUUUGCAAUUUUCUUUGAGUUUACAUAAUCUCUAAUUUUGCAUUUUUCUAUUUCUUAGGUAUAUUGUGAUAAAUUUGUAUUUGUUAGAACUUCUUGAUACAAUUGUGCUACAUUGCACUUAAAUAAAUUGUUACAACUAGUUUUAUGUUUAUUUUUGAGAAAAAUUGUGGAUUUGGUGAUAAUUUUUGACAUUUCUUUCUCAAUUUUUGGGCUUGAGUAUUUUAUUGACUUAGAAUUGUGAAUUUUACUAUAUGAACUUAUUUCGAGAGGUAUAAGUCACUAACAUACCAAUUGAACAUGAUAUGCUCUCAUUAGAACAAUAGCCUAUGGGAUAAAAGAGUGUGUCCCUGAUCAAGUUGACCACAUUGAACCACUUUUACUUAAGAUAAUUAGCAUUUGUUUGGAUGAAUUGGAACUCAUAUGUAUGUACAUUGAGUGUUAUAAAUGGGAAUGGAGAUAUUCUCAAGUGUUUGUGUGUUUAUGGAUAUAAUUUUCAAUUAUUUGCACUUAAUAUGCAUGAAAUGGUUUCCUUAUUGGUAAUAUCCUCUUUACAUGUGGGAAUUGGAUUUGAGAAGUGUUAGGAAGUUUAUUUGUUUAAAUUUUGGUACAGUUUGGCAGGGAGUUUAGCCCUUUUUCAAGGGGAAACUCUGCCGAAAUUUUUUUAAAUUCCUAGUUAACAUGUAUGAGCAAGUUUCUAUCAUUUCUAAUACAUACUCAUCUUGUUUAUAGGUGUUAUGGCUCGUACAAGGAGGGAUCGUAUUCGUACUCCUACACCAUCGUCAAGUGAAGAACAUACACCUUCUGUGCAUGAGGAGUCGCCUGAGGAAGAAUCUCCUUCGCCUGAGUCACCACCUCGCUCUCGUCGAAAGACCGCAUCCACUAGCCGUGACGAGCCACUUCCUGACUAUGAUACCACUCGUUUCACCUCGCUCGAGAAUCAACAGUGGUACGAGGCUGGUUUGGACAAAGAGAUUAUCGUUGAAAAAUAUUUGGCACCGGAGGUGGAUGCACACUACCACAUCUCCACGGCAUUUAAACGACUCGGAUGGGAGACUAUACUAAAUUUGCCAAAACAUUACUAUCCCAAUCUGGUCCGGGAAUUCUACGCCAAUGUAGAAAAUAAACAAAGUCACAGUGGCAACCUCAUCGUCUCGUGGGUUCGAGGAAGAAGAGUGGCUCUCAAUCGCGAUACACUGAGACAAUUCGUCAAAUUCAAAGAUGAAGGCGAAGAUGUCAAAUUGACCAAGGAGUUCAAAGCUCGAGACCCUUGGGAAGUGGGAGAGGCCGUGGGACGACUAAAGGGUCAAUACCGUGAGCGAGGAAGUUCGAAAAAACUCACAGUAUAUGCUGACUCCUUCGAGCAUCGGUACCACCUGAUUUUCUACCUUUUUGCCUUCAAUGUGGUGCCGAAAAAGAGUGGCAAACGAGAGAUCCGAAAUAGCGAUCUCUAUUUUCUGGAUAAAAUGAUACAUGGAGUGGGUAGGCAGUUGACUGGUAUUCCUCUACCCAGCAUUAUCAUCAGCUAUAUGCGAACCACAGCUCGUAUGAGGGCCGGCGAGACUUGUUUUGGAUUUCCUCGGCUGCUAUCCCUCAUCUUUGAGAAGCUCAAGAUUCCCAUUGGAACCGAGAGAGCUGUGGUAACUAGGUCGGCCGAGGAGGUAAAUGAUUCGUUACUCAAAUCCUUGGAUAUUUCUACUGAUUUUGGAGCUACUUUGGUCCGGGACACAGGAGAAGCAUCGACUUCCACUCAGCCUCCGCCCCACACUGAACCACAAGCGGAAACUCAAGAGACGGAGGCACAGCAGCCUCUUCCUCCUCCGGUUCCACGACCACCUCCUCAACCACGCUCCAAGUGGCAAGAGCUUCUCAAUGCUAUUUGCUGUAUGGAGACCCGAGUCGUCGAGCGCAUUGACCAGACGGAACGGAUGAUGACUGAGCAACUCGACCGACAUGAUCGCCGCCUUCGUGCGAUCGAGGAUCAUUUCCAUAUCCGACGGUCCCCUACACCGACACCUCAUCAGGAGGAGGGCCAUAUUGGUACCUCACAGGGUCCUCAUGGAGCCGAGGAGGCAGUAGACCCUCGUUCCGAGCAGCCAUGACGCUACUUAGCGGAUUUGAUCUUUUAUGUCUUUAUUUAUUUUUCUUUUCUUUUGUUAAGACAACCUUGUAGAUUUUAUUUUUCUUUUAGUUGAAUCAUCUUGUGCUACUUAUGGUAUUUGGUACCUUUGUUGUCUCAUUUUGGACAGAAAAAGGAUGAUCGUGAUGAUUAAAGGCUUCAAAUUGCAUCACCACCUAUUUGAGGGAAGUUUCAGUUCUUUUACCUUCCUCUACAAUGAGGACAUUGUAGAUUUUAAGUGUGGGGGAGGGAUUACUUAUCUUAUGGGUGAUUGUGUGUUGAAAUGCAUGAUUUUAGUUGUUUAUGGCUUAAAAAUGUUGGAAUUAUACGUGGAGAUAGUCAUGAGGAUAAUUUUUGUGAAAAUUGAGGUUGUUGGCAGGGAGUUUCAUCCAUUUUUAUGGGGAAACUCUGUCAAAAUUUUUCUAAAAUAUUUUCCAGUAUUUCAUUGCAAUUCUUCCAUAAAAAUGGCCAAAAUGUUAAAAUUUUAAGUGUCUAAUUCUUCCAUUGGAUAAAAUGUUAUGUGUAUUUUGGAAAAGUUUAGUUCUUAUUUGGCCUGGAAUGAAUUAUUAUGCAAUUAGGAUAUUUACAUUUUAGAAAGUAUAUUUUGUUAAAUAAGAAAAAUUAUGCUUAGAAUUUUGCAAAAUUAAUGAGAUUUAUCAUUUUUACCUAAUUUUAUAAGUAAGUGAUUGAUAUAGUCAAAGACAAGGCCAAAUUCUUCCUUUAAUUAUAUUUAGAGGGAAAAAGAAAUUAUAUGUUAAAAAAAAAGAAUAAUAUUAUUAUUUUUCUACUCCAAUGAUUCACAUACUGAGUAACCGGGGGUUGGCAUUUACAAAUGUCGACAUUCGCGUAAAAAAGUAUUGGAAUUAAGAGUAUGCUUAGCAAUUUAAAUGAGUGAAAUGUUGAGUAACCGGGAAUUUUCACCUAAAAGUGUUGAUUUUCGCGUAAAAAGACAUUUUCAUUAUUUAAAUGAGAAGAAAUGUGAAUAAAUCCCUCUAAUUUGUUAAGUUUUGGGAUGAGGAAGGCCAUAAAUUUGACUAUGUGAUUUACUUAUUUGUGGAAUUAGGAUAGAAUGAGAGAAUUGAUUUGAAUUUAUCAAAAUAUAGGCAUAAUUAUUUUUAUUUAAUUGAAUAUUAUGGGUAUUUAGUGUAAUCUGAGAAAUGGCAUAAUAAUUGGUUUCUAGGUUUUUGAGGAAUUAAAUUUGACAAGAGUACGCAUAUUGUUUUCUCUAUCUCUAUUGAAUAUUUGAAGUAAGUUUUGUGUAAAUUUGCUUGAGGACAAGCAAUGAUUCAAGUGUGGGGGAAUUUGAUAAGUGAAUAUUUAACGUACAUUUUGUAUGAAUUUGGCAUUAAUUUUUGGUAUGAUCUGAGAAGAUUAAGCCAUAUUUGAACUCUUUUGGUGAUAAUUGAUUAAAUAUUGAUUAAGGUUUCAAAAAUUGAUAAAUGAAUGAAUUAAUGCGUUAAUUUUGUGAAAUUGUGAAGGUAAUUGAUGUAUGAAAUUCAUGCACAUCCAGAGGACAAAGUAUACAAGAAAUUGGGAGCAAAAAUGUAGAAAAAAAGGAAGAAGUGAAAAACUGGAAAAAUGUUCAACACGGAUCCGAGCUCGGAUCCGUGUGAAUAAGAGGGAUCCGACCCCUCGUCUGUACUUCUGGCGGAGCGCAUCCGAGGUCAGGACGAUCCGACCUCGGAUCCAUUAUGAAAUCCCUCGGAUCCAUUUUCACUCCUCGGAUCCGAGACUCGGAUCUGUCUCUCUCCUCAGCAAGUGCCACAGCUGUUUUUCUUUACCUUUUUCACAACUUUCCACCUAUUUUGAGGGCCAGAAAUCGGUGGCACAUGCUUCUGCAACAAAAGAGAAGACCAAAUGAGUAUGGACAAAAGGAAAUAUCAUAUCUUUGACUUCUUUUUACAAAAUCUGAGUGGAGGAAAUUAUGAAGUGAGAGGAAUGGAAUUUCUUCCACCUUUUAUGCAGAAACACAGAGGAGAAGCCUGGAAUACCAUACGUAGCUAGUUUUCUUUCUUGUAUCUAGUUUUCUCUCUAGAUAGGAGUUCUUGGAGAAGUACUUGGAGAGUUUCACUUAUAAUCAUAUUGUGCAAGAACAUAGCAGGAAUUGGAGAGUUUCACCUUCAAUUGGCUAAGCUUUCUUUUAUCUUUCUUAUACUUGUACUUUAUGAGGUUUUGCAUUAAUAAACUUGUGAGUUUGAUUGUUAAGUCAUUCAUGAGUAGCUAAACUCCUUCAUCUAGGGAGUAGAUGAAACUUAUGGCUAAAUAAUACUAAUUGAAUGUGAUCUACACUUGUUAUAUCUUGUAUUAACUUGUCUACUUAUGUAGCUGUGAUUACUUGUUAUUGAUUGAUCACCAAUAGCAUGUUUAUAGUGUUAUUAUUCAAUGAGAAUUGGUAAUAACAAUUGAAACACAUGAGUAGAGCUUGAAUUGUAUGUUCAUGAAAAUAGAGAUACACUUAGGUGGAUUAUUCAGCAUUUCAUGAAAUAAAACGGAGUAGUAGUAGUAUUUCACCAUGAAAAUAGGGAAAUCUAUAUUGCUCUAGGCCAUUUCAUCAUGAAAAUGAGACUUGGUAAUCUUGGAAAUAAAUCUCUGGUUAAGCAAGAAUAAUAGCAAGAAGUAAAUCCAUUCAUGUGUGUAGUUUAUGCCAUAAGUGGAAUCUACAUCCUUAGAAUCUUCCUUAAGUGAAAUUUCUCUAUUUGCAUUAAGCAUUUGUGAACUAGAUUUGUAUAUCAGAUUUGUAGAUUACAGCAUUAUACUUUCUAUGCUCAAAUUAUUUGUAAGUCUAAAUAAUAGAGAAAACAAGGGCUUAGUAAUUGUUUAAUUUGCUCCUCGUGGGAUCGACCCGAUACGCAUCUUGUACUACAAUUGCGACCUGUAUACUUGUAGUCCAACGGGUGUAAAAUCGGAAUUAAACUUGCAUUGAUACAAAAAUCCCGUCAAUGAUAAAGAGCCAGACGUGGCCACGCCAACCACCAAGAAGCCAGACGGCCCCGCACAGACGUGACUAUGCUAGAGAUGCCACACAACCUCUCAAAGAAUGCCCAUAUUGCUAUAGCAACCUCACCCGUGGCAAACACAUGCUCAAUGGCCUCAGCCGCCAGGGAAGGGCAACACACACAUUUUGACGGGACAUGAACCCCAAACGUGCAGAGCAUGUCAUCUAAGAGCAUCCGACCCAUUAACAGCCGAACCAUAAAAAAUGAUACCUUGACGGGGGUUAGACGCUGCCAAGCCCUAGAGAGCAUGAUUGAAGCAUUAUCGACAUGCUGUCCCUUCUGAUAGGUUGAAUCUAAUGAAAAUUUCCCAGACAUCUCCGGUAUCCAUACCACCUCAUCCGCAGAAUGUUCAGUCGGGACCGAUUUUCUCAACACAGAAGACAUCAUAUCCCGUGGUAGACACUGAGCUAGGAGCUGAGCAUCCCAGUGACCCUGAGCAAUAAAGUCUCGGAAGGAUAGAUGUGAGGCCACUGGAGUUUUGAGGAACAACGCUCAACUACCCAACCAAUUAUCAUACCAAAAAUGACAUGACCCGUCUUGUACUAACCACAACAUGGAUAGCUCAACCUGGCGGCCGACAUCCAGCAUCCAUCUCCAUGUCGCUGAGGCAAACACCUUACACUCUGCCUGGCAAGGAUAAAUGCCUCAACAAUACUUCGCCUGCAUGAAGGAAGCCCACAGGGACGUCCCAGUCCGGAACUGCCACCAAAGCUUGUAAGAGAAAGCCCUAUAUACAUCACUAAGCCAGCGAAACCCCACCCUCCCUCCUCAAGCGGGAGACAAAGCUUAGCCCAGCGAAUCCAAUGAUACCUUGAUCCUUCCUCCGAAGAUCCCCACAGAAAGUUGCACAAGCUCGCUCAAUAACCCGGAACACAGCCUUGGGAAUUACUGCCGCAGACAGCAAGUGAAUCGGAAUAGCGGAUAGAACAUGUUUUAUCAAAGUGAUCCUUCCCCCCGACGGUAAAAGCUUAGUUUUCUAGGACAGUAUUUUCCCAAGGAUCUUCAGACACACCUCCGCAAAGUAGGCCGUCUUACACCUGCCGACAUAUAGGGGAAAGCCUAAAUAGCGGGUAGGAAACGCCUAUCGCAAAAACCCUGUAAUAUGCUCGAUUGUCCUACCUCUUGCACUGGAUAGUGACGAGUGGACCAAAUAGCCACUCUUCUGAGCAUUGAGCAAUUGGCCUAAGGAACGUUGAUACAUAUCGAGCACCCGCAUAACCUGGCGCAAAGAUGCGUCAUCUGCAAAAGCCAAAUGGGUUACCGCAGGGCAAUCCUGGGGUACCUUAAACCCGUGGUAGGAUGGCCAGGUUACAAGAUCGUUCAGUCCCCGUGAUAGAACCUCCAUGGCUAGGAUGAACAAGGCAGGGGAGAGCGGGUCCCCUUGACGAAGACUCCUGCUCGACCUAAAAUAGCCGUAAGAUGCCCCAUUAAUCACAACCGAAAAUCAGACAUUAGACACCAACCGCCAGACCAUAUCAAUAAAGCGUUCUCCAAACCCAAACUUCCGCAAUACUCUAAUCAGAUAAAGCCAGGACAUCCGGUCAUAAGCCUUGGCCAUGUCAAGUUUGAGCACUACGUUCCCCCCUCUCGCUUUCUUUCCUAUGACUGCAACAAUUUCCUGAGCCAAUAAAUAGUUCUCCGUAAUAUUCCUGCCUCUAACAAACCCUGACUGCUGGGGAAAGACCAGCUUUGGCAACAAGACAGCCAGUCUAUCAGACAAAAUGCGCGACAAAAACUUUAUUUAUGAAAUUGCAGAGGCUUAUAGGCCGAAAGUUAGAGAAGUCUUGAGGGUUUGAGACCUUUGGGAUGAGGACAAUAGAAGUCGAAGUAAUGAAACGCGGAAGAUCAGCCCACAAAAGAAGCUUACCACAACAUUAUACACAUCUUGGGCGAUAACAUCCCAUACAAAGGUAAAGAACUUGCCCGUAACCCAUCCGGUCCCGCCACACUGUCCCCAUCCAUGGCAUGCACCACAUUUUUCUCUUCUUCCAUUGAAGGAAUGUCCUCUAGAGUCAGGUUCUCUUCCCUCGUGAGGACAUGAGAGAUGAGCAGAAGCAACUCAGUGCUAGGCACCACAGACUCAGAGUACAGUCUCGAGAAGAAACGAAUGGCCUCAGUGGCAAUUUCCCCAUCGCCCUCCACCCAAGUCCCCACUUGCGUUUUGAUCCGGUGGAUCGUAUUCUGGACUUUACGUUGCUUAACCACCGUAUGGAAGAACUUAGAAUUCUAGUCCCCACUUGAGAGCCACCUAACACGUGCCUUUUGGCUCCAAAAUUGCUCCUCGAUUGCCAAUGCAUUCCGAAACUCCGCCUUCGCCUCCUGUAGCAAAUGUGAGCGUCCUCCGAGUCCUCGCUUUCCGCCCCUGUCUCUACCAGAACCAUUUUCGCCUCUGCCACCUUGACAGCCUCAAAAACAUUUUCAAAGAAGCAUUUAUUCCAUUGUUGAAUGGCUCUCCUCACAGUCAAUAGCUUAGUACACUACACACGCCAGGGAGACCCAUCCGCUGGGAGAGCCCAAGCAUUGCGGAUCACCUCCAACAGGGAGGACAGUGAUAUCCAAACGUUGAGAAAAUGGAAUGGCCGCGGCUUAUCAUCCUAAUGGGUGGCAAACGUGAUCUUUAAAGGGGCGUGAUCGGAAGGGUGCCUAGUCAGAUGAACCAUUGAAAUAGAGGCGGACAGGUCCGUACAUUCGCCGUUAACAAGGAGCCGAUCCGACCGCUUCCACACCCGAGCUCAACCUCACCUAUUAUUACACCAAGUGAAACUGGGUCCAGAGAACCCGGCAUCAAAAACUUCAGCCUCCUCCAUAAAUGACAUGAACUCCAACCCCACCGCGGACACAAAGGAGCAGCCCCCUCGCUUCUCAGUCGGAGCCAAGAUCACGUUGAAAUCCCCCCUAUGCACCAGGGAUGCGACCGUGGCUUGUCAAGUAAGAGAUCCCUCCACAAGUCCUUGCGACACUUCACGGAACAUCUCGCAUGGGCCCAGGACAACAUUAAGGAGCCAGGCAAUAGUGGAUGAUGAGCAUCUAACGUGAUAUAUUGGUUAGAAGACCCAACCUGCGAGCAAACAAAUAGUGACUUAUAGAAUACCCAGAGAUCAGCCGAUGUAUUAACCAUGACAUAAUCAAACGAAAGCUGCAAUCGUGUAGACUCAAUCUUAGGUUCACAGAUGCAAAGAAAUUGAACAUCAUGCAUGCGAAUUAACCUGAUCAAUCUCCUAAGAUUGGGAGCUUUCGACACCCCCCGAAUAUUCCAAAAUAGAGCAUUAACCAUGGGAUGAGGCAUUGAAAGAAUUUUGAGACGAUGUUGAAGAACAAAGCUGCCUGUCUGAGGGAAACUUAGCACACAUACCUUUCACCUUCACCUGCGUAAAUCCCUGCUCCAACUCCGUGGCCUGAUCAAUGUUAAGCUCCAACAGUGAUAGGUCAAUCGCGGGCCCAUGCGACCUGCUCAAUCUUGGCGACAAAUUCCUUGUUGCCCACGGCAACUCCUUCUCAUGCGAAGCUGCUGGCGAACCAAGCUCAACCGAAACAAGCUCCUUGAACCCACCUUGCAUGCAUGUGUCCGCCCUUCCAGCAGCCUCUUCCUCGGUCACCCUUCCCUCAACCGCACUAAGCUCCUUGAACCCACAUUGCAUGUCUACGUCUUCCCCUCCAGCAGCCAUUUCCUCGGUCACUACCAUCUCCAACCCAGCUCCUCCCUCAGCCGCUUCUUAGGCCACCAUCCCAUUGGCCGUGGCUGCACACUCUACUUCCCCUCCCGUAACCAUCAUGCAUGCGGGUUCUUUUGCCUUGGACGCUACCCCCUCCAACCCAGCCCUCUCCUCUGCCACCCCUGCGUCCCCUAUCAAACUAGGCGCACACAUCCCCUCCCCACCAACAACCAAACCUACCACGUCGCUGCCCACUGCCUCCUUCGCUACACCCACACCCAGCCCCUCUGUUCCCUUGUUAUUCACCGCCACCCCUUCCUCCGCAGGUAGAAUAGUGCCUUCACAGUUAGCCAUACCAUCAGGACUCCGCACAGCCUGCACCCUAAUCCCUUUGCCACUCUCCUUGUUAGCAGGAAAGCGACCAGGCCGUAGCGGGCUUUGUUGCACUCAGCGGUCGAAUGGCCAAGCCGCCAGCAUGAAGAGCAGUAAGAGGGCAGAUGCUCCACCACAAUCUCUUGCUAGAAACCUCCUCUCCCUCGACAGCCAUCCACACUCGAGAGCAGGUUGGUUUCAACAGAUCAACUUCAACACAGGCUCUGGCAACGCCGGGCCUUGUACCAGAUGCAGUUGCCGAGUCCAAGAACAACGGUGUACCCACAAGAGACAGAAUAGAGAAUAGCGAAUGUUUAUCAAAAAAAUGAAUUGGGAGUGCCGGCAAUGCAACCUCGGUACAAGCGAGGAUUCCCUAUGGACAUGGAAUUCCCUAGUCCAAUGAAACACCCUCAUAGGGUACUUCCCUAUGUUCCACAGCCCUCUCGUCCAGAUACGAUUGAAGUCCGUCUCUGCCGAACAUCUCAGCAGCACAUGUCUAUAAUCCAGCAAGCCGAUUGAGAUGUCGUCCUUCAGAUUGAGCAUCGUAAAAAAUUUUCGCACUACCUCCAGUGAUGGCCGGCCAUGGGAGUAUUUGCCCACUAGAGACCAAUGAAAAGAAGUAGCCAGCUUGUUGGCCUCCUCCUUGGAGAAGACUAUUGCUGCCUCCUUUGUACAAAGUGGCUAGUCGCAGAUGGACAGGAGAAGGAGCCGGUUCCGAGAAGAGUUGUGAAGAAGAUUUCUUGGCCGUUGGAGAGGCCAUCUGACCCUCCACGGUCUGCCUGAGGGCGGCCAUGGGCUGCCGCCAACCCUAGCAACGUUCCGACUUUCUUGGAGCAAAGGGUUUCGGAGGUUGUUUUCUAUAUGUUGGCUUUUUAAAUUAUUCAUUCAACUAGAUUAGAUCAUUUGCUUGAUUAGAUAGGAAAUACCCCUCGAAUAUGGGAUAUGGACAAGUAUGGCUUUCUAACCUUAGGACGCUCGUAUUCCCUCUAUAAAAGAGAAAAUCUAAUUACGAAUCUUAGCCUCCAUACUCGUUAUGUUGCAUCCUUCUCUUUUAGGUCACGUAUAUUUGUAUAUUACAAUUUUUUUCUAUUUUUUCAAGUUUCAUUGUUGCAUAUUGUGACCUCUUCAAAGAAUCCUAUAUGGGCAUCACAAUUAAUGCGAUUUGCACCAACUAAAAUUCGAAGAGAUAUAUUGACCCUUCUAAUAGCCAUUAGGUCUAGGUUUGCAUUCAUAUAAUAACAUCCAAAUAUGAUAAGUUUUUAGGUUAAAUUAAGAAAAUUUUUGACUAAAUCACGCAACUAGUCUUGAUUAGGUUGAAAGGGUGUUUUGGAUUUUAUCUUUGCCUUCCCUUUCUUCAACCUUUGACUCCCGAACUUUUCUCUCUGAUUUUCAAAGUCUUGGAAUCGUUUUAAAAAGGGGAUUUUCUCUACUUUUAUUUAAAAUUUAUUUUAGGUGACUUGAUACAUGUUAACUCAAUACCAAGUGUUAACUCCUAUUAUUAAUUAAAAACUCUUUUUAAACUAUUAUUUUGGGCCAAAAUCGUCGCACUUUAAGCCCCAUUUUUAGACCAUUUUUCUUUAUUUAUUAUCUAUAAAUCAAAAACUCAUUUUUACUCAAAAUUAAUCAAAAAUUUAUUUUUAUAAACCCGUAAUUUUAUUUUUUCAAAAAUGGGGACGACAUGCAACUAAUUUUGCAUGCCUUUUGUUAUUGCAUUUUCAAAUAAAGGAUGGAAUAAAAUACAAUUGACACUUCACCAAAUCCAUGAUCCAUGAUAUACCCUUGCGAGAGCUGGUUGUCAAACAAGAAUUUCAGUAUUUUUACUCGUCCUUCACUCAAUUUUCUCCGAUAGAUGCCAGCCUAGUCUCCUGCUACCAUGAAAAUAUGUCAGCUUUCCUAGUCUAGAGUUCUUUUCUUUUGUAAUUAUGGAAUGCUGGAAUACUCACCCUUGCAAAUAAAAAUCCUUUGACACUCAUUUAUCCCACUACUACCCAUCUGUAUACAAAAGUUAUAUUUACACUUUAUUUUUGUAAUACUACUAAAUACUUUUGCAAUUAUUUCUCAUAUAUAUUUAUUCUUUUAUCUUGCCUUCUAUUUUGUUUGCCUUCCUAGGGAGGCUUCUCCGUAUUGUCCAUCUUUAGUCUCUUUCUGCAUCUCCAAUUCGUAAUUUUGGAUGCAGUCUUUUCACCGAUUAUUGCAGUAUUCGUAGUUACUCUGGCAUUUUCAAUCCUAUUUCUAGACCUAAUAUCUAGCUUUUUAGGACUAAAUUUAUUUACUUCAUAGCCUCUUCUAACACUGCCAGACCAAUCAUCCUUCUGCCCGCCUUCCAUACCAGAUGGCCAGUGUUUUUGCAUGGGCUCCUGCUUUCAUACAUCUCCUCAGUGUUUCAAACUGAGAUUCAAUCAUUGCUUCUAUUCUACCAAUAUUGUCCUUCACAUCGUUAUUACCACACUCAAUUUCAACUAGCCUUUUUAUCAAUGUCUUCGCUACAGCCUACGCUAUUGUAAAACUGCACAUUGCCCUGUCAAUACAACCCUUCAGUUUUCUAACACUAGUAACAUUACAAAAUGCAAUUGCAAAUUCAACAACAGUUCACACAAGUGCAUUUUACAUUACUUGUUCCUCCUCAAAUAUGCGAUUCCUCCUCAUUAUUCUCACACUUUCAUUAGUCUCAUACCUUCUCCAAAAUCUUAUCCUUGGCCCUCUUGGAAGGAACUUGUGAAACUCAUCCUCACCUUCGAUAUAGAAUCGUUCCAGAUAAUAAAUCUACAUGGAUAAAAUAUCCAUUAAUCAUUUAUAGUUCCUUUAUAUCAAAGGUAAUUGUUAUAGCAAUUUUUAGCGCUAUUUUAAAAGGUGUGUCUUCAUAUACCAUCAAGAAAAGUGCACAUCCCGCUAUUCUGUUGCCAUCUUCUUCACAGAUGCUCUUCACCAAGUUGUCUAGUAUGAAUUUUGACUAGUUCAGAUUUUCCAUAUUCUUUUCUUUGCCGACUACAGCCAUAGGCUCCCUGCUCACUGUGUCAUCCAAAGUUGGCGCUAACGCCCUACCAACAACAAACAGUACGAACUUCACUUUGAAUUCUAAGCCUUCAUUAUGCAAACUAUAUAGGUUGUCCCUCAAUUCCUCCGCUAUAAUUUUUCCUUAGCCGUGACGUGUAAACAUUAGCCAUGAACAUUCAAUGUCCUCCCAUCUAUAUCAAAGUUAUCCACUAGCCAGUUGAACAUCUCUUCAUCAACCUCAACUUCCUUCACAUUCAAAAUUGACCCAAACCCAAACUCUCCAAUAACCUGCCACUGCUCAUCCAAAACGUAGUCCAUCAUAUUCUUCAUUGGAUGAGUCGAGUUCUUUAAUAUUCUUUCCGUCGUUAGCCAGAACUGCUUCCUUUCACUACUACAACUAAAGUAAUUCAUUGCUAUUGCACUUUUAUGCAUUAGUGAGGGCCGAAUUUCGCUUUCUCCUUCACUAUCCCACUGCAUAUCUGAAACAUCUAUUUCGGCCACCAACUCCAUUAGGGAUACCAUUUUGCAUUCUUUGUGGGAAUUCCUAUUUGGUUUCGCGAACCUUCAUUUUAUAUGCGUAUAGUGUUCAUGUGACAACCCACCACCCCUAGGGCGUACCCAAAGGUUUGGCGGACCGUCUGCCUAACUCUUGCCAGGACUUACUUACUCACUCAAUCAACUCUCAAGAUUAAUCAUUCAAGCCUCCAAAAUAACAUUUAAGUUCUACAAUUCAACCAAAAUAAAACUUAUUUAUAAGCUAAAAGUCAAAUAUAUGAUACAACAUCAAAUGUCAAAAUACAUCCUAUCAACCGAGAGUACAAGUACAAGAGGGUUAUACACUCUAGGUCACACUUAAUUGCUCCAGACUUCUAUUCUUGUAAGGAAAAAAAAAACUAAAGGAAUGAGUUAAAAAUCUAGUGAGGUUCCUAAACAAGCAAUCAGGUAGGGAAACCAAGGAAACAUUAUAUUUAACAAUUUGCAUACUUUGCACAGUAAUAUCCAAACAUUCAAGAAAUAAACACUCAAUCAUUAGAAGGAUACGUACUCACUUGGAGUCAUUCAUUCAAGUCAUUCAUUCAUUCAUUCGCCAACCAUUUUCCUUAUCCCUCCGACAUUAGAAAACAUUUGCAAGUGAAAACUUCUUCAGUGAAUUUGUCAUUCAUUCAUUGAUAUCAUUGCAUUGAAUUCAUUGGCCAGUUCUCCACCAGAUUUCAUGGUAAUAUUCGAGUAUACCAAACAUUGUCCUAGAGUCACCAGUCACCCGACCGAGUCCGCUUCUGGCUCGAGUCGACUGGCAAUGAAGGGCAAGAGCCCAGUUCAGCCAAAAGGCUUACAUUCAUACACAAAUAAUAUUCAAUCAUUUAAUCAUUGAAAAUUUCACGUUCACUUAGAUCAAGUGCGAUAAAGUAUAUACUCGCCUGUCGAAAAUCUAUUUAACAAUCAUUUAAAAGCAUUUAACAUUCAAACAAUAACUCAUAGAUUUUCACAUAGUCAUUUAUUGCACAAACAUCAAAAGUACACACUCACCAGUUUAAGCAAAGUAACAUCAAAAGUUUCCUUCCAAAUUAUGCCCUUGAUCACCGACAAACCCUAAGAAUAACCAAGAGAAAAUAUUAUGGUUCAAUCAUCCAAAGUUUAGGUGAACUAAAGAAAAUCAGAGUAACUACUAGUACAAAGGUGCAAAUAUGAUUUUGGAGUGAAAAGAGAACAUUUAGACCCAAGGGACAUGAGUAACCAAGAAUUUCCUCAUUCCAAUUAUAAACUGAACUCAAAAUGGUUUAACAACUCCAACUUAAAGUUGGAAAUGAAAGUAAGGACAGUUUUAGAAAAAUAGAAUUUUUCCAGUUUUGUGCUAUUCUAUUUGAAAAAUCAUAUCUCAAGCUUCUUAAAUCCAAAAUUUAUAAACUUUAUACUAUUGAAAAAUAGAUUCAAAGGAUAAUUUCUCAGAAGACACCUUUGCAAGAUUCUAUCCACAAGUCAGUCAAAAUCCAAUCUCAAGUGGCUACUUUAUCUAGUAGAAAGACAGAACAGGAAUGAAAAUUCAGUAAAAUUUGAAAAAUCACAGAUAUUCAUAGGAAUUGAGAAAAAUUCUGAAAUUUUCAUGGUCAAAAGUACUCUGAAUCUAGUUUCAAAUGCCAUAAGCAGAACUUAAGUUAGAUUUUUCUACACCAAGAUAUGACAGAUUUCCCAAGACUGCUCAGAGUCUCCUGCGGGAAAAAUUUCAGCAGCACUUCCUUUGUAUUUACCAAUUUUUCCAGCCAUUUCAAGGCUACAUUUUCACCAGGAGACAGCUCCAAUCAAGUCCACAAGAUAUAGGAUACAUAGAAUACUUAUUUUAACCACAAAUAUAGCUAUAACCAACAUAUACCUAAGCUGGAAAUUAACCAAACCCUAGCAACAACUUCACCAAACCCUAGCAAAACCAUGAAAUUACCAUAAACGUACUUCCUCCAACUUCAAUCAUAACAUAUCUUGCAUAAAUCUCAACAAACAGGUAAAAAGAGAUGUUUUCUAGAAAUUUUACCUCAAAACCCCAAGAUAAUAAGCAACUCAAGAGCUUUCUUCUCCAAGUAACUCUACCAAAAGCUUCCCUCCAAGCUUAACUCAAGACUAAUCGAUAUGGAUUAGGGUUAGUGUUUGGAUUUUUCACAAAUCAAGCAAGGAAAUCAAGAUGGAAUUUGGAAGUUUUUUCUCUCUUCUUUCCUCUCUCAAUUUCGUCCAUGAGGAAGGAGAAAUGAAGGAAAAUUGUGGCUAGAGGAAAGAUAAGAAGAAAGAAAAUGUCUUGGUCAACAUUUGGUUUAAUGGUUGACAAGUGUCACCCAACUAUUUUGUCUUUCUUUUCCUUUUCCUUAGUCAAUAAUGGUGGCUGAUUUAAGGGUUAAUUUAGGAAAAAUUAAAUGAAAUAAAAACAAGGAUGUUAGGGUAAGAAAGUAUUGGUCAAGCAGUGUACUCAACCGGUAACAAAUGGCACACAUUGGUUCAAGCCUAUUUCCCUUAACUCUCUUGUACUAUUGUUUUAACUUAUGAUUACUAACUUAUUAUUAUCAUUUCUAGUCACACACUUCCUUUUACCUAAGACUCACUCUUAUUCACCAAAUUUAGUGUACACAUGUCACCAAUCGAUCACACUACCAAAAUGUACCAAAACCCUAACUUACUCUAACUUUAAAAGUAAAAGUAAAACGCUUUACUUAACUAAUGAAAUCACCAUGAAAUUUAGGGCUAGUAAAUAAUUAAAUAGUCAAAGUAAAGAAAUAUAGAGGGAAAUAUAAAUUAAUUUUUCAAAAAUGGGAGGAAAUUCUGAAGGAAUUUUUGGGUCCUCACAGAUCAACUUCUCUGGCAAGCUUCGUGCCUUUUCAAUGACCUUAAUUUCACUCAUGGCCCUCUGACUUUGGCAAUUGAUUAUUUUAGGCACUCCACCUUUUCCAUUUACACUUUUGAAUCCCUCAAGUUUUCCCGUGGCCCAUACAGUCAACUUCAACACCAACGGCUCUUCAAGUUGCGAGUCACAAAACACUUUUACACAUGGCCGUCCAAAACAUAUUCCCUAUGAUGUGUGGCUUCAAUCACUCAAUCCUUUUCCCCCACCUUUCGCUACCUCUUCUUUGACCAAUAAACAUACCUCAGCAACUUCCUUAGAUUUACUUGUUAGAAAGAGAUGAUACAAAGUGCUAACUCUAUAAAAGAUGAUUAUUUCAUCGUGAAAUAAAUAUUUGCAUUCAAAUAAAUGAGAAUUUUUAUUUUAAUCGAUUCAGUAUUUUCACAAAAUCACUGACUUGAGGGAGAAAAUAAGCUAAAUCAAAGACUUCGAGGAGAAUAAUAGCUUUGAAGAAGUAGUGUUAAAAUGACAAAAGCACAAAUCCACUUAAACGUGACAAGAAUUUUUUCUAAUAGUUGUUAUUUUAUGUUGCUCAACUUAUAAAUCUUUCAGUAUACAAGUAAAUUAGGUUUGGCCAUAAAAAGCCACACAUGACAAACUCAAAAUCUGCUAAAGGCGACAAAGAACUUUUCUCAACUUUAUUUCACACUAGGAAUGUAUGUAGAAAGGAUUCAUAUGUUACAAUUAAGAUGUAGGCAUAAAAAGUCAUCGCAGACUUAGAUUGAAAUUAAAUUUUAUGAACUUUUUUCUAAGAGAAGUAAAGUUAUUAUUUUAAGUGAAGGACAAAAAAAUUUAAAAUGUUGUGAGUGGAUUUAAAAUUAAUGUUAAUACUUUAUACAAGAUGGACUUUUUCUGUAGGUGUUCCUUAAUUUAUAUAUCCAGUAUAUUUAUAUAGUGUUCUUAGUUCAAAUGAAAUCAUAAUAUCUCAAGUGUUUAAGCUAUAAAGUAUAAACGUAAGGCACAGACGAAACAUUUAUUUCUUUGACUGUGUUUGAGCUCUAGACUGAUUUAUCUUAAUUAAAAUUGGCAGUUUCAUUAAUCAAAUUUAUGUCUUUCAGAAAAUAGUAUCUCAAGGAUUUGACACUUUAUAUAUUAUUGUUUAAAUAAAUAUAUACACUGAUAAUUCAUACACUAUCAUCAUUAGCUUCAUAAUACAUAAGCAAAAUUUGAACUUUAAAUUUAAAUUCAAAUUAGUUAUCAUGCAUUCAGUGGUGUGAUGAUGUUGUAUACACUAGUAGAGUAUAAAAGAUUAAUUAUUUUUUCCCCAAAAUAUUGACUUAUAGCGUGCAAAUGUUGAGCAUAAAUACACAGCUGCGCAUGGUUAUACAAUAUUCUAGGCCUAAAAGUACGCAAUUGCAAAGAAUUUCUUAGUCAAAUUAAACUCACUACUACUUACGUUCCAAUCAAAAUGUCAAUACUUUUUAUUUUGAAAAGUCGUAAAUUUUUUAUCCUCUCCUUUCACUAUAAUCCCCUUUAAUCAUAUAUAUGUUAUCAUUUAAUUUUAAACUUACUGGAGCAAGAUAAAAAAAAUACAAAUAUUACAAUCAAACUGCUUCUUAAAAAAUUAGACUUCCUUUGAUCGUAUGAGACGGAUGAAGUAUUAUAUUCCAAUUCCCGAGGCCUUUAUCCUCUCUUCCUCCUGGAUUUGUACAACCAAGGAGCUGAUAGACUAAUUUAGCUUUUUUUUUUUUUUUGGGAUAAGAAUAGACUAAUUUAACUAAAUCCAAACAAUAAAGCACCAUUUGUACAUAUUUUAUUCACUAAUGGCACAACUUUACAUAAUAAUCACGGAUUCCCAUCAAUUUUAAACAAAACCCUGUUGCAUUCACUAUACCUUAUACACUUUCACCGGUGGGAUUCCAUACACUGAAGACCCAAAGCACACUGGUUAUUGAACAACCCCACAAACCACCAAGAAAUGGCCGCCCAAACUCACCUGUUUCAUCCACUCCACUCGUUAUCUCUGCCACUGAAAACCCCAUCUAAAUCUCCUGAAUUUAAACCCAAGCUGAAACCCUCCACAUUCAUCAUCUCCAGCAAGCUCCGGGCAGCGGUGGUAGGAGGAGGUCCAGCUGGAUCCUCUGCAGCUGAAGCACUUGCUGCUGGUGGCAUAGAGACCUUCCUCUUCGAACGCAGCCCCUCUACUGCCAAACCCUGUGGUGGAGCAAUCCCACUUUGUAUGUUAGAUGAGUUCCCCAUCCCUCCUCACCUCAUUGACCGCAAAGUCACCCGCAUGAAGAUAAUAUCUCCGUCGAAUCUGGCUGUUGAUUUUGGUAAAACUCUGAAGCCCCAUGAGUUCAUCUCCAUGCUCCGCCGAGAAGUGCUUGAUGACUUUCUACGCCGCUGUGCUGAGUCUUGUGGCGCCACACUUAUCCAAGGACUUGUCACAAAUGUGGUGGUUCCCCUAACAAACAGCUCUUCAUAUGUUAUUCAAUAUAAUAAGAAUAAUUCACAGAAAUCUCUUGCUGUUGAUGUUGUUAUUGGCGCUGAAGGAGCCAGCAGUAAGGUGGCUAAGGCCAUAAAAGCAGGAGAUUACACUUGUGCUAUUGUUUUUCAAGAAAGGAUUAAGUUGCCUGAGGAGAAAAUGGAAUAUUAUGAAAAUUUGGCUGAAAUGUAUGUUGGAAAUGAUGUCUCACCUGAUUUUUAUGCGUGGGUUUUCCCCAAGUGCGAUCAUGUGGCAGUGGGAACGGGGCCACUAUGCUCAAAAAAGGAUAUCAAGAUGCUUCAGCAUGGCAUAAGAGCAAAAGUUACGCCAAAAACUCAUGGCGGUCAAGUAACUAAAGUUGAGGCUCAUCCAAUCCCUAGGCAUCCACGUCCAGUUAGAGUCAGGGGAAGAGUGACUCUGGUGGGGGAUGCAGCAGGAUAUGUGACGAAAUGUUCUGGUGAGGGAAUUUACUUUGCUGCCAAGAGUGGAAGGAUGUGCGGGGAAGCAAUUGUUACAGCAUCAGAGGGAGGUGAAAGAAUGGUUAGUGAAGAUGAUUUAAAGAGGGAGUAUUUGAAGAAGUGGGAUGAGAAGUAUUUAACUACAUUCAGGUUUUUGGAUUUGUUGUAAGGGGUGUUUUAUGGUACCAAUGCUGCUAGGGAGGCAUUAGUGGAGUUGAGUGGGGAUGAAUACGUACAGAGGAUGACAUUUGAGAGCUAUCUGUAUAAGAAGUUGGCCCAGGGAAAUAGAUGGGAUGACAUUAAGAUGGUCAUGAAUACAAUUGGGAGUCUAAUUAGGUGUGAUAUUGUAGGCAGAGGGAUUGAAAUGUUUGACAAACGAGUUCUUGCACGGUUGUAGUGUAUCAGGGAACUAGUUAAAAUGAAAGGGAAUGAAAUGAAACUUCAUCAGUACUUCCCAGAGAAGUACAGAUCCAGGAAGUUUUAGCUUUAAAUCACCUAAAAACCUUUUGGUAUGAACAAAUGGUUGUGCUAUUACUCUAUUUCAGUUCUUCGUUAAGCAGCUUCAAAUUGUUGUUUCCAAGAAAAUCUUAGCUGCUGUGGUAAAUUUAGCCUUUCAUCAUUGCCUUAAGUAUCAUCCUGUGAAGUAAUGAAUAAUUAAGAACUUGAUUGUAUUAUUAUAACUUCUGGGUGAAUAAAUACAGCUUUACAGAGGUGAAACCUUUAAGCAAGCUAUACCUUUUCAGCAAAGCUUCAAAUUUGAAUUAACAGUUUCCUACCAUACACACUAUUUACCUUGUUUCUAACAUUAUAGCCCAGUCGAGCUAAGAGUUUCUUACCCACUUUGUACCUCGAUUCUAACAUUAGCCAGCUCCUGUUUAUGCCUCUAUUGAUACCACAAUUUAUUUGUACAACUCAUUUGCUAUAUGCAUAGAGUUCAAGUGUAUCAAGAGAAAAUCAGAUCCCAUUUUCACACCAUUCUGUACCCAUCCUUUCUUGGCCCCUUGGCCACAACCAAUUUCUUUCUUCAUGUAGUGCACGUUGUGUUUGAAUCAUUUGCGACAAAGGUUUUGAAAAUAAAGAAAAUCCAAGUGCCUAGUGAUGAAUAGUAAUUAGAGCAGUACAAGGGUUAAAGCUUGAUAUAUUUCCACAUAUAAUAGGACCCAAAUAACAACCUAAUAGUUGAAUAGGUGGCCAAUCAUCCCUCUUGGUUAUAAGCAUAGAGGAUAUUGGCUCUGAUUUAACAGAUGUGGUUUGCAGAACUUGGAGGAAUAUGUGCUUUGCUGCUUGUGUUAUGCAGCAUUUCUGGGACAUCAUUUAGUCAAGGGAGAAGAUUUUGAAAGCAAUGCAAAGCAGAGAUAGAGUUGAGGAUUGAAAAGAAUGAACAGGAGAAGAACGUGCAUGAAAAACAUAGGCAGGGGGGAGGGGGACAAGCCAUGGUAAGCCCCUUAAUUAUGACGGAGAAAAGACAAAUAUGCAGAGAGGAAAUUACAGAAUAUUAAGGAAAAGAAUUCACCUUAUACUUGGAAUCUCUCCUGAUGAAGUGCAUAAGAUACUAUAUUAUAGGCCAAAGAAGUUAAUUCUUAAAAAUGCAGACAACCAAAGCUCCAAAAUAGAAUGAAAAAGUCAGGUUAUGAUGCUAAGUGCUAACUAGCCUCUUUGAUAGUAAUAACUAUUAAUAUAUUAGGAAUAGAACUAUGUAUGUUUACACAUACACAUACAAUACGGCCUUCAUCCCACACUUGUCUCUGAGACUCAUACCUGACUCCACCCAAAGUGCCCUUAGCUAAAGGUUUUCUCAAAAGAUUAAUGUUUCUUCUAAAUGUGUUUCAAUCUAAUAACUAACAUGGUCCUAAUUGAUUGGGCAGAAAACAAUCACAAGCAUAAAAUGUAAUUAUCCUACUCAUGUGAGGGUUAGCAUUUUUUUCUUUUCAGAGACCUUAUCCAACAUUACUCCCCCAAUUCAAAGAGUUUCAGACUCUCUUGCAAGUAUUCAUGCACUAUUAAGCUGCAUCUGUAUAUUAGCAUAACACCAGAGAAGCCUAAGCAGUAUGUCUCUCAUAAUCAUGGUUCGCCAACUCGGCCGAGUCCGAGACGACUCGGCCGAGUCAUAACCGGAACAGUCCCUACUGUUCCGAUACCGAUACCCGAAACGUCGAUUAUAUCAUAUCCGAUGUGAAUCGCUCCGAAUCAGUCGAUAUUGUCCGAGUUAGAACCGUGUAGAAAGAUAUCGGUCAAAUUCUCGGAUUCGACUCGGAUAUUGUCCAAUUUCUCACGCUUUCUUGUUUUCUUUUUCAGCCACAAAGACAAGAUUUAGGAGAAAGGGAAGAUAAGGGGAGAAACAUACCGUCAAUUUCUGGGUGCCUUUUGCAGAGAGGGAAUAUCUUCAGAUUAGCAGAGAGGGAAGGAAGGAGACAACAGAGGGUGACCAUGGUUAUUUGGAGAAGCGAGUUCUUUCUUCAUCGUCCUUCCAGUGAAGGAAGGAGAGGAGAAAAACAGAGGGUGAAGGCAGAGGGAAGGAGACAACAGAGGGAAAGGGAAAGCGAAAGAAAGAAUGAAGGUGACGGCUGGCUAAUCUGGAGCUGAAGCUUCAAUUUCUUCGUCAUUUGUACUGGGCGAAGGGGUCUUCAAUCUGGCUGUGAAAGGGAAAUUACCAAGCUAAGGGACGGCUAAAUCUGAGAGGAACAACACUAGUGAAGUCAGAUUGCUACUUUGAUGGUUUGAUUCCCAAUCUCACUCGGAGGAAUCGAGAGCAUCUCAAUUCUUUUGGCAGUAAGUUUACACGGAGUUGUUUCAGCAUAUGAAAGGAGCCUAAUGACAGAGCUUUGAGAGAGCGGCAACCAUUUAAUAAUCCCAAAGACACCAGGCUCCCACUUUGCCAGGUUUCACUCUCUAAUUCCACAUUGCGGCAACUGUCACAUAUUUGGUGGAGAAGCUGGGCUUUUGUACCAGACCCAGAGACAGGGAAAAAAAUAGAAGGAAAAAUUAGAAGCACUUAAAUUUCAAGUUUGGCCUAAGUUCAAGUCUGCAUCUUCUUUCAAAAUAACUUAUCAAUUUUAAUUUUUUUAAUUUAGUAUUCAGAUGUGAUAUUUAAAUAUUUGUAAAUUUAUGUAAUGCAUUUUGACAAUUUUUACAUAUUAUUAAGUAUAUGAUUAAUUUGUAUUAGUAGUCUCUUAUCUAAAUUUUAGUUAGAAAAUAUAUAGUGAUUAUUUGGAUACAUUUUAAUGAUCAUAAAUAUAAUUUAUUUAUUUUCAAGUAUCUCAAUUAUGUUGGUUAAAAUGAUUUUAGGUAAAUUAAUUAGAAAAAGGCAAAUUUGAUAAUUUUAGGUAAUAUAUAGUAGGUAUUUAGUAAAUUUAAUUUGAUAUUUGUGUUUUUAAUGGUAUUUUCUAUUUUUAGUAAUUUUUUCAGAUUUUUUGGAAAUUUUUAUAUACUAUAAUGUGUGUAUCACCCGAUAUUCAACCGAUAUGCCGCGACGGAUGUGGAACAACCGAGACCGCGACGCGGCCGCGAUCCGCGACGGCGAACCAUGCUCAUAAUAUAACAUAAAAACGUUUGCUGAUACACAACAAAGUCACUUAAUACCUGCAAUUUACUAAAACUUUUGCACAAAGAGUACUUUAAAGUAUCAAGAUGCCACUAAUUUCACCAAUGAUCCACUUAAGGUCCUCUUUAAACCAUAUGUUUCAAAUUCUUAUUUGGCUAGAAAAGACCAGAAAACUUGCACCUUAACUGCAAUAUCUCAUAUUAAAUCUCUAGCGCAAAGUAACUUCAUAUAACUACGUUUUGAUAGUACCAAAAAAAAAAAAAAUGCAGCAAUACAAGAAUGUCAAGAAACCAGAAGAACCAAACCAAAGGAAUCCUUUUAUUGUUCUGUUCUUAAAAAUAACAUGUGCAAAAAGUUUGCUGCACCAUAUUUAAUAAGCAUUGCAAUCAGACCAUCAAAAUGGAAGUGCAAAAGGUCGAAGUUGAAAGAAACUAGUAGACAUGAAUUACUAAAUGAUCUUAAUAAAAGCUACCAUAAAUUAAGGAAUCAAAACUGUGAGCAUAAGCGAAAAGAGUUCAUGGAAGAUAAAAAGAGCUAAAAAUGUUAAAAAGCGGAGGAUCUUACUUUUUUUUGGGAAAAAAAAAACUUUUGUCAUUGAGAUCAGAUAGAAGCCAGCAAUUAUAUUCUUGUAACAACAAACAUAGCCAAAACACAAACUUUAAAAUUUCCUCAAAUAACCAAGACGGAGUUUCCUUGCUUGUCAGCAAGUGUUAUGCGCACAAAUAUUUACCAUGGGCAUUUUAGUAUUUUCAUUCUGCGUUUGUUUUCUAUAUUUCAGAUUGCAUGUAACCAAUUAACAGAAACAGAAAGGCCAUGCAUGGAAAGUUUACGUACUGGUCACAUGCAUGGCACCAGAAAUAGAAAGUCAUGAAAAGGCAUGGCAAUGGAAGUUAGUUAUAACUAACUCUCCUUCCACCGUCUCCCUACUAGUAUAAAAGAUCAGUAGAGCAAGGAGAAUAUCAUCGAACAACUUUGUAACAAUUUCAUGUUCCCCAAAUGUCUACAUCUGAUCAUCAAUAAUAUCUACUCCCUCAUCAUCAAGAGGUGUUCUCCAUUUCUUCAUCUCUUCUGGUAGGGAGCUUUUGGUCUCUUCCUCCCUUUUGGAUCAGUGGUAUCAGAGCUAGGUUACUCUAGCUGAGUAGGAAAUUCCAGGAAGCAAUGGUAGAAGGCACAAGAGGUCAAGAAAAUAGGAAGUUCGAAGAAACUAUCAGAAAUCUCCUAAGGGUGCAGAGAGAGCAAUUCAAGCGAGAAUUGGAAGCAAUCAAAAGCUUGGUGUUGGAGGUUUGCAGCCAGAGGAGUCAAGGACAGCAAGGAUCUCCCCACACUUCUGAGAAUGAUAAUCAAGGAAGUCGUGGGGGUAGCUAUCAGCUCCAACCAGGUUUUCGCGCAUAGAAUUUCCCAAAUUUGGAGGUUUAGACUUCAAAAGCUGGUUAUAUAAGUGUGAUCAGUUUUUUGAAAUUGAUGAAACUCCAUCAGAAGCCAAGGUCAGAAUUGCCGCCAUGCAUUUGGAGGGCAAGGCUCUCCAAUGGCAUCAAGUUUUAUGAAGGCUAGGAUCUCCAGAGAUCCACCUUCAUGGGAAGAGUAUGUACGGGCCUUGGGAUCGAGAUUUGGAGACAGUCUUUAUGAUGAUCCCAUGGGGGAUUUAAAGAGCUUGAAACAGAUCAGGUCAGUAAAGGAGUACCAGGAAUUGUUUGAGAAAUUGUUAAAUAGAGUAGAUCUCCCUGAGCAGUACAUGGUAAGCUGUUUCAUUAGGGGAUUGAAGGAAGAAAUUCAAUUGGCGAAAAGAAUGUUCGUGCCACAUGAUCUACAGCAUGCUGUUGGUUUACCAAAAAUUGAGGAAGCCAGGAUUCUGAAUGCUUGGAAGCAAGGUAAAUUUUCUGGUCCAUCCCAAGGGAACACUUCUUAUGCCCCAAAUGCAGGUUCCAGCAGCAAUUAUCCCAGGCAAAAUAGCUCGUACAAUGCUUCUCUACUACUCAAGCCUGGGGAAAGAGGAGCAAGCAACAUGGAAGGACAGAAACGAAGCUCAAAAUUCAUGAGUACUACGGAGAUGGAUGAAAAGAGGGACAAGGGACUAUGCUACUGGUGUGAUGAAAGGUAUACUCCUGGCCAUCAGUGCAAAAGAAGGAAGUUAUACAGGAUUGACUAUGUGGAAGAGGCUCUGGACGAACAGGAACUAGAACUCCUUGAGGAUGAUGAGCAAGCGCUGUUAACUGAAGGUAAUUUAGCACAAAUCUCUACAAAUGCUAUGUGUAGCCUAAUGGUUCCCAACUACAGAACUAUGAGAAUACAUGCUUAGAUCAGCAAAAAGGCUUUCAUCAUUCUGAUAGACUGUGGGAGUUCUCACAAUUUUUUGCACCCCAAUAUGGUAAGGAAGUUUGGUUUGAGAACAGUGCAGGUUGCUCCUGUAAGGGUAGUAGUAGCUGACGGAAAUUCCCUCACUACAACUACCUUAUGUCCCGAGUUCCAAUGGAAAAUGCAAGGGCAAGAGUUUGAAGAAGAUGUAUUAGUCUUGCCUAUAGGUGGUUGUGAAGUAGUGUUGGGAAUGCAAUGGCUAUCAACUCUAGGGGAAGUCAAGUGGAAUUUUGCAGAAUUGAGAAUGGAGUUUUUGCAAAAGGGGAAGAAGAUGGUGCUGAGAGGGUCCAAGCAACAACCAGUUUAGGUGAUUUCAAAGAAGCAAAUGCAGAAACUCCUGACCAAACAUGAACAAAUUGAAUCUGCUCAAUUGUGUUUGGUAACUACUGAGGGUGAUCAUAGAGAUUUGACAACAGAUGAGGCCCCAAAGAUUGACAGCUUCUGUGCCACUAUGAACUCGGAUGAGCAGGUAAACACUUACCAACACCAACUAGAGUCACUUCUAUCAAAAUAUAGUGAGGUGUUCGAAGAACCUGUGGAGUUACCUCCUGUUAGGAUGCAUGGUCAUAGGAUUUAUCUUAAGGAGGGUACCCAGCCCAUUAAUGUUAGACCAUACAGAUAUCCUGCCUUCCAAAAGGGUGAAACUGAGAGACUAGUGACUGAAAUGUUGACUAAUGGCAUUAUUAGACCCAGUAAUAGUCCAUUUUCAUCUCCUGUGGUGUUGGUAAAAAAAAAGAUGGUACCUGGCGCAGGUGUGUAGAUUACAGGGAGCUUAACAAAGCCACGGUGAAGGAUAAAUUUCCUAUACCACUGGUUGAUGAGCUCUUUGAUGAACUCUUUGGAGCUAUCAUUUUUACCAAACUAGAUCUGAGGUCUGGAUAUCACCAGAUCAGGAUGUGUUUUGAUGAUAUUGCCAAAACUGCAUUUCGAACUCAUGAUGGGCACUAUGAGUUUAUGGUUAUGCCAUUUGGUCUAACCAACGCACCCUCAACAUCCCAGAGCUUAAUGAAUGACUUAUUCAGGCCCUUUUCAAGGAAAUUUUUACUGGUCUUCUUUGAUGAUAUCUUAAUAUACAGCAAAUCUGGGGAGGAGCAUCUACAACAUUUGACAAAAGUGCUUGAGAUAUUGCUCAAACACCAGCUCAAGGUGAAGAAGAGCAAGUGCUCUUUUGCUGUUAACUAGAUCAAAUAUUUGGGACAUGUCAUUUCGCCAGAAGGUGUUAAUGCAGAUCCUCAGAAAAUUGCAUGCAUACAACAGUGGCCUACACCUAUUACAAUUAAGGAGUUGAGGUUGAUAGGUUAUUAUCGUAGAUUUAUCAAAGGAUAUGGAUAGAUUGUGUGACCCUUGACUGAUCUUCUCAAAAAGAAUGCUUUUAUAUGGCAUGAUGGAGCAACUGCAGCAUUCGAUCAACUAAAAACGGCUAUGACAUCUCCUUCUGUAUUAACUUUGCCAGAUUAUUCUCAAGAGUUUGUGGUGGAAACUGAUGCUUCCAACUCAGGUAUUGGAGCUGUUUUGUUGCAGCGUGGGAAACCACUAGCUUUUUUCAGCAAGGCUUUAGCACCCAAGCAUCAAGGCUUGUCAGUUUAUGAGAAGCUAUUAUUAAUGCAGUUCAGAAGUGGAAACCGUGUCUAUUAGGGGGCCAUUUUGUCAUCAAAACUGACCACCAAAGCCUUAAAUAUUUGAUGGAUCAAAAAAUCUCAACACCAAGUCAACAGAAGUGGCUGUCAAAUUUAAUGGGAUAUGACUAUGAAGUUCAGUUCAAAAAAGGUACUGAAAACAUCACUGCUGAUGCUUUAUCCAGGCAACCUCAUAUGCCACUAGCAGAAAUCCAACAAUCAUUGCAGACAGAUCCUAAGAUGCAGGAAAUUAUCCAAUAGUUACUCUCAAAUGACAUCUUUAGAGUCAAGCACUAUAGUUGGGACAAUCAAAUGCUAAGAAGGAAAGGAAAAUUGGUGGUUGGAGCUGACAUUGUGCUCAAGAACAAAUUAAUCAAGUUUUGGCAUACUAGCUCUUUUAGAGGACAAUCUGGGGUUCAGGUGACUUAUCACAAACUAAAAUGGACCUUCUAUUGGAAACACAUGCGCGAGGAUGUUUACACUUUCGUUGCUGCUUGCGACGUUUGUCAACACAAGGCUAAUUUGGCAGCUUACCCGAGUCUGUUGCAGCCUCUGCCUAUACCUGAUAAAAUUUGGACAGAUGUCUCAAUGGAUUUCAUCAAAUGCCUCCCAAAAUCUCAAGGCAAACAAGUCAUCAUUGUGGUAGUAGAUCAGCUGAGUAAAUAUGCAGAUUUCUAUGCACUAUCUCAUCCCUAUUUAGCACUGGAGGUUGCUCAAUCUUUUAUGGAUCACAUCUUCAAAUUACAUGGUCUUCCUUAGACCAUUGUGAGUGACAGGGACUCCAUAUUCCUUAGCAAUUUCUGGAAGGAACUGUUCAAACUAUUAAAGAUCCAACUGCAGUUUUCUAGCUCCUAUCAUCCCCAAUCUGAUGGGCAAACAAAAAUUGUGAAAAGGUGUUUGGAAGGGUAUUUGUGUUGCAUGGCUAGUGAGCAGCCACGAUCAUGGUACUUCUGGCUACCCUUGGCAGAAUUUUGGUACAACACUAAUUUCCAUUCAACCACCAAGAUCACCCCAUUCCAGGUGGUCUACGGGCAGCCACCUCCCAUUCACAUCCCUUAUCUACAUGGUUCUACUGUAGUUGAGGUCAUAGAUAGAAGCUUGGCUGCCAGGGAAAAGGUACUCCAUCUCCUCAAGCAUAACCUUCGAAGGGCUCAACAUCGCAUGAAACAGAUAGCUGAUGCACAUAGAACUGAUAGAGAGUUUGCAAUUGGAGACUUGGUUUAUGUCAAGCUGCACCCUUAUAAACAACACUCCAUCAAAUCCUCUAGCUGUCAGAAACUAGAUCCAAGGUACUUUAGCCCUUUUCCGGUCAUCGAACGAAUAGGGAAGAUGGCCUACAAACUCCAACUUCCUGACCAUGCACGUAUCCACCCAACCUUUCAUGUCUCCUUGUUAAAAAAGAAGGUGGGAUCUCAUCUAGUCGCACCACAAUUACCAUCUGCCAUCACUGAUCAUGGCCAUUUAUUGCUCGAACCAGUAGCCAUUCUGGACAGGCGCAUUGCAACCGAGGAAAUCAAGCAGCAACUCACGUGUUGGUCCAAUGGAGUAACUCAUUUCCAGAGGAUGCAACGUAGGAAUUCUUGCAUGACUUAAAGCAGAAGUUCCCUACCUUUAGUACUUGAGGACAAGGACUUUCUCAGGAGGAGGCAUCUGUUACGCGCAUAAAUAUUUACCAUGGGCAUUUUAGUAUUUUCUUUUUGCGUUUGUUUCUUCUGUUCAGAUUGCAUGAACCCAAUUAACAGAAAUAGAAAGGCUAUGCAUGGAAAGUUCACGUACAGGUCACAUGCAUGGCAUCAGAAAUAGAAAGUCAGGAAAAGGCAUGGCAAUGGAAGUUAGUUAUAACUAACUCUCCUCCCACCGCCUCUCUACUAGUAUAAAAGAUCAGUAGAGCAAGGAGAAUAUCAUUGAAAAACUUUGUAACAAUUUCAUGUUCCCCAAAUCUUUUGUCUACAUCUGAUCAUCAAUAAUAUCCACUCCCUCAUCAUCAAGAGGUGUUCUCCAUUUCUUCAUCUCUUCUGGUAGGGAGCUUUUGGUGUCUUCCUACCUUUUGUAUCAGCAAGUGGACAGAAAACAAGAAACACCUACAAUAAAGGGGAAAAAAGCUAAAAUGGAACAAAAAAGUAAACCCGAUACUCCGGUAUUUGAUGCUGGAGAUGGAUAGUUUGCAUCCACCUGUUGAUUUUGCUGGAGAUGAAUAGGUUUACUUGGGGCUGAUACCGCUAAAAAUAUAAGGUUGGAAUUGAAGGAAGUUUGUGAUGGUUGAAGAUGAUACAAACAUUCAAUUGGAAAUUCCCUCCGAGAAAGAGAUGAAAUUGACGAAGAAUGAGGUGGAGAAGGAGUUUUGCGGGUUGGAUUUUUUGGAGAAGAUGGAAUCCGGCGUUCAUGAAGUAGUGGCAGCUCAGGAGUAGAACUGCAAUUGCAAACGAGCCGAGUCGAGUCGAGUUUUGGGCUAAUCAAAUCGAGCCUCAACUAAAUUUUAUCAAGUUCGAACUCGAGCUCGAGCUCGACGAGCUGGCAAUUUAAAGCUCAAGCUCGAGCUCGAAAGAAAUAAAAAAUAAUUAUUUUAUUUUUUAAAAAAUAAAUAAAAUAAUAUUUUUUUCUCAAUAAAUAAUAAAAUAAAGGAUAUAUAUGUAAUUUUACUAUUAAAAUAAGAAAAUAAAAAUAUAUAUACUUAAAAUAAAAAAAAAUAUAUACUUAAAAUAAAAAAAAUAAAAAAUAUUAUAUAUAUAUAUAUAUAUAUAUAUACUCGAACUCACGAGCCGGCUCGUGAGCUAACGAGGUUACUAUUUUGACCUCGAGUUUGAGAUUGAUUUCGACUCGAGCUCGAUAUUGAUCGAACUCGACUCGAGCUUGAUUCGAGCCACUCGCGAGCGGCUCAAUUCGUUUGCAACCUUACCCAGGAGGACGACGCCUGGAGGGAGGAGAAGGAGGAGAACCACCCAUGCUAAAGGAUUGGACGGCGCUCUUUGUCUGACGAGGACAACACGUGGCAGAUACGUAAUGUCCGGCUUAGUGACGUGUCAAUACAGUCAUUCAUACACGUAAGCAUAUUUAAUGACAUGGCAUCCAUGCCAUCAUCACAUGGUUUACCUGACUCACUAUACGUGGUCUGCAAUUUCCUUCACCUUCUUUAUAGUUAGGUCAUUGAAUUUGAAUUUUCUAAGUCUUAAAAAGUUAGGGUUCGGUUUUUAUUUCUGGCAAGGUUUUUUUGUAAUUAAUUUGUUAGUUCAAUUUAUAGAUUCACUCUUUAAUUCAUGUAGAACACAUAUUGCUUUUUUGGUUAGUGAUUUAAAAGUGGCCUUUUAAACUAUGUGUUUUCACACGAUUUUUUAAUUGCCUUUAACAAUUUAUUAAUUGUCUUCGACAAUGUAUUAAUUUUUUUUUUAAUUUUCUAGGUUUCUGGGAUUAGAAAAUUUUUAUGCAGUUUUCAAUGUUUUUCUUUUAGACUUUGGUAGAAAGCAAUACACAUCAGACUAUUUAGAUUUUUUUACGUUUUUGACUUAAGAGCAAAAUACAUCUGUUCGCCAAAUGAAAUUAUGUUUUCGUUUUGGUUUCUAUUAGUUGUGAAUAGGUUUAGAAGGUUGCUGCGUUACUAUGAGUUGAUUGAUUCUGAAUUCUAAAUCUUUUGUUAAUGCUUCAUUCAAAGUAAUGGAUUAGAAUGGUAUGUAACAUUCUUUUGUUAACAUUCCUAUAACCUAAUCUAUCCUAAUCUAGGAGGAGGGGAAGCCAUUGAAAGCAUAUAGUCUUGAAAGCAGUCACAUAUAGUGGCAAUUUGAUGGGAGGCAAGUGUUGGACCAUUAACUUCCUAACACCACCAGAACUUAAAUGCUUGACAGUAACCACCAGGCCAAAGGGCCAGUGGUGCGUGAUAAUGUUUAGUGGCAAGGUGAUAACUUGGGAUAUCAGUAGGUCCUAUAUAAGUAGGUCCUAUAUUUACCCUUAUAUAUAUAAUUAAAAAUAAAAAAGUUGGAAUGAUUAUUCUUCUUUUUUUUCACUUUAAGAGAUCCAAAAAUAUAAAAUAAAAGAGUUUUUUCAAAUUUCUUUUUUCACACUUAUUAAUACUAGGAAAAGAAAAAGAGAUAGGAAAGAAGGAGACAGAAAAUUAGGUUUUGCAAAGAAAAAAAUAAAAGAAAGUGUAACAUUAUCAUAUUAAUUUAAGAUUGUUAGGAUUAGGAUUGAAAUCUGGUGGUAAACAAUAAAGCAAAAUAAUAAAAGUAUUUAAUUCUUUCUUAUUUAUAUUUUUUAAAAAAGAAUUGAGUUCUCUCUCUCUCUCUCUCCCCUUCUCCCCCUUCUAAUCUUUCUAUUUUUUUUAAUAUUAAUAAGAUUGUCAAGAAAAAAGAGAUUAAUACUUUGAUUUUUUUUUCUUGAUAAUAAAGAGGAGAAGAGCCAUUCUAAAUUUUUUUAUUAUUUUUAUUAUAUAAAAAGGAGGGUAUUUUCUUCUAAAGUUCUUUAACUUGCUAAAUUGAUUUACUGGUGGGAUAAAUUGCCAAAAAAAUAACUCUAUAGGGUAAAUUAAUAAUGAGGCUAUAAUUUAUAGGGGUAAAAUGAUAAUAACUUUAAGGGCUGGACUUGUUUUUUUACUUUAAUUAAUAAAUUUCAUUAAAUUUGACUAUUAAUUUUGGAGGUAAAGUGACUAAAGAAUAACGUUAAGGGAGAAAUUGAUAGUGGCAUCGAAUGUUAAGGGAGUAAAGUGAUAAUAAUCCUUCAAGAUGAAACAUUAAACUAAAUUCAAUCACUAAAUUUUGUUUCUUUCUGUUGCUUAAAUUAUAAGUUUGUGCCAACAUUUAUCUAUACACGACUACGCCAUGAAACAAAAUGUUAGGAUUGGGCCGACAAGCAAUGGAUGCAGAAUAAUUGCAUCCAAAAGCUGUACAAAAGGGAGACUUUUAUAGUUCUAUGAGAUGUAAUCAGUUCACGCCACCUUGGGGAUGAUUUUUUUUGUUUUUUUUUGCCCUUCUUCCAAAAUUUUUUUUUUAAAGACCCUUCUUCCAAUUUUCAAGGUAGUGUUGGUUUUAUCCUUUAAAGAUGCAAACCUGUCCAAAUUAAAAUGCAACAACUUUUGACCACGCUGAGAAUAAGACAUGCAUUCUAAAGAGUGAGUUUCAAUUGUGCAUUAAUUGUCCAUUCAACUACUUACCGUAAAGGAUGGAUUUAAUUCAUUAACUAAGUUUGACGUUAUUUACGAUCUUGGUUAGAAUUUAAAAUUCCACAUCGACUUUAUUUUGUGCAAAAUUAAGACUUAAACUAGUAGGUAGUGAUAUAUAAGAGAUAGAAUUGGAAACAAUGUCGAAACUAAGAGAGACAAAGGGUGCGUUUGAUAAAACUGAAAUCUGAAAUUUGAAAUCUGAAUACAUUAAGUUGAAUAGUGCUAUGGUACUGAUGCUAUUGAGUGAUUAAAUAUAAAAUAAUAGCAGUUGACCAGAACAUCCGAUUUUCUUUCCUUUUGUGAUAGUUUACAACCAUUUGCGUCCUUUUUUUGUGAAUUAAAUAAUUCAUCCAAAGGUACAUGUAAAUUUUCCACCUAAAUCGGUAAGAUUGUCUUAUAAAAUGAUCAGUUUUAAGUGCUUAACAAAAUUUAAUUUUUUACUAUUGAAUUUUAAUGAAAUUUACUAUAUUUUUUGUCAAACUUACUCAAUUUAGCAAUAGGUAAGUUUUGAGGUAAAUUAGUAAGUUUGUCCAAUAAAGUAGCAAAAUUCAAAAGUUACCUUUUUAUUAGUAAAAUUUACUAUUUAUCUAACAAAACUUACUAUUAUUUAAACUUACUAGUCUACCUGUAUGUUAGUUUUUCAAGUAAAAUAAUAAGUUUGUGCAAUAAAAAAGUAAACUAAUAAAUUUGUGCAGAAACUUACUAUUACCUUUUUAUUAGCCAAAUUUACCAUUUAUCUGACAAAAACUUACUAUCGACCUCAUUAAACUUACUAAUCUAGCUGUAUAUAAGUUUUUCAACUAAAAUGGUAAAUUUGGACAAUAAAGUAGUAAGUUUUAGCCAUCCAUAUAAGUUAUCUUUUCAAUGCACAAACUUUUUGUUUAUCUUCCAAAACUUACUAUAAUUGAAAAGAAUUUACUAACCUAGCUUUAAGUAAGUUUCACAAAUAUAUUGGGAAGUUUUGGCAAUGAAGUAGUAUAUUUUAUAAAAACUACCUUUUAUCAAUAAGACUUACCAUUUGUCUUUCAAAACCUACUAUUAUUUUAAUUAAAUUUCCUAAACCAAAUUUGCAUAAGUUCUACGUAUAAACUAGUAAGUUUGUGCUAUUAAGUAGUAAAUUUGUCAAAACUAAUGCUUAACAAAUCAGUAUUCAAACUUACUAUUUUCAUAACAUAAUUUACCUUAUAAUCAAAUUACCUUACUACUUUCUCAUCUAAUUUUAUUGUUAUCAAGUAGAUCUUAGAUGGCCUGGGUCUCAUAUGAUUAAUUGAGAAUUAAAGAUGAGAACUGGGCCUUUUUGGACGGGUAAAAGAGUCAGGUCGUGGACUAAGAUUGAGAAUUACCUGGAGAAAACCUUGAUAGGUUUAUUAGGGGUUUUGCUCUAACUAGCCUGACAACAUAUAGCUGCUAAUUUGCUUUGAUCGUCCCUCCCUUUUCCUUUCGCCAGCUCUUGCACUAUCCUUCUAACUAACCAUUCCCUCUAAAUUCAAAAAGGGCGAAGCGGGCUGCUUAGCCAAUAUCCAAGUAAAUCAUGGCCUUGUUUGACAGGCAAGUUUUUUGUCAAGUUUAUUUGUUACAAGUUUUUUAAAAACUUUAGCUACAGUAAUCUCAAAAAAUUUCUCAAAGUUUUUAAAUUAUAAACUUCAAAAUAUUCAAAAAUUUACAAACUUUAAAAAUUUUUUAAAAAACUUCUCCAGAAAGUUACAGUAAAGUUUUAGACAAAUACCUAAAAAACUUACUUGCCAAACGGGUUUUAGGGUAAAUAUUUCUAUCUUAUUUCUGACAAUUCGUUGUUUUGAGUUUUCUUGGUUAUGUCCUGGGGCUCUUGCCAUCUCAUUUUGCAUCUCAUGUUUUGUCUUUAUCUAAGCCUGAGCCUUUAGCUAAGAGUUUUUAACGUUUUUCUAAUAUGGAAAUUUAAAAUUCACUCUUUGGGAUAAAAAUCUAGUCCUUUUCUUUUUCUUUUGCAACCUUUGAUUUGUUUUCUCUUGCAGCAAUUUCUUGGUUAUUGUGUCUUGAAUUUUUCUUAGAUAUGCCUAUCAAGGUUAAUUUUUGGUCUCUGUGUAUGCUUUUCAGUUGUAGUAAGUCCAAUUUUACUUGUCUAUUAAGUUGCAUUUGAUUUGGGAUUUUGGGUUGUGGAAGUUGUACACAUCUAAUUUUUUUGUAGAAGUUAGUCAAUCAAUGGUAUGCAAAUAGACAAAAACCAAUAGUGGUGUAGUAAAUUUGAUUGUUUAUUUAUUGCAUGAGGUUUUGAUAAUCUUUUACGUAUAUUAAGUUCAUAAAAUGAAGAAAAGAAUCCUUAAUUUAGGUUCUUGUAACAUGCCGUUUUACAUUGUUGACAUUUAGCAUGAUUUUCACUACUUAGAUGUGUCAAUUGUGCAUCGUGUAGUAAUAAAAGAAACCACGACUAUCUUUUUCAUUGAUGGCAUUCACAUUUAUCUCUGAUUAGAACACUUCCCAUGGAUAGAUGCAGUUGAGGCUGGAUUAAAAACUUAAAAUGACAAGUAUUCCUUGUUUUUGUUGCUGAAGUGAUGAAUGUAGGUUCUAGCAUCAUGCUGGACAACAAAAAGAGGACAAUUGAUGUAGAUGAUAGGCCUAUGAGGUCAUCUGAGAAAUCAUUGAUCUCUAAGUUGGUAUUAAUUGGAAAGCUACUGUUGAUCGGCUUGAAAACUUAUCCUUUGAGGACUAAGACUGUUAAGAUUUGAUUCCAUUGACGAUGCCACAAAACUUUACUCAAGUUAUAGUAAAAUGGUAAACUUCAGUACUAGAGACCGUGAUCAAUGGAAGGAUAAGCAUGGUAUAUUAGCGGUUCAAAGAAAAUUUUGCUAAGUCCAAUUAGAUGUUAAAGUGCUAGUAAUAGCGGUGAUAAUGAAUUGGCUCAAUAAGUAUUUAUAUUUGUUUGUAUGGUGGAUUAUUUGCAUGAAUUUAUCUUAUCAUUAAUGUUUUCGAAUUUAUGUACCAAACAUUUUGUGUGGUUCCUAGCUAGUCUCACACCUGAGAAAUACAGAUACAUAAUAAUGACAACCAAGUACUCUUGGUCGGCACAACAGCAGGUUUCUAUGGAUGGGUCUUGUAUUGAAAAGUGACCUCAAUUGAAAGAAUCGUCUACGUAUCCAUAACUGCUGCUGGCUAAUACUUCACACCAACAUACUCCAAUUUUAUACACAAGUGUGCAUAUGGAAAAUACACAAUAUUGAAGGUAAAUUCUAUAUUGUAUUCAACUAAUAAAAGACAGGUGUGGAAAGGUCAACAAUAAUGGCGAAGAAGCAAGCACGUUGCAAGUUCAUAUGUACGAAGGAUGAAGGUAAUAUUUCUAAAAAAGCAAGUGUUGACCUAUAACAGGCGCGGAUGGUUUGAAAAUGUUGAUGGGCCCAACGAUCGUGAGGCAGACUGUGGAAGGUGGAAAUGCAUUGGGGUGUGAGGGAAUUCACAUAAAUAUAAUGGGUCUAGAAAUAAAAUACCGAAGAUGAUAAGUAGCGUAAGCAGCACUAAACGGCCAUGGGGGGGCCAGCAAUAGAUGUGUGUUUGAAAACAAGUAGUGCGCUCGGAAGUGAAGAAAUGAUGUGUUAAAGAAGAAGGCAAAGCGAAAUACAAAGAAGAAGGCGGGGGUGGCGGCAGGCGUAAGUUCAGGCGCAGGUGGUGACGGUGGAUAUAGCUGAGCAAGGGCGUUCCGUUGUUGUGCUGACUGAAUGCAGUGAUGUAGUACAAAAGUAGAGAAAUCAAACGUAAGUUCUUUCGUCCAUAACUUUGAAAUAGUAAAAGGGAAGGGUUUAAUAAUAGGAGAUUGAUUAAAAUAAAGGGCAAAACACACAGCGUCUAGUAUGGUGAAGGUUAGAUUGUUGUAAGACCUUCUGUUGGAGCACAUAAACAUAGCAAUGAUAGAGAAAUAAAGAUUACAAAAUACUGCGACUAAGACCCAGCGGCUUUGAGCAAAGAGGAAAUGAUACAGGAAAAUCAUCCCUGUUAAUUUGUUCACCUAGCAUUGUGUGCAUAAGAUUACCACUGAACUGCUGGUCCACUAAUUUUUAUAAUUUUUUUAAAGGAAAAUUUUCAGAAAUGAUCAAACACGUGAAGAAGACAUUGUAACGGGACAAAAGACAGAGUGAUUUGGAUGGCUAUGUGGACUUGCUGCUUUACUUUCUAAAUUGGCUCCCUGACUAUAUUGCAACAGCUUUUGCGAAGACAAUUCAAAAAACUCACAGUAAAGGUUCAGCUUGGCGCUAUAAAUGAAUGUGCAUGGACGAUAGUAGCAUUUUGUCCUAAAGGUUGACAUAAUUGCUUCAGCCCCACUUCUAAUUAUAGACACAUAAAUCUUAGAGUAACCUUUUUUGUCUGCUUUUUCUCAAAGUUGUGAGCUACAGAAUCGUCUCUUAACUUCAAUGAUCAUACAUAUAUAUAUAUGUUUUUUUCAUAAAUAGUCAUGGGCUUAAUUUUGAUGUUACAAACGAAAGCAUAUGGAUAUGUUUAAAAAAAUGUUCAGCGACCAUGGUUAGAAAUAACAAUGAACCACACACGUCUUGUAAUUAUUUGGCAAGAUUGUUUUUUAAGCUUGUGACAUGGUGGAGGAAACACAGGAUGGAAGGCUGAGGAUGGAUGGUGGUGGCAAAAAAAGGUCAUUUGACCUUAACCUGGAACCUGAGUGUGAUAGAGAUUCAGACACCCAAAAAAGUGGUGGUUCAAGUGAAGGACAUCAAGAUGAUGAGAUGGAUGAAUUGGUGGGUGCAAUAGGCAUGGAUGAUGUAAUGAAAUUAACAUUUGACACGGAAGAAGAAGUUGGGAAAUUCCACAAUUUGUAUGCAAAACUAAACGGAUUUGGAUUUCGCAAAAGUAAUGGCAAAUAAGAUGCAGAUGGCAUUUCAAGGUUUCGAAAAUGGGUAUGUUGUUGUGAAGGAUACAGGGAUGAAAAGUGGUUAAAAUAUGAAGGCCAGAAAAAUGAAACAAAACCAAUCACAAGAACCGGGUGUGGGGCUUGCAUUCGCAUGAAAUGUGACAUAAAAUCGCUAAAGUAUGUGGUGACAUUGUUCAUUAUGGAGCAUAAUCAUAAGAACCGGGUGUAGGGCUUGUUUUCGCAUGAAAUAUGACAUAGAAUCGCUAAAGUGUGUAGUGACAUCGUUCAUUAUGGAGCACAAUCACCUGCUAGCAUCAGAAGCAAGUGUGCAACACAUUAGGUCACAUCGAAAAGUCAGUGAUGCAGAGUAUGCGCACGCCAAAAGUUUGAAGAUGGUUGGGGUUAGAAUCUGUCAGAUAAUGAAACAUUUUGUUAUCAAAGCCAGAGGGUAUAGUAACGUGGGAUUUUGCAUUAAGAAUCUGUAUAACCGAAUAGAUGAGGAACGUAGAAAAGAUAUUUUUAAUGGUGAUGCAAAAGGGACACUUGGGUUCUUGGCAGCGAAAAAGGAUGUUGAUGACGUGUUCUUUUAUAAAACACAAUCAUAAGAACCGGGUGUGGGGCUUGCUUUCGCGCUAAAUAUGACAUAGAAUUGCUAAAGUAUGUGGUAACAUCGUUCAUUAUGGAGCACAAUCACCCGUUGGCAUCAGAGGCAAGUGUGCAACACAUUGGGUCACAUCAAAAAGUCAGUGAUGCAGAGUAUGUGCAGGCCAAAAGUUUGAAGAUGAUUGGGGCUAGAAUCUGUCAGAUAAUAAACAUUUUGUUAUCAAAGUCGGAGGGUACAGUAACGUGGGAUUUUGCAUUAAGGAUCUGUAUAACCGAAUGGAUGAGGAACUUAGAAAAGAUAUUUUUAAGGGUAAAAUACAUAAAACCCCCUGUGGUUAAGGAAGUUGACACGAAACUUCCUUAUUGUUUAGAAACACUCACUUAACAUCCCUGUGCUUUGCACUUCUUAGGAUUUUACCUGCUAACCGGCUGGAAAGCUAGUGAGUGAUAUUGACGCGACCUAAUGGUCACUUUUGACUAGAAGACACUCGUUUUCAUUCCAAUUUUGCUCAAACCUCCUCUGCCUCUGUCUCCCUGCCAUCAGGAUGCUCUUCACCGCCACUAACGAUAAUAAGGUCGGGAUCAAGCACGGCGAUUCCAAUAUCGGGGGAUCUCUUUGGGAUGGGGCACUGUUCCUGGGUUCUACCAGCCCGCCCAUAGCGUCCGCCAAGUUCAGACCACCAUUAUGGUGGACUAGGUCAACUUGCUCCAGACCGAUGCUGCCUAUUUAUUGAGGGACGGCACCAUCAAUGAUCGGGUUGAGCUGCGGGUGGUAGGGGAUGUUGGAGCUAAGAUCCGGAUUCUUGGCUUUAAUCCACCUAGGGUCCCGUCUAGUAGAUUAAUUUAGGGUUAAAUACCAAAAACCCCCCUGUGGUUUGUCUAAUGUUCACUUUGCCUCCCUAUGAUUUGGAAACCUACAAUUUGACUCCUUGUCAUUUCAACUAAAGUAAAAGUCUAACGGAAAACAUUUAAACUAACGUCUGAAAGAAAAAUGUCAAAAUUGCCCCUCUAUAAGGGCUUUGGGUUAAGUACCAAAAACCUCCCUGUGGUUUGUCAAAUAUACACUUUACCUCCCUAUGAUUUGAAAACAUAUAAUUUAACUCCUUCUCGUUUCACCUAAAGUGAAAAUCUAACAGAAAUUCCGUUAAAUACACUUUAGUUGAAACGACAGGGAGUCAAAUUGUAGGUUUCCAAACCAUAGGGAGGUAAAGUGAACAUUAGGCAAACCACAGGGGGGUUUUUGGUAUUUAACCCAUUAAUUUAUUGGUAGUAAUUUCUACUUCCCAUUGUCACUGCGAACAGUACUCCACUACCAAAAUUUACCAUCCUACAAUUAAUUAUUGUAAUUGUUUUCGCAGCCCAUUAUCACUCGAAGCCCCCCACAACACACCAAAAAGAAAAAAAACCAGUGGUAUAGUUGUUUUAUGGAUUCUUUCUGUUAGACAAAUUGCCAAAUGCUCUUUCCAGUGGUUAGGAUUUUACCUUCUUCUUGGCUAUAGGUUUAGGAUUUCUCUCUCAAAACAUGAAGUACCGCUCAAGCCCGACCGAUCUUCACCAUAACUCACACCACUCUGCACAGAAACACCUUCUUCUUGGUUAUAGGUUUAGGGUUUCUCUCUUAUUUUCAGAAGUCUGCUCCAUAUUUACUAAUUGCAUCUGUAACUUUUCACAUAUUAUAUAUGAGGGUAUUUUGGUAUUUUAUAUUAUUACCAGCUUCCCAGCCAAUUAGCAGGUAAAAUCCUAAGAAGUCCAAAGCACAAGGAGGCUAAGUGGGUGUUUCUAAACAAUGAGGAAGUUUCGUGUCAAUUUCCUUAACCACAGGGGAGUUUUAUGUAUUUUACCUUAUUUUUAAUGGCGAUGCAAAAGGGACACUUGGGUUCUUGGCAGCGAAAAAGAAUGUUGAUGAUAUGUUCUUUUAUAAAUAUCAUGUAGAUAACGAAAGAAGAUUGGCAAGGUUGUUUUGGAUAGAUUCUAAAUCCUAGCUAGACUUCAGUACAUUUGGAGAUGUAUUGGUGUUUGAUACGAUAUACAAAACAAAUAAAUAUCGCAAGCCACCGGUUGUACUUGCAGGAGUAAACAACCAUUUGAAACAUACGAGGAUUGAAAGAGGAUUGAACAACUAUAAGAAAAUUGAACAAAAAUACGAGUAAACAACUAUUUUCGGAUAUUCACUGCUAUCAGAUAAGAGGAUUGAAACAUACGAAUGGGUCCUAAGUACAUUUAUAGAGGCUAUGGAUGGUAGAAAACCAGUAGCAGUGAUAACAUAUGGGGAUAGUACAAUGCGAAAAGCCAUAAAUAAUAUUCUCCCCGAUGCUUGUCAUAGGCUAUGUUCGUGGCACUUGCAUAGAAAUGCAUCGAGUAAUAUUCGGUAUGAAGAUUUCAAUGACAGGUUGUAUAACCUGAUGGCGAAAAAGUGUAGCAUACAGGAGUUUGAGGAUUGGUGGCUAGCUUAGUUAAUGAAUGUGGGGUGAGAGAGAAUGACUGGGUAAAAAAGUUGUACCACAGGAGAAGGUUAUGGGCAGAGGCCUAUUUACGCAGGUAGUUUUUUGCAGGAAUAAGAAGUACUCAAAGGUGUGAGAAAAUAAAUACUUUUUUGAACGAGUACUUGAACGAUAAAAUGCGACUAUAUGAAUUCGUUCGAAAUUUUGAUUUGGCAAUAGCAUGGUUUUGACAUACUAAGAGCAAAGCAGUUCACACAAGCGAAAACACAAAAUCAAUGUUAACCAAAAUUCUGCCCGAACUAGAAAACAGUGCAACAGAGGUGUUUACAAGGAAUGUGUUCUUCGUGGUGAGAAAGCAUUUGAACAAACAAGGGCGUCUAAUUUCUGAGGGUUGGAAUAAGAAGAGAGAGAGUCGCACAUAUUAUUACUCAAAAUAUUGUGGACAUAAAAUAAGUUGGAGGGUGGAUUAUCAUAGGUCACGGAGAAGCUAAUCUGCUCUUGCAUAAAAUUCAAGUCAAAGGGAAUUCCUUGUGCUCAUAUGUUUCGUGAUGGUGGUUGAAGGAAUGAACAUGAUCCCAGAAUCAUGUAUUUCAAAGUGGUGGACAAAGAGAGUGAGAAAUAAUAAUAGGAUGAUAGCAUUUGUUGUACCCGAACAGAUGACACAAAUGGCCAUAUAUGGCACUUUAAAGUCCAGUUAUAAUAGUAUGUGUUACUAUGCCUCCUACAUGGAUGAUGAGUUUAAUAAACUGCAGCAGAUGUUUGACAAGCAUUCAGUACAGCUGAAGGAGAAAUGCAUUGAUAGAGAAUAUGGGGGAGACAGAUUUGUAAUGGAUUCAAGAGUGAUGACCGAUAGAAGUAGAAGAACAUUCGAAGUGUUAGACCCGAAGGAAUCUCGGGCUAAAGGUGAUCACAAGCAAGCAGAAGCAAAGAAGAAAAGAAAGUGUGGACAUUGCAAGUACAAACCAAAAAGUACGUAGUUAUACAGUUGUUAUUAUUAAACAUGAACCGGACAUUGAAUGUAAUAAAGAAAAAGUAGGUAGUUUUUGACAUGUUAUUAUGUGCAUUAAAACAUAAACUUAAAUCCAAAGUCCAUACAAAGUAAACUAAGUUAAUGCCAAUGCAAGAAAGUUGAAGUGGUGUAAUGUUAGCGUUCUGAUAGCUUAGUUGAUGUGAUUACUUGCAGUCACAAAUGAUUUAACAUGUAAUGAAUUGGUUGAAGACUGCAGGUAGGCCAUAACCAAUGAACAUGCCUAUACAAUAAAAUUUGCCACAAUACAGCGGUGCAUCGUGAUUGGAUGAAAAAUUGUUUGGAUAAAUCAAUGAAAAUUCAUUUAAAAUUGGUAUGGGCGGGAGCGAGUCUGGCGAAUGGAGACUACAAGCAUUUGUGGCUGAUCAACGAUGCGGUAGCAGUGGAAAUGACACAGGUGACCAAUAAAAAAGUCCAGUUGAAAGAGAAAUGAUGAGCUGUGAUGCUGAGGUUUGAAAAAGUUGUUAAUUCGUCGUGAAUUAAAUGGUUCAUUGAUAUUGGUAUCACUGAUAACCUCUCCACCGUGUGUGCAGGAUGAACUUGAGAGGGGAAACGAAUUCGUCAAUACAAUUAGGGUACUUGACCAAAAUGGAACGGUCCAUGUUUAAAAACAGGGAUGCGGGUAUAGGGCGGUCGGCGUGAAAUUUAUACUGAUAUUUCAAUUGGUGUAUGCCUCGCCAAAAUGGAAGGUCAAUUCAUAAAAUAUCAGUUGUUCACACAAGAAUUUGGGCAUGAAUCUAUAUGGUACUUUUGUUACUUGUUUUUAUGGUUGAGUUCAACUCUGCUAUGAGUCAUGUUUAACUUGCAUGCUACUCGAAAUGCCAGUCUUUAAUGCAACGCUAAAUUUCUAGUUAGUGAUGGCUUAUUGCGGUGACUAUUGUUCUCUCUGUCUUUGCAGAAGGUUCAAAUCCAUUGCACUCCUGAAGUCACAAGGGUGUGCUAAUUGGUCAAAUUGCAAGUGCUGCUCUUUGGAAAAAGGUAAAUGGGUUAUAUGACUUCUGAAAUUAUUCGACACAUAGUUUUUCCUUGAAUUUUUUGAUCCUUGGCUCCAAAAAAGAAAGUUCACUAGUUGAAGCUUUGGUUUUGAGAUGAAGCGGAUGGACAUGCUGGAUAAUUAUUGGUUGGGAUAAGAGAGUAGGAUACUGUGUUCUCUGGCAUCCUGUGGCCCGAAUUUUAGAUAUAUGAAUUAUGACCCCAGCAUCGCAUGGCUUGCUGGACUAUUUGAUCCUAAUAUUUAGUCACCAUUAAGCUUUCAUAUUUUGCAAUGACUCGAGCAUUCAGCAGAAUCAAAUGCCCAUGCUGGCUAUAGCCAUCAAAUUCAAAAGUUCUUUUUCAAGUAUUUUCGACAAAAACAGAUGCUGUAUCAAUGAAACAGCAGUUAUGCAAUAGCAUUUGGACUAGAUUUAAUUCCAGUUAGGAAAAUUCUUAGUAUCAUUAAACCAUGCAGCGGACUUUUAUUCCAGUUUUCCACUUUUUUGUAGUAAGUUUUGCCUAAAAAUUUAUGAUAAAAAAUUUAUAAUAAUAAAUUAGUUUAAAUGUCAGGCCCCAUCAGAGGUACUCGACAAUAGGAGACGAUACGUGCAUAAAAAAUAGUUGACAAUUUGUUGUUUACAGUUACCAAAUUUGUUUCCAAAGCUUUUUACAAAUGAAAAUUAAAGAGUACGAAACAUUGCAUAUUUUGUGGCUCCAUAACAAGCUUAUAUAAUUAUUGCGUACACGCUGAGAUUUUAAUUUGCAUAGUACUGAAUUCGAUUUUACAUAUAAUUGAAUUAAUUUUAAAUAGGUAGUCCAAAUCAGAUAGCCACAAUUUUAUUGGCUUUAUUCAGUUACUCAUUUGAACUUAAUAACAUCGCAUACCCAUUUGGAAGUGCUGCAUGAACAGAGAACUUAGAAUGGAAGGUUAAUAAUGGUUCCAUUUGCUAAGAAAUUAUAAUUAUAUUAAAGGUAAAUUAUAUUACUAUUAUAAUUACAUUAAAGGUAAAUCUGCCAACCGAACACAUAAAUUAUGUAUAUUUGCAAUAUCUUAUAAAUAGGUUUAUGCAGGCAAAAUAUAGUCCAACUACACACAAAAGUUAAUUCAUUAUUACAUCAAAAUUAUCUCUAUUAUUUUACAAAUUCAACCCACAUACGUGCAUAAGGGAUAUUUAUCGAAUUAACAUUACAGUUAUAUUUAUAUACUCCCAUUUUUCGCUUCAUGCCCCCAUGUAAAGUAAUCUUUUUAAUGUUUAUUAUUUCCAUGGACUUAAAUUUGUAAUACAACCCUCUUUCUCUUUGAAGGUUUGUAUUACAAUAAAAAUGUUAGGGAAGGCUGUAUGAAAAUGUCAGAAACGUAUACGAGGUUUCUACAAUUAGUAUAAUUUGUUAAUUAGCCAAAAUUCUAGCAAAAGGCAAGCAAAUGCCCCUUAUUUUUCCAUUCUGAUGCAUGGAAAAAUAAGGGAGCAUUGUGCAAAUAAAUAAAAAAAAUUCACUUUAUAUAGUUCGUUGUGACAGCCAGGCUUAUCCCCGCCUUUGUAUGAGUUUGAUUACAAUGGACAUAACCUAUUCCCUCCGAACCCCAAAUUUUGAAUUAUAACAUUCAACCAAAACUUCUCAAACUCCUAGGCUCCGUCAUACAAAUACACAUUGAGUAUUAGAUUUUUUUUCGCCCUUCAAGCAUCGAACGCUAAGAUAUAUAGUUUAUUCUUCCACCUUCUAACAUGAAUUUUUAGCUAUAUGAAUUGAAAUUGUGCAAACAUAAUUUCAUUAUUUUUAUGUGUUAAAAAUUUAGAAAAAUAAAUUGAUGAGUAGUACAAAAGAUUAUUUUAUCCCCUCCUUUGUUUGAGUUCUGAUUACAAAAGACAAACUGUAUUCCCUCCAAACCCCAAAUUUUAUUUAAAGCAGUCCUCCCUUCACAGUUACUGAGCAUUGUGUCUGCUGUGUUUGAGACAAAUAAAGUGAGGCGGUGUAGCGGAGGAGAUUAAAAUUUUGAGAAUGGCUUCAUCCUCGUCUGCAGGCUCCGUCAAUAGUACGCUAUGGCUGACAUUAUUUUACCAUUGUGGUCGUAGCUGUGCAGUUCGUGUUGUUUGGAAUUCUGAAGCAAAUAGGGGCUGCCACUACUAUCGGUGCGUUAACGCCUAGGUAAGUGAAUCGCUAUAACUGUUGCGUAGAUAAAAUUUCGAUUUUUCAGAUACUUCUUGUCGCGCCCCAUUUUUGGAAAUAAAGAAAAAUAAAUUAAUAGUUUAAAAAGUGAAUUUUAAUUCAAUUUUCGAUUGAAAAAAUGAUUUUUGAUUUAAAAAGAAAAUGAAGAACAUGGGUCUAAAUGGGACUUCAAAAUGCGACGAUUUGACCCAAAAUAAUAGUUUAAAAAGGGUUUUUGAAUAAAAAAUCAGAGUCACCACUUGGUAUUGAGUUGAGAUGUACCAAGUCACCUAAAAAUGAAUUUUCAAAGAAAAAAUAGAAAAACCCUUUUUAAACGACCCCAAGUCUACGAAAAUCAGAGAAAAAGAUUUGGGAGUCACAUUUGAAGAAAGGGAAGGCAAGGAUAAGAAUCCAAGGCACCCUUUCAACCUAGCCAAGGCUAGUUGCGCGAUUUAGUCAAAAAUUUUCUUAUUUUAACCUAAAGAUUUAUCAUAUUUGGAUACACUAUAUGAAUACAAACCCUAGACCUAAGAGGGUAUCGGGGGGUCAAAAUAUCUCUACAAAACUUAAUAGGUGCAACGGUGGAAUUGGAGUUGGGGCCAUGGAAGGGAUGGUGCAGUCUCAUGGCCAGUCAAAUGGAUGACUUUGACUUGAUCCUUGGCAAGGACUUCAUGGUUGCGAACAGGAUCUAUCCAAUUCCCCACUUGGAUGGCGUCAUGGUGGACGAUGACGAAAACAAUCACAUUAAUUGUGACGCCUAAUAAAGACUCUUCGAAGAAGUCACGAAUAAUGCUAAAACAUAAAACUCUAAAAAAAGGGAAGGAAAAUAAUAAAAAUAAUCAUAAUUAUACAAAUAUACAUGUCCUAAAGGAAUGCAUCAUGUCGGGUACGGGGAACUAAUGUUCAUGGCUCAAUUUUCGCUUUAACAGAGGGAAUAUGAGCGUGUUAAGGUAGAAAGCCAAACUCGUCCAUAUACCAUACUCAAGGGGUGUUUCCCUAUCUAAUCAAGCAAAUGCACUACCCUAAUUCUAUUUCUUAAAUGAAAUGCAAGUCUAAUGUUAUGUUUUCUUACAAAGGGGUAAGGAAUAUACAUAAAAGGGAAAAUACGGAAUAGGGGAUAUAAAUAGAAGGGAAUUUGGGACAAAGGAUGUACAUAUAUAAGAAAGUGUCAUGCAACAUGGUAAAAACCCUAAAAGGUGAAAAACAUGCAUAAAAUGUAGUGAUUCACACAAACAUGAUCUAACGCGUAAACGGUCUCUAAAGGUCUAGCGUUGGACCAGCCCAUGUCUAUGAAUUCCUACUAGCAUUGGACUAGUGGAAAAUCGAGAAAAAGGUCUCAACUAGCGUUGGACUAGCAAGAAAUCGUAAAAAGGGACCACGACUAGCGUUGGACUAAUGUGGUGACGACAUGUAUUUAUUAUAGUCUAAUAAACCAGAUAAAGCAUAAUAAAGCAAAUAAACACAUAAAUCACAUAAAGCACAUAGGCAUGAUAUCUAGAUGCAAGACCCUAAGAAAGCGAGUAACACAUAACACACAAGCAUGCAAAACAUAUAAAGCAAAUAAAGCCCUAACUAUUACACUUGGAGUGGCCUACUACAAUCUAAAAGGGGAUAAAAUGAAGUAAAGCAAGCCUAACUAUUACAACUUGGCAUUUAAAUGCCUUCUAAAUGAUUAAAAUUAAACUAAGAUAAAAAAUUGGAAUAAAUAAAACAUAUAAAGAAAUGAAAUAAAACAUUCAAAAGGCAUGCAAUUAGACACAUAAAGUCACAUAAGUGCAUAUAGAGUCAAAUAAAGUCAAAAUAAGGGAUAGGGUGUACCUCCCUGGAGUUGGAGCCCUAAUGAAGUGAAAUUACUCAUUUACCCUCCAAAAUAAUAAAAGGGUCAAGACAUCAUUUUAAUGAACAAAUGAUCACAAAAAAUGGAAAUAAGUACAAAAUUGAAUCACUAAAAGCAUUUAAAUAAGCUAAACAACCCAUAUUUAACAAAUAAAGACCCAAUUGCUACGCUUAAGCCACAAAACGCCAAAAAUUCCACAUAAAAUCAAAUUAACACCAUAAAUCUAGAAAAAAAGUUACUAAACCUUCAAAUUCAUCCUAAAACUCAUGCAUAUUCUGUUCAAUAAUCGCAAUGAAGGCACAUAAAAGCGAGAAAAUAUUUUAAAGGACAAAAUUGAUGAACUUUUACGAUUUUAUGGGCCAUAGUGGCAUGAGGAGAAACAUGUGGGGUUGAUUUGCAAUUCUUGGAAACUCUUUUCAUGCAAAGCAUGCAAACACUAUGAUAUAUUUCUGCAACAAGAAAGUUGAAGCCUCUGAUGAGGGCUUUCUACAAUCCAAAACAACACAGCCACAACUUCAUGCACACAGAUUUCGACAAACAUCUCAAAUCUAAACCCAACGUCGAGUUCUUACUCUAGGGAACAAACUCCUAGCAGAAUCACUAAAAUGUCAACAAGACUCUCCCAUUUUAAUUGAAGACAACAGAUUUCGGGAAACAUAAGAAAGAAGCAACAACAAAUUUUGGGAAACACAAGAAAGAUGCAAUGCUGCAAGAAAAUUUCGGGAAACAAGACUCUCCCAGUUUUUGAACAACAAAUGCUUUCUGCAAUUCUUAUGCAGAAAUCUCACACGGAAAUUCAGACAAGACCAACUGACCUAUCAUCCAAAUAUUCCUUGACAACACUGAGCACUUCAAUUAACAAGUGAACUCAGGGUUAUUGCCUAGAAACACAAGCUUCAACAAAACAUACCUUGCGGCCAAACAAUGACAACCAAAUAGAAACUGAAGUAAAUAAAGUUUCAAAGCUGCAACUCUAAACCAACAAACCAGAAGUUCAUGCAAAGUAACAUAAAACUGGAUAGAUUUAACUUAAGUAUUUCCAUAAGAUGCAACAAAACAACACAACCAAGUGCCAUGAAUACUUGCCGAAAUCUUAAACCCUAGCCCUUAAAGACAUCAGACCCAAACCUGAAAAUGAAUACCAAAUGCAUGGUUAAUAUUCAGGUCCCUUCCAGUUUCAAAAUGCAUUCACAAGAAAGCAAUCUUCGUCACUGAUUUGUUUUUACAAUUUUUGCAGGUGAACUGAUAGCAUGCGAUAAUCUUAACCUGGAAAACAAUCCCAAAUAUUCAUCAAACUUCCUAAACCUAUCACCGAAUUCUGAUAUGGUAUGAAAUAGGUAAUGAGAUUAUGAAUUUGGUACCAACCGAUUUCGCAUUCAAAUUCGGUAAUUGAAAUAAGGUACCGCAUUACCGCAUUCGAAUACCAAAUUGGUAUAUAAAAUUAUAUAAUAUAUAGAUAAAUGUUAUUUAAUAUUAGUAUAUACUACUAAUAUAUUAUUAUAUUAUAUAGGUAAAUGCUAUUAAUAAUAAUCACUACAAAAAAAAAUAUUUUUAGUGACAACAAUCUUUGUCAAGAAAAGUUGCGUAUGUUGUCAGGAAAAGUUUUCGUGACGCUCAUGUCGUCAGAGAAAAUUGGUCACCUAUACGCCGUCGGCAAAAGGUUUUCCUGACAACUAGUGGAAUUCUCGUCAGGAAAAGUUCCAUUUUCUGUGACGUGUCAUCAAGAAAGGUAAUCGUGACGAUUCGGUUGUCAGGAAAAGUCCUCAUAUUCUUGACGAACCUUUGUCAGGAAAGACCCUGAACUUUGUCACUAAAUUUUCGAUUGUCAAGAAAAGUCAUGCAUUGAAACUUGCUGGACGUACUUUAAUGACAAUUCAAUGUCAUUUUUCCUGACGACAGCUGCAUCACUAUAAUAUAUUAGUUUCUAAUUUCACCAUGUAGCAUUUUUAAGCCUAGCAAUUUUAGUGACAACAAAGUAAUAAUAUCAUCUACUAAAACACUCCACCCAAUCAAAAUAUAAAAGUAUGCAAGCAAAAUAUCAACCAAAACUUUACAAAUUUCAUUAGUAGGCAACCAUAAUAUGUCAAACCACAAAAGUUAACCAUGUCAAACAUUGACAUAUCAUUACAUUCCAUGAUUUGAAACCAAUAUAAAUAUUGCUAUUUCUCCCUAGAUAACUGCUAUAUACCUAACAUGUGCUAAAAUCAAAAGAUGGACUUCAAUUCCAUGGUCAACAAAAUACUAGAGAUGGAUGAUAUCAAAAUAGAGGAAUUCUUCAGUAUGAGCUAAAAGCAGUCCAAAAGCCAAAAGCAGUCCAUAAUGUUGAGUUUAUCCCAAACUCAAAAGCCAAAAGCCAAAAGUAGUCCCAAACGUUCAUCCCAAACCUGUACAAUAAAACCAAGAAAAAUCUGAAAUCAGAGAAACAAUAGAAUGGCAUGGAAAAGAUGUAUUUUUGUUAUGAUGCAUGGAUGAUCACUACAAAUUGCUUAGGGACCACCUAAUCAUGAGGACAAGCAAUACAAGAAUAAUUACUAUGCUGAAGUAACCAAGUUGUUCCACAAUAGUAAGUAACUGCACAUAAAUGCAUUUGUUUCGAAUAAAGAUCUACAAACUCACCAUUACUAGGAAGAACCUCCACACUGCUUCUGUUUCCAAAUGAGGAAUUCUUGCAGCAUUUCUUGUAUCCCUUGCUGGCUUUGUACAAGAUUUUGGAUUUGGGUAUCUUGUGCUUGAAUUCGCUCCUCAUAGCAUUGAAUCUUCUCCUUGCACUGUUUUAGUUCUUCAAGUAGUGCUCUAUUAGCUGAAGAUUCGGGUUUGCGAGAAGAUUGGGGUGGUAUGACCCCCAUACCCAACCCUUUGGCACGACCAGCCCUCUUUCCUAGGACAUUUUCCAUAAUUUUAACUUCAUUGACAAUUUCUCCAUUCUCGAUGCAUUGCCUUCUCUCUUCUUUUAACUCAUCCUGUACAUAUUAGAUUCACAUAACUCAAAGAGUCAUUAAAUGUAUAAUAUAUAUGUAAAUGUCAUGUUACUAAUAAAAAACAAAGUUACUAGAAUCAGCCGACUAUAGUGAAAAUUACAUCGAGAGAUUUUGCAGUAUUAUUCACAAAUUGGCCAUCCUUUUUUAUGUGAGCAGCAGUCCAGGCAUCAAUUGCACUUGGUGGAACCUAUUUUAUAGCAUAAAAGAUCACGAGUUAGCUCUAGUUUUCUUCCUAGUAUAAAUAUAAGCCAAAAUGGAAAUAAAAAAUCAGUAAUAUACCAUCUCUUGUGCUCGAACAUGAUUUGAUUUUGAACCGCCAGUGUGCGGAUAGGGUAACAUGGCACGGUUCUUUGUAUUGGCUUCUGAUUUUUUCUAUUAAAUACCAAAAAGAUAGUUAGACAAAACAUAAAAGGCAACAAAAGAAUUAAGAUCAUGCAAGUAAACAAAACUAGAACCAAUCACCUUGAAUAUAGGAUCUUCGAACCAAUCACACGUACUUUUCCACUCAUCUUGCUCAAUCCAGUCAUAAGGACAUGAGGUAAGUGGAUCUUUUCCAGCUACCUUCAACAUCUUAUAAUCUAUGUGCAUAGUAUUCCUCCACUGCCUAUAGCUAUUCUGAAGCAUGUCAUCCACAUACAUUUCCACAUUAGGAUCAGUUUCCCAAUCUUUGAAGUCAAACCAUCCCUAUAAAUUACCAUUAAGAAAUAGAUCAUUUUUAGAAUUGGUCAAGUCAGCAAAAUAAAUAUUAACACACUAAAUGUCAUUAUAAAAGACAACGGUGUAAUCUGGUACCAUCAAGCCACCAUAUAGGUUCUGUUUUUUCUCAUUUGGUAUGUCAUCAUAUGUGCGUAUGUCCUUCAGUGAAGAGAGGUGCCUUACAACAUAACCUAUACCACUAGCAAGUUGAGCAGCAUACUUGAUUGGUUUGCAACAUCCUUCAGGAAAGACAAUUUCCAAUGGCUUGCCUCCCUAAUAUUAACAAAUGAAGCAUCAUUCAGGUAUACCCCAAUUGAAAUUCUAGGAAACUGAUUAUACAAAAAAAAUCUUGAAUAGACAGUAAUAUUAUAUAUGUACACAUCCAAUUACUGAAUGGCAUUUACAUUAGCUCGUAUCAUCUUCUCGAUAACUUUUCCCGUGGUUGGGCCCCGGCCUUUUUUUUGCUUUCUUUGUUCUGAGAACAAUUGUUAAACAUUGUAGUUGAUGCUUAUUAUGAAUUAUCACAAAUGCAUACAUUGAAUGGUAAUAAGUAAAUCAUUAUUUAGCAUUUUCACUUACCAUUCGCCAAUGCUUGAGUAGGAUUACUAUUAUUUGAAUUAAUCUGGAUAUCAUCACCUGUGGUAGCUGAUUGAUGCUCCAAAGUUGAGUUUGAAGUUGGUGGUUGUUCAGAGUGCAAGUUGGUAUUGGGUGGGCAGCUUCUCUUCAACCGUUUCCCGGAAGGUGCCAUCUGCAAUAACACAGUAUAUGAUAAAAAAGGAGUCAAAUUAGUAAAAUUUUGAUGUCAAAUUAUAAACAGAGAUCAAAAUUUAAGUUAUACCAAAAACUUAACAAAGAGUUAAAACCAUGAAAAACAUAUCAGAAGUAAAACCAAUUUGAUCAAUAUUGGGUAAAACCACAAAAAGUAACACUUUCUUCUACAAUGCCAAAAACCUUUUCACUUGACACUUCUAUGCUAUUUCUUAAGCACUAUCUAAAUCUAUAUCCAUGUCAAUGGUUUCAUCACUAUCAGAAGAUUCAAUAAGCAUGCCAUCUUCUUUAAAAACAUUGUCUUCUUCACCAUACUCUUCUUCACCAGUGAAAGUAUGCAAAGGAUUCUCCAGAACAACUUCAAUUUCAACACCUUGUCUGCUUAAGAGGCCUAGUUCAUCAUCUUCGACAAUAGGCAGAACAGUUCUUGUUUCAUUUUGCUGCAAUAAUUCAUCUAAAAAACUUGUAUCUGCAUUGAGCACAUCUCCAUCGUUCUCUUCCAAAUCUGGUAGGUUCCACAAAUGCCUAUGUUGAACACGUUGUACAAUUCGCCAAUGUCUCCCCAACUUUGUAUCACCAAUAUAGAAGACUUGCUGGACUUGAUUUGGUAAAACAAAUGGAUCAUUUUGAUACCAACGUGAUCUAAUAUCGAUGGUCACAAAGUGCCUAUCACUCUUUAUUGUGUUUGUGCUACCUGUGUUAUACCAUUCACAUUGAAGCAAGACUACCUUGUAUGCAUGAAAAAAGGUCAGCUCAACCACAGCCUUAACAAAGCCAUAAAAGUCAAUGUGUUUUCCUUUAUGGUCACCCUUAACAACUAAGCCACUAUUCUGUGUUGUACGGCAAUCAUCCCGAUCUCUUGUGUGGAAACGAACUUCAUUUACAAUGCAUCCUGAGUAAUGCUUUGUCAUGAAAGGUAUAGGACCAUUUGCUAAUGCCCACAGCUCUUCAGAAACAUCCAAUGAUUUAUCAAUGUGUAAUUGAUUUAUCUAUAAAAUAGAAAACGAGUCUCUAUUAGUCAGUUUUCAAUAACUAAUAAACUUAUUUUUAUAAUAUGUAUAACUUACAUGAUCUUUGAACCACUCUGUGAAUUGAUCUUCAUGUCUGCUAUCAACAUUUUCAGGAUGAAUCCUUUGCAGCAUCUCUUUAUGCUUACUGAAAUUCAGAUUGUAUUACCAAUAUAAAGUAAAAUAAACCACAAGAAGUAAUAUCGAAAAUAUAAAAUUGAAAUACAUAUUGCACUCACAUUCUGUACUCUUCUAUUUCAUCACAGUUAUUCAAUAUAAAUUUAUGAGCCACAUCUAGUUCAACUUGAGAUAAUUUAGUAGGAGGUGUAACAAGUCCAAAUGGGCGAACACUUAGUGAGAAAACCACCAGCUCCUCUGCCUUAUCCUGAUUAUAGUCAUAGUUGCGUCUCUUGCGGGUGAAUUUUGUUUCAAUGCCAUGGAGAUAUUUGGACAUGAAUGUUAGGCACUCAUUUGCAAUAUAUCCUUCUGCAAUCGAGCCUUCAGGACGAGCACGAUUACGGACAUACUUUUUAAGGGAUCCAAGAUACCUUUUCAAAAGCAUGAGUUAAUUUUCUAUCCAAAACAGAAUGUUAAGUAAAAUAACAAAAUUUGUAGUCAAACAAAUAAGGAAGAAGUACCUUUCAAAUGGAAACAUCCACCUAGGAUGUACUGGCCCACCAAGUUUUGCUUCCUUUGGCAAGUGAACAAUCAAAUGGAUCAUAAUGUCAAAGAAGGCAGGAGGAAAGAUUUUUUCCAACUUACAUAAUAUUAAUGGAGCAUUUUUCUCCAACCUUUCCAAGUCAUCCAUCUUAAGGGUUUUAGAACACAAAUCUCGAAAAAACUCACUUAACUCAAAAAUUGCCUCAUUGACUUCUUUGCACAAAUACCCACGAAUGCCGGCUGGAAUAAGUCGUUGCAAGAGGGCAUGGUAGUCAUGUGUUUUAAGUCCCAUCAGUUUACCAUCUUUAACACACUUGGAAAUGUUGGCAGCAUACCCAUCAGGAAACUUAAUUGAACUCAAAAAAUCACAAAAUCCUUUUCUCUCACUUGAAGACAUCACAUACAAGGCUGGAGGCUUUGUUUUCCUUGUACCAUCAUCAUGUAAGUGUAGUUCGUGCCUUAUUCCCAUGUCAAGUAGAUCAUCACGAGCUUUAUUAGUAUCUUUUGUCUUAUCAGGAAUGUUCAACAAUGUUGCUACUAAACUUUCACAUGUAUUUUUAAGGAUAUGCAUCACAUCCAGACAAUGUCUCAUGGAGAGUUUUUCCCAAUAUGGUAACUCAAAAAAUAUACUUUUUUUCCUCCAAUUACCCUGAAUUUUAUCAACUCCUUUUUUUCCGAGUAACUGGGUUCUUACCAAACUCACCAAAGACACCAGCCAAGGAAUUUAAAUGUCUUAAAACCUGUUCUCCAGAAAAUUCCUUUGGCCUGGAGCGUGUUUCAAUAGUUCCAUCAAAAUGAGCUUUUUGCUUUCGCCAACGGUGGUCAUGGUUCAAAAAGCGACGAUGUCCCAUGAAACAUAUUUUGCCUCUUAGUCUUUGUGAAGCAGUAUCAUCAAGACAACAUGGACAUGCUUUAUACCCACUGGUGCUCCAUCCAGACAAAUAGCCAUAUGCAGGGAAAUCUGAUAUAGUCCAUAAAAUUGCUGCACGCAUUUGAAAGUUUUGUCCACUAUAUGCAUCAUAAGUGCUGAUUCCAUGAAAUAAAUCUUUCAAAUCAUCUAUUGCUGGCCUUAAGAACACAUCUAACUCCUUUCCAGGGGCACGUGGACCAGGAAUAAGAAGUGAUAGUAUAAGAAAUUCCUUUCUCAUAAACUUAUAUGCAGGCAAAUUGUAAGGUACAAGAAUAACUGGCCACAUGCUAUAUGAGUUGCUCAUGUUACCAAAUGGAUUGAAUCCGUCCGUGGCCAAUCCAAGUCUUACAUUUCGAGAAUCUUUAGCAAAAUCAGGAUAUUGCUUAUCAAAAUCCUUCCAAGCAAUAGAAUCAGCCGGAUGUCUCAUGAUACCUUCCUCUUUAACCCGUUUCUCCUCAUGCCAUCUCAUGUCUUCAGCAGUUUUAGAAGACAUAAAAAGUCUUUGCAACCUAGCUUUUAAUGGAAAGUACCACAUCACCUUCUGUGGAACUUUUUUUUUCUUGCCAUUAUUGACUUUCCAUCGUGAUUCUUUACAAAUAGGACACUUGUCCAUCUUUUCAUUUUCUUUCCAAAACAAUGCACAAUCAAAUUUGCAAACAUCAAUUUUUUGAUACCCCAAACCAAUACCAGAUAGAAUUUUCAUGGCCCCAUAAAAACUAGAUGGAAGUAUUUCUCCUUCUGGUAACACAUCUUUUAAAAAUUCUAGCAUCAUGUCAAAUGCCUUGUUAGUCAUAUGGUUCAUCACUUUGAUAUGGAGAAAGGAAACAAUGAAACGCAGCAGGGAGUAUUUUUUGCAUCCCGGGUAAAGUUCUCUUUGUGCAUCAUUUAACAAUUUGUCAAAAUUUUUUGAAUCCCAUUCACUCGAUGUCCCUGAUUCAUGUGCAUUUCUCAUCUCAUCCAAUAAAUCAGGUAACUCAUCAGAUUCACCAUUUUCAUUCAUAUCAAAGUCAUUAUAUACUGUUUCAUUGAUGAAAUCUGUCUCACCUCCAACACCAUUCUCAUCAAGGUUAUUGUUCUUUCCACUUGACAUAUAAGAGUGUGCAGAAAAUGGUUCCCCAUGGAAGACCCAAUUUUUAUAAUACAUACAAAAGCCUUUUUCCGAUAAAUCUGAUUCAACUUGAGAAAUGCUUUUUCUCUUUGAAUUCCUACAUCUCCUACAGGGACAAAAUAAUUUUCCAUCCAAUCCCAUACCAUUGGUCUUAGCAAAUUCAAUAAAAUCCUUAAGACCAAACUUAUAAUGACUUGACAAAAUAUUUGGAUCAUUUAUCCAGCUCUUAUCCAUUUCCGAUACCUAGACUAAGAAAAGUCUUAACUUACUAAACUCAAGGCAUUGUUAAGAUGAAUAACUCAAAAAGGAGGAAAGACAAUUUCUAGCUAUAAAAAGAUAAAGGAGGCAAAAAGACAUAGAAUUAUUCACAAUUUACCUACUUUUUAUGGCUUAGUUAUGAAUUCCAAGCUACUUAGAUUAUUCACUGAUUACAUCAAAUGCAAUACUACUCAAUAAAACUGAAAACACAUUAGAUUAUUCACUGAUUACACCAAAUGGUAUACUACUCAAUAAAACUAAAAACACAUUCCUGAUUGUACUAUUCUCCUAUUGUCUAAUUGUAUAUGCUCUUGUAUAGUAUAUAGAAAACAUUAAACAUCAUAACCCAUAACUUGAUUUACGCAAAUAAGGAUGUAAACCAUAACAUAAUUUGCAAGAAACUAGCAGUCAUGAUAAACACUUUUCAUUCUUUAUGGUAAGCUACCAAAUAACCACAUACCUCAAAUUAUGCAAUCUUUUCUCUGGUUGUUCCUUAUCUUCUCUAUCAAGGUAGUGAGAAUGCAGGUCUGUUCUGCUGAAUAUGAAGAAAUACGAAAUUAGAUAUUUCUCUGCUGAGGUAGACUGAAAACUAUUUUAUUGUGAACAGGAUUGACUUUGGAUAAGGAUCCAUAUUAAAUCAUCAAGAUUUCUUCUGAAACUUAGAACAUUCAAAGAUCCAUUCCAACUAGCUAGCUAGGUUACUUGGGUUCAGUAAUUGAUGGCGGGCUAGUUUUUUUUGGAACAUGUCAAGUUAUGGAUUAGGAACUAUAGCAAGGAAGACAAACAGUAGUGGUUCAGCCACAUUCUAUCACUUUUUGUCCAAUAGGAGUAAUAAUCAAGUUGUCCAAUAGAUAAAGAAUUUACAAGUGCUGCACUUCUUUACGUUUCCCUUCUUUUUCCUGCCUACUAAUGCUAACUGAAAACUGGCAUAAAAAACCUAUGGUAUAAAACUUGCAAGGAUAUUAUAGUACUUUAGAAAACCAGAAAGAGCCAAUGAUUGUGAAACUGUUUUUUUUUUUGGAUGUUACUCCCUACAUUUCUUGCAUGGAUUUAGUUGGACAUGAUGGAUGUAUAGCCGUCCUCUUAACAAAAAGAACCAAAACCUCCCAUUCCAACCAAACCUCUAAAACCAGAUGGUCCAUUUUCACCAUAGACUCCAAAUACCCAAACCAAUAGAUAAAAGCCCCUAACAAUAUAGGCCAGUUGCUGAUGCAUUUUUCGUCUGGUACAAAUUUUUAAUGCUCCCCAUGACAUAAUAUCAAACUAGCCAACUUCACCAUAAAUAUUUAUCCUUGAGAUCAGCUCCAAAUUUAUAAGUAGGGGCCCUUAGCCAAAAAAUCUAAAAUACACUUGACUGUGUCGCAUUAUUGCGUGAAUUGCUCCCACGUCCUAUAUUAAAUUAGACCUGUGCCAAUCUGUCAAUGUGACUAUUCCCAUAUUAAAACCCAAACCUCCCAAAUUCUGCGAAUCUUGAACUAAAAACUGAAUUUCAAGUGUAUCUGUAUCAGAGAAAACAAUUUCACUUUUAAUCCAAGUUUCCCCUUUUAAUCCAAUCAGAUAAUGAUGAAUAGAAGGCACUGUAAAAAUCAAGCCAACGGCUGGAAAAUGCUCUUGAUAUGGGAACUUACAGUCAUAGUUAGCCCAUCCAAUCCUUUGGCCAGCCAAAUCAUAAACAACAAUCUUGUCUUUCAGAACAAGGUCUGCAUGAAAGGAAACAAAUAAUGAAGAAAAAUAGGAAACAAAUUCCAGUUUCAUUCAGACACUUUCAUGACAAAACAAGAGGACAAACCAGAAACACUGAACAGGUAUCUCUGCCAUCACAUUGAAGACUCAUACUAAAUCAUCAAUCAGAGAUGAAUCCUUAACAAGGUUUCAGACAUUGAAAAAUGAAAGAAAAUUGUAGUAGAUAAAAUUGUUGAAAGCCGGUUGCCCAUCACAUGUAUGACAAAAAACUGAAAGACAAAUAACAAGGAUAAAUCAGGAAAAAUGUUCGACACAAGACAAGCAUCUAGCACACCUAGAUGUGAACAUUGCACCGUAAGUUUGGAUCUACUCUGGAGUUAAUCCAACAAAUGGCCUGCAGUAUAAAGUUCAGCUAAUAAUAAUAUCAAGAACGAAGAUAACUGGUAAAAGAGACACAUUUCGAGGAAGAUUUUUGCCAAAAUUUUCUGAUUUUUUAAUGGGCGUUCAUCAUAUAAACCCAACACUUGUUAACAAUCACAGAAAUUCAGUGCUUUCUUAAGAACGAAAAUAUCCCUAUUCUUGGAUGACCAGCGGAAGAGAAAAACCCCAUAUGGAUAUUGGUCUCAAAUUCAACACGCUUAAAAGUAGAGAGUAUCUGGGAAUCGUUUGCCGACCUUUCCAUCGUUCCCACCCCCAACCUUAUAGAUUUGUGCAUCUGGGGUUGUAAAAAACCAUCAUUUUGCAAUUUACAAGUCAUAUCUGCCCAAUGGGAACUGAACCUGUCAAGGACUCACCUCCAAGAAUAGUCAAUCCUUGACCCUGAAUUUUCCGAAAGCUGAUGCACCAGACUGCUGCACCAUUCUGCCAAAAACGAGCUAGCAAAUCAAUUUUAUAUGUACAUGUGCAGAAUUCUCAACUCUUCACACGCAAGAACAAGUUUUCCAAGAACCGUUCCUUUGUGAACAUCAGGGAGAUGGGAGCCUAUCAAAUUUGCGCUAAAUUCCUCAUUCUCAACCAAAAUAAUGAAAAUAAUCAAAUUUGAAACUUUAAGGGGCCAAAUGAGGUUCUCCAAACAAUUUCUGAAAACUUAGAUCACAAAUGAGUCAAUUUUUAUGCAGAGAAAAUAUUUGACACCGAACUUGAACUGAUGAUCUGUAGGACCGUCAUUUCACAGUCAAUUAAGGACAAAAUUGAAGGGGGAUUCGGAGAAAGGGAGCUGAUUCAAGACAAAAUUGAAGGAUUAUUUGAUUUUUACAUCACCUUAGACCAUCGUGUUGUCUCUCUUGUUGAAAGAGAUGAAGCCAAGUUCAGAGGAGUUCGUUGUUGUUCUCUGUUGUUGGAGAUGAAGACAAGCUGAAGAUUUGGAGAAAGUGUACUUUGUUGUUGUUGUUCCAAAAGUAGAGAUUUGGGAAAAGUGCUUCUUGAAUUUCCCGGUGUCUAUGUCAUAAGGACAAGAUGUCCUUCUAAAUUCCUUUUCGGUCCAAGAGGGGAAAAAAAUUGGUGGGAAAGAAAUGGAGGGAGAAUGAAAACUUUUCCUGACGAAUUGAUGUGGGGAAAGUAACUUUAGACAAUGAAAUAAAUAGAAAAACACGUUUAAAGUAGCAGCACCUUUUGAUGGAUAUUUACUUGACGGGUUGUCAUAAAAAGCAUGGUUUUCCUAACGAAAAGGUUUCUUGUCAUGAAAAAUUUGUCACGAAAAAAAUAAUUUUUUGUAGUGAAUUAAUAUAUGGUAUUAUCAUUAUAUCAUGUACUUAUAAUAAUAAUAAUAUAUAAUAAUGUACAAUAUAUUAUUUUAGUAUUUGUUAAUUGUUAUAUGACUAUAAUAAUACAAAUAUAUAGUAAUACAUAACAAUAUAAGAUAUACCAAUUUGAGCAGAGGAGGAAUUCGUUAGACCCCAGAUUCGUUCAUCAGUUUCAAAGCUAAUGACUUUUCCAAACACAGCUUUAAUAUCAGAUGUUAUUCAUGGCAUUCUAAUCAAGUAGAGAACAAAAACAAGCCUGCCAAUCGAGCCACAGCUUCAGCAAACAAAGAAAAAAGGAAACUGAUAUGCCCGAGCUUCUGCAACAAGUCGAAAGAUUCAAUCUUGUUGCAGCAAAAUCUCAAUCUAAGGAUUCUAGCAGGCGACUUACUUAUUACCAUGGAUCUAGGAACAAGAACAAGAGGCCAUACUCACAAGAGAAACAUCACAUCAGCCAUCAAGAACACCGAACAAACUCAUGAUUCUCAUAGUCCCAUCAUUUAUUAAUGGAAACUAUCUAUAAGAAAAGGCGAAAAGAAAGGCUUAUAGUGCCGUUUCCGGUAAAGCUCUCGGCAACAAUGGUGGCAAUGAGUUCCUCUUCCGUGGUUGCCACCAGUUCCAACUCUCUUUUAGCUCUCAGCCUUUUCUUUAUUUAGUUUCCUCCUCCCUAUUUCCUUGCUUUGGUUCUUUUCUUCGCAGCUUCUCCUUCCCAGAUUUCCUGGUUCCCUCGGUCUCUCCUCCGUUACUCUCCAGUCUCUUUUCCCUCUGAUUCUCUCCUUUCUUUUGCUUCUGUGUUUAGCCGCCAACAGGUUCUUGGUCUCUCUAAAACCUCCCUUUUGCCGUCAUCAGAUCCUCCUAAAAUUUUCAGCCGUCACACCCUAUCUUCUUGUUGCCUUUUUCUCUACCCUAGCCGCCACAUCUCCUUCCCUUUUUGUUAUUUUCUUUUUAUCUUUUCUUUUCCUUCAAAUCUUAAGCCUCCAAGUGUCUCAACACCUCACUUUCUAGGUGUUGUGUUGUCAAAUACAUAAAGGGACACUUGUCUCUAUUGCAUGUCCCCCACUUGUCAUUUUUCAUUUUUCUUUUUCUGAACUUUAGUGUUAAAAAAAAUGCUUUUAAAAGAAAAGAAAAUGAUGAAUCUUAAUGUACCAAAAAUAAGAAUAAACGCCAGUCACUAUUUGCAAUAUUAAAUCAAUAAAAUAAUAAAUAUGAAACCAAAAUAAAUAAUAAUAAUAAUAAAAUAAAAUUGAAUUAAAUAAACAAAUAAAGUCAAAAUUGAAUGAAUAAAGCUAAGUAAAUAAAGUUUAAAUUUGAAUUAAUGAAAUUUUGGUGUCUACUCUUCUAUUGCAGAGGUCUUGUCGUACGUUCAUUGCCUGGUGUGAUGAGUUUGCACGAUCAAUGGGGUUUCAAGUUCUCGAUCUCAACCCCUCAAGUACGAACUCCGUCACCAAUACACCUGCACUAGAGGUGUCUAGCAUCAUAGCAGAACUGAAAAGCAUGCAAACCAAUGUGAUGAUCCUUAACAUUGUUGUGGUUGCUGUCGUGGCGGUACUCGUAGUUCUAGUUUUGAAAUUGUGAAGUGCUAUGUUCGUUCUGAUUCCAUUCCCCCCUCCUAUACAUUACUCAAAUAUGGUGUCCUCAUGCUGAAUGGGCAUUUAGCCUAAUUUAUAGCUUGUUGGCUUUUGUUUGCUAGUAUUCUGUCAUUGGCUUUUGUCCAUCCUUCGUCUGCCGGAUAGUGGCGCAUGUGUGUUUGCUCACCAACGAACGGAGUGUGUCUGUGUUAAUGGUGAUAUUGCUUGAAAUUACACAAGGGAAUGGGUUUUUAUCACCAGUUUACAUUGUGCAUUAUAUUUCCGAUCUAAAAUUCCUGUUGCCUUUUGCCCCUCAAUUGUGUGUGAUUAUCAGUUAAUUCGUAACGUUGAAGUUUGCUUUACUUCAUUUAAAUAAGUGUGAUUCAGCGCUGAAAUUCAUUAUUAAGGCUGUGGCAGUGCUAUUAAUUGUCAACUUCUACUUAGCCAUACAAGUAAACAGCGUCAUCUUGUAAAACCAGUUCUCAUAUACAACAACAUUAGUAGGCUUUCAACUUUGAAAUCUAAUGAGUUCAAUUACGAAGUAAGUGCUUACUUCUUAAUUUGUUCUCCCAGUUGAUCCCCUUACAAUAUUACCAAAUGGUGCACUUAUAAUUUUUCAGCAUUACAUAUUAUUAGCCCUUAACCCCUACCUUUUGUACUGUAACAAGCACAACCAAUGAUGGUUUGGCCAUUGACAUAAAGUGUCAGGAACAAAAAACAAUCCAUCAUCAAAAUAUUUCAUAAAAAAAUUAAAGCACACUGUUUUAGUUGUGAACGUUCACUCAGACCACUCCACAAUAAGACCAAACAGAGGGUUAAUGGCGGCAACCGUGAUAGCCACCCUAAGAAAGCUGCAGUAUUUUUUGCGCCUUACAGUCACCACGAGACUAUCAGUUACAUCUUUGUGUUCAAAGGUUGUCUCCACAACUGAUGGAUUCCAGCAAAUAGUGGCGGUAUGAACGCUGUCUGCAAUGGCUACGUUGCAGGUCAUAUUGGUGUGGUAUCCCUGUUCAGCCAUAAAGCGAGUUACUGACCAAUCUUCAAAGUUGGCUCCGAAGAGCAUCCACACGUUGGUAUGAAGCAGUGGUUUCAGACCCAGGUAACGUGCAACAAAUUCCUCCUUCCCUACAAAUCAGGCAUUGUAAGUCAUAAUAUAAAAUGCCUUAAGGUUGUGCAUAAUGGAGAGUGGACGACGGCGCCACUUCACUAGUGACUAGAACACUUUCUCGUUGGCAAUGGGGUUGCGAACGGGGAUGCAAGAGACCAACAUGGUUUGUGAAAACUCUUGUCCGGGAAACCUAUCCAACCGCACAAGUGCUUCGUUAACAACCCACUUCACUCCUAUGUGGUGAAGUGGUAAGUGCUCAUCUUGAAAGUAGCCUACCAUUCCGCCAUUGUUGAGGACAUGCAUUUUAGGAAUUCAUCCCAGUGCCAUGCCAGGGUCUGCUGGCUGAUUAAAAGUGCAAGACAAGGGUUUGCUUCACAGGUUACAAAAUACACAAGGAAAGGAAGUUGCGGUCAAGUUAGAGAUUUCAGGUGCUAAAGUUCAAUCCCCAAGCAUAUGGAAUUGAACGUGUGGUUCAACGGGCAUGCAAGAGAGAAGGUUCUUGUGUGAAAUUCUUAUAGAAGAGGCUACGGUGCAUGGACAUACAACAAAUGGAGGAGGUGACGGUGCAAGGAUUGAGAAAUUUGAGUCAGCUGCUGCUGGGUCAAAUCACUCAGGUUAACAAACUCAAUGAUUUAGUCCGUCUAACUUAGGUUAGUGGGAAAAUGGGUCACAGUUGGUUGGAAUAGUUUUUAAUAAAAAUAAACCCGUUUUCAAUAAAACACCAACUCUUUAUGACUUUCCUCCAUUAUAAGAACAAAAUACCUAUUUUUCCAUAAACAAUUUUUCUGAUCCGAUAAAAUAAAAAUAUUGCCGUUUUUCAAUAAACCACCAACUCUUUAUGGCUUUCCUCCAUAAAUUAUUCAAAAAAAAUUUAUGGUUCAACUAAUGCUUGCAAGAGUAUACCCAUUGUGCCUCCAUUAAAACACCAGCUGUUUAUGACUUUCCUCCAUUAUAAGGACCCAUUUUCUCAUAACCCAAUUGUUUUAUCGGAUAAAAUAAAAAUAAAUCCAUUUUCCAAUAAAACACCGGUUAUUUAUGACUUUCCUCUGUUUUAAGAAAAAAAACGGUUCAACUAAUGCUUGCAAGAGAGAAGGUUCUUGUGUGACGUUCUUAUAGGAGAGGCUACGGUGCAUGGACAUACAACAAAUGGAAAAAUUUUUGGUGCAAGGAUUGAGUGAUUUGAGUCAGCUGCUGUUGGGUUAAUUUUGACUAUGGUUAACAAACUCAAUGCUUUAGUCCGUCUAACUUAGGUUAGUGGGAAAAUGGGUCACAAUUGGAAGGUGUUCCGAUAAUGAUAAGUUUAGCGCCAGUGAUUCUUGUUGGAGAAGAUGCAUCACUUGUACCUGUCUGUUCAGUCGGACGGUACUUCCACAGGUUAUGAACAGUGUUGCUUGGCUGGUGGCCCACCUCUCAAUGUGAUUUCCAAUCGGAUAAGAUUUGCACGGUGCAUGCAGCAAAUUGUCAUGGCCCUUGCACCUUCACAUGUGUGUAGGGGCUGCAGCGCUGGAGGUUUUCAACGCUAGUCGAAAGGAGGCUUACGCCUGAAGAUAUAUCGAUCGAUGCCUCAACAUGCAUCCAAACUCCAGUUAAUGUCUCCAGUUAUCCAAAGAUGCCAGUUAAUGUCUUUAACUUGCAGUUAAUGUCUUUAAGCCGAAUGUAUUAAUUACUAUAUUAUCCAAAAUUUAAAAAAUAGUAAAAAUAUAUUAAAAUACCUACAUAAUUUCGCUAGUACCAAUUGAUUUCAUAAAUAAGACCUUGAAAUUAUGUUAUCUAACAUUGUUAAUGUAGCAUUAAUCAGUAGGUGUUGACUAAAAUUAGGUACAAUUAUAAGGCAUGGUUAUCUAACUAUUAUAAUGUAGCAUUAAUGACUAAAUAAUGCCACAAAUUAGGUAAAACCAAACGGCAUAUGGCUAUACAUGUAAUGUGUAGCCUUGGUUAUUAGUCAUGUUACUUCUCUAAGAUAAGCAAUUUGACAAUUUUCAUUUUUAUUGACAAUUUUAUUUGCUAGUACUUCACAUUUGACAGUUGAUAGAAGAAAGAAAGAAAGAAAGAAAGACAAUUAUAAAAUGGGUUCUUCAUUUUGUUUUGUUUGCAAGACUAGAAUGAGCUUUCAUUUCAUUUUAUUUUGUUAUGGUCCCAAACGAAGUGAUUGUGUAAUUUUUAAUUUACAAAUUGGGGCUCCUAAAUUAGCAAAAGCUUUCAUUAUGCUCGUUAAUGAUUUAAAAAUUAAUACUGAUUUUUUCCCAAAUUUAUUCAUAAUUUAACACAUUACAUAUGUUCUAAUCAUUUUGUGGUUUAAUUGGCAUUUAUUUAAUCAUUUAUACCUCGAAUCGAAUCCUUAGUCUAUGAUUUAAGGAACACAUAAACUUAUUAGUUAUGAAGUUAAAUUAGAACAAACCUUAGACUGUACAAUAAUUAGUGAUAAUUUAUGAACUUAUAUUUUACAAUGAUUAAUAAUAAGUAAUUUUAGUUACAAAUUACUUAUUAUUAGUGAUAAGUUAUAUUAGUUAUAAACUUAUAAUUCAUUUGAAAUCAAAAUAAAUCUUAUUUACUUACAUAUGUUAUUGUAAAAGUCAAUACACUAAUACAUUGCUUUCCAAUUCAUAUGCAUUCACUUACACUGCUAUCUUCUUGUCUUGUCUAUACUUAAAAUUUCAGGAUUAGUGAAAAAUGAGUGGGGCUCCUAAAUUACCAAAAGCUAAAUUGUAAUUACUAAUAAUGUAUAUUGUUUAAUAUUUGGUAUUAUACAUAUAUGUAUUAAUUAUUAUGUAAUUGUAGUCAUUUUACCCAUAUAUAACAUAUUAGAAUUAACCAAAUACUAAAAUCCUUUGUUGUACAUUAUUAUAUAAUAUUAUUAUUAUAAGUACAUGAUAAUACCAUAUACUAACUAUUAUUUACAACAAUAUAUUAGUAGUAUGUACUAACACUAAAUAGCAUUUAUCUAUAUAAUAUAUAAUUUUAUAAACUAAUUUCAAUUCGGAAUUGAAUUAGGCCUAAACCCGGAUUUCAAAUUACCAAAUUGAAUUUCAAUUCGGUUAUGAAUUAGGCCUAAACCUGAAUUUCAAAUUAUCAAAGUGACUUUCAAUCGGUUAUGAAGGGAGCAACAACGGUUUCUUUGGACUAGGGAUGUGCAUUCGGUGCAAAAUCGGUAAUUUGGUGCAAUGAAUUCGGUGAAUUCGGUUAUUCGACCUAUAGAUAUCUAAACCGUUUUCAAUUUCGAAUUGGCCAUAACCGAAUUCAUUCCGCAACCGAUUUCAAAUUCGAAAACGGUAACGAAUUCGGUCUAACCGAAUUCAUCUAUUAAAAAAAAGGUUUAAAAAUUAUGCUCCUAAAUUAUACUACAUUCAUUAUGCUCCUCAAUGAUUUAAAAAUUAUUACUGAUUUGAUCCCCAAAUUUAUUCAUAAUUUAACACAUUACUUAUGUUCUAAUCAUUUUGUGGUUUAAUUGGCAUUUAUUUGAUCACUUAUACCUAGAAUCCUUAGUCUAUGAUUUAAGGAACACAUAAAAAGUAAUUAAUUUAAACUAGCAUGAACCUUAGACUGUACAAUGAUUAGUGAUAAUUUAUGAAUUUAUAAUUUACAAUGAUUAAUAAUAAGUAGUAUUAGUUAGUAGUUACAAUGAAUUUAUAAUUUACAAUGAUUAAUAAUAAGUAAUAUUAGUUACAAACUUACAAAUUACAAUAAUUAGUGAUAAGUUAUAUUAGUUACAAACUUAUAAUUUAUUUCAAAUCAAAAUAAAACUUAUUUACUUACAUAUGUUAUUGUGCAAGUCAAUACACUAAUACAUUGAUUUGCAAUUCAUAUGCAUUCGCUUACACUGCUUAGUUGUCUUAUCUAUACUUAAAGCCUUAAGAUUAGUGAAUAGAUAAUAUGAAUUUUUAUGUUAAAUAUGUAAUGUAAAUUUAGAGCACACUAAUACUUGCAAGUUACAAAUUACGCAUUCAAAUAUUCAAUAAUUCAAACAUGAAUGAUAUAUCAAAUUAUCAAUAUCUAAAUUCUAAUUACUAAUUAUGUUUAUUGUUUAAUAUUUAGUAUUUUACAUAUAUGUAUUAAUUAUUAUCUAAUUCUAGUCAUGUUACUCAUGUAUAAAAUAAUAAAUAUUAUAGUUAUCUUAUAUUGUUAUGUAUUACUAUAUAUUUGUAUUAUUAUAGUCAUAUAACAAUUAACAAAUACUAAAAUAAUAUAUUGUACAUUAUUAUGUAUUAUUAUUAUUAUUAUAAGUACGUGAUAUAAUGAUAAUACCAUAUACUAAUUAUUAUUAAUAGCAUUUACCUAUAUAAUAUAAUAAUAUAUUAGUAGUAUAUACUAAUACUAAAUAGCAUUUAUCUAUAUAUUAUAUAAUUUUAUAUACCAAUUUGGUAUUCGAAUGCGGUAAUACGGCACCCUAUUUCAAUUACCGAAUUUGAAUGCGAAAUCGGUUGUUACCAAAUUCAUAAUCUCAUUACCUAUUUCAUACCAUAUUAGAAUUCGAUGAAUUCGGUAUGUACCGAAUUUGUACCAAAUUACCAAAUACCCGAUUUCAAAUUACCGAAUUGAAUUUGAAUUCGGUUAUGAAUUCGGUAUGUACCGAAUUUGCUCACCCCUACUUUGGACAACAUAUCAUCUAUUGAAAAUGAGCCUCAGACUCUCGAUAAUGAGCGACUUCAACUUGCAAGGGUAAAUAUACAUAUUUUCUUAUUUUUUUCUUUAUUCCCUUUUUUUGCCUGUCAAUUCUUUGUUUAUAUAUGCUUUCUUAUUUUUAUUUCUUUCUUCCCUUAAAUCAUGUGGAAAAAUAGGUGAGUUUCUCUGUUUAUUUUUUUUAAUAAAACUGGUUAUGAAAAUGAAGAGGUUGUUGGAAUCUUUAAAUGGCGAAUUCCAAAUCGACUUAUGUUUAAGGAUACGUUGAAAUAAAAUGCUAAGAAAUAAAGGGUGCAUACAUUUACAAAUGGAGUGACAAACUCAUGUUUAAAAUUUGAAAAUAAAUUUACUAACCAUUAAUUGUUUAUUUUUUUCCAUAGCCGCUCAUGAGAUCAGUGGCAACAUGACGGUUUUUUAAUUUUUUAUUAUUUUAUUUUUUUUGCAUCACCACUUUAUAUAUUUCAUUUGCCAAAGAGGCCAAACAAAAGAUUAUGGGCCUGUUUAGGAAUGGGACUUCCAAGGUGACAUCAAACACAUGCUGUCCCGCAUAAUGAUGUAAAAAAAAUAAAUGUUAUAUCUUGUUUUUCUAUUCGCUUAAACUAUAUAUCUGUUCACUUAAAUAUAUAAUACCUCGACAGAAAAUAAAAGGAAUUUGAAGCAAUCCAGAAUAACUGAAAAUUAAGAUUAUUUUUGCUGGAAGCCUUGCAUUGGGGUUGCGACAACCCCUAAUUAUGAACCUUCCAUCAAACAGCACCAAUUUUGUGACGAUUUUCAAUUUUAGCAAUAUUAUGAGAAAUUCCCCCAAUUUCAGGUUUGUCAAAGUACCCUUGAUAAAUCUUUUGUUUUCCAAUUUCCCCUUGAUAGAUUGGAAUCCUUUGUACAUACAUUAAAACUUGGAAUUGUUUAGGCUGAGCAGAUUGGCCAUAAUAUGGUCGCGCAAGACAUAAAAUACAAUGUGAGUUGGCUAUGUAUGUCAACGCUACUGCGAACACUGAUUUCACAUGCCUUAUUUCCCAAAUUGCAGCCCUAAUUCCAGGAAUUCAGCUACAACGAAAUUGCUCACCUCAACAGCCGACUGCCGUCCAAUUUCUUUCAUAUAAAAAUUCCCUUUCACUUCACUCCCUAGGAACUUACCUGGACUCAACACUUAACGGCAAAGCGGUUUAUAAUCGCGGAUGGGACCAAAGGGAUUUGCCGAAAGCACGCGUCGUAACAGUAAUAGUUCAACCUCCAAACCCCACA